RNAcentral lists this long non-coding RNA (301512 nucleotides) under Daucus carota (carrot). RNAcentral describes it as "long non-coding RNA (DCAR_LNC001248)". Lineage: Eukaryota; Viridiplantae; Streptophyta; Magnoliopsida; Apiales; Apiaceae. The record is from RNAcentral.
UUCUAGACCAUGCCCCCUUUCUCUGCUCUAGAUUAUCACCUCCUUGCAUAACAUUUGCUACUAGAGACCAAACUCUCGAAUAUUACAAGUGAAUGUAUUCCAUCCAUUGAUUGGUCCGAAAGAUACGACUGAAUAAUUUACCAUGAACAACCACCGUACAUAAGCCUGUUAUCAAACACCAAACCAGACCUUGAUCAAAACCCUUUUUGUGGCAAUCAUAUCAUACACCUCAGCUUAUACCAUCUAAAUUAGAUUCCACACACAAUUCCAAUUAGAUGAGAUGAAAGUGUAAAUAAAACACACACACAAUGUAUAUAUAUAAAUAGCAAACUUAACUAGAAGUGAUGAGCAGAAACAUGAAAGAUUGAUGGGUUUAUACCAAAAACACAAGCCCUUUUACCAUCUGAAAUUUGCAGCGCAAAAACAUCCCAAUCCGUUGAUUAAAAGAUUCCCCACACAUGGUCUCCUCAGAAGAGAGGUAAUACUGAACACGGUAAGGGGCUCUGUUAAGCGGGUGCUCCCUGGUUAUCGCAAUUUCGAAAUAACGUCUUAGAGCAACUCAAAGGCAUUAGACCUCUUAGGUAAAAGUGUUUAUGUGGCACCUACAUGGCAUCUAUGUGGCACAUUUUAGAUAAUAGGUAAAAAUUCUACACUCCAACCAUUACUCCUUAGCAAAAAAAAUUAGAUAACUAAAAUUGGGAUAGCUACAUUUGUAAAACCUCUAAAGGUAUUAUGUAUAAUUUUAGAUAAUAUAAUUAUACAUAAUACCUUUAGAGGUUUUACAAAUGUAGCUAUCCCAAUUUUAGUUAUCUAAUUUUAAAUGAUCAUCUAUAUAUCAUAUUAUAGCUAACAAAUAUACAUAACACCCUUGGAGAUGCUCAUAUUGGAAAUUAUGAACCCAAAUUUCACCAUGUUAUAUCGAUAUUCAGCUCAUUUUAACUUCAAUUUAUGAUAUUUGAAGCCUUUUAACAUGUUGAUUCUGUUUUUACAGUAGUCAUUUUUCUCCCUCGCCAAAAUAGUUGUCACAUUUGAUUUUGUGUCAGUCAAAUUGACUAAAGUUUGACUGAAAUUCAUUAAUAUUUUAUCAAUUGACAAAAUAAAAAAAAUAUGUAAGCGGAAAUAAUUUUUAAACUACUUUAAGAUGUAAUUUUUGGUUUUUUAAAAUAAUAAAUGAUUGGCUUAUAUAAUAUUCAGUCAAAACUUAGUCAAUUUGACCAACUAAAUAGAAAUGUGACAACUAUUUUGGGACGGAGUGAGUAUGAUUUUCAUAUAUUUAUCAAAAUUUUCACUUUUUAAUUUAAUGAUUAAUAUUAAUAUUCUAUUAUACUUUUGAGAAUGAGCGGCCGAUUUAUCCAUAUUUGAUGUUUAUGAUUUCAUAUAGAUAAAGAUAAUUGAUCGGUGUUGAAUAAAUGACGGUAAGACAUGUGUAUGUGAAUGAGUGUUGCAUAUAACAAAAUAUUUUGGAUUGCAUAAAAAAAUAAUAAUUGGAUAAUGAAAAAUAAAAUUUCAAGAAGGUUAUCAUUCUGAAUGAAUAUCACGGUUAUAUAUUUUGAUAAUGUAUAAUAGUUUUCUUAAAAUAAAAAAAUAAUUUAUAUGCUAUAUCCAGAAAUCGAGAAUUAGACGUAAUCGGUUGAGCUACCAAUUCAAAUUAAUCAGAAUUCAGUGAUUAAUCGGAGUGAAAAUCAAAUAUAUUUCAAUAUUAAAAUAUUAUUUAAUAUUAUAUUAGUUAUUUAUUAACAAAUAUAUAUUAACUACAUCAUCAAUUUUACAAUUGUUCAUAAAUAAACCAAUAUAGUAUUUUAAUUUUAAUAUAUUAUUAUAUAUACUUUGAUCCAGAAAAAAUUAUAAAUAUUAAUCAAAUUUUAAAAGUCGAAUGGAUCAUUCACAUUGCAGCAGAUUAAUUGGGAAUUUUUUGGACACCGGCUAUAUCUAUUUUGACAAUGCAUACCAGAGUGGUAUCUUUGCCAUCUAUUUGGAAGUUGAUAUUUUUGUAAAGAAAAGUUAAAAAAGUGGUAUUUUUGGCUCUCAACCAAAACCAACUAAUAACUUCAAACAAAAUAAGAGAUGUUUUCUUUUAAUUAUUUAUUUUCUUUAUAUAAUUUCAUAUGAUAAAAAUUAAUAUCAUCAUUCGAAUAAAUAAUCUAUCAAAUAUUCAAAUCCUUAUUGCACCAAAAAUUUACCAUAUAAGAUCUAGGUGAUUUGAAGUAUUUUCUUGGUAUGGAAGUUCUUAGAGCUGAAGUUGCCAUUGAGUUAAAUGAGAGGUGUUGGAAGUUUGUCAUUUUGAGCACCAAUUUGAGUGAGGCUCGGCUACGUGCUCGUGGCGGGUUAUGCUUGGAUUAUGUUCUCCUCCGAGAGAGCUUUCCAAUGCAUGUUUAUUCACUCAAAACGACUAAGGAAUGGAUGAGUUAUGAUGAUCCAAAGUUGCUUCCUUGGUAGUGGAAAUUUGGAGAGAAAAACUUGAGUCCCACGUUGAUUCUAUAAAGAGCCUUUAAAGGCUUUAUAUAGUAGAACACUCUUGUAGUGUUUAACUUGUGUUAGUAUGUUAUGCUCCACCACCUACGUGCGCGCCGGGGGUGCAAAUUGUGGGAUUUCGAGGGGAGUUUCGUGGCUUCGCAAGCCUCGGGCUUUUCCGCGUGUGCGACCUGCGGACACGAAUGCAGCAAAAUCUGGGCGAUUUGAUUUCGGAUUUAAUUUAUAACCGUGUGAAUUAAUUAACGCGUUUUAAUUAAUUACAAAGCGUAGCGCACAAGUCUUGCAUUGCCUAUUUAUAUUCAUUAUAGUUUAGGGUUUGCAUUCACGAAAAUACACAGCCUCUCGCAUACAAAACCCUAGCCGCGUCGGUGAUAGUUCUCAGUCUUGUUCUGGUUCGUCGAAGGUGCAUAUUGCAUCGUUCAAUCCGUUUUAUCCUGGGAGGCGAUCGUUCAUCACACACGGUGAGGGCGAAAUACGCUUUAAGGAGACAAUUACGCACUGGACUCGGAUUUCUGUUCAUAUAUCCUUCGUUCUAUCCUGCCUCCUUACGUUUACUGUUUUCUCACGCACACACACAAACGCACGUAUUGAAUUGUUGGUUUUGCACAGAUUGUUUAACAAGAGGAAGUAUAGAUGCUCACUUGACUGAUUGUACACCAGCUGCUUUUUCCACUAUGAAAAGGCUUGCAUCUAAGAACGAAGGAUGUUUCAAAGUUGCCUGACCCAGAAGUGUAUAGAAGUUGCCUGAUAUUUCAUAUGAUCUUUAACAACUUCCUCAGUUUCUCCAUGCCAUGAACCAGCUAAGCCACAUUAUGAUGCUACUCUUCAUGUCUUAAAAUACUUGAAUAGUAUAUUGAGUGUUGGUCAGUCUUACAAAGCUAAUACAAGAAAGAACCAAACAUUUGAAGGUUGACUGUAAUUUUAUUCAAGAGUACGUUGAUUCUGAGUUUAUUCGAAUUUCACAUAUUAGUGCUUUCAUAUAAUGACAAAGCCAUUGGAUGAUGCUCAUCACGAGUUUCUUAGUAUCAAGCUCGGUCUUCAAUUUGAUCCUCCUUGAUGCUCAGCUUGAAAAGGGUACUGAGCUAUGUACAUAUAUUGUAAAUAGAUAUUGUAGAAGCGUCCAGCUAUACAUAAUUAGUUAGAAUUAGUUAUAUGAAUAUUCUGUUAGUGUUGUUAGUAUAUAUACUUGUAAAUGCAGCUCAUGGAGCAACAAGUCAAUUUUAACAGUUUCAUUCUGUUCAUUCUUUCUCUAACAAACUUGAAUCACACUGAUGGAGAUCAAAUAAGCUUUGUCUUAUCAUUUUCCCGCUCCCUUGAUGCGCUGAAAGUGCCAAGUGAUCAGAUUUCUCCUCUCCUAAAACAGUAUACAAUUGUUGAUUAAAAAAUAAGACAACUUUUAGGCAAUAGAGGAUGUUGAAGCUUUUUGCCUGAUCAACUCUUGAGAGGCAAGUACUCUGUCGUGGUGCUUAGUUCCUCUCUGUAUUUUUUAAAAUUUGUGGUUGUUGACACGAUGAAUCUGUAUACGACAUAGUGAUGAUUAUGCAAUAGGCCAAGUAAUUUUUUGAACUCAUCUGUACGACGAGAAUGCAUGGGAUUUGCCGUUGUUAAGGGGAACUGGGAUAUUAUUUGAAGAGCUAGGUGAUAGUAAAAAUAUUAAACAAACAUGAUAAAAGUCGGUCAAAAGAUUCAGAAGUGUGUGUCAAAAAGUCAAACUAUACAUUAGAAAAACGAGGAAGCAUUAGUUUGGCCAGAUGAAUACAUUGUGGGGUCAUUGGUCAAUGUUGCCUCUGACAGGAAGUGAACAAUGUUCCUCCUUGUGUCACAUUGUGUGAAUCUUGAUAAUGAGUUCAUUUCCAUAGAACCAAGGGGUAGAUACAAAUGUAGAGAAGGCAAGCACCAUAGAUGUGGUUUACAUGCAUUUUGUCCAGGUAAGGUGUUGCUUGUAAUCAUGCAUUGUUUACUUCACAGCAUUUUUUGCUUCCCCUAGAAUCCCUAGAUUUUCAUGGGACCAGAUCUACGCGGAAUAAGAAUCACCAACUAUGUGAUCUAGCGUUUACAACCAUACCAGCGAUUUGCAUUCUAGAGUUGAAAUGAGAUUUGGUUGAAGUACUUAGACUCUAUGUCAUAUUUUACAAGCGAUACAACUUAUUUUUUGUUAUUUCUCAAGACAUGUAGCACUCGCGACCAACCUCUAUGGUGUUAGGAUAUUGGGAUGAUUUCUUUUAAAAUCAUGGAAAGGAGUAAUUGUGCUACUCCCUUAGAAGCGAUUCCUAGAAAAAGGCGAAAUCGUAAUACAAACAGGAGGCUUAUUUGAGAAACAGAGAUCCAAAAUACUGAAUGAGGACAACACUGCAAGCACUCCCAACAUGUAAAGGUCUGAAAAAUUUAAAUUAACCGCAAACUUCUGCCAUGAGUUCAACUCAGCAGGAACAAACAAAUAGGACUUCUUCCAGAGAAAAUUUCUCAGAACAUGCUCAUAAUGACUCAAAAGAUUUGCGAGUUUGGCUGCUCUGAGUCAUGAAUGUGAUCUUUGAAAAUUGAAUCAGAAAACAAAGCACGAGAUGGGUGCAAUCUUUAUGGGAAUAACCAAGCUGUAACUUUACAUUUGGUUAUAGAAGUGGAGAAGCAAUGCUCCUUGCUUGAAAAUAAGAUAUACAACAUAAACUAGAGCUUAGAAGAUUGCAUAGAAAGAGAAAAAAGUAGAAGAAAUAUCAGCAAAAAUCAAAUGGUGGGUACUGGGUGGACUUGCAUGUAUUCGGAUCAUCUUGUAGGAUUGGAAACUGCCGAAGUGUGGAAGUGAUAUGAUAAAGGUAUGCGAAUAACGAGGUUGUAAAAGAUGUUUUUAUUGAUUAUAAGCAAAAAAGUUAUUUAUAAAUGAAUAACUUUUAAUUUAUGUGUUUGGAUAAUUUUUUAUAUUUAUAGGAUAUAAACUUUUACAAAAACAUUACAAAUGGGUUACUUCUGAAUUAUAAUAAACUGUAUAGUAGACUAUGCAUGUGAAUCUAAAAUGCACUUGUGAAGAGAUAAAAUCUCCAUUGUAAAGUCUGGAUUGGUUGUAAAGUUGAACAAUAUUAGUUUGGCCAGAAGGAACUCAUUUGAGCAAGAGGAGUUUGUUUGGGUGGACAGACAUAGAGGCCCUUCAUUCAGAAUUAUAGAAAUCUUUUUCAAACGAGAAAUCACUACUCCUUGAAAAUUAACUUAUCUAUUUGUCACUAAAGUAAUUCAGAAACAAAGUAAACAUCUACAAAUUAAACUUUUCUUAACAAAAAUAUAUAACUAUAUUAAACUGCAGGUUCAAAUUAGGAAUUUUUCUCUCCAGAAUCUGUCUUAUACACGAACAAACAUGGUGCCAAUAAGAAAUACAGAAAAUGACAGUUGAGUUCUGGUGCCUUUAAGGAAAAUAUCACAGCAUCAAUGUAUAAAAGAAUUAAUAAUGGAACUAGUACCAAAUUCCAUAAUGUAAGAUGAAAAUAAACACUACAGACUUAAUGAGAAAAACUGAUAUGAGAUUUAGAAGUGAUCAUGCGCCAAACUCAUCACUGACACAACUGAUGGACCAAAUUUCACUAGGAAAAUACCAAAAACAAGGUGUUGAAUGACCAUCCCAAACGACCGGAGUUCUUCCUAGGUGAUUUCCAUUCAGGUUAAAGAAAGAACAUGUGUUGAAAACUCCCAAGUGAAGAACACAGACACAGUUACCUGCUCCCCAACCAGUUGUAUCGACGAGAGCAGAACUGAACCAACUAAGAAAUAAAGAUUUUGCACCCAAGUCAUGAAUCUGUUUUGCUCUAUCCAUUGUCUCAUGGUCAAUUUCGAAUAAUGACAGAUGUCCGUCCAAUGCAGGAUAAGGACAACAAUUGAAUACAGUCAUGUAUAGCUUAUUGUCUGAUGCCACCAACUUCCAACACAUAUCAGAUGAAACCUGGAAAGGGAUGCUGAUUUUGGAGAAUUUUGGAACAGAACCUGCCUUCGGAUUAAAUUCUCCAAAACGUAAAUCUGAAGUCAAAACAAAGAUUUUGCCACCAAAAAUCUUCACAUCUGCAAUCCUGGCUUUUGUGUCGCAUAAAACAUAUCUCUGCCAACUGCUGCCACCACUUUUGGACAAUAAUAUAUAAUUUUCUGUCAGAGAGAAAAGAACCAUGAAAGUUUCUGAAAGCCGAGUGGACUGAAAUAGGAGAGCAGAAAAUUUAAAGCCGUUUAUGCCACCCAUAAGUCCAGAAAGGACGGGAAAACGCAGCUCAUGUUUUGUCAUUAAAUUUACGACCCAAAAGCCUAAGUUUCCGUCGGUUGUAAUCAGGUACCCGCAUGAGAAACCCAAUAAUUUCUUGCAAGGCAAAUCUGGCAGCAUUGUUUUGUAACGUUUCAUAUCGAACAUAUUGUACAAUACACAAGACUUUUUCGAACGCUUUGGCCGAACAACAACUAGGGGUUGCUGGCGCUCCAUACAGUAUUUGCGGAAAGCAAUAGAUGCUGACCUCCAAGAUUUACAAACACCGCUAAAUGACAGGUAGUCCACAAUACUUAACUUCACCAAAAUUGAAACCAGAAGUUCAGUAGGAAGAACGUCCCAUGCUCCCCAAACUGUGUCACCCGAUCUCCUGCAAGUCCUUUUCCGUUUUCUUCCUUGUUUUACUGUUCGUGGAGCUUUCCUGUUAACAAAUAGAGAAACGAAGAACUCACUACAAAGCUAGAUUGAGCAUGCCCAUUCAAAUGAAUUUUAUCUAGAAAGACUUAGUAGUUUGUUGAAAACGGAAUGCAUUACUUUUACAGAUGUUUCUCAAGGACAGAUUCAUCCUUUGCAAGAUUUAAAAGAACUUGACUUAACACAUAGAGGAGAAAUAAGAGUAGGAUUGUUCCUUUUGCCAGUACAGUAAAAAGUUCUGCAGCUAGACAUUAGAAGAUAAUAAAGCUUACUGCAAUAUCUAAUUCACUGAAGGUUCACAUAUUAAAAUGAAAAUCAGUGCAGAGUUUAUGUUAAGGCCACUAAAAUCUAAAAUUUCAAUCAGAACUGGACUAAGAGUGUGCAUACUCAACAUCUUUCUGAAAUGAGAACUUCAACGUUCCCCAGAAAGAAUGUAAUCUUCCUAAUGAACCAUAACUAGAUUUAUAAGGGGUAGUUUGCUCAACAUGUAAAUCUCCAGUAAUUUAAACUUCCUAGCAAAUUGUAAGAUUUUUUGGUUGACCGCUAUAUGGAAAGUGGAACUUCCUAGGAAAUUGGAAUUCCCACAUAAUGUAGAAACUUGCUUAUAUCACACCCCGGCACUGAAAUUCCUACACCACAACCAAACAUAUUUUUUAACUUCCCGGGAACUUAAUAAAGGAACUCGGAGGCCAGUUGGAAAAUUUGGAAUCAAGGUCCAACUGGCAUAUGAUACUUUUACGAUAGCAGUCUUGUUUAGGAGGGCACAACUAUAAACGUAAUGCAUACUUCAAGAGAAAGUCCAAUGGUGUGCUAUAUCUAGUAGUAGACAACUUAUUGUAUAAAAAAUGAGUGAGGUAUAUUCUAUGUUUUUAGUAGAAUCUCUUGGGGAAAAUCCAAUGGUGUGCUAUAUCUUGUUCUAAAAUAGAACAAUGCUAUAGUUUGUUCAAUAUUUAGAACAAAAGAUAGAUGGAGCUAUAAUUGCUAAAGUAUAAAAUGAUGAAAAAAUGUAUAAGAAAGUACUUUGAAAGUGCGGGGUCUUUGAAAGUUAGUCAUAUUUAUAUUCAAAAGUGGGAUGUAUUUGGAAGUUGUUUAAAUGUGAAACAAGAUUUGAAACCAACCAUUGGAGACAUGGUGCUAUUUUAGCACAAAAAAUCACAUUUUGAUGCUAAAUUAUAGCAAUAACUCCAUCUAUUUUAGCACAACCAAUUGACUUUAUUCACUUAAGAUUUAGCCAAGACUUUAUUCUCCCCCCUUUCAAGGGGUGCUUAUUCUUUAAUUGGUUGUAUAAAUGCACUUCUUGGGACUUGUAAUUUAGCCACACUUCUGAUUUUUACUACGUAAGGAUUUGAUGCCCCAAACCAGGAAAUCCAAAACUUCAAGACAAAAUUUAUGAUAUUUACAUAGAGCAAAUUCAGAACAUAGUUACCUAAAAUAGUCAAUUCUCAACCGCCCUGCAAAAAUAUCAACAAUCCGCCUCAGAACAUUAUUACAAAAUGCCUUUUCCAUUCCACCCAAGGAAGGCCUUUCAACCACUUCCAUCCUGCCUUCGUUGAAAAAAUGGGCUGAUUCUUUCAAGCUCUUGUUCUUCCUAAUAAGCACAGAAUACAUAAUGGUCAGACUGGAAAUAUCUUGGUUUUCCUUGUGCUUCUUUCAGACAUUUACUACUACUCUUUAAAAGUUUGUAGAAGGAAUUCAACUUAAAUGGAUAAGUACAAAGAAAAAAGGGAUAUCCACAGAAAAGAUUUUAUCGUCCACAACUUUUGACAGCAUGAAACCAGUUUUUUUUUUUUCAUUCUUCAUUUUCCNUCUUGGUUUUCCUUGUGCUUCUUUCAGACAUUUACUACUACUCUUUAAAAGUUUGUAGAAGGAAUUCAACUUAAAUGGAUAAGUACAAAGAAAAAAGGGAUAUCCACAGAAAAGAUUUUACCGUCCACAACUUUUGACAGCAUGAAACCAGUUUUUUUUUUUCAUUCUUCAUUUUCCUUUUCGUUAGCAUCAUAAACAUAAAUUUUAAGCAUACGAUAUCCAAUAAUUAAGUCACACAGAAAUCCAAAAUGUCAAAAAAGUGGUACUUCAAAGUACUUAGACCUCUUUCAGGUUGCUGUAACAAACAAAUUAAGUAGAGCAUAUACUGAUGAAUGGCUAACUUAUGUUACCUACCAAAAUCGCUUUACAACUUAAAUGGUGUUUUAUUGCUUCUUUACAUACACACACACACACACACACAUAUAUAUGUAUAUAUAUUUACAACAAAGAGGUGGACAUGCUCCGAAUGCUGUCUAGUUCCUUAGGUGUUAUGUUUGUGACUGUCUACAGAGUAUCACAGUGACUAACAUAACUAAAGCAACAAUCAACACUGUGACGUCUUUGGACCAACGGACUUCCUUACGAAAUAACAGGUCACAAAGCAUAUAAUCGGUUAUGCUAGUUGGAAGAAUAUUAUCUUGACUUGGGAAGCUAUUAGUAAGCCCAAAAUAAUUAUUUAAAUUACAUACUUGAAAGCUUGGCAUGUUUCAUUCGUAAAAACAACUGCAUUCACAAACAUUAUAAUUCUUAAUAGACAUGCGAUACAAUGACAUGUUAAGUAUGACUAGUGUAUUAAGGAUUAUGUUUUAUUUCACACUACCAUGAAAUAAAUUCGGGUUUACAUACCAGCAAAGUAACAGUCUAAUAGAGGGAAACACAGAGAAGAAGAAGAGGAGUUAACCAAAUUGAUUUUUAUCCUACACAGCAUAUUUUAUUUAUAAGCAUGUCACACUAAUUUGUUCCAGAACCUUCAGUAAAUAUGUGAGAUCAAUAUUAUGAUUGCCUUAAUAUUUACAAGUCUCAGAUCAUACACCGCUAUUUCCUUAAUUGAUUUCAUCAAGUCAAGAUAUAGUAUCAAAUUAAGCUAGAUAUCAUAAAAACAAGAUAAUAUUGAUAUGUAUUGGAUUUUAACAGUAGAUUAAAGGAAACAAUCAAGUAAAAUUGAUCAGAAAAUUAACAUUACCACACUAUCUGGCAUGUUUACAAACUUAUUCAAUAUACUUCUUACAUUACAUGAAUAAAAUUAAAGUAUUCGAAUUUUAUUUAUUAAAUCAUUCAAGAGAAGGCUCAGGAUUCUACAAUUUCGCUUUAUCAAUUCCUUCUUACCGGUCCUCGGAUUAGACUAAAUUAAGCUAACAUCUACUUGCGAAGUCCAGCAAAUCAAAAAUUAACAUUACGCUAGUAAACAAAAUCUACAAUCAUCUAAAGGGAAGAUUUACUUGUUGAAAAGAUAAUACGGGCACAAACUGAACAGAAACGGCAAUGGAACUCGCCAACUCACCGGAGAUUACCCUAGUCCGCCACAAAUCGCCUCCAGUAGUGCUCUCAAAAUUUCUUAAAUAAAAAAGAGAGACAUGGGUUUACAUAGCAUAAGAUAUAUGGUGAGAUGGACGGUCAGGAUAAGGUGUUGGGUUGGUGAGAUUGCAUCAUAUGGCGACACGUGUUAGUACGGAUGUACACCAUUAUGGAUCCUUUGAGGUGGGCCGGAUCGAGAUCACUACCCCUAAGGCCUAUUACAUGACCAAUGACCGGAUAACGGUGUGGGACUAAUAUAUUUAAAAAAAUACUAUGAUCCAUAUAUUUACUUAAUCGCAUAUUCACUUUUAUUUUUAUCGAAUGAGUUCAUAUAUGUGAGCAAGUUGUGACCAUAUUGUUGUUUCAACGGGAUCAAUGGGGUCAAAUCUAAUAAUUCUUUGUCCGUUUUUCACAAGGUUAAUGAUGCAUAAAUAUAAUUAGUGUGUAACACUAAAUACGUCUGUCACAACUUGCUCACAAAGAUGAACUCAUUCGAUAAAUACAAAAUUGAAUUCGGGAUUAAGCUAAUAAAUAGAUCAUAGUUUUUUUUCGAAAUUAUAUUAGUCCAUCAGCGUUAUCCGGUCAUUGGGCAAGUAAUAGGCCUUGGGGGUAAUGAUCUUGAUCCACCCCACCUUAAAUGAUCCAUAUUGGGGUAUAUCUAUACUAACAUGGGUCGUCAUAUGGUGAAAAUCUCACCAACCCAUCACCUUAUCCUGAUUGUCCACCUAAUCAUAUAUCUUAUCCUGUAUUAACCUAGGUCUCUUAUUUAUUUAAGAAAUUUUGAGAGCACUACAGGAGGGCGACUUCCCACGGACUAGGGUAAUUUCAGGUGAGUUGGCGCGUUCCAUUGCCAUUUUUUUUCAUUUUUUGUCCUGUACUAUCUGACUAUCGAAUCAACAAGUAAAUCUUCCCUUUAGAGGAUUGUAGAAUUUGUUUACUAGAGUGAUAUUAAUUUUUGUUUUGUUGGACAUCACAACUAAAUGUUAGUGUAAUUUAGUCUACUCCCAGGACGAGUAGGAAGGGAUUGAUAAAACGAAAUUAUAAGAAGCCUGGGCCUUCUCUUGAAUGAUUUAGAUAGCACCUAAGCAUUAUCCAAGUACAAUGCUUAUCUUUCCAAAGCAACAUUCAUUAGGUUUAAACAAUCGUUUGGAACCGGUCACAUUUACAAAUUAAAAGUGCCUUAAUGUGUCGCAAGGCUCGCCAAAUGUUCAACAUUGGGUCUGCCAGCGCUAGGUGAUCAAAACUACCGAUGGUACAAAGCAAAUAUGUCCAUCCAUGGCCAAAGCAUGCUGUAUUUAAUUUUGCACCCAAAGUUUUAAAUUUUCGUAUUAUUGUUCCUUAAAACCUUGUCUUUAUAUACUGAUCUUCUGUAUUGAUGACCUAUUUGUUAUCGUUAUCAAUGAAGUUGAAAACCAGAAAGUAACCGAUACACAAGACCACUCCCAACAUGGUAACAAAAUAUGAGUAUCGUGAAACAGCAGACUGGAUUUAACAAAUAAAACCACUACUAUAAACUAAUUACAAGAAAUGCACACACCUGGUUCCUUCUUCUAGACCAUGCCCCCAUUCUCUGUUCAAGAUUAUCGCCUCCUUGCAUAACAUUUGCUACGAGAGACCAAACUCUCGAAUAUUACAAGUGAAUGUAUUCCGUCUAAAUAAUUUACCAUAAACAACCACCGUACAUAAGCCUGUUAUCAAACACCAAACCAGACCAUAAAAGAUUCCAUCUAAAUUAGAUUCCACAGACAAUGUAUAUGAAUAACAAACUUGACUAAAAAGAUGAGCAGAAACAUAUAAGAUUGAAUGGGUUUAUACCAAAUACACAAGCCCUUUUCCCAUCUGAAAUUUUCUGCAGAAAAACAUCCCAAUCCAUUGAUUAAAAGAUUCCACACAAAUGGUCUCUCGUAAACUUAAGAAGAGAUGUAAUACUUGAACAAGGGGCUCUGUUGAGCUGCAGCCUGGCUGCGUCUGCUUAAAGUAGUCAUUUUCUUCCUUAAAAAUAAGCGAGGAACUAAAGAAAAAAUGAGAAAAUAUACUCCUUUCUGAUCCCGAUCAGUUAUACAGGAUUACAGGUGUACACGGAUUGUAAGAAAAUAUUUAAAAAUUAUUAAAAUUAGAUAGAAAGUGGGUGAAGUGGUGGACUCAAUUAUAUUUAAUUAGAGCAUCUUCCAUGGUGUUGAUUAAAUUGGACCUGUAAAAUAUUAGGUAAAAUUUGCUGAACCUGUAAGAUAUUUUGCUUCAAUGAUAUUAGUUAUAUUGGUCGGCUAUAAUUUAAAAAUAGUAUGUUAUUAAUAUUUUAAAUUGUUAAAACAGAAUAUAUCAGUUCAAUAUAGUAAUAAAUAAUGUGCAAUCUUUCUACAGAUUUUCUUAUAGACCUGUAGAGUUUCGACAAAUUUAGUCAUCCAUAGAAGGUUGGCUAAAAUUAUAGAUAACAGCUCAGUGUGAUUGGAGUAUGAGUUUUUAGAGAGGUUGGCUAAAUUUUUAUUUUAAACUGCCGCUUAAAGUAAAUAAGUAAUAGUGUUUUUAUUAUUAAAAAUUACUAUUUUUGAAAUUUAUAGAAAUGAUGGGACAUCCCAGAAAAAACGGUAUACAAAUGAACGAGACGGAGGGAGCUGUGGUUUUAGGGUUGAUGGUCCUUUUUGAGAAUGAGUGACAUGUAUUAGAGCUAGGGGUGAGCGCGGUGCUAAUCAGUGCGGUUUUAGGGUAAACCGCAACCGGAACCGCAAGUCUUUGGUUUUUAAAAUUGAAAACCGCAACAGCAACCGAACCGCUGGAUCGGUUUCGGUUUCAAAAAACCUCGGUUCGGUUUCAAAUAGUUCGGUUUCAGUUUUAACACCGCAACUAUAAAAAAUAAGAGAAAUGCAUCCAAUUUAAAAUAGUAGAUAACUUAUGUUGAUUCAAUAUAUACUUCAAAAUUAAUAAUAUACCACAUUAUUAUAUUAUUGGAUUUAAACAAAAUUAGAUUACAAAUGAACACUUAUAUAUUCUGUGGGGAUCAUGAUGGAAGUAGAUUAGCGACUCAACUGUAGUGAUACUACAAGAAAAUGCUCGGUGGAAGAACUUGUUCGGGUAAAACAAUUUUAACAAAACAACCUCCGCACAUUUCAACCCCACUUCCUAAUAACCUCCCUUGUUUCCAUUUUACUUUGUUCAUUACAUAUUAUAUAUAAAUAGUUAUAUAAAUUAUGUGUAAUAUACAUAUAUAUAUAGGGAUAGGAUCAAAUAAAAACUUUUUUAAGUUACAAACUUACAACUUUUUUUUUAUUCUUCCAUCGUGUUAAUCCUUAGUUAUAUAAAGUAUCCAUGUUGAAAAUUCUUCAAAAAACAUCACAAUUUUUAAAAAUAACGCAUAAAUAAAUCGCGUUUUCAACACAUUUAUAACUGGGGUUCAACAUCGGGUGUUGAACACUAAUUAUCAUUGUGUUGAAUAUAUCUAAAAAGAUGUUUAAACUAUACCUCUGGGGUUUGGGUAGGGUCUAGAAACAUAAAUAUUAGUUAUAUAACAUGUUUACCUUAGUUCUUACAUUUAAAAAUUGGUUUAUGUACUUCUCCACCACUAUUUUAAUAGAUGUUCAACAAAAUAUGUUAAAAAAAUGUUGAACUCAAGUUAUAGAUGUGUUGAACAAAAAAAGUUUGUAAGUUUGUAAGUUUGUACCAGAACCCUCCCCUAUAUAUAUAUAAUAUUUAUUUUAAUAAUCGGUUCGGUUCGGGUUUUUGCGGUUCGGUUUUGGCCUAAAACCGGAACCGCAACCGUUGUAAUCGGUUAGGUUUUUAAUUUUUCGGUUUCGGAUCGGUUCGGUUUUAGGCGGUUCGAUUUUUAUCGGUUUUCACCGAUUUCGGUUACGGUUUCGGUUUCUUGCUCACCGCUAAAUGGAGCUAUCAAAAAUCUGAUAUUCGAGAGAAAUAUAUGUGUUUGUAUUUCAGAUAAAGCGGAUAUUAAUAUUUUAAUAACAUAUAACUGCUUUCCUUAUACGACAAAAAUGUGAAUGAGUUAUACAGUAAUUAUGAUCUUUUCAUUAUUUUUAAAAAAUUAAUUAAUUACUUUAUCCUGUUAUGAUCUUUUAUCUUUUUCAAUUUCUUUGCUGGCUUUACCUUUUUCCUUGUACUCAAUUGCCUCACCUUUCUCAAUUUUUUGGUAUCAUGACACUAUACAAUAUAAAUUGACCUAAAUUUUAUAAGUUGCUAGCUAAAUCUUGAAUACGACACCAAUUUUUACAAAUUAGAUUUAAUGAUGGCAGAAAUCCCCACCAAUCAAAAUUUCCCACCUAUACAAAAAAUAGUUGUUGGGCACACGCUAAAAAGACCCAUUAAAAAAAAACCUAAAUUGGGCCAUAAAUUUGGGGUUUUUGAUUGAAUUUAGAGACCUUAAAUUUCGAAUUGGACCUAGUUUGUGAAAAUUUAUGUCAAAUGAGUGUUCUUAGUCAUUCAAAUUACAAUUUGACUACGUGAAUUUUAAAUUUGAAUAUCAUUAACAUUUUAAAAACUGCUUUGAUCCGUAUGAACAUUAAAAACCAUAGUUAAUGAUUAUAACACUGAUGGAAGGAAUUUGAUUAAAACACGGAAAAAUGAAAUGACCUAAAUAAAAUAAUCUUUAUUUCAAAGACGUAGAUGGCAAAACCUAAAUAAUUUAGGGACCUAGAAUUUAAUUUUUCCUAUAUUUUAGUCGCAAACAAUAUUUUGUUCAUAAAUAGUAUUUUAUGAAGCAUAGUAAAGCCUUUAGUGCCCGUAACGGCAUGAAAACCUUUUGAAAAGAAAUAAUUUUAUAAUCUAACUUUUUCAAGUAAUCCUCUAAUUUUCAGAUGUUCUUUUCUUGAACUUCAAUAUAUUGCUUUAUACUUUAUAGUACUAAAUCCACAGCGUACUUGAAACCACAGUAAGUGAUUGAUUAUAAAUACAUUAGAGUAAAAUUUUAUCUUUUUUUUUUGCAGAAAAUAAAAUUUGACCUUUCAAUAGUACAGACUAGGUCGGUGUAGUAAACAAAACACAGAAAAAUACUAAAAUCUCUAUAAUACACCCAAGGACAAAGGAUGAUGGAUGAUUUUACUAAAAUGUCAAACCUCUUGAAUACUAAAUUAAAAAACCAUAAAAGCUUGGCCUACAUACUACUAAAUUCACAUCACAAUAUAACUAUAUAGUCUGAGUGAAAGGAUUCAUGAAAGAAAACAAAUACUCUGAAUGUAAGAUGAAAGUAAAACAAAAGAUUUGGCCAGCGAAACAGAUGUCAGAAGUAGAAGUGAUCAAGUGCCAAAUUCAUCACCAACACGACUGAUGUCCCAGCUUUCACCAGGAAAAAACCAGAAAUAUAGUCUCAAAUAAUCAUCCAAAACAGCAGGAACCGUUGCUAUCCGUUGUCCAUCCAAGUGAAAGAAUGUACAUUUUCCGAGUGUAUUUUGAAGAACGCAUACACAGUUGCCCGCUCCCCAACCAGUUGUGUCAACCAGGGCAGAAUUAAAUACACUCAGGAACAAAGAUUUUGAACCCAAGUCAUGAAUCUGUUUUACAGAUUCCAUACUGUAGUCAAGUUCGUACAAGGAAAGAUAUAGGACCAACAUAGUCACACGUGGAUAAGGAUGUUGAGAUAUAACCAUGUAGAUCUUGUUGUCUGAAGUCACUAACUGCAAAAUCGAACGUGAUGGAAGUGGAAUAGGAAAGUUACAGUUGUAGAGCUUCAAAACAGGAUCUGCCCUCGGAUUAAAUUCUCCAAAAUGUGCAUCACAGGUUAGAACAAAUAUUUUGCCAUCCAAAAUCUUUACAUCAGCAAUCCCAGAACUGGUGUUUGGUAAAAGAUAUUCAUGCCAACUGCUAGAGCCACUUUCAGACAUCAGUAAAAAAUCAUGCUUCUCAGAGAAAAUAAUCAUGAAAAUUCUGGAAAGCCGAGUCGAUCGCAAGAGAACAGCACAAGCAGUGAAGUCAGAGAUGCUAUAGCUGCUCUCGGGCAGAACAGGAUAAUGCAGCUCAUGUCUUGUCAUUAAGUUCACAAGCCAAAACCCCAUGUUCUUGUCAUAUGUGAUCAAGUAACCACUUGAUAAACCCCAUAAGCUUUUGCGAGGCAUAUUCGGAAACAUUGACUUGCAACUUUUCCAGUCAAAAAUAUUAUAUAGCACACAAGCUUUUUUUGAAUAUCUUGGUCUUGCUAGAACUAGGGGUUGCAGAUGCUCCAUAAAACUUUUGCGAAUAUCGGUAGACACUGACCUCCAGGAUCUACACACACCACUGAAGGCAAGGUAGUCGAUAAUAUUCAAUUUCAUUAGAACUGAAAGGAGGAGUUCAUCAGGAAGACUAUCCCAUGCUCCGCAAACUCUGUCACUCGAUCUGCUGCAGAUCUCUUUUCGUUUUCUUUUUUGUUUUGUAGCUGGUGCAGAACUCCUUUACAGAAAUAGGGAAAUGCAGAACUCGUUACAAAGCGAAAUUGAACAUGCCCGUUCAUAUAUUUUUUUUAUCUUUGUAAAGUUCAGACUUUUCCUCUAUAGAAAAACAGAGUACUUUGUCAUUAAUGGAAUUCAUUACUUUUAAAGAUCUUCUUCAGGUUAGAGUCAUACAUUACAAGAUUUUUACGAAUAUAAGACAAAAAUUAGAGGAGAACCAAAAGUAGGAUUGUUUUGGUUUUACAAGUAGAUGCAAAAUCCUAAUCAUAGUUAACUAUAAAAUAGAUAACCGAAUUAAGUAAAAAGACAGUAUACAAUGUCCCAAACUUAUAACACACUAUCUGCGGUUCAAAAGUUCUGCAGCUUAUAAUAAGGAGAUAAUAAAGUGUGCUGGAAGCUAAUUCAAAUGCAAAGCACUGCAUACUGCAGAGACUUGUUGUUCAUAAGAUUUGAAUAGGCAACUAUUCAACACAGAAAGUAAAAGGUAAAGAACAUUAAAUCUAUGUGAGUUUUGACUUGGAGGAAAAUCCAUGUUUAGUAUAAUAUAUUUUUAACUUGGAAUUAAACCUUUUGUUUUCCAAAGGAAUGCUUAUGCUUUGCUUUGCUGCAUACAUGGACUUCUCGGGACAUUUAGCCUUGGUAUAAUAACAAUUAACACAGGUUCAGUGACUUCAGUCUCCCAAACUUGCGAUUGCUACUAAUGAAGAUUUGAUGCCUCAUAUCAAGGACUUAAAAACUUAAAGAUACAGAUCACAAGACUAAUAUAGAGCAGAUUUAAAGAAAUGUUACCAGUGUGUUAUCGAGAAUCCCGCAAAAUAUUUAACAAUCAGCAUCAUCACAUUCAUGCUAAAUGCCUUUUCCAUCCCACCAAGGUUAGGUCUCCAAUCCACUUCCAUCCCGCUGGGAUACUUCCAAAGCUCUUAAGCCUGACUGGAAAUAACUUGAGGCUCCCUAGUGCUGCUUUUAGACAAGUACUGUUCCUGUUAACAGUUUGUAGAAAUAUUUCAAGUAAAAUUAAAGGAUAGUUUUAAGGAAACGAAGUCUAGAACAUCUGCUAAAAGAUUUAAAAUAAAUCGCAACUGCUAUAAUAUUUUUUGAUCUUCCAGAUAAAUCAACUAAUCCCAUAUUUUGACAGCAUGGAAACAAUUUUUUUGCCUACCCUACUUACUUUCACUAGCAUCACAAACAUAAAAUUAACAUAAAUUUUUUAACUAAUCAAGCCUAAAUCCCUGCCCGAACUCGACUCGUUUAAUUUCACGAGUCGAGCCGAGCCGGCUCAUUUAGCUAAACGAGUNNNNNNNNNNNNNNNNNCUAAACGAGCCGGCUUUAGCGAGUCGGGCGAGCGGCUCGUUUAAUUUUACACUUAAUCGAGCCUAAACCUUUAACCGAGCUCGACUCGUUUAACUAAACGAGCCGAGUCGAAUCUAGUUAAACGAGUUCGAGCCGGGCGAGCUCGGAGGCCGCGCGACUCGAAUUACAGUUCUAGUUAUAUUUAACAAUCAGCAAUAAACACUGUGAAGUUGUUGGGUAAAGCAAACCAUAGAGACUUGACAAUUGUAGAAAAACACAAACAGAAAAUAUAAAAUCAAGGCAGUGUAAGGGAAACACUGAAGCAAAUUGAUUAGAAGAUCAGUAACAAUAAUAUAGAAGUACCAAAUUAACUAGCAGGCUUGCAAACAUAAUUAUUAAUCUUAUGAGUUAAGACAAUACACAAACUGUUAUUACAUAUUACUCCCUCUGUCCCACUCAUUUCUUUACGGUUUUUUUUACACUGCUCGACACGCAUUUUAAGGCGCAUACAAAACAUAAUUUUAUAAUUUUUUUUUAAAAAAGUCUUUUUUGUAUAAAAGUUUAAACAUCAAAUUUUUAUUCAUAAAAGAUAAAAGUUCAAAAUAAUUUAUCAAACUACAUUUUACGAUAGCUUAGAAUGCGUGCCAAGCCCCCGUCCCCAAUGUAAACAAAUGAGUGGGACGGAGGGAGUAAUUGUUAAAUCAAGAUGAUGACCAUAUGAUUUUCGAUUACGAAUUCCUUCCUACGGUUUUCCGAAUGAACAAAUUAAAUUGGCAUCUGGUUGUCAUAUCUAGCGAAAUAAGUAAUAUAUAACUCAAUUAAAAAAAAUGCUACAUUCCUUAUAGAGAAAAAAAUUACCUGUUGGAGAUCUGAGAGUGACUGAACUCACCGAAACAACUAGUAGUGUCGAUCUUGUUCACCACAAAUGACCCAGCGGAGGCCCCUGUAAAAUUUAUGUAAAGAGAAUGGACUGUAGCCCGUAGGAAAGCAAUAUGUAAAAUAUAUAGAGGGGUGGAGGUGACGGGUUGAGAUCGUAUCAUAUGAUGACACAUGUCCGUCCAACUUUGCCCUGAUAUUAAUCUUUCAAUGUGGGCUUGAUUGGCAUCACAAUGUUUGAGGCCUCUGGAUAAUGCUUAUGGACUCAUGGAUCUUUUACGAAGCCUAUGAUCUGUAAAUUAACAUAAUUACAGAUCCACUUUUGGAAAUUCAUUUACUGAGCUUAUUUAUGAGUGUAAUUGACUUGUGUCGUCACCCGGACCAACUAUAUUGAGGAAAUAGCCAGAUAUUGAGGUAAUGGACCAAAAAUAUUCGAUUGAAACAUCAAAUUCGAUGAAAAAUCAUUUUGUGUGAAUAUACUCCACAAAAACUAAUGUGUAUUUUUUCUAAUUCAUAAUCCUACUUGUUUAUAUAUGUGAUCCGUUGUAAUUUAGAUAUACAGCGGAAUUUUAAUAUCACUAUUUUCUUUAAUAAACUCAUUGCAUUUUGUUAUUUGUUAGCGUAACAAUGAUCUUUUAAUAUAUGACCGUGCCUAGAGCUAGGUUUUUGUUUUAGACGUUAAUAUGUUGUAUAUUACGAGAUAUGUGAUAAGUGAUAACGGUUAAGUGGUGUGGUUCCAUGGCGUAUGCGGUGGUGAUAUUAUUGACUAAAAUUUAGGCAUGAUUAUGUUUUCAAUUUUAUAAAAUUGUAUUUAAUUUUUCGUUUCUUUUAAUUGUCUACAUUUAAAUUGAUAAAUUAGUUCGAUUGUAGUAAAGGCAAAUUGUAUAAUAUGAUAUGUUCUUAGAUAGUGAUUGACUCAUUAAUUAUUAAUAUUUUGAAUUUUAAAAUUUUCCUUCUUUUUUAGUAAUUGUUAUAUUAUAUAUUAAUAGAUGUCUUGUUUAGAAUUUCAAGGAUUUGGUAUAAAUUCUUUAGUUUUUUUCAAUUAGAAUUUCUUCUUUAUUACAUUGAUGUUAUCACUUUUUGUAUAAGUGGAAAUAAUUUGAAGUUAUUUAAAAAUGUCAUAAAUCUCUUUUAAUUAGUUUGAAUGUUAAUCGUGGCUUUGAUUGAUGGCUAUUUUAGUACCAUUUAUGGGUGGCUAUGAUUGAUGGCGUAUGUUUUCACUUUUAAAAGGCAAUUAAGUGCCAUUUGUUGGCUUAUUCGAUGUUUUUUAAAUUAAAUUUUCUAUAUAUUAUCAUAUUUCCUUUGGUGUCUAACCAAAGAUCUUGCUCUGUUAGACUUUAUUUUAUUUUCUUUCUCUUUAUAAAUGAUAUACACACACGCUUUUAAUAUUUAAUAUUUAUUUAUUAUUGGAUAUAAUAUCCUUAAUUAUUUUAUAAUGUGCGUAUAUAUAUAUAUUUAUAUAUCGACUUUUAUUUUACUUCUUUCGUUCAUUCAUUUUUUAGGAUGCUUGGAAAAAGAUGGAUCUUUUCUUUUCGGACAUUAAAGCUUUAUUGUCUAAAUGUCCCCGGUCAUCUUGCAUGUCCGAUGGUUAGAUGAUAACUUCUUGAAUGAACGGUCAUGUAACACCCCCAUCUUAAAUUAAAACGAGAGGUUACAUACAAAUCCAAAAUCUGCAAACAGAGUACUAAUAAUUUCUUGAAUGAUUCAAAUCCUCGAAACACUAAUGGUCCAUUCGUCUUCGUCCCCGUAACUGAGGGUAGCUCUCGAUCCCACAGUCCCGAAGCCCCCUAAGUUCCUGCCAGAAGAAGAAUACGGCAUGAGCCAAAUGCCCGGUACGGAUUGGAAGCAUUUACAAAACAAGAAAUAUUUAAAAAUAUUUUGACCAUCAUAUAAAACAAUAAUUUUUAAAAUAAAUAGGCUGAUGCAACGAGGGUUAGGAUAUUUCAUACCGAGAUCAAAACAUAUACAAAUACACACAUCAUAGGGUACCUAAUGCGUGCAACAAACCGGAUAACGUGUACGGCAUAUACUACGUCACCGUCAAAUCACAAAUCACAUCAACUGAACUGGAUGCAUCCACGUAUCCUGAACAAAUAAUCAAAAUGGCCAAAGCUCCUCCCAAGAGCUAACAGAAGGAUACGCCGUGACCAAUCCCACUGUCACGGAAGUGUCAUGUCAAUGGUGCCGCAAAGACAUGGCUGUAGUACCCCCACAGCUGGGAAACUCGAUAUACCCUAUAUCUCUCUAAGGGUUCAAACAAAACAACUUUCACAACUUUAGAAUCACAUGGUACAUAUAUUUCGAAUAAACUGAACAAAUCAUAUUUUGUAAAUUCUUUGAAAACCGCAUCAAAAAUAUUUCAAUCUUUUAAAACAGAUUUUUAAAAUAUUUUUCGGAAAUCAAAACAGUCAAUGAAUAGCACAAAAGAAACUUAGCAAGUCGGACGGAUUAAAAUAGGACAGGUCAAAUUUAUUUAAUACCGAAAGGAGUAGCGCUGAAUAAAAGGAAUAGAAUCCGUACGAAUCAAAAAUAGUUUAUUUCCAUGAGGAAUAGCCGAGUAAAAUUCGAACAGAAGUAAAACAGAUUCUUUUAAAAGAUUUUGAAAUAAAUUGUGAGAUAAUUUUCAGAAAUCAAAUCAGUCAAAUAAAUAUUCGCGGAAGGAACAGAGUAAAGAUGAAACGAAUAUAACAAGUUGUAACAUGAAUAUUGCUGAAUUAAACAAGGACGAAUCUGUACAAACACACCGAACAGAAAGGAUCAAAACAGAGUAAUCAAAUUUACCUAACACUAAUAGAAGUAGUGCUGAAUAAAAGAGAACGAAAUCCGUACCUCGAAAAUAGCAAACUCAAAGACUAACGAACCUCGCAAGGGACCAACUAAACUCCCGAACCCCGACUUUAACUUAAACUCCAAUUAUCUCCAUGAUUGCAAUCUGCCCAGACCAAUAAUAUACUGUUUUGACCCUCUAAACGAUGUUUGACUAGAUUGAAGUUGGAAACAACUUGUAGCUUCUGUAACACCCCCAUCUUAAAUUAAGACGAGAGGUUACCUACAAAUCCAAAAUCUGCAAACAGAGUACUAAUAUGUUCCAAACUUGAGUAAAUAGAAUCACUAACCAUAAAUUCUUAAUAACACUAAAAGUCCAUCAUCCUAGUUCAAUUUUAAAUCCUAAUUAUAAUCCAAUUUUAAUCCCCUUUUUAUUAAUACUAAUCUAUUAAUGUUAUUCUAAAAAUUACUGGAUAUUACAUUCUACCCUCCUUAAAAAGAAUUUGGUCCCCAAAUUCUCUCAAAUCUACUCUCCAAACCCACUUAAAUCAAGACAUAUAACUAAUUAAUUAAAACUACGUAUAUUUUAUGAUAUUCAGAGCAGGCUCUCGAAAGCUUGAUUCGUCAAGUUGCCGGAGGUGGGGACACGAAGGCUGGUGGUAUUAUCCCGCAAUGGACAGAGAUCCGGAGGCGGGGACACGAAGCCAGCUGGUAUUAUCCCACAAUGGCUAGAGAGGUUCGAUCUGGGCCUAUGGGCUAUCCGUUUCGGCCUGACGAGGACGUCAGGAAUUUAAGUGGGGGAGUUUGUAACACCCCAGUCCCACAUCGAGGAGUGUGGAGACUUUAGUUCAGUUUAUAAGCAUAAGUACUACUACUAAUUGCACCAACAAAUCAUGAUCUUUUGGGGGCCUGUGGUGGGCUUGUGGAUUACCCAAGUUGUUGCAAUUGGGCCAGUAUAUUUGGGCUUAUUUUCGGAUUCGAAAUUUGGGACUUGACCCGAUUUUCGAAAAAGACUCGGGAUUUGACCCGGGUUCCCCAUCUUAAAUUAAGACGAGAGGUUACAUACAAAUCCAAAAUCUGCAAACAGAGUACUAAUAAUUUCUUGAAUGAUUUAAAUCCUCGAAACACUAAUGGUCCAUACGUCUUAGUCACUGUAACUGAGGGUAGCUCUCGAUCACACAGUCCCGAAUCCCCCUAAGUACCUGCCAGAAGAAGAAUACGGCAUGAGCCAAAUGCCCAGUACGGAUUGGAAGCAUUUACAAAACAAGAAACAUUUAAAAAUAUUUUGACCAUCUUAUAAAACAAUAAUUUUUAAAAUAAAUAGGCUGAUGCAACGAGGGUUAGGAUAUUUCAUACCGAGAUCAAAACAUAUACAAAUACACACAUCAUAGGGUACCUAAUGCGUGCAACAAACCGGAUAACGUGUACGGCAUAUACUACGUCACCGUCAAAUCACAAAUCAUAUCAACUGAACUGGAUGCAUCCACGUAUCCUGAACAAAUAAUCAAAAUGGCCAAAGCUCCUCCCAAGAGCUAACAGAAGGAUACGCCGUGACCAAUCACACUGUCACGGAAGUGUCAUGCCAAUGGUGCCGCAAAGACAUGGCUGUAGUACCCCUACAGCUGGGUAACUCGGUAUACCCUAUAUCUCUAAGGGUUCACAUAAAUAAAAUAGUUUUCACAAUUUAAAAAUCAUUCGAUACAGAUAUUUCAAAUAAGCCGAACAAAUCAUAAUUUGUAUAAUCUUUGAAAAUCGGAGGACAAAUAUUUGAAUAUCUCAAAACAGAUUUUAAAAUAAUUUUUGGAAGUCAUGAAAAGAGUCCAAAACAGUUUAGCACGAAUAGCGAUGAAUAAAAAGGACAAAAUCCGUACGAAUCAAAAAUAGUUUAUUUCCAAGAGGAAUAGCUGAAUUAAGUCGGAACGGAAGUAAAACAGAUUCUUUUAUAAUUUGGAAUACAACUGAAAAAAAAAUUUUGAAAUAGAUUGUGAGAUAAUUUUCAGAAAUCAAAUCAGUCAAACAAAAAUUCGCGGAAGGAACAGAGUAAAGAUGAAACGAAUAUAACAAGUUGUAACAUGAAUAUCGCUGAAUUAAACAGGGUCGAAUCCGUACAAACACACCGAACAGAAAGGAUCAAAACAGAGUAAUCAAAUUUACCUAACACUAAUAGAAGUAGUGCUGAAUAAAAGAGAACGAAAUCCGUACCUCGAAAAUAGCAAACUCAAAGACUAACGAACCUCGCAAGGGACCAACUAAACUCCCGAACCCCGACUUUAACUUAAACUCCAAUUAUCUCCAUGAUUGCAAUCUGCCCAGACCAAUAAUAUACUGUUUUGACCCUCUAAACGAUGUUCUCUGGAAAAACUCAAAACACGAAAGUCGUAGAGAACGAAAAGACCUUUCUGAAAAGGUAAGGCUCAUCGAAAUCGGAGUUAUAACGAAUUGGGAAUUAAAUAAAACGUCCGCUGAUUCAGAACUCAAAGAAUAAGCAGGAUCUGAUUAAGUUUUGUAAUUUUGAGAACAGUUCGAACAUAAUCUGAGAAAACAUUGUGAACGAAAGUUGUAGGAGAUUGAAAGAGCUUUCCGAAACAUCAAGAAUCGUCGAAAUCCGAUAAGAAUUGAAUUUACUACGAAAUUUACAAGACAGCUGAUUUAUGAGAAUAAAGUCCUGCGAAUUUUUGUAAUAAAAACGAAUAGAAGGUUGGGUGGCUCUCAAAAGUGUAUAUAAAAGAAUGGAGGAAUACAAUCAAUAUAUAGAGUCUUGAAACCCUAAUCGUAAACCUAUCCAUUAUCCGAAUACAAGUCUGAUCCAUAUUCUAACUCAAUCAACCUAGUUCAAUUUUAAAUCCUAAUUAUAAUCCAAUUUUCAUCCCCUUUUUAUUAAUACUAAUCUAUUAAUGUUAUUCUAAAAAUUACAGGAUAUUACAGGUCAAGAUGAUGCUCAAUCAUUUCCCUUAGAGAUUCAUUCUCACUCCAAAAAAUAGUAGGGACUUACAUACCACAUGUUGAUUGUCACUAUUUAUCAUACAUAUAAGCUGAUUUUCAUCUUUACUACAACUACACGAUUUCCGUCAUCUUGCAUUAUUUUUGCCAAGGCACAUGCUAGUAAAGGGUGGUGACAAGAAGAAAAUCAAAAUAUAAGAGAGAAGAAGGCACUAAGUUUAUGUCGAUAUGCAACAAAGUAUAAACUAUUCUCCUUCUGCAAUAAAGCAAAAAAUAGAGUAUUGAUUAUUUGAAAAGUCAUACACGCUAAAUAGUUAAAAAGCAAUAUAAAAUAUUAAGAAGGUUUCAUACCUCUCUCUGUACAUUGACCGCCCUUAAAUUGUCAUCUGCCACUAUACUAAUUUUCGCAAUGGUAAGAUUUCAUGGAGAAAUUCAAGGGGAUCGCCAAAUAGCCCUAGAACACGCAACUCAGCCGUAACCCUAUCAUUGACCAUAAAAUUUACAUAAAAAACUCAUAUAAAAUUGAAUUAGCAGUGAUAGAUUUGUAGUCGUUGGGAGUUACUAGUGCUUUGUUGAGGAUUUGUAGAGGUUGAUUGAGGCGACUAGGUGUUUCAGAGUUUGUUUUUAACUAAAAGUCUAGAAUGUAUAAUGUGCUUGGCUUUAAAAUAAGCCAUAAAAAAUAAAACAUUGACUGACCUUUUAAAUUAUGUCCAGAUCUAGAAAAACACCCAUUUACGCAAAGCGCCUUUUUAUCGCUUUUUUUGUGCUUCAACAUUAAGCACACAAAAAGGAGGGCUUUUGUAUAUGCUCUACUCUUUAGAAAAGAAAAGCCCAAUAGGCGCGCUUCGCUUCAUGCUGAAGCGGCACUAUAUGCUCUGCUCUUUAGAAAAGAAAAGCCCAAUAGGCGCGCUUCGCUUCAUGCUGAAGCGGCACUUAAAGCACGCUUUCGAUAAGCAUCACAGUUUCCACUCCAAGCAUUUAAAGACUGUAAGAUUGUAGAAGAAUAUAUAUGUUUGAGAGGCACACUCAAUGCUUGCAUAUUAAGACUGUAAUUUCAACAAGAGAUCACUACUUUUACAUCAUGCUUAAACUAUGGCCCAAUCCCAAUAACACAUUUACUUUUGGUUCACACUACGCCAUAUAUGGCCUUCAACAACAUCAAAAAAAUGAUGCAAUAACCCCCAAAUAUGUUGCCAUAGCCCGAAAAUUGGCUAUUGCAACAUAAAAUUUAAGUUGCUUUUUUCGAUGUUGCCCUAGGCUUCUAUUGCAACAUAAUGGUUACCUACUGCAACACGGGCUUUUCUGUCACAAUAGACCGCUAUUGCAACAUCUGACUACCUUAUAGGAACAAAUAUUUUAUGUUACGUUAGACCUNNNNNNNNNNNNNNNNNNNNNNNNNNNNNNNNNNNNNNNNNNNNNNNNNNNNNNNNNNNNNNNNNNNNNNNNNNNNNNNNNNNNNNNNNNNNNNNNNNNNNNNNNNNNNNNNNNNNNNNNNNNNNNNAACAACGUUGUCAAUGUAAAAGUCAAUAAAAUUAUUGAGCCCUUGACCCACUGCAGAGAGGUCAGCAUCAUUUGACAACAACUUCCAACCCCAUGGCUUGCCCUCGUAAACGUAGACACCUCCAAUCUCUGAAUAUUUCAGGUCGUCCUUGAUAUACUCCAUCAACACAGUAUACGAAAACCUAUCACACUCGACAUCCCCUAUGACGGUUUCUUCCCCACCAGCAUAUGCUGUACUCAAAAACUCUCCCUGGUGAUGGAAUCUGAGGUUUACGUAUUCUUCCAUCCUGCAAGAAAUGGACAGAGUUCCAUUAGAAGCACGAAAAGCAAUAAUAAUGCAAUAAUAAAGCAUAAAUAAUGCAAUAAUAAAUUUAGAAAUGCUAGCAAUAAUAAAGCAAUAAUAAAGCAUAAAAUCGGAAAAUAACAAUUAAAUUGCACCUACAAAUUAAGUAAUAGCAAAAGCAACUACUUAGAUUAUCAAAUUGCAUUCAAAAUACAAAACUAAAUCACUAGCAUUCAAAAUACAGAACUCAAUCACUAGCAUAUUCAAAAUACAGAACUCAUUACAUGAGACAAGUGGCAAUUACUAAACAAUUAAAAUUAUUUUCUUAAUUAAAUACACCAAUACUAGAGUGGGACUUGUCUUGGUGGCACAUCAUCUCUACACCAACUAGCAUCAUUGAAUUCAUGUUCUAUUUCAGCAAGACUGAUUUCUUUAUGUAAAUUUGUAUCAUCUUUAUCAUCAUCUGCAAUUUCAGAUUCGACAUCGCACCAAUCCCGUGGCAUUUUCCUGAUAACGUUGUACAACAUUUUUUCAGUAGGAUCUUCUACGUAGAACACUUGCUGAACUUGUGAUGCCACGACAUAUGGAUCAGAUUUAUGCCAUAAUUUGUUGAAAUUAACUCGAGUCAGCCCAUACAAGUCCUUUUCUUCUUGGUACCAGCAACACUUGAAUAAUACCACUGAAUAAACUCCCCAAUAAUCGACUUCAAGAAUCUCUUCAAUUGCCCCAUAGUAAUUGACAUUGCCGACCACUGGGUUCUGAUCUUUUGAACUAGCAAAACUCGUAGUCAAAGCAGUUAGAAAUACUCCACUAUUUUGUGUUGUGCAUUUAGCAUCUCGGAACUUUGUAUGAAAUCUGUAUCCGUUUAUCACAUAUCCACUAUACUUCUUAGCUACUCGAUUAGGGCCCAUUGCUAGCACUUCCAAGUCUUCUGAAACAUUAGACUGUUUGCCAACGUGUUCCUUCAGCCACUUCCAAAAAUCCUCAGAAUGUUCUCUCUCUCUCUUGUAUUUUUUCGACUUUACAUGACCAUCAACCGAUGAUCCAUCAAUUAAAGACCGAUGCAACCUAUAAAAAUUACCUAGUUAAUUUAGUAAAAAGAAAUGUGCUAGAAUUAUAAUAAUGGACUGAACCUAGUAAACAUAAUCUUACUCAAUCAGACUCUCAAUUUCAGUGUUCCCGCAAUUGAACAGAACGUAUCGAUGAAUUGCCAUCCAUUCUGAUUCGUCUAGUUCAAUAGCUUUUCCAUCUUUGUUCUUUCUUGUACCUAAAGGAUAUUCAGUCUUUUGUGGACAACUUUCAAACUUGGCAGGCUUUGUAAUUUUUGAUACUGAUCCCUCAGCACCUAAGAAUCUUGAACAAAAUAUUAAGCCUUCUUCAGCCAAGUAACCCUCAGCGAUGGACCCUUCAGGUCUGCAUCUAUUUCGCGCAUAAGACUUGAGUUUGUUUAAAUAGCGCUCAAUUGACCACAUGGAUCGAAGGUGAGCCGGUCCACCAUAUUUAAUUUCUCUGCAUAAGUGGAUUAGUAAGUGGACCAUUAUGUCGAAGAAAGCUUGCACAAAAACCGUCUCAAAUUGACAUAGAAUUUCAAUGAUCUCUUCUUGCAGCCUCUUUAGAUCAUCUAUGUUGAUAACUUUGCUCCAAAUCCCUCUUAAAAAUGCCCCCAGUCUGAUAAGAGGGAUGGCAGCAGCAGGUUUUAAAGUUUUUUUCACUGCAAAUUGUAACAAAUAAUGCAGGACAAAAUGAGCAUCAUGGCUCUUGUAGCCUGACACCUUUCUCUCCUUCAGGUUCACAUACCUACUAAUAUUGGAUGCACUUCCAUAGGGCAAUUUAGUCUUUUUUAACACUGAGCAAAAUAUUUCUUUUUCAGUUUUUGUCAUGUCGAAUAUGGCAGCCCGUAUUUCAAGGUGUUUCCCGUCAGGGGAAGGAAUGGGAUGAAGGACUUUCCUGAUGCCAAGCUCUUGCAUAUCUAGACGAGCCUUCAGGUGGUCCUUUGACUUUCCAGCAAUGUUAAGCAAAGUUCCUAUUAUGUUAUCACAAACGUUCUUCUCGAUGUGCAUGACAUCGAGGUUGUGUCGACAUAAAUUGUCCUUCCAAUACGGCAAAUUGAAGAAAAUUGAUUUCUUUUUGAAAGGAGAUUUUGAUUUCACAGUUUCUUUCCGCUUUCUUUUUUCUCCUCUCUUGGGUUUAUUCUUCACUCCAAACUGAUUUACAAAGCCAAACAGCAAUUCUUCUAUGUCUGUUCCGGACAAAGUCUCAGGACAGCCUCGCAUUUCAGUUUGGCCAUUGAACUUCCUUUUAUCAAGCCUCCAAGGAUGUUCAGGAUUGAGAAAUCUCCUAUGAUCCAUGUAACACAAUUUUCUACUAUGUUUUAGAUACAUGGAGGAAGUCUCGUAAUUGCAGACGGGACAAGCUAAUUUCCCCUUCGUGCUCCAACCAGAUAACAUUGCUAGGCCGGGGAAAUCGCUUAUUGUCCACAUCACACUUGCACGUAAGGUGAAAUUCUGGUCAGUAAGCGCAUCAUAAGUUUGAAUGCCUGCAUCCCAUAGCUCCUUCAAUUCAGCUAUUAGGGGCUGCAUAAAAACAUCGAUGCUAUUUCCAGGGGACUGUGGACCAGAUAUAAGAGUUGAAAGAAUGAGAUUUUCUUGCUUCAUACACAACCAAGGCGGAAGGUUAUAGUUCACCAAAAUGAUUGGCCAGGUAGUAUGAGUAGUAUUCAUUGUGCGGAAAGGAUUGAAACCAUCCGCAGCGAGGCCUAACCUAAUGUUUCUAUGUUCUGACGAGAAGUGAGGAUAUUUAACAUCCAUCAGUUUCCAAGCCUCCGCAUCGGCUGGAUGGCGAAGUUUACCAUCUCUUUUCCGACCUUUAGCAUGCCAUAGAAUUAGUUUUGAAAACUCUUUGGACAUAAACAUCCGCUGCAACCUAGGUUUAAGUGGAAAAUACCGCAUCACAUUAGCCGGGACCUUGUGAAUCGACAUCUUCGGAUUAUUGUCGACCCCGACACCUUUCUUUUCCACUACAGUCCACCUUGAAGCACCACAAUUUUUGCAUGCUUCUUCCUUUUCAUUUUCAGCCCAAAAUAGCAUGCAAUUAUUGGGACACGCAUGUAUCUUUUGAUAAUCGAGCCCUAAAUCUUUAAUUGUGUUCUUCGCGGCUUUAAAAGACAAAGGAAUAUUUGCUUCGGGAAAGGCAUCUUUGAUCAGUUCUAAUAUAUCACUAAGUCCUGCCUCUGAAAUUCCGUGUAAACACUUUAACGAAUACAUCUUAAUAGUAAAACUUAAUCGCGAAAAGUUUUUACAUCCCGGAUAUAGAGGCUGCUUUCCCUCUUCUAGAUGGCGAUAAAAGUUUUUUGCAUCGACAUUUGGCUCGUUAGUACGACGCAACAUCUCAUCUAAAUUAUCCCCAAAGUCUGUGAUAUAUGGAUCAUCCAUAUAUUCAGUCCCCUCUUCAAUAUUUUGUCUACGCUUUCCGGUUGAAACCUCAAGGAUCCAGUUGAGGUAUAAUGGACAAGGACCAUUGCAGAUGAGAUGAUCAUAGAUAAGAUCGUGACUCUGCCACUUGAUGUUCUUGCACUUUUUGCAAGGGCAGGUCAUCUCAUCACCAACAGCAAAUUUGGGGAAGGCAUUUAGCAGAAAUGCCUUUACACCCGUAAUGUACUGUUCACUAUAUUUGGGGAGAUCGGUCCAAGUUUCCUCAGCAUCCAUCACUACAGGUUAUUAACUUAUAAUAUUAGCAGUUUAUCCAAUUAUUGACUUUAUUAAUUAAAAGAAUAAUUAGUUAGUAAUACAUGUUCCUAAUUUCUACUUAGAUAUAGUCUGAAAUUAAGUUUAAAUAGAUUAACAAUAUAUUAUUUUAUGAUGAUUAAAUGUACUUACGCACAUCUCACCAUUCCUAGAUUCCUACAAUAUAUAAUGUCAAUCCAGAGGUAUACGGGUUAUAGAGUACAAAACUACCCAAUGCAUUGAACCAUUAAUAAAUCGACGGCAGUGCACAAUCGUUUCUAAGCUAGCUAACUUAAUUCUCUUAUACUGCUAACACAGUAAGCAUUUAUCAAGUAAGCAUAUAUUCAUAUCAUUUAGGUUACACUCCACAAGAUACAUAACAUAAGAAAAUCAGGGAAUCUAAGCACAUAAUUAUAGUCUAACUAACACAGUUAACUACAUGGCAAACAUCAAUUCUAUAUACACAGAAGAACAUCCAUGGAUAUAAAGCACAGAGCAAGACAAGCUUAAGAAAAAAAGAACAUCCAAAGUCUAAAUAUUAUUAUAUCAGGAAUACUAUCUUAAUUUAUUAUAUGCUAUUCUUAAUUUAACAGUAACUAUACUUAAUUACUUAAUUCCAUACAAAUCUUAAAUCGUUAUAAGCAAACACACAUUUACAGUAAUUAUAUGAUAUCGCAAGUUGAACAGUUAAAUCAUUCAAAUCUAAAAAAAUACACAACAUUACACAAGCAUUUACAUAUAAAAUUUAAAAAAAAUACAAAACUUAAGUCAAAUAGCUCAAAUUAACAUAGACUCUAAGAAGGGGGAGAGACAGAGGGGGAGAGGGGGAGAGAGAGGCAGAGAGAGUGUGAGAGGGAGGGGGGAGGGAGAGAGUGAGACAGAGAGAGAGAUAUGGGAGAGAGACAGAGAGACAGACAGAGAGAGUGUGGGUGGGAGAGGGAGAGAGAGCGAGAGAGAGAGAGAGAGAGAGAGAGAGAAUCACAACACAAAAUACACAUACAUUUACAUAUAAAAUCAAAAACAAAGCAUGUAUUCAAGGUGAAAAUCAAAGGAUUAUAGCGGAUUUUACCUUAAAUCCAAGCAAAUCGAAGCUGCAAAUCGAAGCUAGCCCUAGUUCCAGUAAAACCCCAAUUUAAUCGAAGCCCUAAGGAAAAUAAAGACACAAAAUAAGAACAUAACAGUGAAAAGCAACGUAAAAACAAAAUGAAGAAAAGAAAGCCCUAAUUCCGUCGAUCGAAGAAGCUCUGAAUCGAAGCCCUGAAUCGAAGCCAUGAUUGAAAACCUGAAACCCCGAUUUUACCUAAUUACAGGUGAGUGUGAGCGGCGGAGACGGUGUAUCUGAGCGGAGAGGUGGAUUUGAGCAGCGGAGAGGGGUGAGUUUGAGCGGAGGUGAGUGAGUUUUGUUUGUGUGAGCGGAGUGAGUGUGUAUUGUGUCUGAAAGCCCCGAUUAAUUGUUUUGUUUGUUUUUGUCUCUCGAAAUGAAACAGGGGGGGGGGGAAAGUUUGCCGCUCGCUUUUUCAGCAGCGGGAACACCCAAAUUUAUUUAUUUUUUAUAUUUUAUAUUAAUAUUUCAGUUUACUUUGAAUUUAUUAAUUAUUUAAAAAUAUAAAUUUAUUAUGUAUUUGAUAUUUUUAAAAAUGUAAUUCAGUUGCAUUGUAAUUGCUUAGAAAUAAUUAAUUAGUUUCAAAUUUUAUUAUUUUAAGUAUAAUCUGAUUAUUUGAUAUAAUAAUUAUAUUUUAAUAUUUCAUGUUUAAAAUAUUAUAUUUAAUAAAUUAAUCAUAUUAUAUGCACAUUUUAUUAUCAUAUUACAAAAAUUAUUUUACCAAUACUCUAUGCAACAUAUAGUGUUGGCUAUUGCAACAUCAAAUGGACAUGAAUGGCUAUCGUUGCGAUAGGUAUGGAUUAGUGCCUCUAAUGCAACAUAAUUUUGCAACACUCGUGUUUACACCAUUGCGAUAGGCCAUAUAUGGCGUAGUGUAUGUUUGUAACAAUACGGACAGAAUUUUCAACUUUACAAUUAAUCCAGACUUUCCAAUGGAGAUUGUAUCUCUUCACAGGUGCAUUCUAGAAUCUAGAUUCACAUGCAUAAUAUAUUAUAUAGUCUAAUUGAUCGAUUUUCUUAAUAAGCUGGACAAAAUGAUUGGCAGGGCUUAAAAGCCCAUCUUUGGACUUACAAGUCAGUAACACAUUGGUAUUGUUUGCCUAAAAAACUGAUCAAUGAACUUGUGACUUAUAAGACAGAAUAUGAGAAGUUAGAAAAUCUCAACUUUUUUUAGUCUUAUUUUAGAAAUUUCAUUUUACAGGAAAGUAAAGGACCACUUUAAGAAAUAAUUUAGAAUAAUUUAUUAUUAUAAUAAUAAUUUUAUACCCUGUAAAUAUAAAAAAAUGAUCCAAACAUAUAAAUUAAAAGUUAAUUUUCAUUUAUCUUUUUACGUUUAAUCAAUAAACACGUCUUUUACAGCCUCAUUAUUCUCGUACCUUUAUCAGAUCACUUCCACGCUUCUGCAAUUUCCACAAUCCUACGAGAUGAUCUCAAUACAGUCCACCCACCAUUUAUUUUUUACAGAGAUUUCUCCUACUCCCUCCAUUCCUUUUUAAGUGUCGUAUUUUGACCGGGUUUGAAUUCCAAAUUAAGUGUCACAUUUAUAUUUUCAAGACAAUUGCUUAUGUUCUCAAUACAAGUGGAGUAUUCUUUUUACCUCAGUACCCCUACCUUUGAAACUCUCAUUGAAAUUUAUUCAUGCUUGAUGGACAAAAUUGGAAAAUAAAACUUACAUUAAUGAUAGUAUAACCUAAUAAUUGCACAUCUUAAUAGUUGUGCCAAGUCAAAAAAUGACACUUAAAAUGAAAUGGAGGGAGUACUUUUUUUCUCUUUCUCUGCAAUCUUCUAAGCUCUAGUUUAUCUUAUAUAUCUUAUUUAAAUGGGCAAGGAGCAUUGCUUCUCCACUUCUGUAACCACAUGUGAAUUUGAGCUUCUAAAAAUCAUCCCAAUAUCCCAACAUCAUAGAGGUCGGUCCGGAGUGCUACAUGUCUGGAGAAAUAACAGAAAAUAAUUUGUAUAGCUAGUAAUAUAUGACACAGAGUCUAAGUACUUGAAGCAAUUCUCAUUUUAAGUCUAGAAUACAAGUGGCUGGUAUGGUUGUAAAUACUAGAUCACAUAGUUGGUGAUUCUUAUUUCACGUAGAUCUGGUCCAAAAAAACAUUUAGGGAAUCCAAGGGAAGCAAAAAAUGGUGUGAAGAAAACAAUAGAUGCUUAAAAUAGAGCUGUAAAGUGAGAUGUAAAAUUACAAGCAACACCUUACCUGGACAAAAUGCAUGUAAACCAUACCCCUAGUUCUCCUUAAAAACCGCAAAUCCCAUACAUUCUCGUCGUUCAGACGAGUUCAAAAAAUUACUUGGCCUACAGAGCCCCUUUCCCCUGUUCAGUAUCACCUCUCUUCUUAAGUUUGUUAACACGAGAGACCAUUUGUGCGGAAUCUUUAAUCAAUGGAAAUUUCAGAUGGGAAAAGGGCUUGUGUAUUUGGUAUAAACCCAUUCAAUCUUUUAUGUUUCUGCUCAUCUUUUUAGUCAAGUUUGUUAUUCAUAUACAUUGUCUGUGGAAUCUAAUUUAGAUGGUAUAAGCUGAGGUGUAUUAUAUGAUUGCCACAAAAAAGGUUUUGAUCAAGGUUUGAUUUGGUGUUUGAUAACAGGCUUAUGUACAGUGGUUGUUCAUGGUAAAUUAUUCGAGAGUUUGGUCUCAAGAAGCAAAUGCUAUGCAGGGAGGCGAUAAUCUUGAACAGAGAAUGGGGGCAUGGUCUAGAAGGAAACAGGUGUGAGCGCUUCCAUGUAAUUAGUUUAUUGUAGUGGUUUUAUUUGUUACUUCCCGUGUGCUGUUUCACGAUACUAAAUCUACACAAAUCAUAUUUUUGAGCCAUGUUUUGAGUGUUCUUGUGUAAUGGCUAAUUUCUCGUGUUCAACUAAUUUGAUAAAGAUAACAAAUAGGUCAUCAAUACGGCAGAUCAAUAUCGAAAGACAAGUUUUAAGGAACAAUAAUGCGAAUCUAAGACUUUGGGAGCAAACUCAAGUACAACAUGGAUGGAAGUAUUUGCUUUCUACCAUGCAGUAGUUUCGAUCACAUAGGGCUAGCAGACCCAAUGUUGAACAUAAUGAAUGUGGCACAUUGAGGCACUUUCAAUUUGUAAAUGUUACUCUUUCUAAACGAAUGUUUAAACAUAAUGAAUGUGGCUUUUGAAAGAUAAGCAUGCUUAGGUGCUAUUUAAAUCAUUUAAGAGAAAGCCCAGACUUCUUAUAAUUUCGCUUUAUCAUUUCCUUCCUACUGGUCCUGGGAUUAGACUAAACUACGCUACAACUAGUUGUGAUUUCCAACAGAACAAAAAUUAAUAUCACUCUAGUAAACAAAAUCUACAAUCCUCUGAAGGGAAGAUUUACUUGUCAAUCAGAUAGUACGGGCAAAAAAUGAACAGAAAUGGCAAUGGAACUUGCCAACUCACCUGAAAUUACCCUAGUCCGUGGCAAAUCGCCCUUUUGUAGUGCUCACAAAAUUUUUAAAAUAAAAAAGAGACUUGGGUUGACAUAGGAUAGUAUAGAUAUACCCCUGCUACGGAUCAUUUGAGGUGGGCCGGAUCGAGAUCACUACCCUCAUGGCCGGAUUAAUAUAUAUUUUCAAAAAUACUAUGAUCAAUAUAUAUAUAUAUAUAUAUAUAUAUAUUAAUUAACUUAAUCGCGGAUUCACUUUUAUAUAUAUUGAAAGAGUUCAUGUAUAUGAGCAAGUUGUGACGAACACAAAAUCGGUAACUUUGCAAUUUAAUAUUGUCAUUUCCACGAGGUCAUUGGGUCAAAUCUAAUAAUUCUUUGUCCAUUUUUUACAAGAUUAAUAAUGCCCGGAUAUAAUUAGUGUGUAACACUAAAUACAAUUGUCACUACUUGCUCACAUACAUGAACUAUUCAAUUAAAAUAUAAGUAAAUCCGCGAUUAAGUUAAUAUAUGGAUCAUAGUAUUUCUUAAAAUACAUAUUAGUUCCUGACGAUUAUCCGGUCAUUGGUCAUGUAAUAAGCCUUUGGGGUAGUGAUCUCGAUUUGGCCCACCUCAAAUGAUCUGUGGUGGAGUUUAAUUUAUACUAACAUGUGUCGUUAUAUGGUACAAUCUCAGCAACCCAUUACCAUAUCCUGACCGUCCAUCUCAUCACAUAUCAAUCCUAUGUCGAACCAGGUCUAUUUUUAAUUUAAGAAAUUUUGAGAGCACUGCUUGACGGCGAUUUGCGGCGAACUAGGGUAAAUUUCAGGUGAGUUGGCGAGUACCAUUGUCGUUUCUGUUCAGUUUUUGCCCGUAUAAUUUGAUCAACAAGUAAAUCUUCCCUUCAGAGGAUUGUAGAUUUUGUUUACUAGAGUGAUGUUAAUUUUUGUUUUGCUGGACAUCACAACUAGAUGUUAGCUUAAUUUAGUCUAAUCCUUGGACCGGUCAGAAGGAAUUGAUAAAGCAAAACUGUAUGAAGCCUUGGCUUUCUCUUGAAUAAUUUAAUAAAUAAAAAUCCAAUACUCCAAUUUUAUUCAUGUAAUAAGUAUUGAUUAAGUUUCUAAACCUGCCAGAUAGUGUGGUAAUAUUAAUUUUCUGUUCACUUUUACUUGAUUAUUUCCUUAAAUUUACCGUUAAAUGUGUUAAAAUCUAAUACAUAUCAAUAUUAUUUUCUUUUUAUGAUAUCUUGACUUGAUGAGAUCAGUUAAGGAAAUAGCGGUGUAUGAUCUGACACUUGUAAAUAUUAAGGCAAUCAUUGUAUGGUUCUCACAUAUUUACCGAAUGUUUUUGAAGAACGUAAUUUGCUGCAGGAACAAAUUAGUGUGACUAGCUGUGUAGGAUUAAAAUAAAUUUGGUUAACUCCUCUUCUUCUUCUCUGUGUCUUCUUCUGUUACUUUGCGGGUAUGUAAACCCGAAUUUACUUGAUGGUAGUGUGACAUAGAACAUAAUCCUUAAUACACUAGUCGUGCUUCACAUUUCAUUGUAUCGCUUGUCUACUAAGAAUUAUAAUGUCUGCGAAUGCAAUUGUUUUUAUGAAUGAAACAUGCCAAGCUUUCGAGUAUGCAAUGUAAAUAAUUGUUUUGGGCUUAUUAAUAGCUGCCCAAGUCAAGCUAAUGUUCUUCCAACUAGCAUAACCGAUUAUAUGCUUCGUGACCUGUUAUUUAUUAAAGAAGUCCGUUGGUCCAAAGACUUUACAGUGUUGAUAGUUGCUUUAGUUAUAUUAGUCACUGUGAUACUCUGUAGACAGUAACAAACAUAACACCUGAGGAACUAGACAGCAUUUGGAGCAUGACCACCCUUUUGUGGUGAAUAUAUAUAUAAAGAACCAAUAGAACACCACGUNNNNNNNNNNNNNNNNNNNNNNNNNNNNNNNNNNNNNNNNNNNNNNNNNNNNNNNNNNNNNNNNNNNNNNNNNNNNNNNNNNNNNNNNNNNNNNNNNNNNNNNNNNNNNNNNNNNNNNNNNNNNNNNNNNNNNNNNNNNNNNNNNNNNNNNNNNNNNNNNNNNNNNNNNNNNNNNNNNNNNNNNNNNNNNNNNNNNNNNNNNNNNNNNNNNNNNNNNNNNNNNNNNNNNNNNNNNNNNNNNNNNNNNNNNNNNNNNNNNNNNNNNNNNNNNNNNNNNNNNNNNNNNNNNNNNNNNNNNNNNNNNNNNNNNNNNNNNNNNNNNNNNNNNNNNNNNNNNNNNNNNNNNNNNNNNNNNNNNNNNNNNNNNNNNNNNNNNNNNNNNNNNNNNNNNNNNNNNNNNNNNNNNNNNNNNNNNNNNNNNNNNNNNNNNNNNNNNNNNNNNNNNNNNNNNNNNNNNNNNNNNNNNNNNNNNNNNNNNNNNNNNNNNNNNNNNNNNNNNNNNUGUGUGUGUGUGAAGAAGCAAUAAAACACCAUUUAAGUUGUAAAGCGAUUUUGGUUGGUAACAUAACUUAGACAUUCAUCAGUAUUUGCCCUGCUUAAUUUGUUUAUUACAGCAACCUGAAAGAGGUCUAAGUACUUUGAAGUACCACUUUUUUGGCAUUUUGGAUUUCGGUGUGACUUAAUUAUAGGAUAUCGUAUGCUUAAAAUUUAUGUUUAUGAUGCUAACGAAAAAGAAAAUGAAGACUGAAAAAAAAAACUGGUUUCAUGCUGUCAAAAGAUGCGGACAAUAAAAUCUUUUCUGUGGAUAUCCCUUUUUUCUUUUUGUACUUAUCCAUUUAAGUUGAAUUCCUUCUACAAAAUUUUAAAGAGUAAUAGUAAAUGUCUGAAAGAAGCACAAGGAAAACCAAGAUAUUUCCAGUCUGACCAUUAUGUAUUCUGUGGUUAUUUAGGAAGAACAAGAGCUUGAGAGAAUCAGCCCAUUUUUUCAACGAAGGCAGAAUGGAAGUGGUUGAAAGGCCUUCCCUGGGUGGAAUGGAAAAGGCAUUUUGUAAUAAUGUUCUGAGGUGGAUUGUUGAUUUUUUAGCAGGGCGGUUGAUAAUUGACUAUUUCGGGUAACUAUGUUCUGAAUUUGCUUUAUGUAAAUAUUAUAAAUUUUGUCUUGAAGUUUUGGAGUUCCUGGUUUGGGGCAUCUAAUCCUUGCGUAGUAAAAAUCAAAAGUGUGGCUAAAUCUCAAGUCCCAAGAAGUGCAUGUAUACAGCCAAUUAAAGAAUAAGCACCCCUUGGAAGGGGGGAGAAUAAAGUCUUGGCUAAAUCUCAAGUGAAUAAAGUCAACUGGUUGUGCUAACAUAGAUGGAGUUAUUGCUAUAAUUUAGCAUCAAAAAGUGAUUUUUUGUGCUAAAAUAGCACCAUGUCUCCAAUGGUUGGUUUCAAAUCUUGUUUCACAUUUAAACAACUUCCAAAUACAUCCCACUUUUGAAUAUAAAUAUGACUAACUUUCAAAGACCCCGCACUUUCAAAGUACUUUCUUAUACAUUUUUUCAUCAUUUUAUACUUUAGCAAUUAUAGCUCCAUCUAUCUUUUGUUCUAAAUAUUGAACAAACUAUAGCAUUGUUCUAUUUUAGAACAAGAUAUAGCACACCAUUGGACUUUCCCUAAGAGAUUCUACUGAAAACAUGGAAUAUACCUCACUCACUUUUUGUACAAAAAGUUGUCUACUAGAUAUAGCACACCAUUGGACUUUCUCUUGAAGUAUGCAUUACGUAUAUGCCAGUUGGACCUUGAUUCUAAAUUUUCCGACUGGCCUCCCAGUUUCUUUAUCAAGUUCCUGGGAAGUUAACAAAUAUGUUUGGUUGUGGUGUAGGAAUUUUCAGUGCCGGGGUGUCAUAUAAGCAAGUUUCUACAUUAUGUGGGAAUUCCAAGUUCCUAGGAAGUUCCACUUUCCAUAUAGCGGUCAACCAAAAAAUCUUACAAUUUGCUAGGAAGUUUAUAUUUCUGGAGAUUUACAUGUUAACCAAACUACCCCUUAUAAAUCUUGUUAUGGUUCAUUAGGAAGAUUACAUUCUUACUGGGGAACGUUGAAGUUCUCAUUUCGGAAAGAUGUUGAGUAUGCACACUCUUAAUCCAGUUCUGAUUAAUAUUUUAGAUUUUAGUGGCCUUAACAUAAACUCUGCAAUGAUUUUCAUUUUAAUAUGUGAACCUUCAGUGAAUUAGAUUGCAGUAAGCUUUAUUAUCUUCUAAUGUCUAGCUGCAGAACUUUUUACUGUACUGGCAAAAGGAACAUUCCUACUCUACUUUCUCCUCUGUGUUAAAUUAAGUUCUUUUAAAUAUCGCAAAGGAUGAAUCUGUCCUUAAGAAACAUCUGUAAAAGUAAUGCCUUCCGUUUUCAACAAACUACUAAGUCUUUCUAAAUAAAAUUCAUAUGAAUGGGCAUGCUCAAUCUAGCUUUGUAGUGAGUUCUUCGUUUCCCUAUUUGGCUAUUUGUUAACAGGAAAGCUCCACGAACAGUAAAACAAGGAAGAAAACGGAAAAGGACUUGCAGGAGAUCGGGUGACACAGUUUGGGGAGCAUGGGGCAUUCUUCCUACUGAACUUCUGGUGUCAAUUUUGGUGAAGUUAAGUAUCGUGGACUACCUGUCAUUUAGCGGUGUUUGUAAAUCUUGGAGGUCUGCAUCUAUUGCUUUCCGCAAAUACUGUAUGGAGCGCCAGCAACCCCUAGUUGUUGUUCGACCAAAGUAUUCGAAAAAGUCUUGUGUAUUGUACAAUAUGUUCGAUUUGAAAAGUUACAAAACAAUGCUGCCAGAUUUGCCUUGCAAGAAAUUAUUGGGUUUGUCAUGUGGGUACCUGAUUACAACUGACGGACACUUAGGCUUUUGGCUCGUAAAUUUAAUAACAAAACAUGAGCUGCGUUUUCCUGUCCUUCCUGGACAUAUGGGUCGCAUAACCUGCCUUGAAUUUUCUGCUCUCCUAUUUCAGUCCACUCGACUUUCAGAAACUUUCAUGGUUCUUUUCUCUCGGACAGAAAAUUAUAUAUUGUUGUCCAAAAGUGGCGGCAGCAGUUGGCAGAGAUAUGUUUUAUCCGACUCAGAAACCAGGAUUGCAGAUGUGAAGAUUUUUGAUGGCAAAAUCUUUAUUUUGACUUCAGAUUUACGUUUUGGAGAAUUUAAUCCGAAGGCAGGUUCUGUUCCAAAAUUCUCCAAAAUCAACAUCCCUUACCAGGUUUUAUCUGAUAUGGAUUUGAAGUUGGUGGCAUCAGACAAUAAGCUAUACAUGACUGUAUUCAAUUGUUGUCCUUAUCCUACAUUGGAAGGACAUCUGUCAUUAUUCGAAAUUGACCAUGAGACAAUGGAUAGGGCAAAACAGAUUCAUGACUUGGGUGCAAAAUCUUUAUCUCUUAGUUGGUUCAGUUCUGCUGUCGUCGAUUCAACUGGUUGGGGAGCAGGUAAUUAAUUGUGUCUGUGUUCUUCACUUAGGAGUUUUCAACACAUGUUCUUUCUUUAACCUGAAUGGAAAUCAGCUAGGAACAACUCCGGUUGUUUGGGAUGGUCAUUUAACACCUUGUUUUUGGUAUUUUCCUAGUGAGAUUUGGUCCAUUAGUCGUGUCAGUGAUGAGUUUGGCGCAUGAUCACUUCUAAAUCUCAUAUCAGUUUUCCUCAUUAAGUCUGUAUUAAUUUUCUUCAUCUUACAUUAUGGAACUUUGUACUAGUUCCAUUAUGAAAACUUUUAAACAUUGAUGCUGUGAUGUUUGCUUUAGAGGCACCAGAACUCAAAUGUCAUUUUCUGUAUUUCUUAUUGGCACCUUGUUUCUUCGUGUAUAAGACAGAUUCUUAGGAGAAAAAUUCCCAAUUUGAAGCUGCCGUUUCUGCAGUUUAAUGUAGUUACUUAUUUUUGUUAAGCAGAUUUUAAUUUAUAGAUGAUUACUUUGUUUCUAAAUUAUUGUAGUGACAAAUAAAUAAGUUAAUUUUUAAGGAGUAGCGGUUUCUUGUUUGAAAAAAAUUUCUAUAAUUUCUGAAUGAAGGUCCUCUAAGUCUAUGUUAAGAAUAUUCCCACUAUUACUGUUGACGAAUCAGAUGAGGACACAUGUGCACAGCUAAUUGAAUUACGGACAGCUGUUAUGGAAUCAUCCAUCUCCUUCAGUCCAUCACAUAUAACUAAAUUAAGGAUAUGAGCUGAACACCUCAUAUGCAAAAAAUCUCCAUCACAAAUGGCUGUUUUCCAAAUCUGCAACCUUUUCUUAAUGUGAUUAACAGCCACACCAUUAGAGGAUGCAUUGUCAAGAGUAAUUGUAAAUACCUUAUCAAUACCCCACUCUUUUAAACAUGCUUCAAUUGCCUUACCUAUUGUCUCUCCCUUGUGAUUACCAAUUUGACAAAAAUUCAGAAUCCUCUUUUGCAUUUUCCACUCAUUAUCAAUAAAGUGUGAUGUCAAUACAAGAUAGCACACAUUUUGAAUGGAAGUCCAAGUGUCACUUGUUAAAGAAACUCUUUGUGAAUUUCUAACAAAAUAAUCCCUUAACUUUGCUUUCUCAGAAUUAUAUAACUUCAUUAUAUCCCUAGCAAUUGUAUGACGCGAAGGAAUAAUAAACCUAGGGCAAGCAACACUACAAAACAACCUAAACCCUUCUUGCUCAACAAAUCUGAAGGACAACUCAUCGAUAACAAUCAUUUUAGCACAAGCAGCCCUACACUCAGAUUGAUUAAAUCCCACAGCCACCAAAUUGCUACCACUGCCACUUUCAGACCCAGAUUUUGUAAAGCACAAAAGUUUCUGUUUUUUAUCUUCAACUCUAUAUGGAUAUUUCGGACAUUGAUUCAUUAAAUGAUACCUAAUGGUACUAGUUCCAUGUUUUCUAGUGCCACCAGCAUAGUCUUUAUCACAAUAGUUACAAAUAGCUCUUACAUUUUUUGGAUCAGAUUCAUCUUUCGUAAAAUGGUCCCAGACAUCACUUGCUUUUUUCGAAGAUGGCGUUGCUUUCCGUUUUUGUGAUGCAGGCGUCUUCUCAGUGGUUUCAUCUUGUGUAGCUUGUGUUGCGUGUGAUGAAGAAGUCACCGGAGUAUUGACGGGCUCUAAGUUUUGCUCCAUCUCCGUCUGAAACAAGAAAUUAUCGAAUCAAAAUCCAACAAUCAAAAGAAUCCGAAGUAUGAGAGCAAAUAAUCUACCUUAAUUAGCUCAACAAGCUUGAUGUACGUGAGAUUGUGAAUCGUUGAAUCUGAAGUAGUUAUUGCAGAUAAGAUGUUAGCUAUUUGGGAUUUAGGGUUUUGUCAUUUGUGCGGCUAUCGGCUAGAAUAAAAGAGAUGACUAGAUGAGUAUGAUUUUAAGUUUUACCUAAUAGAACUUUGGGCUUCUGCCUUCUGGGCUACCGCAUGCUGCUGGACUGCUAGACUAGGACUAAUAAUAGUUAAGUUUUAAUGGGCUGAGAGUAAUAUUAAUUAUAAUAUAUAUAUAAAUAUAUAUAAUUAUAAAUAUAAAUAUAAAUAUUAUUUUUAUUAUAUAUAUUAAUAUUGCGGUGCGGUGCGGUUUGAACCGCAUUCAAGAAAACUAAAACCGCAACCCGCACCGCACCGCGCGGUUUGUGAAAAAUCCAAACAGUAACCGCACCACGAAAAUUAAAAACCGCGUUUUGUGGUGCGGUUCGGUGCGGUGUGGGUGGUUUACGCGGUUUGGGCGGUUUUCUGCUCACCCCUAGUUAGAGGCAAAAGUUUGUUGGUAGAAAGUAGUGCUAGAAUAUAUGUAGUGGCUUGCUUUCUUUUCAAGUCAUUAGCUCAUUUUCAUAUUCAGAUCUGUUUUCUCUUUUUCUCUGCAAUGUAAACAUUCUUUCAUGGCAUAUCUUUAAUAAAAUCAAGCUUGAGCUUCAUCUUGUGACAUGGUAUCAGAGCUUCUCCGUUCCUCUGGGCUCCUCUAUCUACGCUAAGUUUUCUUUCUUUGUUCUUUAUUCUCUGUUCGUUACUCUUCUCUUUAUUAUGGCAUCUACUGGUGCUUCAUACUCUAGUGCUGCUUUGGGCUCUAAUACUGCUCCUCCUAUUUUGGAUGUUAAUCAUCCUUACUAUUUGCAUCCCUCGGAUAACCCUGGGUUGGUUAUUACCACUGUUGUUUUGGAUGAAUCCAACUUUAGUCAAUGGCAUCGUUCCAUGGAGAUUGCCUUGUCCUCCAAGUUAAAAUUGGGAUUUGUUGAUGGUUCUUAUAUUAAACCUGCUGUUAAUUCUCCUUUGUCUAUGCACUGGAUUCGUUGUAAUAACAUGGUUACUUCAUGGUUGUUGAUUUCUGUGUCGAUACCCAUUAGACAGAGUAUUGUUUAUAUGAAAUCUGCUAAAGCUAUCUGGGAUGACCUUCAAGUUCGUUAUGCCCAAACAAAUGUCCCCAAGUUGAUUAACCUUCGUAAAGAAAUUUCACAUCUAGAUCAGGGCACUAUGACCAUUUCUGCCUAUUUCACAAAAUUCCGCACUAUUCAUGAUGAGUUAGAGUGUCUUCAUUCUAACCCUAGGUGCACUUGCAAUCACUGUACCUGCACUGUUAACUCUAGAUUGGAUGCCCAGGAGCAAACUAUUCAGCUGACACAGUUUUUGAUGGGUCUUAGUGACCAAUUUACUGGUAUUCGGGGUCAGAUCUUACUCAUGACUCCUCUCCCAACCAUGAGUCAGUGUUAUGCCAUGCUCCUCCAGGAAGAGAGUCAGAGAGGUGUCACAAAUGUUGUUGUGCCCUCUGCUGACAAUUCUUCUGCUAUGUAUGUGAAAUACAAGCCUUCUCCUGGUAACAAGCCUUUUAAAAAGCCCACUGCUGAGUCUCCUAUCUACUGUGAGUAUUGCCAUAUGCAGGGUCAUGUCAAGGAUAAGUGUUUCUGCUUACAUGGGUAUCCUCCAUGGCACAAACUACAUGGCAAGCCAAAACCCAAGCCCAAGCACCUAGCUGCAAGUUCCUCUACUACAGCCCCUACUCACAACAUCAAUCAACCUGCAUCUGCUCAGCCAGACUCUGGGGGAAGUGUGUCUACCUGUGCUCCUGCUUUGCCCUUUUCAGAGGGUCAAUAUCAGCAUCUGGUUCAGAUGUUGUAGCAGUCUCUGCAACUCCCACAAUCUCCAGCUACUACUUCAUCAUAUUCAGCAGCUAACUGCACCCAAUUUGCAUGUACUGCCUUUCAUUUUGCUAGUCCUUUAUCUAUUUCCUCUCAUAAAAUGCAUGAUUGGAUCCUUGAUACUGGUGCCACGGAUCAUGUGACACCCCGCUUGAAUUUAUUGCAUAAUGUUGUGGAAUGUGAGUCUGUUUUACACCUCCCCAAUGGGCAAACUGCUAGAGUAACCCAUAUGGGUUCUGUCACUAUAAACUCUCAUAUUACUCUUCAUCAAGUGCUCUGUGUUCCUUUGUUUCAAUAUAAUCUUAUGUUAAUUUCCAAAUUGUUGCUUCACUAUCCUACUUCCUCAGUUCAGUUUCAAUCUCAUGUUUGUUAUCUCCAGGCCCCUACCUUGAUGAGGGACCUCGAGAUUGGUAGGCUUGUAAAUGGACUCUACAUCUUGCAGUCAACUUCCUCUACUCCUCCUGCUGUGUCUUGUUCAGCUGCUCAUUACUCCUCCACUUAGCCAAAUUUGUGGCAUGCUCGCUUUGGUCAUGUACCACUUUCUAUUUUAAAAACUGUCUCUAUUGACUGUAAAGAUACUAAGUUGCCUGUCUGUGACACUUGUCAUAUUUCUAAGCAAGUUCGUCUUUCAUUUCAUAAUAGUCAGACUACUAGUGCUGAUAUUUUUGAUAUUGUGCAUAUGGACCUUUGGGGUCCAUAUCGUAUUAAAACUCAUAGUGGCUGUAAUUACUUCUUGACAUUGGUUGAUGAUAAGUCUCGUGCUUCAUGGGUAUUUUUGUUACCUGAUAAAUCUGUUGUGCAUUUACAUCUUACUGAGUUUGUGAUGUAUAUUAAAACUCACUUCAAGAGAACCAUCAAGGUAUUUCGUUCCGAUAACGGCACUGAAUUUGUUAAUCAUCAUGUACAUUCUCUGUGCUCUGCACAUGGCAUUGUUCACCAAACCUCAUGUGCCUAUUCCCCACAGCAAAAUGGGAUUGUAGAAAGGCGUCACAGACACCUAUUAAAUGUUGCAAGGUCUUUGAAAUUUCAUGCUAGUAUCCCUCUGUCUCUAUGGGGUGACUGUGUCUUAACAUCUUGCUAUUUAAUUAAUCGUACACCCACCCUUUUAUUAAAUGGGUUGUCUCCAUAUGAGGUUCUAUUCAACAGCAAACCAGAUUAUUCUUUAUUGCGUGUCUUUGGGUGUUUGUGUUAUGCCACCAUCCUUCCUCAAAGCACAGACAAAUUUGCUCCUCGCAGCAUUAAGGGAGUUUUUCUUGGUUACCCAUAUGGCAAAAAGGGUUAUAAAGUGUUAAACCUCCAGACAAAGCAAGUCCAGAUUUCCAGGGAUGUGACCUUUAUUGAAACCGAGUUUCCCUUUAAGCAUGUACAGUACUCACAACAGCAACCAUCCACUUUAUUCCCUGAUACAUCAACCCUAUAUCUCUCAGACCCUAUCACCUGUUACCCUACUCCUACCAAUGAAAAUAACCCAGACACCCAGCCUGAGACACAUACAGAUGACUCCUCUGCCACAACUGGCAUUUCACCACCUACUUCACCUCCAUCUAUUCCUGUAUCUAGACCAAAAAGAGUCAAACACCUACCUGCAAAGUGUGCUGAUUUUACUGGAUUACCUUCAACUGUUCUCAAACAAGUGCCUCACAGUAUAAAUCAGUGUCUUGCCUAUGAUAAAUUUCAACCAUCAUACAGACACUUUCUUGCCAACAUUGCUAAAUUAGCAGAGCCUCAUUCCUAUACUCAGGAAGUCACCUCACCUGAGUGGUGCACUGCCAUGAAUGCUGAACUUGCAGCCAUGGAAGCCAAUCAAACCUGGAAAAUAGUUCCAUUACCUGCAGAUAAACAGACUGUCGGGUGUAAAUGGAUCUAUAGAGUCAAAUAUCUCCCAGAUGGUCAAGUGGAUCGAUAUAAAGCUCGUUUGGUAGCAAAAGGCUUUACACAAACUGAAGGAGUUGACUUCUUUGACACCUUUGCCCCAGUUGCAAAGAUGACUACCUUUCGAGUAGUACUGGCAUUAGCUGCUAUAUACAACUGGCCUCUCAAGCAACUAUAUGUCACAAAUGCCUUCCUACAUGGCAUCCUUCAUGAAGAAGUGUUUAUGGACAUCCCUCCUGGAUAUCAGAUUCCUGCAGCAGUGCAACUUCAGUUCCCUAAUUGCAAAUUGGUGUGUCAACUUCUUCAAACCAUCUAUGGGUUACGUCAAGCUCCUAGGGAAUGGUUCAGCAUUCUAUCUGAUGCCCUUCUUGAGUUUGGGUUUACUCAAACUUUCAGUGACUCUAGUAUGUUUGUGCUCAAAAAGAAUGCAGACAUUGUCAUUUUACUUGUGUACGUAGAUGAUAUGGUCCUAACAGGGAGCAAUGCUCAGCUGAUGUCUGAUGUUACCCAGUUUUUAGCUACCAAGUUCAAGAUCAAAGAACUUGGAGAUCUCAAAUACUUUCUUGGCAUUGAGAUUGCCAGGUCAUAUGAUGGCAUUUACUUAAAUCAGAGAAAAUACUGCUUGGAUAUUCUUCAAGAUAUUGGCUACUUGGCAGCUAAACCUUGUGUGGUUGUGAUGGAACAAAACCACACUCUCACUGCCACAUCAUCCUCUCCUCCUCUUCAGAAUAUUUCCACUUAUCGCCGCCUCAUUGGACGUCUGAUUUACCUCACUAUCACACGCCCUGACCUGGCAUAUUCAGUUCAUAUUCUAGCUCAAUUCAUGCAUCAACCUCAACAGGUGCAUUGGCAAGCUGCUCUUCGACUAGUUCGAUAUCUGAAACAUACUUGUGGUCAAGGAAUCUUUCUCUCCAAUGCGUCCACCUUUGAUCUCAGGGUCUACACUGAUGCUGAUUGGGGCAGUUGCAAGCAAACCAGACAAUCCAUUACUGGCUUUUGUGUGACAUUGGGUCGCUCAUUAAUCUCUUGGAAAUGCAAAAGACAACAUACUGUAUCUCGCUCCUCUGCCGAGGCAGAAUAUAAGGCCAUGGCUGACUCAUGCUGUGAAAUUCUUGGCUCAUUUCUCUCUGCAAAGAAUUGCACACUCCUUCUCUUACUCCUGUGUCCAUGUACUGUGACAAUCAGUCUGCCCUUCACAUUGCAUCCAACACAGUGUUUCAUGAACGCACAAAACAUAUCGAAAUAGACUGACAUCUUGUUCGACAGAAAAUCAAGCAGGAUCUUAUUGUCACUCACCAUCUGCCAUCCAGUGAACAACCUGCUGAUCUUUUUACCAAAGCCUUACCCUCUGCUCAACUUCAGUGCCUUCUCUCCAAGUUAGGAGUCUGUAAUUUCUUCAAGCCUCCUAACUUGAGGGGGGAUGUUAAGAAUAUUCCCACUAUUACUGUUGACGAAUCAGAUGAGGACACAUGUGCACAGCUGGCAUGACAGUUAGAGGCAAAAGUUUGUUGGUAGAAAGUAGUGCUAGAAUAUAUGUAGUGGCUAGCUUUCUUUUGAAGUCAUCAGCUCAUUUUCAUAUUCAGAUAUGUUUUCUCUUUUUCUCUGCAAUGUAAACAUUCUCUCAUGGCAUAUCUUUAAUAAAAUCAAGCUUGAGCUUCAUCUUGUGACAGUCUACCCUCCCAAACAAACUCCUCUUGCUCAAAUGAGUUCCUUCUGGUCAAACUAAUAUUGUUCAAGCUCAAUGAAAGUUAGUAUGUGUGAAAUUCGAAUGAACUCAGAAUCAACAUACCCUCGAAUAAAAUGAUAGUCAAUCUUCAAAUGUUUAGUUCUUUCUUGGAAGAUUUGCUUCUUUGCAAUGUGGUGAGCUGAAGUGUUAUCACAAUAAAGAUCCCUUAAAAAACCUUAAGACAAAGCAACUCAGAAGUUGUAUAGCUCAUACUUAUAUACUCAGCUUCUGCACUACUUCUAGAUUCUUUUUUUGCUUCUUAGUUUUCCAAGAGAUUAAUUAAGGAAGAACCCUGGAAAAUAGCAUACCAGACAAGGAUUUUGCAGAAAAUGAACAAGUUCCCUAGUCUACAUCUGAAUAUGCAGUUAAUUGCAGGGGAGUAUUAGCUUUGUAAAACAGACCAACAUUCAAUGAAAAUUUCAAGUUAUUUUAAGACAUGAAGAGCAGCAUCAUAAUGUGGCUGAGCUGGUUCUUGGUGAAACUAAUUAAGAAAGCUGUUGAACAACAUAUGAAAUAUCAAGCUUACUUGAGUUCAAAUAAAGCAAUUUCCCGAUAAAUCUUCUAUACACUUCUGGGGCAGGCAAUUUUGAAACAUCCUUUGUACUUAGAUGCAAGCCUUUUAAUAAUGGAAAAGCAGCUGGUGUACAAUCAGCGAAGUAAGUAUUAACUAAUAAAUUCAAUACAUACUUUCUCAUCUAACUGAAUUCCGGCCUUAGUUCUAAGAACCUCAAUGCUAAGGAAAUACUUCAAAUCAGCCAGAUUUAUAAUGGUAAAUUUUUGACACAAUAAGGAUUUGAUAGAUUAUUUAGUUAGUCUCGUGAAAAUCAAAAAUAUAAAAUUUUAACUUUUUUUACAAGAAAAUCUUUAUUCAAGUAGAUGGUAAAAAUUCCACUCUGAUACGCAUUAUUAAAAUGAGUAUCCAUGUAUAUUCAUUCUCAAAAUGGGUGUCACCUAUAAAUUAACUUUUUAAUUAUUAGAAUGACCGAUACGCAUUCUCAGAAUAAGUUACCACAAUACACACUCUCAAAAUAAUAACCUUCUUAAAAUUUUGUUUUUCAUUAUUCAAAAUAUUUUAUCUUAUACAAAACCACACAACUAACCCCACACACACACAUAUAUAUUACCGUUUAUUUAACACACAACACCACCACCUAUAUUAUCAAUUAUCCCUAAAAAAAUUAUAAACAUCAAAUAUUGAUAAAUCGAUCACUCAUUCUCAAAAAGAUAAUUGAAUACCAUCGGAUUUUAAAGUAUAAUUUAAAAUCUUAAUUGAAUACCGCCAGAUUUUGUAGCAUAAUUUGAAAUCCCAAUUGAAUACCUCAAGAUUCUAAUGAAUUUCAAACAAUCGAACACCCUCGGAUUUCAUAAAAAAAAUAUAUUUUAAAAUACCAAUCCAAUACGCCUCACCGUUAUUGGGGCCUUUUCUCCUUAGGUUGGUAUUCAGAUAUUGAGGAUAUUUUAACAAUUUAGGAAAUGCGGCGCCUUUUCUCCUGCUUUUAAGCAUCCGCAACCAGGCUGCAUCCCUACAGAGCCCCUUCCCUUGUUCAGUGUUACUAUCUCUUUUCUUAAGUUUGUUAACACAAGAAACCAUUCGUGUAAUCUUUUAAUCAAUGGAUUGGGAUGUUUUUGCGCUGGAAAUUUCAGAUGGGCAUAGGUGCUAUGUAAAUCAUUUAAGAGAAAGCCCAGACUUCUUAUAAUUUCGCUUUAUCAUUUCCUUCCUACUGGUCCUGGGAUUAGACUAAAUUACGCUAAAUCUAGUUGUGAUUUCCAGCAAAACAAAAAUUAAUAUAACUCUAGUAAACAAAAUCUACAAUCCUAUUAAGGGAAGAUUUGCCUGUCGAUUAGAUAGUACGGGCAAAAAAUUAACAGAAAUGACAAUGGAACUCGCCAACUCACCUGAAAUUACCCUAGUCCGAGGCAAAUCGCCCUUCUGUAGUGCUCACAAAAUUUUUAAAAUAAAAAAGAGACUUGGGUUGACAUUGGAAAAGAUAUAUGCUGAGGUGGACAGUCCCGAUAAGGUAAUGGGUUGGUGAGAUUUGCACCAUAUGACGACACAUGUUAGUAUAGAUGUACCCCCGCUACAGAUCAUUUGAGGUGGGCGGAUCGAGAUCACUACCCUCAUGGCCUAUUACUUGAGUAAUUACUGGAUAACGCUGAGGGACUAAUAUAUUUUCAAAAAUACUAUGAUCCAUUUAUUAACUUAAUCGCGGAUUAACUUUUAUAUUUAUCGAAAGAGUUCAUGUAUAUGAGCAAGUUGUGACAGGCACAAAAUUGGUAACUUUGCAAUUUGAUAUUGUCAUUUCCAUGGGAUCAUUGGGGUCAAAUCUAAUAAUUCUUUGUCCAUUUUUUAUAAGAUUAAUAAUGCCUAGAUAUAAUUAGUGUGUAACACCAAAUACAAAUGUCACUUACUUUCUCACAUACAUGAACUAUUCAAUUAAAAUAUAAGUAAAUCCGCGAUUAAGUUCAUAUAUGGAUCACAGUAUUUCUGAAAAUACAUAUCAAUUCCUCACAGUUAUCCGGUCAUUGGUCAUGUAAUAAGCCUUUGGGUAGUGAUCUCGAUCCGGCCCACCUNNNNNNNNNNNNNNNNNNNNNNNNNNNNNNNNNNNNNNNNNNNNNNNNNNNNNNNNNNNNNNNNNNNNNNNNNNNNNNNNNNNNNNNNNNNNNNNNNNNNNNNNNNNNNNNNNNNNNNNNNNNNNNNNNNNNNNNNNNNNNNNNNNNNNNNNNNNNNNNNNNNNNNNNNNNNNNNNNNNNNNNNNNNNNNNNNNNNNNNNNNNNNNNNNNNNNNNNNNNNNNNNNNNNNNNNNNNNNNNNNNNNNNNNNNNNNNNNNNNNNNNNNNNNNNNNNNNNNNNNNNNNNNNNNNNNNNNNNNNNNNNNNNNNNNNNNNNNNNNNNNNNNNNNNNNNNNNNNNNNNNNNNNNNNNNNNNNNNNNNNNNNNNNNNNNNNNNNNNNNNNNNNNNNNNNNNNNNNNNNNNNNNNNNNNNNNNNNNNNNNNNNNNNNNNNNNNNNNNNNNNNNNNNNNNNNNNNNUUCACAUUUCAUUGUAUCGCUUGUCUACUAAGAAUUACAAUAUCUGUGCAUGCAAUUGUUUUUAUGAAUGAAACAUGCCAAGAUUUCGAGUAUGCAAUUUAAAUAAUUAUUUUGGGCUUACUAAUAGCUGCCCAAGUCAAGCUAAUGUUCUUCCAACUAGCAUAACCGACAAUAUGCUUCGUGACCUGUUAUUUAUAAAAGAAGCCCGUUAGUCCAAAGACUUCACAGUGUUGAUUGUUGCUUUAGUUAUAUUAGUCACUGUGAUACUAUGUAGACAGUAAGAAACAUAACACUUGAGGAACUAGACAGCAUUUGGAGCAUGUCCACAUUUUUGUUGUGAAUAUAUACACACACAUAUUGGCAGGUGCUCAAAUUAGAACCCCAUAUCUAUGUGAGAUAUGACAACUAAUCUAAGCCAUUAUGUUUCGACAUGGUUCUCAUUAAGUUCUCAUUUUAAGGGUUCUCAUUAGAGUAAAACACCACUUAAAUCGUAAAGCGAUUUUGGUAGGUAACUUAACUUAGACAUUCAGAUGUGUCUAUUAAAGCAACCUGAAAGUGGUCUAAGUACUUUGAAGUACCACUUUUUUGACAUUUUGGAUUUUUGUGUGACCCUUUAAUCAGAAUUAUUGGAUGUCGUUUGCUUAGAAUUUUGGAUGCUAAUGAAAAAGAAAAUGAAGACUGAAAAAAAAUGGUAUUAUGCAGUCAAAAGAUGCGGAUAGUAAAAAUCUUUUCUGUGGAUAUCCCUUUUUUUUGUACUUGUCCAUUUAAGUUGAAUUACUUCUACAAACUUGUAAGAGUAGUGGUAAAUGUCUGAACGAAGCACAAGGAAAGAUAUUUCCAGUCUGACUAUUAUGUAUCUGUGGUUAUUAGGAAGGACAAGAGCUUGAGAGAAUCAGCCCAUUUUUCCAACGAAGGCAGAAUGGAAGUGGUUGAAAAGCCUGCCUUGGGUGGAAUGGAAAAGGCAUUUUGUAAUAAUUUUCUGAGGCGGAUUGUUGAUUUCUUUGCGGGGAGGUUGAUAAUUGACUAUUUCGGGUAACUAUGUUCUGAAUUUGCUUUUAUAUUAAUAUUAUAAAUUGUGUCUCAGAAGUUUUGGACUUACUGGUUUGGGGCAACUAAUCCUUACGUUGUAACAAUCAAAAGUGUGGGCAACUGAACCUAAUUUAAUUAAUAUUAAGGCCACAAAAUCCAAGAAGUGCAUGUAUACAGCAAUUCAAAGCAAAAGGACCCCUUGGAAGGGGGGAGAAUAAAGUCUUGGCUAAAUUUUAAGUGAAUAAGAGCAUGUCCAAUGGCUGUGCUAAAAUAGAUGGAGUUAUUGCUAUAAUUUAGCAUCAAAAAGUGAUUUAGUGCUAAAAUAGCACCAUGUCUCCAAUGGUUGGUUUCAAUUCUUGUUUCAAAUUUAAACUUCUUCAAAUACAUCCCACUUUUGAAUAUAAAUAUAAGUAUAUAACUAACUUUCAAAGACCCCACACUUUCAAGUACUUUUUAAUACAUUUUUUCAUCAUUUUAUACUUUAGCAAUAUUUAUAGCUCCCUCUAUCUUUUGUUCUAAAUAUUGAACAAACUAUAGCAUUGCUCUAUUUUAGAACAAGAUAUAGAACACCAUUGAUGUAGAGAAUUUUAGUUUUUGUUCUAUAAUAUAGACAUAGAACAAUAUAAAGAACACCAUCAUUGUCUACUAAAACUUUAAUUUGAAUGUUCCCUACUUUCUCUUGAAGUAUGCAUUACGUAUAUAGUUGUGCCUUUGUAAACUAGACUGCUAUCGUAAAAGUAUCAUAUGCCAGUUGGACCUUGAUUCUAAAUUCUCCAAUUUGGCCUCCCAGUUCCUUUAUCAAGUUCCUGGGAAGUUAAAAAAUAUGUUUGGUUGUGGUGUAGGUAUUUGCAGUGCUUGGGUUUGACAUAAGAAAGUUUCUACGUAUGUGGAAAUUCCAAUUUCCGAGGAGGUUCCACUUUCCAUAUAGCGGUCAACCAAAAAAUCUUCAAAUUGCUAGGAAGUUUCAAUUCCUGGAGAUUUACAUGUUAACCAAACUGCCUCUUAUAAAUCUAGUUAUGGUUCAUUAGGAUGAUUGGAUUCUUACUGGGGAACGUUGAAGUUCUCAUUUCGGAAAGAUGUUGAGUAUGCACACCCUUUAUCCAGUUCUGAAAACAAAUUCGAUUUUAGUGGCCUUAAUUAACAUAAACUAUGCACUGAUUUGCAUUUUAAUAUGUAAACCUUCAGUAAAUUAGCUUCCAGUAAGCUUUAUUAUCUUCUGUCUAGUUUCUCCUCUAUGCAUUCUGUUUUCAACAAACUACUGACUCUUUCUAAAUAAAAUUCAUUUGAAUGUGCAUGCUCAAUCUAGCUUUGUGGUGAGUUCUUCAUUUCCCUAUUUGUUAACAGGAAUGCUCCACGAACAGUAAAACAAGGACGGGAACGGAAAAGGAUUUGCAGGAGAUCGGGUGACACAGUUUGGGGGGCAUGGGGCAUUCUUCCUGUUGAACUUUUGGUUUCAAUAUUGUUAAAGUUAAGUAUCAUGGACUACCUGUCAUUUAGCGGUGUUUGUAAAUCUUGGAGGUCUGCAUCUAUUGAUUUCCGCAAAUAUUGUAUGGAGCACCAGCAACCCCUAAUUGUUGUUCGGCCAAAGUAUUCAAAAAAGUCUUGUGUAUUGUACAAUAUGUUCGAUAUGAAAAGUUACAAAACAAUGCUGCCAGAUUUGCCUUGCAAGAAAUUAAUGGGUUUGUCAUGUGGGUACCUGAUUACAAUUGACAGAAACCUAGGCUUUUGGCUCGUAAAUUUAAUGACAAAACAUGAGCUGCGUUUUCCCUUCCUUCGUGAUAUGGGUGACAGAAAUUGGUUUGAAUUUUCUGCUCGCCUCUUUCGGUCCACUCGGCUUUCAGAAACUUUCAUGGUUCUUUUCUCUCGGACAAAAAAUUAUAUUUGGUUAUCCAAAUGUGGCAGCAGCAGUUGGCAGAGAUAUGCUUUAUUCGACACAAAAGCCAGGAUUGCAGAUGUGAAGAUUUUUUAUGGCAAAAUCUUUGUUUUGACUUCAGAUGUACGUUUUGGAGAAUUUAAUCCGAAGGCAGGUUCUGUUCCGAAGUUCUCCAAAAUCAGAAUCCCUUUCCAGGUUUCAUCUAAUAUGUAUUUGAAGUUGGUAGCGUCAGACAAUAAGCUAUACAUGACUGUAUUGAAUAGUCAUCUAUAUCCUGCAUUGGAACGAUAUCUUUCAUUAUUCGAAAUUGACCAUGAGACAAUGGAUAGAGCAAAACAGAUUCAUGACUUGGGUGCAAAAUCUUUAUUUCUUAGUUCGUACAGUUCCGCUGUCGUCAAUACAACUGGUUGGGGAGCAGGUAACUGUGUCUGUCUUCUUCACUUUAAAGAUUUGAAUAAAUGUUCUUUCUUUAACCUGAAUGGAAAUCGGCUAGGAACAACUCCUGUUGUUUGGGAUGGUCAUUUAUUGCCAUAUUUUUGGUAUUUUCCUAGUGAAAUUUGGUCAAUUAGUUGUGUCAGUGAUGAGUUUGGCGCAUGAUCACUUCUAAAUCUCAUUCAGUUUUUUUCAUUAAGUCUGUAGUUUUUAUCUUCAUCUUACAUUAUGGAACUGUAAUGUUUGCCUUAGAGGCCCCAGACAAAACUCAAAUGUCAUUCUUUGUAUUUCUUAUUGGCACCAUGUCUUUUCGUGUAUAAUACAGAUUCAUAAGGAAAAAUUUCCCAAUUUGAAGCUGUAGUUUAAUAUAGUUAUAUAUUUUUACUGAGCAAACUUUAAUUUAUAGAUGAUUACUUUAUUUCUGAAUUAUGGUAGUGACAAACAGAUAAGUUAAUUUUCAAGAAGGAGAUGCAGUUUCUUCCAUCUCUUUUUCCUGCUAGAUCUUUGCAUGUCCAACUCUUUUUCCAGCCGCUGUGUCAUCAAGUGCUGCUUACUUAAACCAACUCCUUAAUUUCUGAAUGAAGGGCCUUUAAGUCUGUCCUUCCAAACAAACUCCUCUUGUUCAAAUGAGUCUUGGCAAAACUAUUCUUGCUCAACUUUACAACCAUACCCAGACUUUCCACUGGAGAUUGUAUCUCUUCGUAAGUGCAUUCUGGAUUCAUAUGUAUAGUCUACUGUUCAGUAUAAUUGUUCGAUUUUUUUUUAAUAAGCCAGACAAAAAGAUAUUGGGGUGUUUGGUUGGGCUUAAAACCUCAUCUUUCAAACUUAUAAGUACUCAGAUGUAACUCAUUUGUACUGUUUGUGUAAAAAAUUGAUCAGUGAACUUCUUACUUAUAAGCUAAAUCCGAAAAGUUGAAAAUCUUAACUUUUUUUAAUAAAUUAUUUUUAUUUUUAAAAUUUGAUUUUACAAAAAAUAAAGGAUCAUUUUAAAAGAUCAUUUAUAAUAAUUUAUUAUUAUGUUAAUAAUUUUUAUCCUUCGUAAAUAUUAAAGUAAUGAUCCAAACACAUAAAUUAAAAGAUAAUUUUCACUUGUAUGGUAUGACUUUUUAUUUAUAAUCAAUAUGCACAUGGUUAUGCCAAACCGCCUCAAUAUUCCGGUACCUUUAUCACAUCAUCACUUCUGCGGUUUCCACAAUCCUACAUGAUGAUCUUAAUACAUUAAGUCCACCCACCAUUUAUUUUUUGCAGAUAUUUCUUCUACUUUUUUCUCUUUCUCUGCAAUAGUCUAAGCUCUGGUUUAUCUUCUAUAUCUUAUUUUAAAUGGGCAAGGAAAAUUGCUUCUCCACUUCUAUAAAGAUUACAUCCAUCUUUUGCAUUGGUUUCUGAAUCAAUUUUCAGAGAUCACUUUCAUGACUAAGUAGCAGCCAAACUCACAAAUCUUUUGAGUCAUCAUGAACAAGUUCUGAGAAAUUCUCUCUGGAAGAAGUCGCAUUUGUUUGUUCCUGCCGUGUUGAACUCAUGGUAGAAGUGUGCGAUUAAUUUAAAUUUUUUAGACCUAUACAUGUUGGGAGUGCUUGCAGUGUUGUCCUCAUUCAGUAUUUUGGAUCUCUAUUUCUCAAAUUCGCCUCCUGUUUGUAUUACGAUUACACCUUUUUCUAGGAAUCGCUUCUAAGGGAGUAGCACCAUUACGCCUUUGCAUGAAUUUAGAAAGAAAUUAUCCCAAUAUCCUAACACCAUAGAGGUUGGUCGCAAGUGCUACAUGCAUGUCUGGAGAAAUUACAGAAUAUAAGAUGUAUCGCUUGUAAAAUAUGACAUAGAGUCUACGUACUUCAAUUAAAUCUCAUUUCAACUCUAGAAUGCAAGAAGCUGGUAUGGUUGUAAACGCUAGAUCACACAGUUGGUGAUUCUUAUUCCGUGUAGAUCUGAUCCAAAAAAUAUCUAGGGAUUCUAAGGGAAGCAAAAAAUGGUGUAAAGUAAACAAUAAAUGCUAAAAAUAGAGCUAUAUAUAUGCUAAAAAUAGGGAUAAGGGGUAAACCAUAUCCCUAGUUCUCCUUAACAACCACAAACCCUAGUUCAAAAAAUUACUUGGCCUGUAUUGCGUAAUCACCACUAUGUCGUAUACAAAUUAAUUGUUUCAACAACCAUAAAUUUAAUAAAAUACAUGGAAGCAACUAAGCACCGAGACAGAGAAUUUGCCUCUCGAGUGUUGAUCAGCAAAAAGCUUCAUUAUCCUCAGUGCCUAAAAGUUAAAUUAUUUAUCAAUCAACAAUUGCGCACUGUUUUGGGAGAAGAGAAAUCCCAUCACUUAGCACUUUCAGCGCAUUAAGGGAGCGGAAUAUAUUAAGAGAAAGCUUAUUUGAUCUUCAUUAGUGUGAUUCAAGUUUGUUAGGGAGAGCUGAACAGAAUGAAACUGUUAAAAUUGACUUGUUGCUCCAUAAGCUGUAUUUACAAGUAUAUACACUAACAACACUAACAGAAUAUUCCUACAACUACUCUAACUAACUAUGUAGCUGGAAGCUUCUAGAACAUUUAUUUACAAUACAUGUACAUAGAUCAAUACCCCCUUCAAGCUAGGCAUCAAAGAGGAUCAAAUAGAGCAAUUUCCUGAUAAAUCUUCUAUACACUUCUGGGUCAGGCAACUUUAAAACAUCCUUUGUGCUUGGAUGCAAGCCUUUUAAUAAUGGAAAACCAGCAGCCAAGUGAGUAUUAGCUGAUAAAUUCAAUAUAUACUUCCUCUGAUCUAACUGAAUUCCGGCUUCAGUUCUAAGAAUCUCAAUGCUAAGUAAAUACUUCAAAUCAGCCAGACUUUUAAUGGUAAUUUUUUGAUGCAGUAAGGAUUUGAUAGAGCAUCUCCAAUAGCCUCCUAACCCACUCUUAAAUUAUAUAUAAAAUAUUAGACUUCUAGUAAGUUGAUGCAAAUUUAGGAGUCUCAAUUCCAACAAUAUUCUUUAUACUUGCUCUUAAGUUAAUAUUUUAUUCUUGUUUGACUGGUAUAUGUCACAAACUCAAAUGUAAUUGGAGGCAAUGAAUAUUUAUUGUCAAAAAUAAGUUAAGAGUUUUGUAGUGGUUCUUAACUUUGAGGAGAGAGGAGAGAGAAACAAGAGUCUCUUAGUGACAUGAAGAGCUACUAAGAGUCUCUUGCACCAAAAAUUUCUUUCUCCCUACUGAAAUUUCAAUUUAAGAGCUCAUUUAAGAGUCUCUUGGAAAUGCUCUAAGUCUCAAGUACGAGAAAGCUAAAUAUAUCACAUUUUAACUUUUUUUUACAAGAAAAUCAAUUUUCAAGUAGAUGGACCACUAUGAUACACAUUCUUUAAAUGGGUAUCCCUAUAUAUUCAUUCUCAAAAUGGGUGUCACAUAUAAAUUAAUUUUUAAGAAGACCAAUAUAUAUAAAUUAAUUUUUAAAAACACAAAUACACAUUCUCAGAAUAGGUAACGGUAAUACUCACUCUUUGGAUAAUAACAUUCCUAAAAUUUAAUUUUUCAUUAUUCAAAAUAUUUUAUCAUAUACACCCUCCGUCCCAAAAUAGUUGUCACAUUUGGUUUUGUGCCGGUCAAAUUGACUAAAGUUUGACUGAAAUUUAUUAAUAUUUUAUCAAUUGACAAAAUAAAAAAAAUAUGUCACCGGAAAUAACUUUUAAUCUACUUUAAGAUAUAAUUUUCAGUUUUUUAAAAUAAUGAGUGAUUAAGUUAUAAUCUUUGGGCAAAACUUAGUCAAUUUGACCAACAAAAAUAGAAAUGUGACAACUAUUUUGGGACGGAGGGAGUACAACCCAACCCCCCACACAUAUAUAUUACCGUAUAUUAAACAAACAACCCCACCAUCUAUAUUAUCAAUUAUCGCUAAAAAAUUAUAAACAUCAAAUAUUUAUAAAUUGGUCACUCAUUCUCAAAAAGAUAAUAGACCAAGAUUCUUGAUCAUUAAUUUUAAAGGUAAUAUAUAAAAAUCACGGUAUUUUGGUUUUUUUUCUCUAGCUCCUCGCUUAGUUUUAAGGUAGAAAAUGACUACUCCAUUGUACCCUCUUUAUCAUAAUUUCAUACAAUCAUAUUUCAAAUAUCAGGUCUAGAAAAUAUGGAUUCAAAUAUCAUCUUAUAACGUUAUCAUUGAUAUUUAUAAUUUUUUAUUUAGCAUGACACACCUUUUCUUACUCCAUGCACACAAGAAAAUCACCUAAAACCCUAAAAAAUAAAAAAUUAACAUAAUGUGGCUAGAAGCAGUUUCUGCUUCUGGCUUCUGCUUUUUUUACCCGUUUGUGUAAAGAAGUAAAAAUACUUUUAAGAAGCUGAGAAUGCUGACUACUCUCUCACAGCUUUUUUUCGAAACACUUUAUUAACUUAUUUCCUUUUCAUUUUUACUCCACUUCUUUAAUUUAAGCAAGAAAUCACUUCUGUUAAGCUAAGUCAAACAUUCCCAAUACAACAUGUAUUACUUGACCAAUGACCAGAUAACGCUGAUGGACUAAUAUAUAUUUUCGCAAAAAACUAUGAUCUAUAUAUUAACUUAAUCUUGGAUUCAGUUUUAUAUUUAUCAAAUGAGUUCAUGUAUGUGAGCAAUCUGUGAAAUUGUGAUUAAGUUAAUAUAUGGAUCAUAGUAUUUUUGAAAAAAAAUAUUAGUCCAUCACCGUUGUCCGGUCAAUGGUCAUGUAAUUAAGCCUUGGGGGUAGUGAUCUCGUCCGGUCGAACUCAAUUGAUCUGUACUGCGGUAUAUUUAUACUAACAUGUGUCGCCAUAUAGUGCAAUCUCACCAACUUAUCACCACAUCUUGACCGUCCAUCUCUCCAUAUAUCAAUCCUAUGUCAACCCAUGUCUCUUUUUUAUUUAAGAAAUUUUGAGAGCACUACUGAAGGGCGAUUUGCGGUGGACUACGCUUCUUUCCGGUGAGUGGACUACGCUUCUUUCCGGUGAGUGGGCGGAAAAAUUCAAGAGUUGAAUUACUUAUGAAUUGACAUUUAUAGUUCAGGGACCUAGAAAAAAAAGUGUCUAUAGUUCAGGGACUUUAUAAUUAACUUUCCCUAUAAUAUAUAUUUAAAGAAGCUAUAAAAAACCAUUUAAGUUGUUAAGCGAUUUUGGUAGGUAACAUAACUUAGACAUUCAUCAGUAUAUGCCCUACUUAAUUUGUUUACUACACAAACCUGAAAAAGGUCUAAGUACUAUGAAGUACCACUUUUUUGACAUUUUUGAUUUCUGUGUGAUCCUUCAAUCAGAAUUAUUGGAUAUCGUAUGCUUAAAAUUUAUGUUUAAUUAUGAUGCCAACGAAAAAGAAAAUGAAGACUGGAAAAAAAACUGGUUUCAUGCUGUCAAAAGAUGUGGACAGUAAAAUCUUUUCUGUGGAUAUCCCUUUUUACUUUUUGUACAUGUCAAUUUAAGUUGAAUUCCUUCUACAAACUUGUAAAGAGUACUAGUAAAUGUCUGAAAGAAGCACAAGGAAAACUAAGAUAUUUCCAGUCUGACCAUUAUGUAUUGUGUGGUUAUUAGGAAGAACAAGAGCUUGAGAGAGUCAGCCCAUUUUUUCAACGAAGGCAGAAUGGAAGGGGUUGAAUGGCCUUCCUUGGCUGGAAUGGAAAAGGCAUUUUGUAAUAAUGUUCUGAGGCGGAUUGGUGAUUUUUUUGCGGGGCGGUUGAUAGUUGACUAUUCCAGGUAACUAUGUUUUGAAUUUGCUCUAUGUAAAUAUUAUAAAUUUUUUCUUGAAGUUUUGGAGUUCCUGGUUUGGGGCAUCAAAUCCUUACGUAGUAAAAAUCAAAAGUGUGGCUAAAUCUCAAGUCCCAAGAAGUGCAUGUAUACAGCAAAUAAAAGAAUAAGCACCCCUUGGAAGGGAGGAGAAAAUAGUCCUGGCUAAAUCUCAAGUGAAUAAAGUUAAUUGGUUGUGCUAAAAUAGAUGGAGUUAUUGCAAUAAUUUCCAAAUACAUCCCACUUUUGAAUAUAAAUAUGACUAACUUUCAAAGACCCUGCACUUUCAAGUAAUUUUUCAUACAUUUUUUAAUCAUUUUAUACUUUCAAGUAACUAUGUUAUGGAUUUGCUGUAUAUGAAUAUUAGAAAUUUUGUCUUGAAGUUUUGGAGUUCCUGGUAUGGGGCAUUGGUAUGGGGCAUCUGAUCCUUACAUAGUAACAUACUCCCUCUGUCCCAAAAAGAUUGAGCUGGUUUGACUUUCACUGAGAUUAAGAAAAAGGUAAUAAAAAAGAGUAAAUUUAGUUGAAAAGUGGGUAAAGUGGUGGGACCUGUCAAAAUUUAAUAAUAGAUUUGAGAUAAUGGAGGAAGGUAUAUAUUGCGUGUAAUAGUGUUUAUUUAAUAAAAAGAGAGUAAAAAAUUGAGAGGUAGUGCGUGUAAUAGUGAAAAGUAGUGUUCAAAAAUAGUAAGUAUAAUAAGUUCAAUCUUUUUAGGACGUCCCAAAAAGGAAUUAGGGUCAAUUAAAAUGGGACGGAGGGAGUAUAAAAGUGUGGGAGACUAAAGUCUUGGCUAAAUCUCAAGUCCCAAGAAGUGCAUGCAUACAACAAAUCAAAGCAUGAGCACCCUUCUUGGCUAAAUCUCAAGUCAAUAAGAGCAUGUCAAUUGGUUGUGCUAAAAUAGCUGGAGUUAUUGCUAUAAUUUAGCAUCAAAAAGUGAUUUUUUGUGCACCAAUUGGUUUCAAAUCUUGUUUCACAUUUAAACAACUUCCAUAUACAUAACACAUUUAAAUAUAAAUAUGCCUAACUUUCAAAGACCCCACAAUUUUAAUACUUUCUUAUACAUUUUUUCAUCAUUUUAUGGUUUAGCAAUUGUAGAUCCAUCUAUCUUUUGUUCUAAAUAUUGAACAAACUAUAGCAUUGUUCUAUUUUAGAAAAAGAUAUAGAAUACCCUUGGAGUAGGGAAUUUUUAAUUUUUGUUCUAAAAUAUAGAUAUAGAACAAGAUUAUUGGACUUGCCCUAAGGGAUUCUACUAAAAACAUGGUUUAUAUUUACCUCACUCAGUUAAAAUUUUAAUCAAAAAUUAAUGUUACCUACUUUCUUUUGAAGUAUGCAUUACGUAUAUACUUGUGCCCACCUAAACUAGAAUGCUAUUGUAAAAGUAUCAUAUGCCAGUUCCUUUAUCAAGUUCCUGGGAAGUUAACAAAUAUGUUUGGUUGUGGUGUAGGAAUUUUCGGUGCCCGGGGUGUGAUAUAAGCAAGUUUCUAUAUUAUGCAUGUGGGGAAUUCCAAUUUCCUAGGAAGUUCCAGACUUCCAGUUUCCAUAUAGCGGUCAACCAAAAAAUCUUUCAAUUUGCUAGAAAGUUUAAAUUCCUAGAGAUUUACAUGUUAACCAAACUACCUCUUAUAAAUCUAGUUAUGGUACAUUAGGAAGAUUACAUUCUUACUAGGGAACGUUGAAGUUCUCAUUUCGGAAAGAUGUCGAGUAUGCACACUCUUAAUCCAGUUCUGAUUAAAAAAUUUAGAUUUUAGUGGCCUUAACAUAAACUAUGCACUGAUUUGCAUUUUAAUAUAUGAACCGUCAGUGAAUUAGCUUCCAGUAAGCUUUAUUAUCUUCUAAUGUCUAGCUGCAGAACUUUUUACUGUACUGGCAAAAGGAACAAUCCUACUCUAGUUUCUCCUCUAUGUGUUAAAUCAAGUUCUUUUAAAUCUUGCAAAGGAUGAAUCUGUCUUUAAGAAACAUCUGUAAAAAUAAUGCAUUCCGUUUUCAACAAACUACUAAAUCUUUCUAGAUAAAAUUCAUUUGAAUGGGCAUGCUCAAUCUAGCUUUGUGGUGAGUUCUUCGUUUCUCUAUUUGUUAGCAGGAAUGCUCCGCGAACAGUAAAACAAGGAAGAAAACGGAAAAGGACUUGCAGGAGAUCGGGUGACUCAGUUUGGGGAGCUUGGGGAAUUCUUCCUCCUGAACUUCUGGUGUCAAUUUUGGUAAAAUUAAGUAUCGUGGACUACCUGUCAUUUAGCGGUGUUUGUAAAUCUUGGAGGUCUGCAUCUAUUGAUUUCCGCAAAUAUUGUAUGAUGCACCAGCAACCCCUAGUUGUUGUUCGGCCAAAGUAUUCAAAAUAGUCUUGUGUGUUGUACAAUAUGUUUGAUAUGAAAAGUUACAAAACAAUGCUGCCAGAUUUGCCUUGCAAGAACUUAUUGGGUUUCUCAUGUGGGUACCUGAUUACAAUCGACAGAAACUUAGGCUUUUGGCUUGUAAAUUUAAUGACAAAACAUGANUAGCUUCCAGUAAGCUUUAUUAUCUUCUAAUGUCUAGCUGCAGAACUUUUUACUGUACUGGCAAAAGGAACAAUCCUACUCUAGUUUCUCCUUUAUGUGUUAAAUCAAGUUCUUUUAAAUCUUGCAAAGGAUGAAUCUGUCUUUAAGAAACAUCUGUAAAAAUAAUGCUUUCCGUUUUCAGCAAACUACUAAAUCUUUCUAGAUAAAAUUCAUUUGAAUGGGCAUGCUCAAUCUAGCUUUGUGGUGAGUUCUUCGUUUCUCUAUUUGUUAGCAGGAAUGCUCCGCGAACAGUAAAACAAGGAAGAAAACGGAAAAGGACUUGCAGGAGAUCGGGUGACUCAGUUUGGGGAGCUUGGGGAAUUCUUCCUCCUGAACUUCUGGUGUCAAUUUUGGUAAAAUUAAGUAUCGUGGACUACCUGUCAUUUAGCGGUGUUUGUAAAUCUUGGAGGUCUGCAUCUAUUGAUUUCCGCAAAUAUUGUAUGAUGCACCAGCAACCCCUAGUUGUUGUUCGGCCAAAGUAUUCAAAAUAGUCUUGUGUGUUGUACAAUAUGUUUGAUAUGAAAAGUUACAAAACAAUGCUGCCAGAUUUGCCUUGCAAGAACUUAUUGGGUUUCUCAUGUGGGUACCUGAUUACAAUCGACAGAAACUUAGGCUUUUGGCUUGUAAAUUUAAUGACAAAACAUGAGCUGCGUUUUCCCGUCCUUCCUGGACAUAUGGGUGCCAUAAACUGCUUUGAAUUUUCUGCUCUCCUCUGUCGGUCCGCUCGGCUUUCAGAUUCUUUCAUGGUUCUUUUCUCUCAGACAGAAAAUUAUAUAUUGUUGUCCAAAAGUGGCGGCAGCAGUUGGCAGAGAUAUGUUUUAUCCGACACAGAAGACAAGAUUGCAGAUGUGAAGAUUUUUGAUGGCAAAAUCUUUGUUAUGACUUCAGAUGUACGUUUUGGAGAAUUUAAUCCGAAGGCAGGUUCUGUUCCGAAGUUCUCCAAAAUCAGCAUCCCUUUCCCGGUUUCAUCUGAUACUUUUUUGAAGUUGGUGGCAUCAGACAAUAAGCUAUACAUUACUGUAAUAAAUUGUUAUCCUUAUCCUGCAUUGGACCGACAUCUGUCAUUAUUCGAAAUUGACCACGAGACAAUGGAUAGAGCAACACAGAUUCAUGACUUGGGUGCAAAAUCUUUAUUUCUUAGUUGGUUCAGUUCUGCUGUCGUCGAUACAACUGGUUGGGGAGCAGGUAACUGUGUCUGUGUUCUUCACUUAGGAAGUUUCAAUGCAUGUUCUUUCUUUAAACUGAAUGGAAAUCUGCUAGGAACAAUUCCUGUCGUUUGGGAUAGUCAUUCAUCUCCAUAUUUUUGGUAUUUUCCUAGUGAAACUUGGUCCAUCAGUUGUGUCAGUGACGAGUUUGGCGCAUGAUCACUUCUAAAUCUCAUAUCAGUUUUUCUAAUUAAGUCUGUAGUUUGUAUCUUCAUCUUUCAUAAUGCAACUUUGUACUAGUUCCAUUUUGAAAACUUUUAUACAUUGAUGUUGUAAUGUUUGCAUUGGAGGCACCAGAACUCAAAUGUCAUUUUCUUUAUUUCUUAUUGACACCUUGUUUGUUCGUGUAUAAGACAGAUUCUUUGGUGAAAAAUUCCCAAUUUGAAGCUGCAGUUUCUGCAGUUUAAUAUAGUUAUAUAUUUUUGUUAAUCAAAGUUUAAUUUAUAGAUGAUUACUUCGUUUCUGAAUUAUUGUAGUGACAGAUAGAUGAGUUAAUUUUCAAGGAGCUGCAGUUUCUCGUUGGGAAAUGAUUUCUAUAAUUUCUGAAUGAAGGGCCUCCAAGUUUGUCCUUCCAAACAAACUGAUCCUCUCUCUCAUCAAAUGAGUUCCUUUGGUCCAAAAGCUAAUAUUAUAUUAUAUUAGUUUGGGUGAAACUAAGUGGAGGUCUGAACCGACCUGUUUGAUACUGGAUAAAGCAAAUCUUGGUUGAUCUCAGUUUGCCUUGUUACACUGACGUAUUAGAACUGAUACCUACAUGUGCUCGAUUCGAUCUAUUUCUUUAUCUCCCCAUGCAUCGUAUGUUUGUAACAAUACGGACAGAAUUUUCAACUUUACAAUUAAUCCAGACUUUCCAAUGGAGAUUGUAUCUCUUCACAGGUGCAUUCUAGAAUCUAGAUUCACAUGCAUAAUAUACUAUAUAGUCUAAUUGAUCGAUUUUCUUAAUAAGCUGGACAAAAUGAUUGGCAGGGCUUAAAAGCCCAUCUUUGGACUUACAAGUCAGUAACACAUUGGUAUUGUUUGCCUAAAAAACUGAUCAAUGAACUUGUGACUUAUAAGACAGAAUAUGAGAAGUUAGAAAAUCUCAACUUUUUUUAGUCUUAUUUUAGAAAUUUCAUUUUACAGGAAAGCAAAGGACCACUUUAAGAAAUAAUUUAGAAUAAUUUAUUAUUAUAAUAAUAAUUUUAUACCCUGUAAAUAUAAAAAAAUGAUCCAAACAUAUAAAUUAAAAGUUAAUUUUCAUUUAUCUUUUUACGUUUAAUCAAUAAACACAUCUUUUACAGCCUCAUUAUUCUCGUACCUUUAUCAGAUCACAUCCACGCUUCUGCAAUUUCCACAAUCCUACGAGAUGAUCUCAAUACAGUCCACCCACCAUUUAUUUUUUACAGAGAUUUCUCCUACUUUUUUUCUCUUUCUCUGCAAUCUUCUAAGCUCUAGUUUAUCUUAUAUAUCUUAUUUAAAUGGGCAAGGAGCAUUGCUUCUCCACUUCAGUAACCACAUGUGAAUUUGAGCUUCUAAAAAUCAUCCCAAUAUUCCAACACCAUAGAGGUCGGUCCGGAGUGCUACAUGUCUGGAGAAAUAACAGAAAAUAAUUUGUAUAGCUAGUAAUAUAUGACACAGAGUCUAAGUACUUGAAGCAAUUCUCAUUUUAAGUCUAGAAUACAAGUGGCUGGUAUGGUUGUAAAUACUAGAUCACAUAGUUGGUGAUUCUUAUUUCUCGUAGAUCUGGUCCAAAAAUACAUUUAGGGAUUCCAAGGGAAGCAAAAAAUGGUGUGAAGAAAACAAUAGAUGCUUAAAAUAGAGCUGUAAAGUGAGAUGUAAAAUUACAAGCAACACCUUACCUGGACAAAAUGCAUGUAAACCAUACCCCUAGUUCUCCUUAAAAACCGCAAAUCCCAUACAUUCUCGUCGUUCAGACGAGUUCAAAAAAUUACUUGGCCUGUAUUGCAUAAUCAACACUAUAUCAUAUACAUAUUCAUCGUUUCAACAACAAAAUUUUUUAAUAAAAUACAUAGAGAGCAACUAAGCACCGAGAUAAAGAAAUUGCCUCUCAAGAGUUGAUCAGCAAAAAGCUUCAUCAUCCUCUAGUGCCUUAAAUUUGUAUUAUUUUUCAGUCAACAAUUGCGUAUUGGAGAGGAGAAAUCCCAUCACUUAGCACUUUCAGCGCAUUAAGGGAGCGGAAAAAUGAUAAGAUAAAGCUUAUUUGAUCUCCAUUAGUGUGAUUCAAGUUUAUUUGGUGGUUCAAGUCUUUGGCUUCUCCCAAGAAGUUAAUGUGUACGCUAUAGCAAAGCCAAAAUAUCACUUUUUAACUCUUUUUUUCUACAAAAAUAUCAUUUUUAGAUAGAUGAUUAAAAAUAUAUAUUCUCAAAAUAGAUAUCACAUAAAAAUUUAAAUUUAAAUUUUUAAAAAGACAGAUUCGCAUUUUCAGAAUGGCUAACCCCAAUAUUCAUUCUAAGAAUAAUAACUUUUUUUAAUUUUAUUUUUUUAUUAUAAAAAAUAUCUUAUCAUAUAUAACAACACACAAUGACCAAACAUAUAUAGCAUCCUUUAUUCAACACACAACACCAUCACCUACAUUAUCAAUUAUCCCUAAAAAAUUUAUAGAUAUUAGAUCAUGAUAAAUCGGUCACUCAUUCUCAAAACGACAAUAAAAUAAUAUUUUCAAUCAUUAGUUUAAAAAAUGGUAUGUAAAAGUAUGGUAUUUUUGUAUUUUUCUCUGUAAUUCCUUAUUUAAUUUUCAAGGUAGUAAAUGACAACUUUUAAGAAGAGGCAAUCAGCCUGCACUGCAGAUCCCCUUCCCUUGUUGAGUACUACCUCUCUUCUUAAAUUUGUUAAAUACAAUUCUGAUACGCAUUCUUAAAAUGAGUAUCAAAAUAAUGGUAAAAAAACACAAGUAUCAAAAUGUAUACAUUUUCAAAAUAGGUAUGGCUUCUAAAUCAAUUUUUUUAAUUUUUAAAAGGAUUGAUUCGUAUCCUCAAAAUUGGUACUGAGAUGCUCAUUCUUAAAAUAAUAACCUUCUUAAAAUUUUACUUUUUGUCAUCAAAAAUCUAUUAUCAUAUAUAAGACCAAACACAAAACACAUCAAUAUAAUAUAUUGAUGAUCAUAAUUUGAUCGAUCAUUCUCAAAAAAUAAUUAAAUAAUCUUUUUGAUCAUAAAUUCAAAAAAAGAGAUGUAUUUUGUGUUUUGUUUUAAGGCAGAAAAUGAUUACUUUUAAGCAGAGGCGACCAGGCGGCAGCCCUACAGAGCCCCUUUCCCCUGUUCAGUAUCACCUCUCUUCUUAAGUUUGUUAACACGAGAGACCAUUUGUGCGGAAUCUUUAAUCUAUGGAUUGGGAUGUUUUUGUGCUGGAAAUUUCAGAUGGGAAAAAGGCUUGUGUAUAUGGUAUAAACCCAUCCAAUCUUUUAUGUUUCUGCUCAUCUUUUUAGUCAAGUUUGUUAUUCAUAUACAUUGUCUGUGGGAUCUAAUUUGGAUGGUAUAUUAGCUGAGGUGUAUUAUAUGAUUGCCACAAAAAAGGUUUUGAUCAAGGUCUGAUUUGGUGUUUGAUAACAGGCUUAUGUACAGUGGUUGUUCAUGGUAAAUUAUUCGAGAGUUUGGUCUCAAGUAGCAAAUGUUAUGCAAGGAGGCGAUAAUCUUGAACAGAGAAUGGGGGCAUGGUCUUGAAGGAAACAGGUGUGAGCGCUUCCAUGUAAUUAGUUUAUUGUAGUGGUUUUAUUUGUUACUUCCCGUGUGCUGUUUCAUGAUACUAAAUCUACACAAAUCAUAUUUUUUUGUCAUGUUAGGAGUGUUCUUGUGUAAUGGUUAAUUUCUGGUGUUCAACUAAUUUGAUAAAGAUAACAAAUAGGUCAUCAAUACGGAAGAUCAAUAUAGAAAGACAUGUUUUAAGGAACAAUAAUGCGAAAAUCUAAGACUUUGGGAGCAAACUCAAGUACAGCAUGGAUGGAAGUAUUUGCUUUCUACCAUGCAGUAGUUUCGAUAACAUAGGGCUAGCAGACCCAAUGUUGAACAUAAUGAAUGUGGCACAUUGAGGCACUUUCAAUUUGUAAAUGUUACUCGUUCUAAACGAAUGUUUAAACAUAAUGAAUGUGGCUUUUGAAAGAUAAGCAUGCUUAGGUGCUAUUUAAAUCAUUUAAGAGAAAGCCCAGACUUCUUAUAAUUUCGCUUUAUCAUUUCCUUCCUACUGGUCCUGGGAUUAGACUAAAUUACGCUACAACUAGUUGUGAUUUCCAACAGAAAAAAAAUUAAUAUCACUCUAGUAAACAAAUUCUACAAUCCUCUGAAGGGAAGAUUUACUUGUCAAUCAGAUAGUACGGGCAAAAAAUGAACAGAAAUGGCAAUGGAACUUGCCAACUCACCUGAAAUUACCCUAUUCCGUGGCAAAUCGCCCUUUUGUAGUGCUCACAAAAUUUUUAAAAUAAAAAAGAGACUUGGGUGUAAUAGGAAAAGAUAUAUGCUGAGGUGGACAGUCCGGAUAAGGUGAUGGUUUGGUGAGACUUGCACCAUAUGACGACACAUGUUAGUAUAGAUAUACCCCUGCUACGGAUCAUUUGAGGUGGGCCGGAUCGAGAUCACUACCCUCAUGGCCGGAUUAAUAUAUAUUUUCAAAAAUACUAUGAUCAAUAUAUAUAUAUAUAUAUAUAUAUAUAUAUAUAUAUAUAUAUUAAUUAACUUAAUCGCGGAUUCACUUUUAUAUAUAUUGAAAGAGUUCAUGUAUAUGAGCAAGUUGUGACGAACACAAAAUCGGUAACUUUGCAAUUUAAUAUUGUCAUUUCCACGAGGUCAUUGGGUCAAAUCUAAUAAUUCUUUGUCCAUUUUUUACAAGAUUAAUAAUGCCCGGAUAUAAUUAGUGUGUAACACUAAAUACAAUUGUCACUACUUGCUCACAUACAUGAACUAUUCAAUUAAAAUAUAAGUAAAUCCGCGAUUAAGUUAUUAUAUGGAUCAUAGUAUUUCUUAAAAUACAUAUUAGUUCCUGACGAUUAUCCGGUCAUUGGUCAUGUAAUAAGCCUUUGGGGUAGUGAUCUCGAUCUGGCCCACCUCAAAUGAUCUGUGGUGGGGUUUAAUUUAUACUAACAUGUGUCGUUAUAUGGUACAAUCUCAGCAACCCAUUACCAUAUCCUGACCGUCCAUCUCAUCACAUAUCAAUCCUAUGUCGAACCAGGUCUAUUUUUAAUUUAAGAAAUUUUGAGAGCACUGCUUGACGGCGAUUUGCGGCGAACUAGGGUAAAUUUCAGGUGAGUUGGCGAGUACCAUUGUCGUUUCUGUUCAGUUUUUGCCCGUAUAAUUUGAUCAACAAGUAAAUCUUCCCUUCAGAGGAUUGUAGAUUUUGUUUACUAGAGUGAUGUUAAUUUUUGUUUUGCUGGACAUCACAACUAGAUGUUAGCUUAAUUUAGUCCAAUCCUUGGACCGGUCAGAAGGAAUUGAUAAAGCAAAACUGUAUGAAGCCUUGGCUUUCUCUUGAAUAAUUUAAUAAAUAAAAAUCCAAUACUCCAAUUUUAUUCAUGUAAUAAGUAUUGAUUAAGUUUCUAAACCUGCCAGAUAGUGUGGUAAUAUUAAUUUUCUGUUCACUUUUACUUNGGAUUAAUAUAUAUUUUNNNNNNNNNNNNNNNNNNNNNNNNNNNNNNNNNNNNNNNNNNNNNNNNNNNNNNNNNNNNNNNNNNNNNNNNNNNNNNNNNNNNNNNNNNNNNNNNNNNNNNNNNNNNNNNNNNNNNNNNNNNNNNNNNNNNNNNNNNNNNNNNNNNNNNNNNNGGACCUAACAGUGCCCUAGACACCUGACGUCAUCACAUGCAUGCAUAAUAUAUAUAAUAUAAUAUAUUAUGUUGUUAUUAUAUUAAUAAAUAAAAGUAUAUAUAAAUAUAUACACACAUAUAUAUUUUAUUUAUAUGAACAUAUAAUAAUAUAUGGACAUAUAUUUAAAUAUAUUCUCAUAUAUUUAAAUAUAUAUAAUAUGUAAAUAUAUGUAAAUACAAAUGUAAAUAUAUAUAUAAAUAUAUAUAGAGAUAUAUAUAGUUAUUUAUAUAUAUAUAUAUAACAUAAAUAUAUAUAAAGAAAGUAUAUAUAAUAUAUACAUAUAUAUAAUAUUUAUAUGAACAAAUAGUAACAUAUAUAUACACAUAUAUUUAAAUAUAUUCUCAUAUAUUUAAAUAUAUAUAAUAUACAUAUAACUAUGUGUAAAUAUAAAUAUAUAUAUAUAUAUAUAUAUAUAUAAAGAAUCAAUAAAACACCAUUUAAAUUGUAAAUCGAUUUUGGUAGGUAACGUAACUUAGACAUUCUGAUGUGUCUAUUAAAGCAACCUGAAAGAAGUCUAAGUACUUUGAAGUACCACUUUUUUGACAUUUUUGAUUUCUGUGUGACCCUUUAAUCAGAAUUAUUGGAUGUCGUAUGCUUAGAAUUUUGGAUGCUAAUGAAAAAGAAAAUGAAGACUGAAAAAAAAAUGGUUUCAUGCUGUCAAAAGAUGUGGAUAGUAAAAACUUUUCUGUGGAUAUCCCUUUUUUUUUGUACUUAUCCAUCUAAGUUGAAUUACUUCUACAAACUUGUAACAGUAGUAUUAUAUGUCUGAAAGAAGCACAAGGAAAGAUAUUUCCAGUCUAACUAUUAUGUAUCUGUGGUUAGGAAGGACAAAAGCUUGAGGGAAUCAACCCAUUUUUUCAACGAAGGCAGAAUGGAAGUGGUUGAAAAGCCUGCCUUGGGUGGAAUGGAAAAUGCAUUUUGUAAUAAUGUUCUGAGGCGGAUUGCUGAUCUUUUUGCGGGGCGGUUGACAAUUGACCAUUUCGGGUAACUAUGUUCUGAAUUUGCUCUAUAUAAAUAUUAUAAAUUGUGUCUCGAAGUUUUGGAGUUCCUGGUUUGGGGCUUCUAAUCCUUACGUAGUAACAAUCAAAAGUGCGGGCGACUGAACCUAAUUUAAUUAAUAUUAAGGCCACAAAUCCCAAGAAGUGCAUGUAUACAGCAAAUCAUAGCAUAAGCACCCCUUGGAAGGGGGGAGAAUAAGCUGAAUUUUAGCACCCCUUGGUUGUGCUAAAAUAGAUGGAGUUAUUGCUAUAAUUUAAUUAGCAUCGAAAAGUGAUUUAGUGCUAAAAUAGCACCAUGUCUCCAACGGUUGGUUUCAAUUCUUGUUUCAAAUUUAACUUCUUCAAAUACAUCCCACUUUUGAAUAUAAAUAUAACUAACUUUCAAAGACCCCACACUUUCAAGUACUUUUUUAUACAUCUUUUCAUCAUUUUAUACUUUAGCAAUUAUAGCUCCCUCUAUCUUUUGUUCUAAAUAUUGAACAAACUAUAGAAGAUAUAGAACACCAUCAUUGUCUACUAAAACUUUAAUUUAAAUGUUCCCUACUUUCUCUUGAAGUAUGCAUUAUGUAUAUAGUUGUGCCUUUGUAAACUAGACUGAUAUCGUAAAAGUAUCAUAUGCCAGCUCCUUUAUCAAGUUCCUGGGAAGUUAAAAAAUAUGUUUGGUUGUGGUGUAGGAAUUUGCAGUACCGGGGUGUGACAUAAGCAAGUUUCUACAUUAUGUGGAAAUUCCAAUUUCCCUAGGAGGUUCCACUUUCCAAAUAGCGAUCAACCAAAAAAUCUUACAAUUUGCUAGGAAGUUUAAAUUCCUGGAGAUUUACAUGUUAACCAAACUACCUCUUAUAAAUCUAGUUAUGGUUCAUUGGGAUGAUUGCAUUCUUACUGGGGAAUGUUGAAGUUCUCAUUUCGGAAAGAUGUUGAGUAUGCACACUCUUAAUUCAGUUCUGAUUAAACUAUGCACUGAUUUUUAUUUUAGAGUUAAUUACAGUUUGUAGCCCCUAGGAUUUCUCCAAACGCACUUAAGAUCCUGAACUAUCAAACGUGACAUAAUGCACCCUGAACUUUACAUUCCCGUGCAAGUUGUAACCCAUAGUCACUAUUCCGUCCAAAUAUGCCGUUAACUUUAACUGUUUGAGAGAUAAAAGUGUGUAUAUUAGUUUCUAACAGCUGCUUUACCCCUGUGACUCCUCAAAGUUUAUGUAUUAUAUUUUGAAAUUAUUUCUGAACACACACAACGAUGUAAAAAAUAUUAAAAUAAUUUUUAAAAUAUGUAUUUAUUUUAAAAUUUUAAAAUAAGUUACAUCGUUUAUGUAAAAAUAAUAAUAAAUUUUCAGAUUCUAAAUCUAGAUACAUAUUUUAAAACUUAUUUUAAAUUUUUUUACAUCGUUGUGUGUGUUCAGAAAUAAUUUCAAAAUAUAAUACAUAAUUUUUGAGGGGUCACAAGAGGUAAAGUAGCUGUUGGAAACUAAUAUACACACUGUUACCUCUCAAACAGUUAAAGUUAACGGCAUAUUUGGACGGAAUAGUGACUAUGGGUUACAACUUGCACAGGAAUAUAAAGUUCAGGGUGCAUUAUGUCACGUUUGAUAGUUCAGGAUCUUGAGUGCGUUUGGAGCAAUCCUAGGGGUUACAAACUGUAAUUAACUCUUUAUUUUAAUAUGUGAACCUUUAGUGAAUUAGUUUCCAGUAAGCUUUAUUAUCUUCUGAUGUCUAGCUGCAGAAGGAACAAUCCUACUCUAGUUUCUCCUCUAUGUGUUAAAUCAAGUUCUUUUAAAUCUUUCUGUCAAAAAAAAAAAAAAAGUUCUUUUAAAUCUUGCAAAGGAUGAAUCUGUCCUUAAGAAACAUCUGUAAAAGCAAUGCGUUCUGUUUUCAACAAACUACUGACUCUUUCUAUAUAAAAUUCAUUUGAAUGUGCAUGCUCAAUCUAGCUUUGUGGUGAGUUCUUCGUUCCCUAUUUGUUAACAGGAAUGCUUCACGACCAGUACAAGGAAGAGAACGGAAAAGGAUAUGCAGGAGAUCGGGUGACACAGUUUGGGGAGCAUGGGGCAUUCUUCCUACUGAACUUCUGGUGUCACUUCUGCUAAAAUUAAGUAUCGUGGACUACCUGUCAUUUAGCGGUGUUUGUAAAUCUUGGAGGUCUGCAUCUAUUGAUUUCCGCAAAUAUUGUAUGGAGCACCAGCAACCCCUAAUUGUUGUUCGGCCAAAGUAUUCAAAAAAGUCUUGUGUAUUGUACAAUAUGUUCGAUAUGAAAAGUUACAAAACAAUGCUGCCAGAUUUGCCUUGCAAGAAAUUAUUGGGUUUGUCAUGUGGGUACCUGAUUACAAUCGACAGAAACCUAGGCUUUUGGCUCGUAAAUUUAAUGACAAAACAUGAGCUGCGUUUUCCCUUCCUUCGUGGUAUGGGUGACAGAAAUUUCUUUGAAUUUUCUGCUCGCCUCUUUCGGUCCACUCGGCUUUCAGAAACUUUCAUGAUUCUUUUCUCUCUGAGAAAAAAUUAUAUUUUUUUAUCCAAAAGUGGCGGCAGCAGUUGGCAAAGAUAUGUUUUAUUCGACACAAAAGCCAGGAUUGCAGAUGUGAAGAUUUUUGAUGGCAAAAUCUUUGUUUUGACUUCAGAUGUACGUUUGGGAGAAUUUAAUCCGAAGGCAGGUUCUGUUCCGAAGUUCUCCAAAAUCAGCAUUCCUUUCCAGGUUUCAGCUAAUAUGUAUUUGAGGUUGGUAGCGUCAGACAAUAAGCUAUACAUGACUGUAUUGAAUAACCCUUAUCCUGCAUUGGACCAAUAUCUUUCAUUAUUCGAAAUUGACCAUGAGACAAUGGAUAGAGCAAAACAGAUUCAUGACUUGGGGGCAAAAUCUUUAUUUCUUAGUUGGUUCAGUUCUGCUGUCGUCGAUACAACUGGUUGGGGAGCAGGUAACUGUGUCUGUCUUCUUCAGUUCAGAUUUUUGAAUGCUUGUUCUUUCUUUAACCUGAAUGGAAAUCGGCUAGGAACAACUCCUGUUGUUUGGGAUGGUUAUUUAUUACCAUAUUUUUGGUAUUUUCCUAGUGAAAUUUGGUCAAUCAGUUGUGUCAGUGAUGAGUUUGGCGUGUGAUCACUUCUAAAUCUCAUGUCAGUUUUUUCUAUCAAGUCUGUAGUUUUUAUCUUCAUCUUACAUUAUGAAACUUUGUACUUGUCCCAUUAUGAAAACUUUUAUACAUUGAUGCUAUAAUGUUUGCCUUAGAGGCACCAGAACUCAAAUGCCAUUCUCUGUAUUUCUUAUUGGCACCAUGUUUGUUCCGUUGUUCGUGUAUAAUACAGAUUCUUAGGAAAAAGUUUCCCAAUUUGAAGCUGCAGUUUAAUAAGCAAACUUUAAUUUAUAGAUGAUUACAUUAUUUCUGAAUUAUUGUAGUGACAAAUAGAUAAGUUAAUUUUCAAGGAGCUACAGUUUCUUCCGUCUCUUUUUCCUGCCAGAUCUUUGCAUGUCCAACUCUUUUUCCAGCUGCUGUGUCAUCAAGUGCUGCUUACUUAAACAAACUCAGUUUCUGAAUGAAGGGGUCUGUCCUUCCAGACAAACUCCUCUUGUUCUAAUGAGUCUGGCAAAACUAUUCUUGUUCAACUAUACAACCAUAUCCAGACUUUCCACCGGAGAUUUUAUCUCUUGAUAAGUGCAUUCUAGAUUCAUAUGUAUAGUCUAUUGUACAGUCUAAUUAAUGUUUGUGUAAAUAACUGAUAAGUGAAUCUAUAAGCUAAAUUUGAACAUUUGAAAAUCUUAACUUUUUUUAGUAACUUAUUUUUAUUUUUGAAAUUUGAUUUUACAAAGAAAUAAAGGAUCAUUUUAAAAGAUAAUUUAUAAUAAUUUAUUAUUAUGUUAAUAAUAUUUAUACCCUGUAAAUAUUAAAAUAAUGAUGCAAACACAUAAAUUAAAAGUUAAUUUUCACUUGUAUAUAACAUUUUAUUUAUAAUCAAUAAGCACAUAGUUACGCCAAACAGCCUCAAUAUUCCUGUACCUUUAUCAGAUCAUCACUUGUGCAUUUUCCACAAUCCUACAAGAUGAUCGGAAUACAUUAAGUCCACCCACCAUCUAUUUUUUGCAGAUUUAUACUUUUUUCUCAUUCUCUACAAUAGUCUAAGCUCUAGUUUAUCUUCUAUAUCUUAUUUUAAAUGUGCAAGGAUCAUUGCUUCUCCACUUCUGUAAAGAUUACAUCCAUCUUAUGCUUUGUUUUCUGAUUCAAAUUUUAAAGAUCACUUUCAUGACUCAGUAGCAGCAAAGCUCGCAAAUCUUUUGAGUCAUCAUGAGCAUGUUCUGAGAAAUUUUCUCUGGAAGAAGUCCUAUUUGUUUGUUCCUGCCGAGUUGAACUCAUGGCAGAAGUUUGCGGUUAGUUUAAAUUUUUCAGACCUUUACAUGUUGGGAGUGCUUGCAGUGUUGUCCUCAUUCAGUAUUUUGGAUCUCUGUUUCUCAAAUUUGCCUCCUAUUUGUAUUAUGAUUACGCCUUUUUCUAGGAAUCGCUUCUAAAGGAGUAGCACAAUUACUCCUUUCCAUGAUUUUAAAAGAAAUCAUCCCAAUAUCCUAACACCAUAGAGGUUGGUCGCGAGUGCUACAUGUCUUGAGAAAUAACAAAAAAUAAGUUGUAUCGCUUGUAAAAUAUGACAUAGAGUCUAAGUACUUCAACCAAAUCUCAUUUCAACUCUAGAAUGCAAAUCGCUGGUAUGGUUGUAAACGCUAGAUCACACAGUUGGUGAUUCUUAUUUCGCGUAGAUCUGGUCCAAAAAAAAUCUAGGGAUUCUAGGGGAAGCAAAAAAUGCUGUGAAGUAAACAAUGCAUGAUUACAAGCAACACCUUACCUGGACAAAAUGCAUGUAAACCACAUCUAUGGUGCUUGCCUUCUCUACAUUUGUAUCUACCCCUUGGUUCUAUGGAAAUGAACUCAUUACCAAGAUUCACACAAUGUGACACAAGGAGGAACAUUGUUCACUUCCUGUCAGAGGCAACAUUGACCAAUGACCGCACAGUAUAUUCAUCUGGCCAAACUAAUGCUUCUUCGUUUUUCUAAUGGAUAGUUUGACUUUUUGACACACACUUCUGAAUCUUUUGACCGACUUUUAUCAUGUUUUUUUAAUAUUUUUAUCACCUAGCUCUUCAAAUAAUAUCCCAGUUCUCCUUAACAAUGGCAAAUCCCAUGCAUUCUCAUCGUACAGAUGAGUUCAAAAAAUUACUUGGCCUAUUGCAUAAUCAUCACUAUGUCGUAUACAGAUUCAUUGUUUCAACAACCACAAAAUUUAAAAUAUACAGAGAGGAACUAAGCACCACGACAGAGUACAUGCCUCUCAAGAGUUGAUCAGGCAAAAAGCUUCAACAUCCUCUAGUGCCUAAAAGUUGUCUUAUUUUUUAAUCAACAAUUGCAUACUGUUUUAGGAGAGGAGAAAUCUGAUCACUUGGCACUUUCAGCGCAUCAAGGGAUCGGAAAAAUGAUAAGACAAAGCUUAUUUGAUCUCCAUCAGUGUGAUUCAAGUUUGUUAGAGAAAGAAUGGACAGAAUGAAACUGUUAAAAUUGACUUGUUGCUCCAUGAGCUGCAUUUACAAGUAUAUAUACUAACAACACCAACAGAAUAUUCAUAUAACUAAUUUUAACUAAUUAUGUAUAGCAGGACGCUUCUACAAUAUCUAUUUACAAUAUAUGUACAUAGCUCAGUACCCCCUUCAAGCUGAGCAUCAAGGAGGAUCAAAUUGAAGACCGAGCUUGAUACUAAGAACUUCAUAGUGGAAAAAGCAGCUGGUGUACAAUCAGUCAAGUGAGCAUCUAUACUUCCUCUCAUUUAACUCAAUGGCAACUUCAGCUCUAAGAAGUAAGAACUUCAAUGCCAAGAAAAUACUUCAAAUCACCUGUAUCUUAUAUGGUAAAUUUUUGGUGCAAUAAGGAUUUGAAUAUUUGAUAGAUUAUUUAUUCGAAUAAUGAUAUUAAUUUUUAUUAUAUAAAAUUAUAAAAAUAAAUAAAUAAAAAAAAACAGCUCUUAUUAAGUUGUUUUAAGUUAUUAGUUGGUUUUGGGUGAAAGCCAAAAAUACCAGUUUUUUUAACUUUUCUUUUACAAAAAUAUGAACAUCCAAAUAGAUGGCCAAAGAUACCACUCUGAUAUGCAUCGUUAAAAUAGAUAUAGUCGGUGUCCAAAAAAUCCCCAAUUUAACCGAUUAAUCCCCUGCAAUGUGGAUGAUCGAUUCGAUUUUUGAAAUUUGAUUAAUCAUUAUAAUUUUUUUCUGAAUCGAAGUAUAUAUAAUAAUAUAUUAAAAUUAAAAUACUAUAUUGCUUUGAUUAUGAACAAUUGUAGAAUUUAUGAUGUAGUUAAUAUAUAUUGGUUAAUAAAUAACUAAUACAAUAUUAAAUAAUAUUUUAAUAUUAAAAUAUAUUUGAGUUUCACUUCGAUUAAUCAUUCUGAUUAAUCACUGAAUGAAUUCUGAUUAAUUUUAAAUUGGUAGCUCAACCGAUUACGUCUGAUUCUCGAUUUCUAUAACACUGGAUAUAACACAAAUGUUUUUUUUAUUUUUAAAAAAACUAUAUACAUUCUCAAAAUGAAUAACCGCGAACUCAUUCAGAAUACCUUCUUGAAAUUUUGUUUUUCAUCAUCCAAAAUAUUUUAUUAUAUGCAACACUCAUUCACUUACACAUAUCUUACAACUAUUUAUUCAACACACAACACCACCACAUAUAGAUCAGCUUUCUUUAUCCAUAUGAAAUCAUAGACAUCAAAUAUGGAUGAUCAUUCUCAAAAAUAUAAUAAAAUAUUAAUUUUAAUCAUUAAAUUAAAAGUUGAUAUUUUAAUAAAUAUAUGAAAAUCAUAGUAUUUUUGUCCAUUUUUUCUUUAGUUCCUCGCUUAUUUUCAAGUGAGAAAAUGACUAGUACUUUAAAAGCAGAGAAAACGAGGCUGCAGGUAGGGCUGUCAAAAAAAUCCGAAAGAUCCGAUAUCCGUCCGAAAAAUCCGUUACCGUAUCCGGGAAAAAACGGAUAUAAUCCGUAUCCGGAAUAAAACGGAUAUUAUCCGUAUUUGAAUCCGGGGUUUGCGGAUACGGAUAUGGAUAUAGGCGAAUCCGUAUCCGAAAUUAUUAUUAUAUGUAUAAUAAUAUUUAUAUAAAUUUAUUAUUUACUUAUAUUUUUUAUUUUAUCAUAUAAAUUUUGAAAAAGAAUUAAUAUUUAAAAUAAAAAAAAACAUUAAGUAUCUUGCAAAUGGAGAAAAUGGAACUAUCUUCAUCAAACUUUUUUUUUUUAAAAUUGUUGCAAAUAGUGUUGUUUUGUGAUUUUAAGUUGUUAAAAUUAAUAUUUUGUUCGAAAUAGUUGGCCUGAAUGCCCAAAUUUCUGUUGAAGUAUGUUAUUAAUUUCUGAUUGGGUAUACAUUUGCAGUUGAACGGUUCAAAAUAUGUUUUUUUUAAUUAAUCUCAGAAUGUAUAUUUGAUUUUUGGUGAUGUUUGAAAAAGCGGAUACGGAUAUUAUCCGUAUCCGGAUAUUAUCCGGCCGGAUACGGAUACGGAUCUUUUUAUUUUAAAAUUUGCGUAUCCGUAUCCGGAUCUAAUUUUGAGUAAGCGGAUACGGAUACGGGCAAAUCCGUAUCCGUUUUAUCCGUUUCACACCCCUAGCAACAGGUAAACAGGUUUAAAGGCUUCAAAUAUCAUAAAUUAAAGUUAAAAUGUGCUGAAUAUCGAUAUAACAUGGUGAAAUUUGGGGUCAUAAUUUCCAAUACAAGGCGUUAUUUCGAAAUUGCGAUAACCAGGGAGCACCCGCUUAACAGAGCCCCUUCCCUUGUUCAGUAUUACCUCUCUUCUGAAGAGACCAUUUGUGUGGAAUCUUUUAAUCAACGGAUUGGGAUGUUUUUGCGCUGCAAAUUUCAGAUGGUUAAAGGGCUUGUGUUUUUGGUAUAAACCCAUCAAUCUUUCAUGUUUCUGCUCAUCAUUUUUAGUCAAGUUUGUUAUUUAUAUACAUUGUGUGUGUGUUUUAUUUACAAUUAUAUCUUAUCUAAUUGGAACUUACAAAUAUUGUAGACAAAUUUAAUAUCCUGCACCCAAAUUUCCUGAGAAUCUAAUUUUGAUGAAGGUGUAAGCUGAGGUGUAUGAUAUGAUUGCCACAAAAAAAAGGUUAUAAUCAAGGUCUGGUUUGGUGAUUGUUAACAGGCUUAUGUACGGUGGUUGUUCAUGGUAAAUUAUUCAGUCGUAUCUUUCGGACCAAUCAAUGGACAGAAUACAUUCACUUGUAAUAUUCGAGAGUUUGGUCUCUAGUAGCAAAUGUUAUGCAAGGAGGUGAUAAUCUAGAGCAGAGAAAGGGGGCAUGGUCUAGAAGGAAACAGGUGUGAGCAUUUCUUGUAAUUAGUUUAUAGUAGUGGUUUUUAUUUUAUAAAUCCAGUGUGCUAUUUCACGCUAAAUCUGAAUCAUGUUUUAUUGUCAUGUUGGGAGUAUUCUUGUGUAUUGGUUACUUCCUGGUUUUCAACUUCUUUGAUGAUGAUAUCAAAAAAUAGGUCAUCAAUACAGAAGAUCAGUAUAGAAAGACAAGGUUUUAAGGAACAAUAAUACGAAAAUUUAAAACUUUGGCUGCAAAAUCAAAUAAAGCAUGCUUUGGCCAUGGAUGGACAUAUUUGCUCUGUACCAUCAGUAGUUUUGAUCACCUAGCGCCGGCAGACCCAUUAAUGUUGAAUAUUUGGCGAGCCCUGCGGCACAUUAAGGCACUUUUAAUUUGUAAAUGUGACCGGUUCCAAACGAAUGUUUAAACAUAAUGAAUGUUGCUUUAGAAAGAUAAGCAUUGUACUUGGAUAAUGCUUAGGUGCUAUUUAAAUCAUUCAAGAGAAGGCCCAGGCUUCUUAGCAUCUCCAAUGGGGGGUGCCAACUAAAAUUGCUUAAAAUGACAAAUCAUCAAAAAUAUUACUAUUUUAAUAUCUCUCUCUUUCGGCAACUUUUACAUAAAAAUUUGCUCCAAUGUUUGGCACCCAAAGUUGCCACAUAUUUGUAUAAGUAUAAAUAUAACAAGAUAGGAAACUAAACGACUUUAGGGUGAGUUAUGCACUUAUUUCUAUUUUAGGAGGGUGCCAAAAGUUUGCAAAUUUGCUUGGCACUCCUUCCACUCCAAUGGAGAGCCAACAAGAGUGCCAUGCCACAUCAUGACAUAUGACACUUUAGCACUCUUUUUGGCACCCCCAUUGGAGUUGCUUUUAUAAUUUCGUUUUAUCAAUCCCUUCCUACUGGUCCUGGGAUUAGACUAAAUUACGCUAACAUGUAGUGGUGAUGUCCAACAAAACAAAAAGUAAUAUCACUCUAGUAAACAAAUUCUACAAUCCUCUAAAAGGAUAGUUUACUUGUAGAUUCGAUAGUCAGAUAGUACAGGACAAAAUAUAAACAAAAAUGGCAAUGGAACGCGUCAACUCACCUGAGAUUACCCUAGUUCGUGGGAAGUCGCACUCCUGUAGUGCUCUCAAAAUUUCUUAAAUAAAUAAGAGAGACCUGGGUUGACAUAGAAUAAGAUAUAUGGUAAGAUGGACGGUCAGGAUAAGGUGAUGGGUUGGUGAGAUUUGCAUCAUAUGACGACCCAUGUUAGUAUGGAUGUACCCCACUAUGGAUCAUUUGAGGUGGGCCGGAUCGAGGUCACUACCCCAAGGCCUGUAACUUGACCAAUGACCGGAUAAUGCUGAUGGACUAAUAUAUUUUCGAAAAAAAACUAUGAUCCAUAUAUUAACUUAAUCCCAGAUUCACAUACAUGAACUCAUUCGAUAAAUAUAAAAGUGAAUCUGCGAUUAAGUAAAUAUAUGGAUCAUGGUAUUUUUUUAACAUAUAUUAGUCCCUCAUCGUUAUCCGGUCAUUGGUCAUGUAACAGGCCUUGGGGGUAGUGAUCUCGUCCGACUCAUCUCAAAGGAUCCGUAGUGGUGUACAUCCAUACUAACAUGGGUCGCCAUAUGAUGCAAUCUCACCAACCCAUCGCCUUAUCCUGACCGUCCAUCUUACCAUAUAUCUUAUUCUAUGUCAACCCAAGUCUCCCUUUUUUAUUAAAGAAAUUUUGAGAGCACUACUGGAGGGCGAUUUGCGGCGGACUAGGGUAAUCUCAGGUUAGUUGGCGAGUUCCAUUGCCGUUCUUGUUCAGUUUGUGCCCGUAUUAUUUUUUCUAUAAGUAAAUCUUCCCUUUAGAGGAUGUAGAUUUUGUUUACUAGGGUAAUGUUAAUUUUUGAUUUGCCGGACUUCACAAGUAGAUGUUAGCUUAAUUUAGUCUAAUCCGAGGAACGGUAUGAUGGAAUUGAUAAAGCGAAACUGCAGAGGCCUGAGCCUUCUCUUGAAUGAUUUAAUAAAUAAAAAUCCAAUACUUCAAUUUUAUUCAUGUAAUGUAAUAAGUAUAUUGAAUAAGUUUCUAAACCAGCCAGAUAGUGUGGUAAUAUUAAUUUUCUGAUCAGUUUUACUUGAUUGUUUCCUUUAAUUUACUGUUAAAAUCCAAUACAUAUAUAUAUUAUCUUGUUUUUAUGAUAUCUAGCUUAAUUUGAAACUAAACCUUGACUUGAUGAGAUCAAUUAAGGAAAUAGCGGUGUAUGAUCCGAGACUUGUAUAUAUUAAGGCAAUCAUAAUAUGGAUUCUCACAUAUAUACUGAAUGUUCGGGAACAAAUUAGUGUGACAUGCUUAUAGAUAGAAUAUGCUGUGUAGGAUAAAAAUCAAUUUGGCUAACUCCUCUUCUUCUUCUCUGUGUCUCCCUCUGUUAGACUGUUACAUUGCUGGCAUGUAAACCCGAAUUUAUUUCAUGGUAGUGUGAAAUAGAACAUAAUCCUUAAUACAGUAGUCAUACUUAACAUGCCAUUGCGUCACAUGUCUAUUAAGAAUAAUAAUGUCUGUGGAUGCAGUUGUUUUUACGAAUGAAACAUGCCAAGCUUUCAAAUAUGCAAUUUAAAUAAUUAUUUUGGGCUUACUUAUGGCUGCCCAAGUCAAGCUAAUAUUCUUCCAACUAGAAUAACCGAUUAUAUGCUUCGUGACCUGUUAUUUUUUUAAAAAGUCCGUUAGUCCAAACACUUCGCAGUGUUGAUUGUUGCUUUAGUUAUAUUAGUCACUGUGAUACUCUGUAGACAGUCACAAACAUAACACCUGAGGAACUAGACAGCAUUUGAAGCAUGAUCCACCUCUUUGUUGUGAAUAUACAUAUAUAUAUAUGUGUAUAUAUAUAUGUGUGUGUGUAAAGAAGCAAUAAAACACCAUUUAAGUUGUAAAGCGAUUUUGGUUGGUAACAUAACUUAGACAUUCAUCAGUAUAUUGUAAAGCGAUUUUGGUUGGUAACAUAACUUAGACAUUCAUCAGUAUAUGCCCUACUUAAUUUGUUUAUUACAGCAACCUGAAAGAGGUCUAAGUACUUUGAAGUACCACUUUUUUGACAUUUUGGAUUUCUGUGUGACUUAAUUAUUGGAUAUCGUAUGCUUAAAAUUUAUGUUUAUGAUGCUAACGAAAAAGAAAAUGAAGACUGAAAAAAAAAACUGGUUUCAUGCUGUCAAAAGAUGCGGAAAAUAAAAUCUUUUCUGUGGAUAUCCCUUUUUUCUUUUUGUACUUAUCCAUUUAAGUUGAGUUCCUUCUACAAACUUUUAAAGAGUAAUAGUAAAAGUCUGAAAGAAGCACAAGGAAAACCAAUAUAUUUCCAAUCUGACCAUUAUGUAUUCUGUGGUUAUUUAGGAAGAACAAGAGCUUAAGAGAAUCAGCCCAUUUUUUCAACGAAGUCAGAAUGGAAGUGGUUGAAAGGCCUUCCCUGGGUGGAAUGGAAAAGGCAUUUUGUAAUAAUGUUCUGAGGCGGAUUGUUGAUUUUUUAGCAGGGCGGUUGAUAAUUGACUAUUUCGGGUAACUAUGUUCUGAAUUUGCUUUAUGUAAAUAUUAUAAAUUUUGUCUUGAAGUUUUGGAGUUCCUGGUUUGGGGCAUCUAAUCCUUGCGUAGUAAAAAUCAAAAGUGUGGCUAAAUCUCAAGUCCCAAGAAGUGCAUGUAUACAGCCAAUUAAAGAAUAAGCACCCCUUGGAAGGGGGGAGAAUAAAGUCUUGGCUAAAUCUCAAGUGAAUAAAGUCAACUGGUUGUGCUAACAUAGAUGGAGUUAUUGCUAUAAUUUAGCAUCAAAAAGUGAUUUUUUGUGCUAAAAUAGCACCAUGUCUCCAAUGGUUGGUUUCAAAUCUUGUUUCACAUUUAAACAACUUCCAAAUACAUCCCACUUUUGAAUAUAAAUAUGACUAACUUUCAAAGACCCCGCACUUUCAAAGUACUUUCUUAUACAUUUUUUCAUCAUUUUAUACUUUAGCAAUUAUAGCUCCAUCUAUCUUUUGUUCUAAAUCUUGAACAAACUAUAGCAUUGUUCUAUUUUGAACAAGAUAUAGCACACCAUUAAUUGGACUUUCUCUAAGAGAUUCUACUGAAAACAUGGAAUAUACCUCACUCACUUUUUAUACAAAAAGUUGUCUACUAGAUAUAGCACACCAUUGGACUUUCUCUUGAAGUAUGCAUUACGUAUAUAGUUGUGGCCUCCUAAACUAGACUACUAUCGUAAAAGUAUCAUAUGCCAGUUGGAGCUUGAUUCUAAAUUUUCCGACUGGCCUCCCAGUUUCUUUAUCAAGUUCCUGGGAAGUUAACAAAUAUGUUUGGUUGUGGUGUAAGUAAGUUCCUAGGAAGUUCCANNNNNNNNNNNNNNNNNNNNNNNNNNNNNNNNNNNNNNNNNNNNNNNNNNNNNNNNNNNNNNNNNNNNNNNNNNNNNNNNNNNNNNNNNNNNNNNNNNNNNNNNNNNNNNNNNNNNNNNNNNNNNNNNNNNNNNNNNNNNNNNNNNNNNNNNNNNNNNNNNNNNNNNNNNNNNNNNNNNNNNNNNNNNNNNNNNNNNNNNNNNNNNNNNNNNNNNNNNNNNNNNNNNNNNNNNNNNNNNNNNNNNNNNNNNNNNNNNNNNNNNNNNNNNNNNNNNNNNNNNNNNNNNNNNNNNNNNNNNNNNNNNNNNNNNNNNNNNNNNNNNNNNNNNNNNNNNNNNNNNNNNNNNNNNNNNNNNNNNNNNNNNNNNNNNNNNNNNNNNNNNNNNNNNNNNNNNNNNNNNNNNNNNNNNNNNNNNNNNNNNNNNNNNNNNNNNNNNNNNNNNNNNNNNNNNNNNNNNNNNNNNNNNNNNNNNNNNNNNNNNNNNNNNNNNNNNNNNNNNNNNNNNNNNNNNNNNNNNNNNNNNNNNNNNNNNNNNNNNNNNNNNNNNNNNNNNNNNNNNNNNNNNNNNNNNNNNNNNNNNNNNNNNNNNNNNNNNNNNNNNNNNNNNNNNNNNNNNNNNNNNNNNNNNNNNNNNNNNNNNNNNNNNNNNNNNNNNNNNNNNNNNNNNNNNNNNNNNNNNNNNNNNNNNNNNNNNNNNNNNNNNNNNNNNNNNNNNNNNNNNNNNNNNNNNNNNNNNNNNNNNNNNNNNNNNNNNNNNNNNNNNNNNNNNNNNNNNNNNNNNNNNNNNNNNNNNNNNNNNNNNNNNNNNNNNNNNNNNNNNNNNNNNNNNNNNNNNNNNNNNNNNNNNNNNNNNNNNNNNNNNNNNNNNNNNNNNNNNNNNNNNNNNNNNNNNNNNNNNNNNNNNNNNNNNNNNNNNNNNNNNNNNNNNNNNNNNNNNNNNNNNNNNNNNNNNNNNNNNNNNNNNNNNNNNNNNNNNNNNNNNNNNNNNNNNNNNNNNNNNNNNNNNNNNNNNNNNNNNNNNNNNNNNNNNNNNNNNNNNNNNNNNNNNNNNNNNNNNNNNNNNNNNNNNNNNNNNNNNNNNNNNNNNNNNNNNNNNNNNNNNNNNNNNNNNNNNNNNNNNNNNNNNNNNNNNNNNNNNNNNNNNNNNNNNNNNNNNNNNNNNNNNNNNNNNNNNNNNNNNNNNNNNNNNNNNNNNNNNNNNNNNNNNNNNNNNNNNNNNNNNNNNNNNNNNNNNNNNNNNNNNNNNNNNNNNNNNNNNNNNNNNNNNNNNNNNNNNNNNNNNNNNNNNNNNNNNNNNNNNNNNNNNNNNNNNNNNNNNNNNNNNNNNNNNNNNNNNNNNNNNNNNNNNNNNNNNNNNNNNNNNNNNNNNNNNNNNNNNNNNNNNNNNNNNNNNNNNNNNNNNNNNNNNNNNNNNNNNNNNNNNNNNNNNNNNNNNNNNNNNNNNNNNNNNNNNNNNNNNNNNNNNNNNNNNNNNNNNNNNNNNNNNNNNNNNNNNNNNNNNNNNNNNNNNNNNNNNNNNNNNNNNNNNNNNNNNNNNNNNNNNNNNNNNNNNNNNNNNNNNNNNNNNNNNNNNNNNNNNNNNNNNNNNNNNNNNNNNNNNNNNNNNNNNNNNNNNNNNNNNNNNNNNNNNNNNNNNNNNNNNNNNNNNNNNNNNNNNNNNNNNNNNNNNNNNNNNNNNNNNNNNNNNNNNNNNNNNNNNNNNNNNNNNNNNNNNNNNNNNNNNNNNNNNNNNNNNNNNNNNNNNNNNNNNNNNNNNNNNNNNNNNNNNNNNNNNNNNNNNNNNNNNNNNNNNNNNNNNNNNNNNNNNNNNNNNNNNNNNNNNNNNNNNNNNNNNNNNNNNNNNNNNNNNNNNNNNNNNNNNNNNNNNNNNNNNNNNNNNNNNNNNNNNNNNNNNNNNNNNNNNNNNNNNNNNNNNNNNNNNNNNNNNNNNNNNNNNNNNNNNNNNNNNNNNNNNNNNNNNNNNNNNNNNNNNNNNNNNNNNNNNNNNNNNNNNNNNNNNNNNNNNNNNNNNNNNNNNNNNNNNNNNNNNNNNNNNNNNNNNNNNNNNNNNNNNNNNNNNNNNNNNNNNNNNNNNNNNNNNNNNNNNNNNNNNNNNNNNNNNNNNNNNNNNNNNNNNNNNNNNNNNNNNNNNNNNNNNNNNNNNNNNNNNNNNNNNNNNNNNNNNNNNNNNNNNNNNNNNNNNNNNNNNNNNNNNNNNNNNNNNNNNNNNNNNNNNNNNNNNNNNNNNNNNNNNNNNNNNNNNNNNNNNNNNNNNNNNNNNNNNNNNNNNNNNNNNNNNNNNNNNNNNNNNNNNNNNNNNNNNNNNNNNNNNNNNNNNNNNNNNNNNNNNNNNNNNNNNNNNNNNNNNNNNNNNNNNNNNNNNNNNNNNNNNNNNNNNNNNNNNNNNNNNNNNNNNNNNNNNNNNNNNNNNNNNNNNNNNNNNNNNNNNNNNNNNNNNNNNNNNNNNNNNNNNNNNNNNNNNNNNNNNNNNNNNNNNNNNNNNNNNNNNNNNNNNNNNNNNNNNNNNNNNNNNNNNNNNNNNNNNNNNNNNNNNNNNNNNNNNUAAGCACCCCUUGGAAGGGGGGAGAAUAAAGUCUUGGCUAAAUCUCAAGUGAAUAAAGUCAACUGGUUGUGCUAACAUAGAUGGAGUUAUUGCUAUAAUUUAGCAUCAAAAAGUGAUUUUUUGUGCUAAAAUAGCACCAUGUCUCCAAUGGUUGGUUUCAAAUCUUGUUUCACAUUUAAACAACUUCCAAAUACAUCCCACUUUUGAAUAUAAAUAUGACUAACUUUCAAAGACCCCGCACUUUCAAAGUACUUUCUUAUACAUUUUUUCAUCAUUUUAUACUUUAGCAAUUAUAGCUCCAUCUAUCUUUUGUUCUAAAUCUUGAACAAACUAUAGCAUUGUUCUAUUUUAGAACAAGAUAUAGCACACCAUUGGACUUUCCCUAAGAGAUUCUACUGAAAACAUGGAAUAUACCUCACUCACUUUUUAUACAAAAAGUUGUCUACUAGAUAUAGCACACCAUUGGACUUUCUCUUGAAGUAUGCAUUACGUAUAUAGUUGUGGCCUCCUAAACUAGACUACUAUCGUAAAAGUAUCAUAUGCCAGUUGGAGCUUGAUUCUAAAUUUUCCGACUGGCCUCCCAGUUUCUUUAUCAAGUUCCUGGGAAGUUAACAAAUAUGUUUGGUUGUGGUGUAGGAAAUUUCAGUGCCGGGGUGUCAUAUAAGCAAGUUUCUACAUUAUGUGGGAAUUCCAAUUUCCUAGGAAGUUCCACUUUCCAUAUAGCGGUCAACCAAAAAAUCUUACAAUUUGCUAGGAAGUUUAAAUUUCUGGAGAUUUACAUGUUAACCAAACCACCCCUUAUAAAUCUUGUUAUGGGUCAUUAGGAAGAUUACAUUCUUACUGGGGAACGUUGAAGUUCUCAUUUCGGAAAGAUGUUGAGUAUGCACACUCUUAAUCCAGUUCUGAUUAAUAUUUUAGAUUUUGGUGGCCUUAACAUAAACUCUGCAAUGAUUUUCAUUUUAAUAUGUGAACCUUCAGUGAAUUAGAUUGCAGUAAGAUUUAUUAUCUUCUAAUGUCUAGCUGCAGAACUUUUUACUGUACUGGCAAAAGGAACAUUCCUACUCUAGUUUCUCCUCUGUGUUAAAUUAAGUUCUUUUAAAUAUCGCAAAGGAUGAAUCUGUCCUUAAGAAACAUCUGUAAAAGUAAUGCCUUCCGUUUUCAACAAACUACCAAGUCUUUCUAAAUAAAAUUCAUAUGAAUGGGCAUGCUCAAUCUAGCUUUGUAGUGAGUUCUUCGUUUCCCUAUUUGGCUAUUUGUUAAAAGGAAAGCUCCACGAAAAGUAAAAGAAGGAAGAAAACGGAAAAGGACUUGCAGGAGAUCGGGUGACACAGUUUGGGGAGUUUGGGGUGUCAAUUUUGGUGAAGUUAAGUAUCGUGGACUACCUGUCAUUUAGCGGUGUUUGUAAAUCUUGGAGGUCUGCAUCUAUUGCUUUCCGCAAAUACUGUAUGGAGCGCCAGCAACCCCUAGUUGUUGUUCGACCAAAGUAUUCGAAAAAGUCUUGUCUAUUGUACAAUAUGUUCGAUUUAAAAAUUUACAGAGCAAUGCUGCCAGAUUUGCCUUGCAAGAAAUUAUUGGGUUUGUCAUGUGGGUACCUGAUUACAACCGACGGAAACUUAGGCUUUUGGCUCGUAAAUUUAAUAACAAAACAUGAGCUGCGUUUUCCUGUCCUUCCUGGACAUAUGGGUCGCAUAACCUGCUUUGAAUUUUCUGCCCUCCUAUUUCAGUCCACUCGGCUUUCAGAAACUUUCAUGGUUCUUUUCUCUCGGACAGAAAAUUAUAUAUUGUUGUCCAAAAGUGGCGGCAGCAGUUGGCAAAGAUAUGUUUUAUCCAACACAGAAACCAGGAUUGCAGAUGUGAAGAUUUUUGAUGGCAAAAUCUUUAUUUUGACUUCAGAUUUACGUUUUGGAGAAUUUAAUCCGAAGGCAGGUUCUGUUCCAAAAUUCUCCAAAAUCAACAUCCCUUACCAGGUUUUAUCUGAUAUGGAUUUGAAGUUGGUGGCAUCAGACAAUAAGCUAUACAUGACUGUAUUCAAUUGUUGUCCUUAUCCUACAUUGGACGGACAUCUGUCAUUAUUCGAAAUUGACCAUGAGACAAUGGAUAGGGCAAAACAGAUUCAUGACUUGGGUGCAAAAUCUUUAUUUCUUAGUUGGUUCAGUUCUGCUGUCGUCGAUACAACUGGUUGGGGAGUAGGUAAUUGUGUCUGUGUUCUUCACUUAGGAGUUUUCAACACAUGUUCUUUCUUUAACCUGAAUGGAAAUCAGCUAGGAACAACUCCGGUUGUUUGGGAUGGUCAUUUAACACCUUGUUUUUGGUAUUUUCCUAGUGAGAUUUGGUCCAUCAGUCGUGUCAGUGAUGAGUUUGGCGCAUGAUCACUUCUAAAUCUCAUAUCAGUUUUCCUCAUUAAGUCUGUAGUAAUUUUCUUCAUCUUACAUUAUGGAACUUUGUACUAGUUCCAUUAUGAAAACUUUUAAACAUUGAUGCUGUGAUGUUUGCCUUAGAGGCACCAGAACUCAAAUGUCAUUUUCUGUAUUUCUUAUUGGCACCUUGUUUCUUCGUGUAUAAGACAGAUUCUUAGGAGAAAAAUUCCCAAUUUGAAGCUGCCGUUUCUGCAGUUUAAUGUAGCUAUUUAUUUUUGUUAAGCAGAUUUUAAUUUAUAGAUGAUUACUUUGUUUCUGAAUUAUUUUAGUGACAAAUAAAUAAGUUAAUUUUUAAGGAGUAGCACUUUCUUGUUUGAAAAAAAUUUCUAUAAUUUCUGAAUGAAGGGCCUCUAAGUCUACCCUCCCAAACAAACUCCUCUUGCUCAAAUGAGUUCCUUCUGGUCAAACUAAUAUUGUUCAAGCUCAAUGAAAGUUAGUAUGUGUGAAAUUUGAAUGAACUCAGAAUCAACAUACCCUCGAAUAAAAUGAUAGUCAAUCUUCAAAUGUUUAGUUCUUUCUUGGAAGAUUUGCUUCUUUGCAAUUUGGUGAGCUGAAGUGUUAUCACAAUAAAGAUCCCUUAAAAAACCUUAAGACAAAGCAACUCAGAAGUUGUAUAGCUCAUACUUAUAUACUCGGCUUCUGCACUACUUUUAGAUUCUUUUUUUUGCUUCUUAAUUUUCCAAGAGAUUAAGGAAGAACCCUGGAAAAUAGCAUACCCAGACAAGGAUUUUGCAGAAAAUGAACAAGUUCCCUAGUCUACAUCUGAAUAUGCAAUUAAUUGCAGAGGAGUAUUAGCUUUGUAAAACAGACCAACAUUCAAUGAAAAUUUCAAGUUAUUUUAAGACAUGAAGAGCAGCAUCAUAAUGUGGCUGAGCUGGUUCUUGGUGAAACUAAUUAAGAAACCUGUUGAACAACAUAUGAAAUAUCAAGCCUACUUGAGUUCAAAUAAAGCAAUUUCCCGAUAAAUCUUCUAUACACUUCCGGGGCAGGCAAUUUUGAAACAUCCUUUGUACUUAGAUGCAAGCCUUUUAAUAAUGGAAAAGCAGCUGGUGUACAAUGAGCGAAGUAAGUAUUAACUAAUAAAUUCAAUACAUACUUUCUCUGAUCUAACUGAAUUCCGGACUCAGUUCUAAGAACCUCAAUGCUAAGGAAAUACUUCAAAUCGGCCCGAUUUCUAAUGGUAAAUUUUUGACACAAUAAGGAUCUGAUAGAUUAUUUAGUUAGUCUCGUGAAAAUCAAAAAUAUAAAAUUUUAAUUUUUUUUACAAAAAAAUAUUUAUUCAAGUAGGUGGUAAAAAUUCUACUCUGAUACGCAUUAUUAAAAUAAGUAUCCCUGUAUAUUCAUUCUCAAAAUGGGUGUCACCUAUAAAUUAACUUUUUAAUUAUUAGAAUGACCGAUACGCAUUCUCAGAAUAAGUUACCACAAUACACACUCUCAAAAUAAUAACCUUCUUAAAAUUUUGUUUUUCAUUAUUCAAAAUAUUUUAUCUUAUACAAAACCACACAACUAACCCCACACACACACAUAUAUAUUACCGUUUAUUUAACACACAACACCACCACCUAUAUUAUCAAUUAUCUCUAAAAAAAUUAUAAACAUCAAAUAUUGAUAAAUCGGUCACUCAUUCUCAAAAGGAUAAUAGAAUAAUAAUCUUGAUCAUUACUUUUAAAAGUGAUAUAUAAAAAUCUGAGGAUUUUGGUAAUUUAUCUCUGGCUCCUCACUUAGUUUUAAGGUAGAAAAUGACUAAUUUCAGCGUGUUAGUUGUAAGGCCGAAAAUGACUACUUUGAAUGUGUUGACCCUCCUGUUUAUCAUAAUUUUAAGCAAUAAUACCUCAAAUACCAGGUUUAGAAAAUAUGGAUCCAAAAUCACUUUAUAACAUUACACGUCUAAUAUUUAUAAAAAAAAAUUAAACAUUGCACGAUAUAGAGUUUAACUUUUUUUUACCCGAGGCUCACAAGAAAAAUAACUAAAACCAUAAAACCAAACUUAUCACAACGUUUAGUGUUAAAAGCACAAACCCAACGUUUAGUGUUAAAAGCACAAAUCCAUAUACAUCAUGAUGUGUCUUAUCCUGGGUUGGGGUGUAGGUCCUGACAGUCACGUUAACUAAUAAUAUGGCCAUAAAAAUCACAUUGCGUUAUAAUGGGUCUGACUGUCACAGCAAAACGCAAUUUAAUAUUGCGUCUAAAACGUGAGUUAAUCUCACGUUUUUUACUUCUAAAAGAAGCUGGUAUUGUCCUUUUCUCGUUAAAAUAUUUUUAAGUCUAAAUUAAUCAUUCUAAAACCCAAUUUGUGAACCCUAAAAUAUUAACAAUCAUUAAUUUACGUUUCAAUUAUUACUUUAUUAGACUGGCUCCUCGGCUUUAGGGCCUCACGGCCCUAAAGCCUCGAACUAAUUAGGGCUUAGGCUCGAGGGUUUAGGCCCUAAGCCCUCAAUCCUAAACCCUAACCAUUAGUUAAUUUAAUUUCAAGUAUAAAUUAAUCAUUCUAAAACCUAAAUAGGAAUAUGAACCCUAAAAAAUGAUUGUUAAAAUACACGGCAGAAUGCCACAAAAUCCAUCAUUUUAUCAAAUGCAAAAAAAUCCAGCAGCAUUUAAAUACCAUCAAAUUUUAAUAGAUUUUAAACAAUCCCAAUUGAAUACCAUCGGAUUUUAAAGCAUAAUUUAAAAUCUUAAUUGAAUACCACCAGAUUUUAUAGCAUAAUUUGAAAUCUCAAUUAAACACUUCAAGAUUCUAAUGGAUUUCAAAUAAUCUCAAUCGAACACCCCGAAUUUCAUGAAUGAAAAAAUAUUUUAAAAUACCAAUCUAAUACAACCGAUAAAUUACGUUAUUGGGGCCUUUUCUUCUAGGUUGGUAUUCAGAUAUUGAGGAUAUUUUAACAAUUUAUGGAAUCCGGCGCCUCCUGCUUUUAAGUAUCCGCAACCAGGCUGCAUCCCUACAGAGCCCCUUCCCUUGUUCAGUAUUACCUCUCUUCUUAAGUUUGUUAACACGAGAGACCUUUGUGUGGAAUCUUUUAAUCAAUUGAUUGGGUUGUUUUUGCGCUGCAAAUUUCAGAUGGUUAAAGGGCUUGUGUUUUUGGUAUAAACCCAUCAAUCUUUCAGGUUUCUGCUCAUCAUUUUUAGUCAAGUUUGUUAUUUAUAUACAUUGUGUGUGCGUUUUAUUUACACUUCCAUCUCAUCUAAUUGGAACUUACAGAUAUUGUAGACAAAUUUAAUAUCUUGCACCCAAAUUUUAUGAGAAUCUAACUUCGAUGAAGGUGUAAGCUGAGGUGUAUGAUAUGAUUGCCACAAAAAAAGGUUUUAAUCAAGGUCUGGUUUGGUUUUUGAUAACAGGCUUAUGUAGGGUGGUUGUUCAUGGUAAAUCAUUCAGUCGUAUCUUUCGGACCAAUCAAUGGACGGAAUACAUUCACUUGUUAUGCAAGGAGGCGAUAGUCUAGAACAGAGAAUGGGGGCAUGGUCUAGAAGGAAACAGGUGUGAGCGUUUUUUUUGUAAUUAGUUUAUAGCACUGGUUUUAUCUGUUAAAUCCAGUGUGCUGUUUCACGAUACUCAAUUUUGUUGCCAUGUUGGGAGUUUUCUUGUGUAUUGGUUACUUUCUGGUGUUCAAAAUUCUUUGAUAAAGAUAACAAAUAGGUCAUCAAUACGGAAGAUCAAUAUAGAAAAGACAAGGUUUUAUGGAACAUAUCAGCUUUGUUCCAUCAGUACUGAUCACCUAGCGCUAGCAGACCCAAUGUUGAACAUUUGGCGAGCCCUGUGGCACAUUAAGGUGCUUUCAACUUGUAAAUGAGACUGGUUCCACACGAAUGUUUAAACAUAAUGAAUGUGGCUUUGGAAAGAUAAGCUAUACUUGGAUGUUGCUUAAGUGCUAUUUAAAUCAUUCAAGAGAAGGCCCAAACUUUUUACAAAUUCGCUUUAUCAAUUCCUUCCUGUUUGUCCUGGGAUUUGACUAAAUUAAACUAACAUCUUCUUGUGAUUACCGGCAAAACAAAAAUUAAUAUCACUCUAGUAAACAAAUUUACAAUCCUCUGAAGGGAAGAUUUACUUGUUGAUCAGAUAGUACGGGCAAAAAAUGAACAGAAACAGCAAUGGAAUUCACCAACUUACUUGAAAUUACCCUAGUUCGCAGCAAAUUGCCCUCAUUUAGUACUCUCAAAAUUUCUUAAAGAAAAAAGAGACCUGGGCUGACAUAGUAUAAGAUAUACGGUGAGGUGGACGGUCAGGAUAAGGUGAUGGGUUUGUGAUAUUGCACCAUAUGAUGACACAUGUUAGUAUAGACGUACCCCAGUACAUACCCCACUAUAGAUCUUUUGAGGCGGGUAGGAUCGAGAUUACUAUCCCAAGGCCUAUUACUUGACAAAUGACCGGAUAACGCUGAUGGACUAAUAUAUAUUUUCAAAAAAUUUUUUAUUCCAUAUAUUAACUUAAUCUCGGAUUCACUUUUACAUUUAUUGAAUGAGUUCAUGUGUGUGAGCAAUCUGUGAAUUUGUGAUUAAGUUAAUAUAUGGAUCAUAGUAUUUUGAAAAAAAUAUUAGUCCAUCACCGUUGUCCGGUCAUUGGUCAUGUAAUUAAGCCUUGGGGGUAGUGAUCUCGUCCGGCCCAACUCAAUUGAUAUGUACAGGGGUAUAUUUAUACUAACAUGUGUCACCAUAUAGUGAAAUCUCACCAACCCAUUACCACAUCCUUACUGUCCAUCUCUCCAUAUAUAAAUCCUAUGUCAACCCAGGUCUCUUUUUUAUUUAAGAAAUUUUGAGAGCACUACUGAAGGGCGAUUUGCGGCGGACUAGGCUUUUUUCACGUGAGUUGGCGAGUUCCAUUUCCGUUUCUGAUCAGUUUUUGUCUGUACUAUUUGAUCAACAAGUAAAUAAUUCCUUUAGAGGAUUGUAAAUUUUGUUUACUAAAGUGAUGUUAAUUUUUGUUUUGCGGGACAUCACAACUAGAUUUUAGCUUAAUUUUGUCUGAUCCCAGGACCGGUUGGAAGGAAUUGAUAAAGCGAAACUGUAGAAGCCUGGGCCUUCUCUUUGAACGAUUUAAUAAAUAAAAAUCCAAUACUUCAGUUUUAUUUAUGUAAUGUAAUAAGUAUAUUGAUUAAGUUUCAGAUAGUGUGGUAAUGUUAAUUUUCCGAUCAGUUUUACUAGAUUGUUUCCUUAAAUUUACUGUUAAAAUUUAAGUUAGAUGGUAUAAGCUGAGGUGUAUGAUCUGAUUGCCACAAAAAAGGUUUUGAUCAAGGUCUGGUUUGGUGUUUGAUAACAGGCUUAUGUACCAUGGUGGUUCAUGGUAAAUUAUUCACUUGUAUCUUUCAGACCAAUCAAUGGACGGAAUACAUUCACUUGUAAUAUUCGAGAUUUUGGUCUCUAGUAGCAAAUGUUAUGCAAGGAGGCGAUAAUCUUGAACAGAGAAUGGGGGCAUGGUCUAGAAGGAAACAGGUGUGAGCGUUUCAUGUAAUGAGUUUAUUCUAGUGGUUUUAUUUGUUAAAUCCAGUGUGCUAUUUCAUGAUGCUAUCUACACAAAUCAAAUUUUUUUGUCAUGUUAGGAGUGUUCUUGUGUAAUGGUUAAUUUCUGGUGUUAAACUAAUAUGAUAAAGAUAACAAAUAGGUCAUCAAUAUGCGCGGAAGAUCAAUAUAGAAAGACAAGUUUUUAAGGAACAAUAAUGCGAAAAUCUAAGACUUUGGGAGCAAACUUAAAUACAACAUGGAUGGAAGUAUUUGCUUUGUAUCAUGCAGUAGUUUUGAUCACAUAGCGCUAGCAGACCCAAUGUUGAACAUUUGGCGAACCCUGCGGCACAUUGAGGCACUUUCAAUUUGUAAAUGUUACUGGUUCUAAACGAAUGUUCCAACAUAAUGAAUGUGGCUUUGGAAAGAUAAGCAUGCAUAGGUGCUAUGUAAAUCAUUUAAGAGAAAGCCCAGACUUCUUGUAAUUUUGCUUUAUCAUUUCCUUCCUACUGGUCCUGGGAUUAGACUAUAUUACGCUAAAUCUAGUUGUGAUUUCCUGCUAAACAAAAAUUAAUAGAACUCUAGUAAACAAAAUCUACAAUCCUUUUGAGGGAAGAUUUGCCUGUCGAUCAGAUAGUACGGGCAAAAAAUGAACAAAAAUGGCAAUGGAACUCGCCAACUCACCUGAAAUUAUCCUACUCCGCGGCAAAUCGCCCUUCUGUAGUGCUCACAAAAUUUUUAAAAUAAAAAAGAGACUUGGGUUGACAUAGGAAAAGAUAUAUGCUGAGGUGGACAGUCCUGAUAAGGUGAUGGGUUGGUGAGAUUUGCACCAUAUGACGACACAUGUUAGUAUAGAUGUACCCCCGCUACAGAUCAUUUGAGGUGGGCGGAUCGAGAUCACUACCCUCAUGGCCUAUUACUUGAGUAAUUACCAGAUAAUGCUGAGGGACUAAUAUAUUUUCAAAAAUACUAUGAUCCAUAUAUUAACUUAAUCGCGGAUUAACUUUUAUAUUUAUCGAAAGAGUUCAUGUACAUGAGCAAGUUGUGACAAACACAAUAUUGGUAACUUUACAAUUUGAUAUUGUCAUUUCCACGGGGUCAUUGGGGUCAAAUCUAAUAAUUCUUUGUCCAUUUUUUAUAAGAUUAAUAAUGCCUAGAUAUAAUUAGUGUGUAACACCAAAUACAAAUGUCACUACUUUCUCACAUACAUGAACUAUUCAAUUAAAAUAUAAGUAAAUCCGCGAUUAAGUUCAUAUAUGGAUCACAGUAUUUCUGAAAAUACAUAUCAAUUCCUCACAGUUAUCCGGUCAUUGGUCAUGUAAUAAGCCUUUGGGUAGUGAUCUCGAUCCGGCCCACCUCAAAUGAUCAGUGGUGGGUUAGUGAUCUCAAUCCGGCCCACCUCAAGUGAUCAUAUCCUGACCGUCCAUCUCAUCACAUAUCAAUCCUAUGUCGACCCAGGUCUAUUUUUAAUUUAAGAAAUUUUGAGAGCACUGCUUGACGGCGAUUUGCGGCGGACUGGGGUAAAUUUCAGGUGAGUUGGCGAGUACCAUUGCCGUUUCUGUUCAGUUUUUGCCCGUAUAAUUUGAUCAACAAGUAAAUCUCCCCUUUAGAGGAUUGUAGAUUUUGUUUACUAGAGUGAUGUUACUUUUUGUUUUGCCGGACAUCACAACUUGAUUUUAGCUUAAUUUAGUCCAAUCCUUGGACCGGUAGGAAGGAAUUGAUAAAGCAAAACUGUAAGAAGCUUUGGCUUUCUCUUGAAUAAUUUAAUAAAUAAAAAUCCAAUACUCCAAUUUUAUUCAUGUAAUAAGAAUAUUGAUUAAGUUACUAAACCUGCCUAAUAGUGUGGUAAUAUUAAUUUUCUGAUCAGUUUUACUUGAUUGUUUCCUUUCAUUUACCGUUAAAUGUGAUAAAAUCUAGUACAUAUCAAUAUUAUCUUGUUUUUAUGAUAUCUUGAUGAGAUCAAUUAAGGAAAUAGCGGUGUAUGAUCUGACACUUGUAAAUAUUAAGGCAAUCAUUAUAUGGUUCUCACAUAUUUACUGAAUGUUUUCGAAGAACGUAAUUUGCUGCAGGAACAAAUUAGUGUGACAUGCUGUGUAGGAUUAAAAUAAAUUUUCUUAACUCCUCUUCUUCUUCUCUGUGUCUUCCUCUGUUACUUUGCGGGUAUGUAAACCUGAAUUUACUUGAUGGUAGUGUGAAAUAGAACAUAUCCUUAAUACACUAGUCGUGCUUCACAUUUCAUUGUAUCGCUUGUCUACUAAGAAUUACAAUAUCUGUGAAUGCAAUUGUUUUUAUGAAUGAAACAUGCCAAGAUUUCGAGUAUGCAAUUUAAAUAAUUAUUUUGGGCUUACUAAUAGCUGCCCAAGUCAAGGUAAUGUUCUUCCAACUAGCAUAACCGAUAAUAUGCUUCGUGACCUGUUAUUUAUAAAAGAAGCCCGUUAGUCCAAAGACUUCACAGUGUUGAUUGUUGCUUUAGUUAUAUUAGUCACUGUGAUACUAUGUAGACAGUAACAAACAUAACACCCGAGGAACUAGACAGCAUUUGGAGCAUGUCCACAUUGUUGUUGUGAAUUAGAACCCCAUAUCUAUGUGAGAUAUGACAACUAAUCUAAGCCAUUAGAUCAAUCUAAUCUAAUGGCCCACUAGAAUUCACGAACCUGUACCCUCGCAUACAUGAUUACACAGAAUCCCUCCGUUUUUAAUUUGAUUUUUCCCGUCAAUCGGUUAACUUUUUUCAAAAUCCGACUUUACUGAAUUUUUAUUCGUCUCCCAACGAUCAAUUUGCAUACCAUAUGCGUUAUGUUUCGACAUGGUUCUCAUUAAAUUCUCAUUUUAAGGGUUCUCACUAGAGUAAAACACCACUUAAAUAUCGUAAAGCGAUUUUGGUAGGUAACUUAACUUAGACAUUCAGAUGUGUCUAUUAAAGCAACCUGAAAGUGGUCUAAGUACUUUGAAGUACCACUUUUUUGACAUUUUGGAUUUUUGUGUGACCCUUUAAUCAGAAUUAUUGGAUGUCGUUUGCUUAGAAUUUUGGAUGCUAAUGAAAAAGAAAAUGAAGACUGAAAAAAAAUGGUAUUAUGCAGUCAAAAGAUGCGGAUAGUAAAAAUCUUUUCUGUGGAUAUCCCUUUUUUUUGUACUUGUCCAUUUAAGUUGAAUUACUUCUACAAACUUGUAAGAGUAGUGGUAAAUGUCUGAACGAAGCACAAGGAAAGAUAUUUCCAGUCUGACUAUUAUGUAUCUGUGGUUAUUAGGAAGGACAAGAGCUUGAGAGAAUCAGCCCAUUUUUCCAACGAAGGCAGAAUGGAAGUGGUUGAAAAGCCUGCCUUGGGUGGAAUGGAAAAGGCAUUUUGUAAUAAUUUUCUGAGGCGGAUUGUUGAUUUCUUUGCGGGGAGGUUGAUAAUUGACUAUUUCGGGUAACUAUGUUCUGAAUUUGCUUUUAUAUUAAUAUUAUAAAUUGUGUCUCAGAAGUUUUGGACUUACUGGUUUGGGGCAACUAAUCCUUACGUUGUAACAAUCAAAAGUGUGGGCAACUGAACCUAAUUUAAUUAAUAUUAAGGCCACAAAAUCCAAGAAGUGCCUGUAUACAGCAAUUUAAAGCACAAGGACCCCUUGGAAGGGGGGAGAAUUAAGUCUUGGCUAAAUUUUAAGUGAAUAAGAGCAUGUCCAAUGGCUGUGCUAAAAUAGAUGGAGUUAUUGCUAUAAUUUAGCAUCAAAAAGUGAUUUAGUGCUAAAAUAGCACCAUGUCUCCAACGGUUGGUUUCAAUUCUUGUUUCAAAUUUAAACUUCUUCAAAUACAUCCUACUUUUGAAUAUAAAUAUAAGUAUAUAACUAACUUUCAAAGACCCCACACUUUCAAGUACUUUUUAAUACAUUUUUUCAUCAUUUUAUACUUUAGCAAUAUUUAUAGCUCCCUCUAUCUUUUGUUCUAAAUAUUGAACAAACUAUAGCAUUGCUCUAUUUUAGAACAAGAUAUAGAACACCAUUGAUGUAGAGAAUUUUAGUUUUUGUUCUAUAAUAUAGACAUAGAACAAUAUAAAGAACACCAUCAUUGUCUACUAAAACUUUAAAUUGAAUGUUCCCUACUUUCUCUUGAAGUAUGCAUUACGUAUAUAGUUGUGCCUUUGUAAACUAGACUGCUAUCGUAAAAGUAUCAUAUGCCAGUUGGACCUUGAUUCUAAAUUCUCCAAUUUGGCCUCCCAGUUCCUUUAUCAAGUUCCUGGGAAGUUAAAAAAUAUGUUUGGUUGUGGUGUAGGUAUUUUUGCAGUGCUGGGGUGUGACAUAAGAAAGUUUCUACAGUAUGUGGAAAUUCCAAUUUCCGAGGAGGUUCCACUUUCCAUAUAGCGGUCAACCAAAAAAUCUUACAAUUUGCUAGGGAGAUUUACAUGUUAACCAAACUGCCUCUUAUAAAUCUAGUUAUGGUUCAUUAGGAUGAUUGGAUUCUUAUUGGGGAUUGAAGAAGUUCUCAUUUCGGAAAGAUGUUGAGUAUGCACACCCUUUAUCCAGUUCUGAAAACAAAUUCAAUUUUAGUGGCCUUAAUUAACAUAAACUAUGCACUGAUUUGCAUUUUAAUAUGUAAACCCUCAGUAAAUUAGCUUCCAGUAAGCUUUAUUAUCUUCUGUCUAGUUUCUCCUCUAUGCAUUCUGUUUUCAACAAACUACUGACUCUUUCUAAAUAAAAUUCAUUUGAAUGUGCAUGCUCAAUCUAGCUUUGUGGUGAGUUCUUCAUUUCCCUAUUUGUUAACAGGAAUGCUCCACGAACAGUAAAACAAGGACGGGAACGGAAAAGGAUUUGCAGGAGAUCGGGUGACACAGUUUGGGGGGCAUGGGGCAUUCUUCCUGUUGAACUUCUGGUUUCAAUAUUGGUAAAGUUAAGUAUCGUGGACUACCUGUCAUUUAGCGGUGUUUGUAAAUCUUGGAGGUCUGCAUCUAAUGAUUUCCGCAAAUAUUGUAUGGAGCGCCAGCAACCCCUAAUUGUUGUUCAGCCAAAGUAUUCAAAAAAGUCUUGUGUAUUGUACAAUAUGUUCGAUAUGAAAAGUUACAAAACAAUGCUGCCAGAUUUGCCUUGCAAGAAAUUAAUGGGUUUGUCAUGUGGGUACCUGAUUACAAUUGACAGAAACCUAGGCUUUUGGCUCGUAAAUUUAAUGACAAAACAUGAGCUGCGUUUUCCCUUCCUUCGUGAUAUGGGUGACAGAAAUUGGUUUGAAUUUUCUGCUCGCCUCUUUCGGUCCACUCGGCUUUCAGAAACUUUCAUGGUUCUUUUCUCUCGGACAAAAAAUUAUAUUUGGUUAUCCAAAAGUGGCAGCAGCAGUUGGCAGAGAUAUGCUUUAUUCGACACAAAAGCCAGGAUUGCAGAUGUGAAGAUUUUUUAUGGCAAAAUCUUUGUUUUGACUUCAGAUGUACGUUUUGGAGAAUUUAAUCCGAAGGCAGGUUCUGUUCCGAAGUUCUCCAAAAUCAGAAUCCCUUUCCAGGUUUCAUCUAAUAUGUAUUUGAAGUUGGUAGCGUCAGACAAUAAGCUAUACAUGACUGUAUUGAAUAGUCAUCUAUAUCCUGCAUUGGAACGAUAUCUUUCAUUAUUCGAAAUUGACCAUGAGACAAUGGAUAGAGCAAAACAGAUUCAUGACUUGGGUGCAAAAUCUUUAUUUCUUAGUUCGUACAGUUCCGCUGUCGUCAAUACAACUGGUUGGGGAGCAGGUAACUGUGUCUGUCUUCUUCACUUUAAAGAUUUGAAUAAAUGUUCUUUCUUUAACCUGAAUGGAAAUCGGCUAGGAACAACUCCUGUUGUUUGGGAUGGUCAUUUAUUGCCAUAUUUUUGGUAUUUUCCUAGUGAAAUUUGGUCAAUUAGUUGUGUCAGUGAUGAGUUUGGCGCAUGAUCACUUCUAAAUCUCAUUCAGUUUUUUUCAUUAAGUCUGUAGUUUUUAUCUUCAUCUUACAUUAUGGAACUGUAAUGUUUGCCUUAGAGGCCCCAGACAAAACUCAAAUGUCAUUCUUUGUAUUUCUUAUUGGCACCAUGUCUUUUCGUGUAUAAUACAGAUUCAUAAGGAAAAAUUUCCCAAUUUGAAGCUGUAGUUUAAUAUAGUUAUAUAUUUUUACUGAGCAAACUUUAAUUUAUAGAUGAUUACUUUAUUUCUGAAUUAUGGUAGUGACAAACAGAUAAGUUAAUUUUCAAGAAGGAGAUGCAGUUUCUUCCAUCUCUUUUUCCUGCUAGAUCUUUGCAUGUCCAACUCUUUUUCCAGCCGCUGUGUCAUCAAGUGCUGCUUACUUAAACCAACUCCUUAAUUUCUGAAUGAAGGGCCUUUAAGUCUGUCCUUCCAAACAAACUCCUCUUGUUCAAAUGAGUCUUGGCAAAACUAUUCUUGCUCAACUUUACAACCAUACCCAGACUUUCCACUGGAGAUUGUAUCUCUUCGUAAGUGCAUUCUGGAUUCAUAUGUAUAGUCUACUGUACAGUAUAAUUGUUCGAAUUUUUUUUUAAUAAGCCAGACAAAAAGAUAUUGGGGUGUUUGGUUGGGCUUAAAAACUCAUCUUUUAAACUUAUAAGUCUACGUACUUCAAUUAAAUCUCAUUUCAACUCUAGAAAGCAAGUCGCUGGUAUGGUUGUAAACGCUAGAUCACACAGUUGGUGAUUCUUAUUCCGUGUAGAUUUGGUCCAAAAAAUAUCUAGGGAUUCUAAGGGAAGCAAAAAAAUGGUGUGAAGUAAACAAUAGAUGCUAAAAAUAGAGCUAUAUAUAUGCUAAAAAUAUGGAUAAGGGGUAAACCAUAUCCCUAGUUCUCCUUCACAACCACAAACCCUAGUUUAAAAAAUUACUUGGUGGCCUGCAUUGCGUAAUCACCACUAUGUCGUAUACAAAUUCAUCAUUUCAACAACCAUAUAUUUAAUAAAAUACAUGGAAGCAACUAAGCACCGAGACAGAGAAAUUGCCUCUCAAGUGUUGAUCAGCAAAAAGCUUCAUCAUCCUCAGUGCCUAAAAGUUAAAUUAUUUUUCAAUCAACAAUUGCGCGCUGUUUUGGGAGAAGAGAAAUCCCAUCACUUAGCACUUUCAGCGCAUUAAGGGAGCGGAAAAUAUUAAGAGAAAGCUUAUUUGAUCUUCAUUAGUGUGAUUCAAGUUUGUUAGGGAGAGCUGAACAGAAUGAAACUGUUAAAAUUGACUUGUUGCUCCAUAAGCUGUAUUUACAAGUAUAUAUACUAACAACACUAACAGAAUAUUCCUACAACUACUCUAACUAACUAUGUAGCUGGAAGCUUCUACAACAUUUAUUUACAAUACAUGUACAUAGAUCAAUACCCCCUUCAAGCUAGGCAUCAAAGAGGAUCAAAUUGAAGACCAAGCUUGAUACUAAGAAGCUUGUGAUGAGCAGCAUCCAAUGGCUUUGUCAGUAUAUCAGCUAGCUCAAUGAAAGUACUAAUAUGUGAAAUUCGAAUGAACUCAGAAUCAACAUACUCUCGUAUAAAAUGACAGUCAAUCUUCAAAUGUUUAGUUCUUUCUUGGAAGAUUUCCUUCUUUGCAAUGUGGUGAGCUGAAGUGUUGUCACAAUAAAGAUCAAUUGGCAAAGGUAUUUGAUCAUGAAGAUCCCUUAAGAAACCUUCAAGAUAAAUCAACUCAGAAGUUGUAUUUAUAUACUCAGCUUCUGCACUACUUUUAGAUUCUUUUUUUGCUUCUUAAUUUUCCAAGAGAGUAAGGAGGAACCCUGGAAAAUAGUAUACCCAGACAAGGAUUUUGCAGAACAUGAACAAGUUCCCUAGUCUGCAUCUGAAUGUGCAGUUAAUUGCAAAGGAUUAUUAGCUUUGUAAAACAGACCAACAUUCAAUGAAAUUUUCAAGUUAUUUUAAGACAUGAAGAGCAACAUCAUAAUGUGGCUGAUGAGCUGGUUCUUGGUGAAACUAAUUAAAAAAAGCUGUUAAACAACAUAUUAAAUAUCAAGCCUACUCGAGUUCAAAUAGAGCAAUUUCCUGAUAAAUCUUCUAUACACUUCUGGGUCAGGCAACUUUGAAACAUCCUUUGUACUUGGAUGCAAGCCUUUUAAUAAUGGAAAAGCAGCAGCCAAGUGAGUAUUAGCUGAUAAAUUCAAUAUAUACUUCCUGUGAUCUAACUGAAUUCCGGCUUCAGUUCUAAGAAUCUCAAUGCUAAGUAAAUACUUCAAAUCAGGCAGACUUUUAAUGGUAAUUUUUUGAUGAAAUAAGGAUUUGAUAGAUUACUUAGUCAGAGCAUCUCCAAUAGCCUCCUAACCUGUUCUUAAAUAUAAUAUAAAAUAUUAGACUCCUAGUAAGUUGAUGCAAGUUUAGGAGUCUCAAUUCCAACAAUAUUCUUUAUACUUGCUCUUAAGUUAAUAUUUUAUUCUUGUUUGGACUCGUAUAUGUCACAAACUCAAAUGUAAUUGGAGGCAAUGAAUAUGUUAUUGUAAAAAAUAAGUUAAGAGCUUUGUAGUGGCUCUUAACUUUGAGGAGAGAGGAGAGAGAAACAAGAGUCUCUCAGUGACAUGAAGAGCUCGUAAGAGUCUCUUGUAGCAAAAAUUUCUUUCUCCCUCCUCAAAUUUCAAUUUAAGAGCGAGUCUCUUGCAGAUGCUCUAUGUCUCAAGUACAAGAAAGCUAAAUAUAUCACAUUUUAACCUUUUUUUUUACAAGAAAAUCAAUUUUCAAGUAGAUGGACCACUAUGAUACACAUUCUUUAAAUAGGUAUCCCUAUAUAUUCAUUCUCAAAAUGGGUGUCACAUAUAAAUUAAUUUUUAAAAAGACCAAUACACAUUCUCAGAAUAGGUAACGGUAAUACUCACUCUUUGGAUAAUAACCUUCCUAAAUUUUUUUUUUUCAUUAUUCAAAAUAUUUUAUCAUAUACUCCCCCGUCCCAAAAUAGUUGUAACAUUUGGUUUUGUGCCGGUCAAAUUGACUAAAGUUUGACUGAAAUUUAUUAAUAUUUUAUCAAUUGACAAAAUAAAAAAAAAUAUGUCACUGGAAAUAACUUUUAAUCUACUUUAUGAUAUAAUUUUCAGUUUUUUAAAAUAAUGGGUGAUUUGACUUAUAAUCUUUGGUCAAAACUUAGUCAAUUUGAUCAACAAAAAUAGAAAUGUGACAACUAUUUUGAGACGGAGGGAGUACAACACAACCACUCACACAUAUAUAUUACCGUUUAUUAAACAAACAACCCCACCCUCUAUAAUAUCAAUUAUCCCUAAAAAAAUCAUAAACAUCAAAUAUUUAUAAAUUGGUCACUCAUUCUAAAAAAGAUAACAGAACAAGAUUCUUGAUCAUUAAUUUUAAAGGUAAUAUAUAAAAAUCACGGUAUUUUGGUUUUUUUUUUCUCUAGCUCCUCGCUUAGUUUUAAGGUAGAAAAUGACUACUUCAUUGUCGACCCUCUUUAUCAUAAUUUCAAACAAUCAUAUUUCAAAUAUCAGGUCCAGAAAAUAUGGAUUCAAAUAUCAUCUUAUAACGUUAUCAUUGAUAUUUAUAAUUUUUUUUUUAACAUGACAUACCUUUUCUUACUCCAAGCUCACAAGAAAAACACCUACAACCCUAAAAAAAAAUUAAAAAUUAAGAUAAUGUGCGUGUUUGUUUGCUAGAAGCAGUUUCUACUUCUGGCUUCUGCUUUUCUUGACCCGUUUGUAUAAAGAAGUAGAAGUACUUUUAGGAAGCUGAGAAUGCUGACUUCUCUCUCACAGCUUCUGCUUCUUUUCCAAACACUUUAUUAACUUAUUUCCUUUUCACUUCUACCCCACUUAUUUAAUUUAAGCAAGAAGUCAAUUAUUUUAAGCUAACUCAAACGGCCCCGAUAUAACGUGUAGUCGUUUAAAGCACAAAUAUUACUUAUAACUUACUUUCCCUUUGUUCAGUAUUACUUACUUCUCUUCUUAAGUUUGUUAACAUGAGAGACCAUUUGUGUGGAAUCUUUAAUCAAUGGAUUGGGAUGUUAUGUGCUGGAAAUUUCAGAUGGGAAAAGGGGUUAUGUUUUUGGUAUAAACCCAUUCAAUCUUUGUUGAAGAACAUACUACAGUAUGCUGCAACAUGCUGCAGACUAACAAAACCAGAUGUUCUUCAGAUGCUCCAGAUGCUUCCAGAAGGAGAAUACCAGCUCAGUGACAGCUCAUAUAACUGAUUGUGUUAGUUAGUUACAUAACAGAAUAUUCUGUUAUGAUCCAAAGUUAGUUAGUAGUCUGUUAUCAGCACUGUAUAUAAACACUAGUCUAGUAGUCUUGUAGUUUAAGCUUUCUGUUAAUACAAUGCUCUCUUCAGUUUGUUCUUCAUCUUACUCAAGUUACAUUUUCAUACUGUAAACUUUAACAUGGUAUCAGAGCGAACAAAGAUCUAUUCUGCAAUUAAGCUUCAACAAUGGCGAUUUUCAGGUGUUUUCUUCUCCAAUUCGUUAUCUGCAAAUUGUUUUCUCUGUGAUUUGAUCUGUUGUGCUUAGUCAUAGUUGUCAUCGUGUUUGUACAUAUUCGAUCAUCUUGUUGAGUUUUUAGGUUUAGAAUUCUGAGAUUUCUAGUUCACUAUGGGAGAUACUGGUAAUGUGUGGAAUCGUAAUGUUGUGAAUCCUGUGAAUCCUAUCACCGAUCAAUCAAGUGUCUAUUUCAUACAUUCAUCAGAUCACAGUACUUCACAGAUUGUUUCAGUUAAAUUCAAUGGCACUGGAUUUGCCAAUUGGAAACGUUCUAUGCUUCUUAGUUUAUCGGUUAAAAACAAAUUAGGAUUUGUUGACGGUUCUGUGACUAAACCUGCUGCAAAUUCACCUGAUGCAAAAGCAUGGGAACGAUGCAAUGAUAUGAUCUGUGCUUGGCUGUUAUCUAAUUUGGAUGAAACAAUUGCUCAAAGUGUUCUGUAUUUCAAGAAUGCUGCUGAAAUUUGGUCCGAUCUUGAAGAAAGAUUUGGAUCUCCAUCUUUAGCACAGAUGUAUGCUAUUGAACAACAAUUAACAGAUUUGAAUCAAGGAUCCAAGACUGUUUCUCAGUUUUUUACUGAGAUGAGGACUCUUUGGGAUGCAUUAAGUGAUGCUGAUCCUUUACCAGCUUGUGAAUGUGGCAAAUGUACUUGUCAUGUCACUGAAAAAGUCCAGACACAACAGCAAAAGCACAGGAUAAUUCAGUUCAUGAUGAAGCUUGGGGAUAAGUUUUCCACAAUCAGAGGUAAUGUGCUUAUGCAACAGCCAUUGCCUAAGCUACCUGCUGUGUUUCGAUUAUUUGAACAAGAAGAGAAACAUCAGGAGAUUGCUCAUCUUGGCACUAAUACUGAGUCUCUAGCUUGCCUGGCUGAUAACACCAAACAGACAUAUGCUUCUAGACUUAUGUCUGGUAACAAGAAUUCUGGCACCAGUUCUAAUGCUAAGAAGAAUUCUAGGUAUUUUUGUACUCAUUGCAAGAUACCAGGACACAGUAUUGAGAGAUGUUUCAAGAUUAAUGGCUAUCCACCUGGUUUCAAAGGUUUUAAGGACAAGAAAGUAGCUGCAGUUGCCUGUGGUGGCAGUGAUGAGUCUAAUGGACAAUCUCCUCAGUUCACUAUGGCUCAAUAUAAUCAGUUACUUUCUAUGCUAAAUCAGACACCAGGGAACACUAAUCAGGAUGGAACCAAUCAUCAUGCAUUACUGGCAGGUAAGUUUUGUUUUCUGACUGAUCAUCAUAUCAAAUCUGGAUGGCUGAUAGAUAGUGGAGCUACAGAUCAUAUAUGUUCAUCAUUAACAGAUUUUAUCAGAUACAGGUCUGUAGAAUCAGAUGAGUUUAUUACUAUUCCUAAUGGUAAACAUGUGGCCAUUAACACUAGUGCAAAAAUCACUUUUUGCAACGCCCCUUUUGUGUCGGCAUUUUAAAAGACCGUCGCUUAAGACCCCAUAAAGCGUCGGUUUAGAACUUAACCGACGCUUAAAGUGAUAUUUUUUGAUUUUUAGCGUCGGCUGUUUAAAAAACCGACACUUAAAGUUUAUUUUUUACUACGGUUGUCAGAGUAGCGACGCCUAAAAUUAUGUUUGUGUGUCGGUCCAUGAAGCACCGACGCUAUAGAUAUAGUGUUUUAGUGUCGGUCCAAUAAACACCGACACUUAAACUACUGUUUUUAGCGUCGCCAUGUCUUUACCCGUAGUAAAAGAUUUUUUAUUUUUUUAAAAAAGUAAAAACCUAUACGUAAUAUAAGUUAGUCGACACGGGCUGUAGAAUGAAUUGAGCUGCAGAAUCAAUUAGUCACACCUCCUCAGAAAAUCAUUGAGAAGAUAUUUGAUUUCUUCAUAUCUUGAUUUCUCGAUCUCAAUUGUUAAUCUCGGAGGAAUCUCUAUUGCUAUUCUCGACUUGCGAUUCGCUAAUCUCUAAUCUCGACUGCUACUCUGUUCUGCCGACUUGUAUGUGCUCUGCUAAUCUGAAAUUAGGGUUUCUUUGCUGGGUUUCUGCUAAUCUGAACUGCUACUCUGUUGUGCUACUCUAUUGUACUUUGCUUGUUCUUUGCUGGGUUUGCUAGGUUUCAAUUCGCCGGGUUGUGAAAUUAGGGUUCUUUGUCGGGUUUCUGGUAAAUCUCAAGAACAAGGGUCCUUUUACUUGCCAAAUCACGUAUGCUUGUGCUAGAUUAGGGACUUUCUUUCCUUAUUUUGUAUUUUUGCAUAUCUUUAUAUUUCCCUUUGAUUUUGCUCAUUUUACAGUACUAUUUUCCAUCAGGUUGAAUUUCUACCAGCAACUUAUUGCAAUACUCGUUUUGCAUAUCUUUAUGUUUUGCUUUAUGUUGAAUUUUUAUACUGGGUUUAGAUUUGUGUAUAGUAUAAUGAUAUGAGCUUUUCAUCCCAUCCACUAAUACAUAUUUAAUCUAGCUUCCGACUUUAAAUAGAUUUUGAUAGAUUUGGAUGUAAUUUGAAAAGUAAUAUUUCAGGAUUCGCAUUGUCAGUUGGAAUAUAAAUGUCAUCAGUAGUUCUCAUGUAAUUAAGAAGAUGUUCUGAUAACUAUUGGCUGAUGGUAAACUAUGUUUACAGAGAAUGUAAUUUAGAUGUAACCUAAUUAAAAAUGUAUCACUUCUACUUAAAUCAGGGACAUUAUAUUAUAAAUUAGCCUAUAAUUCUCCGUGUAUAUGUUUUCAAAUUGGAUCCGUUCAGGUCAUGAUUCUUGUUUAUUUGGUUUUGUAACAAUGAUUUCACAAGUGAAGCCGUGAAGGUUUGGGGAAUACAAAGUUGUUGAAUUGUUUAAAGUUUAAACUGUAGUAAAGACACACCUGAGUAUUAUUACUGACUAAAAUAUUUGUAUGCUUUAGGUUGUGAUUGGAAGCUAUAUUCAUGGCUAUCAGCAGGAGCCAAAGCCUAAAACGCAGAGAUCCGAGUUUGCACCAACUAUCUCUUCAGUCCCUGCUCCUAAUCAUGCUUAUGCAGGAAGUAUUGAUUCAAUAUAUAAUCUUGCGAUGCAAAGCAUCACCCCUCCUUCAUAUCAUGGAAUCAAUGGGAAUGCAGGUAAUUCUGUUAGUGGCCCAAGUAUUCUUGCUGCGGAAAAUAAUAUUUCUAGUAUCAGGUAUCAAGUUGGGGGUAGCAAUCUUUGUUCCAUUACAAUAUACAGUUACUAUUUAAGCGUUAAGUUUCAGGGUGAAAAGUGUAAAGGGUGCAAAUAAACAACAAUUCCCGUACGAGGUGCUUAUCUUAUUGUUUUAUACUUCCAUCUAUAUUUAAGAUUGAUUAUCACUACAAGUGGUGUUAGUGCUGACUUGGGUCUUUUUAGUUUGUUUUCCAGACGAAGUAAAUCAGUCCAUUGUAAUAAGGUUAGUUGUACAAUACUAUAUAUAUAUUAUUGCUACCAUGAAUCAUGCCUAGCUACAAUUUGCUGAGAACUGCUUCUGUUUAUUUUAUCUGAUGCUUGCCCUUUGCAGUGAAAUGAAUACCAUAUUGCUAAUGUUGUAAGAUUUGUUCUGUACAAAAUUUCCAGUAUAGAGAUGCAGUAUCUUUUGUAGCAUCAAUGCAAGAAUGUCUAAUGGACAUCUAGGAAUCUUAAAUCAGUUUCAAACAAUCAGAGUUUUUAUCUUCUUCUUAUAUCAAGGAUUAAGUGUUGUACAGGGAGUAAUUAUCUAACAAGAGAAUUUUUGUUGCCGCCAGUGAAGUAUAUGUCUUAUGUGUGAGAUAAGCAAAUCUAUUCUGCACUGAUCAGCAUUUUUUUUAUUGUGAAGUGGUGAAAGUGGAGCCGGAAAACUGAAACGGCUAAGAUAGCAAUGCAAUGUUGGGCUGCACUUGGAGGCGGAAAUGGCAUAGAAUACGAAAUAUUAAAAACUAAUCCUAUUCUGGAGGCCUUUGGUGAUGCAAAGACAUCAAGAAAUAACAACUCUAUUCGAUUUGUAAGUCAUACUUUUUUACAUGGACAUUUAAACUUAAUCCAUGAAGUCAUGUUGGCAAUGUAGUGGAAUUGGUCUUUCCUGGGCUACAACUUGCAUCCAUUUGUUUUGGGUGCCACCGGGUCCUUUUUAUUUAUAUUAAUUUUUAAUACAUGUUAUUACAUUUGAAAUGUAUCUAGGCUGAUUUUUUUUGUCUUUUUGUGCUCUCUUGCUAUCAUUCUGGAUCGUGAUUCUUGGUUCACACAGUUUUACUUGAGAAGGCAAAUCUUUGAUACAUGGAUCAUGCAUUUUACCAAGCCUUCUUCUUAACACAGCACACUAACUUUCAAUUCUUUUAGUAAUAGCAUUACUAUUAGUUCUACUAUUUGCCGCCUAUGCUGUUGUAACUUGUAUGCAUCUUAGUUUGAGAUAUGCUGCUCCAAAGAACAUUGAUGGAACUGUAUAUUUGUAAUGGAAAUAACAAUUCGGCAUCAUAAUACCUUGUAAUUCUACCUUAAGUCAGUUCUAUAAUAUGAUUUUAUAUGGUGGUCUUGACUCAUUGUUAGUUGCUUCCAUUGCAGCUCGUCAUUUUGCAGGCACUAAAUCUACCAAACUAUGUGAAGCACAGCUUCAAUCCUUCUGUGUUGGCCUUGAUGUAUAUCUGUUGCCUUUAAUAACAGAUUACAUUAAAUUGUUUUUGAGUACUUUAGUCUUCUUGUGCUUCACAUCAUUUAUGGGACAGGGGUCACCAGAUUUGAAGGCUGGAAAGGAAGUUGCUGAUUAUUUGGAAGUGCUCACCAAGAGUUUCACUUCACUGUUCAGGUAUUUGACUAAACUAUAUUAUAUAUGCUUAUUGCAUCUAGGUAUUAUCUUAAUUUACGAGGUAUAGUUUUAAUUAGUUCUUACUCAACAGGAUGGCAUAGAUGCAAUUGAGGAUGUUAUUUGUCAUGUUACUACUUAUGAUUAGUUCUUACUCACAAAUGGCAUUGUUAUCAGGGGUAUAGCUAGCAAUCAUACUACUGUGCUUAGCUCUUUCACUUGCUUUUAUAUACUCCUUUAGGUCCCUGGCCAUCAGAAAAGGUUCUUGCUUAUUGCUAUGGCCGCUGAAGCUUCGGAAGUUAAGUAGUGGAUUGUAUCCUUUUCACUUUGUCAUGUGCAGCUCCAUCCUGUUACUAAGGAGGUAAUCAUAUUUUUAAUACUGUGUAUUUUUCUUUUCUUCUCAGCUUACAAUUAAUCUUUAAUGUUUAACUUUAUGCAGUACUUAGUUUAGACAUUUUAUAGUUAUUUCCCACAAUCAUGCUGCAAGCUCUAGGAAAUUCAAGAGUGUGUAUAUAUAUCAGACUUCUCACAUUGUAGCCCAAAACAGUGAAUGCUUCUUAUGACGAUAAUGAGGCUGCAGGUUUAUUAUGACCAUUCCCUGUUGAAAUAUUACCAGAUAAUGUGACACUGUUUUGUGGUUUAAUAAAUUAGAAUAUAGUAUAGUCUUUACACGGCUCAACAAUUUAGAAAAUAUUAGUAUUGUGACUAUGGUCCGUAUUUUUUUUAUGUAUAUAGUAUAUUAUUCUUCUUUUAUGUAUUCAGUCAUGAUCGUGUAAUUAGGAUUGUUAAUCUAAUAUCUAAUAAUUCAUAUAGUAUCUGCUGGUUAUUCAUUCUAGUUUUUUUAUUAGCAAGUUGAUAGCUCCAUGGACAGGAUCAGAAGUUAAGGUACUUGUUAAAUUCAUGGUUGGAGAGGAAGAUGCGAAUGGUUCUAAUUUUUUGGUCAUGCAGGACGCUGAAGAAAAUUGAUACUGCAUUCAAAUGUAUAUCAAAUGUAUAAAUUUGGCUAUUAAUUGUUAAGUUUUCAUUACAUAUUGCUCUUUGUAGAGGCAUAUUGUUCCAUGUAAUAAUCAACUAUGUAAUAUUUUUUUCUUAAUAAGAUCCAAUUGAUGGUUUACUCUUCUUAUGUAAGCUGAGCUGUUUUUUAUUCUAGUGAAUUGCCAAAUGCUUGUGGUUACAGGAAGGUAAAAAUAUUUUUUUAAAAAAUAUUUUUUUAAAAAAAUACUUUAGGCGUCGGUUUGUUGGGCAGACGACGCAGUUGGAUAGACCUAUAGCGUCGGCAUUUUAAAUGCCCGACGCAGUAGACUGAGCCUAUAGCGUCGGCCAUUCAGGUAACCGUCGCUUAUUCUAGUACUAACAGCGUCGGUCAUACAGGUAUCGACGCUUAUUCUUGUACCAAUAGCGUCGGUGUUUUAGAUAACCGACGCUUAUGCUAUACCUAGAGCGUCGCCUAGAUAACCGACGCAAAAGGUCCAUACCUUUAGUGUCGCCUGCAUAUACUACGCCACUUGACCGACGCUAAAAGUAUGUACAGUUGAAUGCAGAUCUAGUUCUGGAAAAUGUACUUCAUGUACCUGAAUUUCAGUUUAACUUGUUGUCUGUGCAAAGGAUAUGUAAAGAUUUGGGAUGCACAAUGUUAUUUACAAAGGAUGAGUGUGUUUUACAGGGCCUUUCACAGAGCAAAUCUCAGACAGUUCUUGGUAAGAUACAUGGAGGAUUAUACAGCAUUAAUCAAGUUGGAAAUGCUGUUGAUUUCAAGAGUUGCAAUAUAGCUGUGAAGGAUGCAAAAUUGUGGCAUAUCAGAUUAGGACAUAUACCUUUUGACAGAAUCAAGCUAAUUCUUCCUCAUGUGGAUGCUUCUCAUCAUGAUUUUGUCUGUCAAGUUUGUCCAAUGGCUAAGCAGACUAGAAAUAGUUUUUCUCAUAGUAGCAUAAAGACAAAGUCUAGUUUUGAGCUGAUACACAUUGAUGUAUGGGGACCAUAUCAGACUAAAUCUACUACAGGAUGUAAUCAAUUUUUGACAAUUGUUGAUGAUUUUAGUAGAUUUACUUGGGUACACUUACUUAAACACAAAUCAGAAUGUGUUCAAAUCAUGAGUAAUUUCUUUGAAUAUGUUUCUAAGCAGUUCAAAACUACUGUUGCUAUGGUCAGAUCAGAUAAUGCCAAGGAGUUUUGUUUUGGUGAAAUGCAGAAAUUAUUUCAAGUUAAUGGAAUAAUUCAUCAAACCAGUUGCAGCUAUACUCCACAGCAGAAUGGAGUGGUUGAGAGAAAACACAGGUUUCUUCUUGAAACUGCUAGAUCUUUACUGUUUCAGUCUAAAGUUCCUACAAAGUAUUGGGGAGAAUGUAUUAUGUGUGCUACAUACUUGAUUAAUAGAGUCCCUUUACACAGCAUUGGCAAUGAUACACCAUAUUUUAGGCUCUAUAAAGAAUCCCCAGAUUUUAGCCUGUUGAGAUCAUUUGGAUGUCUUUGUUUUGUUACAACACCAGCAGUUCAGAGGAGUAAAUUUGAUCCUAGAGCUAAUAAGUGUGUUUUUAUGGGUUAUACUCCAUCUCAGAAAGGCUACAAGGUGUUAAAUUUGGCCACUGGCAAAAUUGUCAUUUCCAGAGAUUUGGUUUUCCAUGAAAUUCAUUUUCCUUUUCAUUCUGGUUCAAAUGCACAGUCACAGCCAGAGAAUACUUUCAGUGGCACUUAUUUACCAAAAUUUUCUGGUCAUGAUCCAUGUGUAGAUAAUAUUGAUUUUGAUAAUCAAUAUAUAUCUCAGAAUCAUAAUUCUACACUUGACACAAAUUCACCUGGUAAUUCUGGUAUUCAUAACUCAGAUUUCUCUAGAAAUUCUGGAAUUCAUGAUGACUCUCCACAUCAAGAUAAUUUCAGUAAUGAAAUUUCAGAACAUAUGGAAUCUGAUCCAGAGUCUUCUCAUGUAAUUGACAUGAGAACUGCAGAAGUCACACCAGUACUCAGAAAAUCUUCAAGAGUUCAUAAAUUGCCUUCUUACUUGGAUUCUUAUCAGUGUAAUGCUGUUACAAACAAAACACAUUGGUGUAAUUUGGUACAACAUUCUUCUGCUGUUUCUCAGUGCACAUUGACAGAGCCUAAAUCAUAUGCAGAAGCUGCUACCAAUCCUUUGUGGCAAGAUGCUAUGCAGAAUGAAUUAAAGGCUUUACAUCAUACUCACACAUGGGAAUUAGUUCCAUUACCACCUGGAAAGAAGGCCAUUGGUUCUAGAUGGGUGUUCAAAGUAAAGCUGAAAGCAGAUGGCGGUCUAGAUAAAUGCAAGGCUAGACUUGUAGCUAAAGGAUUUAACCAAAAGUAUGGUAUAGAUUUUGAAGAAACUUUUUCACCAGUUGUGAAAAUGGGAACUAUCAGAAUUUUAUUAGCAUUGGCAGCUAGUAAGAAAUGGGAUGUAUACCAGUUGGAUGUUAACAAUGCUUUUCUGCAUGGUGAUUUGAUUGAAGAAGUAUAUAUGACAGUGCCUGAAGGGAUACCAAAUCCACAUACUUUGGUAUGUUUGCUUAAAAAGUCAAUUUAUGGCUUAAGACAAGCUUCUAGAAUGUGGAAUGCUAAACUUGUGGCAGAAUUGCUAGCUCAAGGUUUUACACAAAGUAAAAAUGAUUACAGUCUGUUCAUUAGAAAUCAGGAUGGGAAAAUUUGCAUUGCUGCAGUAUAUGUGGAUGAUGUACUGUUGACUGGAACAGAUACAGAGGGAAUUCAAGCACUUAAGUCUCAUCUUGAUAAUUUGUUCAAAAUCAAGGAUUUAGGAAAAGCUCAUUAUUUCCUUGGAAUAGAAAUUGAUCACACUCCUGAUGGUUUUGUCCUCAGCCAAAGAAAAUUUGCAAAAGAGUUAUUGAAAUCUGCUGAUUUAGACCUGUCAAAAUCAGUUGUCACUCCUUUACCAGUGCAUUUGAAGCUUAGCAAGCUUGAUGGUGAUGUAAUUGAUGCACCAGAGAGAUACAGGUCAUUGGUGGGGAAACUAAAUUACUUGACUAAUACCAGACCUGAUUUAUCAUAUGUGGUGCAAAGUCUGAGUCAAUUCAUGAAUGAGCCUAGAUCUUCCCACUGGUCUGCUUUAGAACACACAUUGAGAUAUGUCAAUUCAACUGUUCAUCAAAAAAUUCUCCUUAAUUCCUCAGACAAUUUAAAAUUGUAGGCUUUUUCUGAUGCAGAUUGGGCAUCAUGUCCAGACUCUAGAAGGUCUAUCACAGGUUAUAUUUUGCUAUUUGGAAAUUCACCAGUUACAUGGAAAUCAAAGAAACAGCCCACUGUAUCUAAAUCUUCUUCAGAAACUGAAUAUAGAGCUAUGGCUUCAGCAGCAUCAGAAGUCACUUGGGCAGUAAGGCUCUUGGAGGAUCUUGGAGUAACUAAUCUAAAGCCAGUCACAUUGCACUGUGAUAAUCAGAGUGCACUACACAUUGCAAAGAAUCCUGUGUUCCAUGAGAGAACAAAGCACAUAGAAUUAGAUUGUCAUUUUACUAGAGAUAAAGUGAUGGAAGGGUUACUACAACUUACUUAUCUUCCAACAAAAUCACAACUUGCAGAUGUGUUUACAAAAAUUUCACCAUCUGUACAUUUCAACAACAUGUUGUCCAAGCUAGGAGUUUGUUCUGUAAACACUCCUAACUUGAGGGAGGCUGUUGAAGAACAUACUACAGUAUGCUGCAACAUGCUGCAGACUAACAAAACCAGAUGUUCUUCAGAUGCUCCAGAUGCUUCCAGAAGGAGAAUACCAGCUCAGUGACAGCUCAUAUAACUGAUUGUGUUAGUUAGUUACAUAACAGAAUAUUCUGUUAUGAUCCAAAGUUAGUUAGUAGUCUGUUAUCAGCACUGUAUAUAAACACUAGUCUAGUAGUCUUGUAGUUUAAGCUUUCUGUUAAUACAAUGCUCUCUUCAGUUUGUUCUUCAUCUUACUCAAGUUACAUUUUCAUACUGUAAACUUUAACAAUCUUUCAUGUUUCUGCUCAUCUUUUUUAGUCAAGUUUGAUAUUUACAUACAUUAUGUGUGUGUUUUAUUUACACUCACUACUAGAAACAGAUAUAUUAUUUGAGGAUUUUGAUUUAAGUAACGGUAUUAUUUAUGUUAUGAAAUUAGUUUUUAAUAUUCCGAAAUUCGGGAUGUUACAUUGAGGCACCAGGUGGUCCUAGUACGUUUAAUUAGCAAUAGACAUCGGUCUGGAACCGAUGUUAAAAAAAUUUAGAAGCGAUGUCUUCGCAUGUGUAGAGAAAGGUCCAGCUUUUUAGACAUCGGUUCACAACCGAUGUUAAAGAUUCACCUAGACAACGGUUCUAACUUAGACACUGAUGUCUUUUUUUUAAUAUUUUACAUUUUAACACAUGAUCACGAGUUCAAUAUUAGUUUAUCUUGUAAUUUCAAUCAAUUUAAGCAUGCGAUCCACAAGUGAAAAAAAGACAAAGACAACGUAUAUGCAAAUCAGGACGUUGUAAAUAAGUACUUUUGACAUCGGCUAUUAUCUGGACUGAUGUGAACAACAAUAUUAAACAUCGAUUAUGUAGGCCUAUAUUUGGGAUCUCUUUUGAGCUGUUGUUAAAGAUAUAAUUUAACAUCGGUCAUCUUAAAUCCAGUUGAUGUUAUAUCUUUGAUAAGACAUCAGUUCCUUGUAUAUCUCACACUCAGAAAUGAAAAUUCAAAUACCCAGAAGCAAUAUACCAAACCAAAUAACUAGUAUACAAAAAUCAAUAUACCAAAACCAAAGUUGCAUUCAAUUGGCCAAGUACAUUAUCUAAUUCAUCUAAUUUCAUGCUCCUAAACAUAAACUGUACUUGAACUGCAUUUUGUAAUCAUCCCCAAGUAUAAAGUCAUCCCCAAGUAUAAAGUCAGAUCUCUAUUCCUCCAUUAUCUUAGUAUAUUUUGUUCAGUAGUGUUGUCAAAUUAUUAUUCAUCCUGCAAACAGACCAGGGAAAGGCAAAUUUAAUCCUACAAGUAUAUUGAGAGGCUAAAGAGUGAAGUAAUGAAACUGAACAUUGCCUUAAUAUGUUUACCUAAUCGACUAGAAUUACCACCAUGCCUAAUGCAUGCAUCGAUGUGUCUUGAUAUGCUGCAGAAGACUUCUGGUAGAAGAAUAUUAAAGAUUUUGGUAUAUGCGAAGCCAACUCCAGGAUAUGCUCAUAAGGUUGAAUUCUGGAAGUAGAAAUGAGGAGAGUAAGCAAACGGAUCAAUCUUAAAUUUAAGUCUAUAGCUCCAUUCAGUAAAAAUAACUAGACAAUGCAAUUAAAACAAGGAAGUUAUUUAUGUUGCUUACUUUUGUAAAAGUAUUACCUGAAGGGAUAAUAUUGUUGCAUCUCUGCUGAAACGAGUCCAAAAGAUUUUGCAUGCUCUCGCACUCAGUAUUGUUCCAUAUCUCGGAAGAAAUUUAGUUCCCCGUAUCCAUAUGAGUAUGGCAAUAACUCUUCCACCUCAAUCCUGGAGCUGGAACAACUCAUUCUUCUUUUGAAUCUACUAUGGUUUAUAGACUCAACCUCAGCCAGAAAUAUGCUGUAAACUGGUCUAUGAUCUGAGAAACGAGACUCACCACGAACAUAAGACAUUUGAUGCAGACCUCUACCAUACCACAGUAUGCGAUCACAGAACCUAAGUUUCAAUAGCUGAAUGUAUGUUCAGAGUGCAUUACAUAUUGUACAAUUGCAAUAAAUCAUAACAGAUUGUAAUUUUAAUUUGAAGCACAUUAUCCAGCAGUAUGAUGCACUACUAUCAAAAGAAUAAUGUAACAUCAAAAACAGAAACCAAUUUCCUAGCCAAUGGAUCAUCUAUUGUUAUCAAAUUUAUACUUGAAAGAACCCUUAGUCUAUAGAACACCGGAAUAUAUUAUAUUAAAUUCAGCAAAAAGUUAGAUAUCUGUGCAUGUACAGACGAUUUAUCCACUCUACAACAGAGCUUCAAAUUCAUUUUGGCUAAUAAAAUAUUUGAACUGAAUGCAGAAAACUUAUUGCGGAAAGUGAAAUAUCACUUACAGCUUCUUUCCUGGAAGUACCAUACUUGCUCUGCAUAUGUAGAAUGACCCCGUUCAAUGAAUUAGAGUAAUCAUACAUCAAUAAAAUACACUGAAGAAAUAUUAGCUAUUGCAUAGACCUUCAUAGAGAACUCAGGCACAUCUAACAACAGCAACUUCGCGUCAAAAUAAUGUGACAGGGCUUUUGCAAGCAUUUGCUGGUAAAGUUCUAGAACAGAAGACAUAAACAAGCAAUAAAUCCAAAUCAGACAGAAAUUCGAUUAAUCUGUAAUAUAGAUACUUCCUUUCACACCACUGCAGGGCAUGACAAUAAGAUUGUAUGGAGUAACAAAAAAACAGCUCAUGUUAAUACACAAAAGCUUCCAAAAAUUGUGAACUAGAGUGCUUGUCAACUAGGGAAUACAAUCAGAUUUUUUCACAUCAACUUUGGCACUAUAAGAGUUUGUAAAUACAUCCAACAAUUAAUAAUAUUGAGCUAAUUUUGAUCCAAGAACCUCAUAAUCCUCAAUGAUCCAGAUUUGCAAAAAUAUUCAAUCUUUAACAAAUAAGAACCCUAGACGAUUUAAUUGAAAAUCAAAAGCCAGUAUAAUCAUACAUAUAUACAAAGAGUAACUGAUCAAAAGUAGAAAAUAGAGAGAUUUGAGAAAGAGUACCUUUCGUAAUUGGUAAAACCCCCAACUCAAGAAUAGAAACCCUAACAAGAUCAUAUCGAAAAAUGAAAAACAAAGUCAAUCAAUAUAUACACAAACACAAAAUAUAUGAUAAUGAAAAGGGAACCACCUUUUAGCCAAUUUAUCAGGCGCCGGAGCCUUUUUACACUGCUAUUAUUAAAACCACCAUCGAAUCGAGACUAAGAGAAGACUCAUCGAAUGAAUUUCUAUGCUUGUGAGUCCCUGAGUCACACACAAUCCGUGACCCGACCCAUGACCCGUCCAUUGAAGUCUGCAACGAUGUCGUCUAAUAGGAGGUCGUCGUCUUCGAAACGGAAGCAGAUCUCGAAUUGGGCUCGGUGGUGGUAGGUCUGGCGAGUUGGUAAUUCAGGCAUCUGGUUGAAGUCUAGCAUGGGGUUAAAGCUUGACGAGAGAGAGAGGAGUGCGAGAGACUACGUGUGAGAGAGAGAGAGAGAGAGAGAGAGAGAGAGAGAGAGAGAGAGAGAGAGAGAGAGAGAGAGAGAGGGUGUGGACAGUGAAAGGAGGGGGAGGGAGAGGAGGGGGGAACGGGGAAUAAAGUUUUGGUUUAGGAAAAAUUCAAAAUUUUGGCUGAGGAAUGGAAUGUGUAUGUAUGUAAUGAGGUACUUGUACUUUUAGUUGUUUUGAUUUUAUUUUCAAAAAAUUUUGAUUAGACAGCGAUUAUGUUUUAAAACGAUGUUUAUAGAUAUUUUAACAUCGCUUAAAAAUCGAUCGAUGUUAAAAAUAUUUUUGACAUCAGUGCUUUUCCUAGCCGAUGUUAAAACGGUGAUGUCUAUUGCAUUAUUUCUAGUAGUGACUUCCAUCUCAUCUAAUUGGAAUUUACAAAUAUUGUAGACAAAUUUGAUGUCUUGCACCCAAAUUUCAUUGAGAAUCUAACUUUGAUGAAGGCGACAAUCCAGAACAGAGAUCACCUAGCGCUAGCAGCCCCAAUGUUGAACAUUUGGCGAGCCCUGCGGGACAUUAAGGUGCUCUCAACUUGUAAAUGAGACUGGUUCCACACGAAUGUUUAAACAUAAUGAAUGUGGCUUUCGAAAGAUAAGCUAUUGUACUUGGGUGAUGCUUAAGUGCUAUUUAAAUCAUUCAAGAGAAGGCCCAGACUUCUUACAAAUUCGCUUUAUCAAAUCCUUCUGGUUUGUCCUGGGAUUUGACUAAAUUAAACUAACAUCUUCUUGUGAUUACUAGAAAAAUAAAAAUUAAUAUCACUCUAGUAAACAAAAUCUACAAUCCUCUAAAGGGAAGAUUUACUUGUUGAUUAGAUAGUACGGGCAAAAAAUGAAGAGUGGAACUCAACAACUCACCUGAAAUUAUCCUAGUUCGCGGCAAAUCGCCCUCCUGUAAUGCUCUCAAAAUUUCUUAAAUAAAAAAGAGACCUGGGUUGACAUAGGAUAAGAUAUACGGUGAGGUGGACGGUCAAGAUAAGGUGAUGGGUUUGUGAUAUUGCAUCAUAUGAUGACAUAUGUUAGUAUAGACGUACCCUAGCACAUACCCCACUAUGGAUCUUUUGAGGUGGGUAGGAUCCAGAUCACUAUCCCAAGGCCUAUUUUUUGACCAAUGACCGGAUAACGCUGAUGGACUAAUAUAUAUUUUCAAAAAAUCACUAUGAUCCAUAUAUUAACUUAAUCUUGGAUUCAGUUUUAUAUUUAUCAAAUGAGUUCAUGUAUGUGAGCAAUCUGUGAAAUUGUGAUUAAGUUAAUAUAUGGAUCAUAGUAUUUUUGAAAAAAAACAUUAGUCCAUCACCGUUGUCCGGUCAAUGGUCAUGUAAUUAAGCCUUGGGGGUAGUGAUCUCGUCCGGCCCAACUCAAUUGAUUUGUACUGGGGUAUAUUUAUACUAACAUGUGUCGCCAUAUAGUGCAAUCUCACCAACUUAUCACCACAUCCUGACCGUCCAUCUCUCCAUAUAUCGAUCCUAUGUCAACGCAUGUCUCUUUUUUAUUUAAGAAAUUUUGAGAGCACUACUGAAGGGCGAUUUGCGGCGGACUACGCUUCUUUCCGGUGAGUGGGCGAGUUCCAUUUCCUUUUCGGAUCAGUUUUUGUCUGUACUAUUUGAUCAACAAGUAAAUUUUCGCUUUAGAUGAUUGUAGAUUUUGUUAACUAAAGUGAUGUUUAUUUUUGUUUUGCGGGACAUCACAACUAGAUUUUAGCGUAAUUUAGUCUAAUCCCAGGACCGGUAGGAAGGAAUUGAUAAAGCGAAAGUGUAGAAGCCUGGGCCAUCUCUUGAACGAUUUAAUAAAUAUAAAUCCAAUACUUCAAUUUUAUUUAUGUAAUGUAAUAAGUAUAUUGAUUAAGUUUCUAAACCUGCCAGAUAGUGUGAUAAUGUAAAUUUUCUGAUCAGUUUUACUUGAUUGUUUCUUUUAAUUUACUAUUAAAAUCUAGCACACAGUACAUAUCAAUUGUUUGAUAUCUAGCUUAAUAUGAAACUAAAUCUUGACUUGAUGAGAUCAAGUAAGGAAGUAGCGGUGUAUGAUCUGCGACUUGUAAAUAUUAACUGAAUGUUCUCGAAGAAUGUAAUUUGGUACAAGAACAAAUUAGUGUGACAUGCUUAUAAAUAGAAUGUGUUGUGUAGGAUUAAAAUCAAUUUGGUUAACUCCUCUUUUUCUUCUCUGUGUCUCCCUCUGUUACAUUGCUGGUAUGUAAACCCGAAUUUAUUUCAUAGUAGUGUGAAAUAGAACAUCAUCCUUAAUACACUAGUCAUACUUCACAUGUCAUUGUAUCGCUUGUCUAUUAAGAAUUAUAAUGUCUGUGAAUGCAGUUGCUUUUACGAAUGAAACAUGUCAAGCUUUCAAGUGUGCAAUUUAAAUAAUUAUUUUGGGCUUACUAAUAGCUGCCCAAGUCAAGCUAAUAUUCUUCCAACUAGGAUAACCAAUUAUAUGCUUCGUGACCUGUUAUUUCGUAAAGAAGUGUUGAUUUAAGUUAUAUUAGUUACUGCGAUACUCUGUACACAGUCACAAACAUAACCAGCAUUUGGAGCAUGUCCACCUUUUUAUUGUGAAUAUAUAUGGAGAAAAUUAAUUCUAAAGUCCCUGAACUAUAGGCACUUUUUUUUCUGAGUCCCUGAACUAUAAAUGUCAAUUCAUAAGCAAUUCAACUCUUGAUUUUUUCCUACUUGGGUCCUCCCGUUAGAUUUGGUUUGACGUCGUUAGUUUUUCUGGCGAACUUGGUCGGAAAAGCUCAAAUCCGAUGAGCUCGAAUUUUCCGACGAGGCUAAUUUGAAUAUUAAAAAGCACGAAAAUUAUAUGAACAUGCUCAUAAUCACACGAUCUAUCAAUCUACAUCAUUAUAAUUCGAAUAAAAGCUAUUAAAAUGAAAACUAAUAUUCAACUUAAAAUUUGAAAAUUACCAAACUAAAUUUUGAUGGUAUAGAUGGAUAGGGGAUUGAAAAACGAGCAAUUUGAUUACUCAAGCUUCAAAUUUGGAUACCGGAAUCACCUUCAAAGUCAUCUUUGAUUCUCAUGAACUUAAUAAGAACUAACGGCGUCAAACCAGAUCUAACGGAAGGACCCAAAUAAGAAAAAAUCAAGAGUUGAAUGACUUAUGAAUUGACAUUUAUAGUUCAGGGACCUAGAAAAAAAAGUGUCUAUAGUUCAGGGACUUUAUAAUUAACUUUCCCUAUAUAUAUAUAUUAUAUAAGAAGCUAUAAAAAACCAUUUUAGUUGUUAAGCGAUUUUGGUAGGUAACAUAACUUAGACAUUCAUCAGUAUAUGCCCUACUUAAUUUGUUUACUACACAAACCUGAAAGAGGUCUAAGUACAAUGAAGUACCACUUUUUUGACAUUUUUGAUUUCUGUGUGAUCCUUCAAUCAGAAUUAUUGGAUAACGUAUGCUUAAAAUUUAUGUUUAAUUAUGAUGCUAACGAAAAAGAAAAUGAAGACUGGAAAAAAAAAACUGGUUUCAUGCUGUCAAAAGAUGUGGACAGUAAAAUCUUUUCUGUGGAUAUCCCUUUUUUCUUUUUGUACAUGUUCAUUUAAGUUGAAUUCCUUCUACAAACUUGUAAAGAGUACUAGUAAAUGUCUGAAAGAAGCACAAGGAAAACCAAGAUAUUUCCAGUCUGACCAUUAUGUAUUCUGUGGUUAUUAGGAAGAACAAGAGCUUGAGAGAAUCAGCCCAUUUUUUCAACGAAGGCAGAAUGGAAGGGGUUGAAUGGCCUUCCUUGGCUGCAAUAAAAAAGGCAUUUUGUAAUAAUGUUCUGAGGUGGAUUGGCGAUUUUUUUGUGGGGCGGUUGAUAGUUGACUAUUCCGGGUAACUAUGUUUUGAAUUUGCUCUAUGUAAAUAUUAUAAAUUUUUUCUUGAAGUUUUGGAGUUCCUGGUAUGGGGCAUCAUAUCCUUACGUAGUAAAAAUCAAAAGUGUGGCUCAAUCUCAACUCCCAAGAAGUGCAUGUAUACAGCAAAUUAAAGAAUAAGCACCCCUUGGAAGGGAGGAGAAUAUAGUCCUGGCUAAAUCUCAAGUGAAUAAAGUCAAUUGGUUUUGCUAAAAUAGAUGGAGUUAUUGCAAUAAUUUCCAAAUACAUCCCACUUUUGAAUAUAAAUAUGACUAACUUUCAAAGACCCUGCACUCAAGUAAUUUUUCAUACAUUUUUUAAUCAUUUUAUACUUUCAAGUAACUAUGUUCUGAAUUUGCUGUAUUUGAAUAUUAGAAAUUGUGUCUUGAAGUUUUGGAGUUCCUGGUAUGGGGCAUCUGAUCCUUGGUAUGGGGCAUCUGAUCCUUACAUAGUAACAUACUCCCUUCGUCCCAAAAAGAUUUAGCUGGUUUGACUUUCACUGAGAUUAAGAAAAAGGUAAUAAAAAAGAGUAAAUUUAGUUGAAAAGUGGGUAAAGUGGUGGGACCUGUCAAAAUUUAACAAUAGAUUUGAGAUAGUGGAGGAAGGUAUAUAUUGCGUGUAAUAGUGUUUAUUUAAUAAAAAGAGAGUAAAAAAUUGAGAGGUAGUGUGUGUAAUAGUGAAAAGUAGUGUUCAAAAAUAAUAAGUAUAAUAAGUUCAAUCUUUUUCGGACAUCCAAAAAGGAAUUAGGGUCAAUUAAAAUGGGACGGAAGGAGUAUAAAAGUGUGGGAGACUAAAGUCUUGGCCAAAUCUCAAGUCCCAAAAAGUGCAUGCAUACAACAAAUNUCUUGGCUAAAUCUCAAGUCCACAAGAGCAUGUCAAUUGGUUGUGCUAAUCACUUUUGUGCUAAAAUAGCACCUUCUUUCCAAUGGUUGGUUUCAAAUCUUGUUUCACAUUUAAACAACUUCCAUAUACAUACCGCAUUUAAAUAUAAAUAUGCCUAACUUUCAAAGACCCUGCAAUUUUAAUACUUUCUUAUACAUUUUUUCAUCAUUUUAUGGUUUAGCAAUUAUAGAUCCAUCUAUCUUUUGUUCUAAAUAUUGAACAAACUAUAGCAUUGUUCUAUUUUAGAACAAGAUAUAGAAUACCCUUGGAGUAGGUAAUUUUAAUUUUUGUUCUAAAAUAUAAAUAUAGAACAAGAUAUAGCACACCAUUGGACUUUCCCUAAGGGAUUCUACCAAAAACAUGGUUUAAAUAUACCUCACUCAGUUAAAAUUUUAAUCUAAAAUUAAUGCUACCUACUUUCUUUUGAAGUAUGCAUUACGUAUAUACUUGUGCCCACCUAAACUAGAAUGCUAUUGUAAAAGUAUCAUAUGCCAGUUCCUUUAUCAAGUUCCUGGGAAGUUAACAAAUAUGUUUGGUUUGUGGUGUAGGAAUUUUCGGUGCCCGGGUGUGAUAUAAGCAAGUUUCUAUAUUAUGCAUGUGGGGAAUUCCAAUUUCCUAGGAAGUUCCAGACUUCCAGUUUCCAUAUAGCGGUCAACCAAAAAAUCUUUCAAUUUGCUAGAAAGUUUAAAUUCCUAGAGAUUUACAUGUUAACCAAACUACCUCUUAUAAAUCUAGUUAUGGUACAUUAGGAAGAUUACAUUCUUACUAGGGAACGUUGAAGUUCUCAUUUCGGAAAGAUGUCGAGUAUGCACACUCUUAAUCCAGUUCUGAUUAAAAAAUUUAGAUUUUAGUGGCCUUAACAUAAACUAUGCACUGAUUUGCAUUUUAAUAUAUGAACCGUCAGUGAAUUAGCUUCCAGUAAGCUUUAUUAUCUUCUAAUGUCUAGCUGCAGAACUUUUUACUGUACUGGCAAAAGGAACAAUCCUACUCUAGUUUCUCCUCUAUGUGUUAAAUCAAGUUCUUUUAAAUCUUGCAAAGGAUGAAUCUGUCUUUAAGAAACAUCUGUAAAAAUAAUGCAUUCCGUUUUCAACAAACUACUAAAUCUUUCUAGAUAAAAUUCAUUUGAAUGGGCAUGCUCAAUCUAGCUUUGUGGUGAGUUCUUCGUUUCUCUAUUUGUUAGCAGGAAUGCUCCACGAACAGUAAAACAAGGAAGAAAACGGAAAGGACUUGCAGGAGAUCGGGUGACUCAGUUUGGGGAGCUUGGGGAAUUCUUCCUACUGAACUUCUGGUGUCAAUUUUGGUUAAAUUAAGUAUCGUGGACUACCUGUCAUUUAGCGGUGUUUGUAAAUCUUGGAGGUCUGCAUCUAUUGAUUUCCGCAAAUAUUGUAUGAUGCACCAGCAACCCCUAGUUGUUGUUCGGCCAAAGUAUUCAAAAAAAUCUUGUGUAUUGUACAAUAUGUUUGAUAUGAAAAAUUACAAAACAAUGCUACCAGAUUUGCCUUGCAAGAAAUUAUUGGGUUUCUCAUGUGGGUACCUGAUUACAAUCGACAGAAACUUAGGCUUUUGGCUCAUAAAUUAAAUGACAAAACAUGAGCUGCGUUUUCUCGUCCUUCCUGGACAUAUGGGUGGCAUAAACUGCUUUGAAUUUUCUGCUCUCCUCUGUCGGUCCGCUCGGCUUUCAGAAACUUUCAUGGUUCUUUUCUCUCAGACAGAAAAUUAUAUAUUGUUGUCCAAAAGUGGCGGCAGCAGUUGGCAGAGAUAUAUUUAUCCGACACAGAAGACAAGAUUGCAGAUGUGAAGAUUUUUUAUGGCAAAAUCUUUGUUUUGACUUCAUAUGUACGUUUUGGAGAAUUUAAUCCGAAGGCAGGUUCUGUUCCGAAGUUCUCCAAAAUCAGCAUCCCUUUCCCGGUUUCAUCUGAUACUUUUUUGAAGUUGGUGGCAUCAGACAAUAAGCUAUACAUUACUGUAAUAAAUUGUUAUCCUUAUCCUGCAUUGGACCGACAUCUGUCAUUAUUCGAAAUUGACCACGAGACAAUGGAUAGAGCAACACAGAUUCAUGACUUGGGUGCAAAAUCUUUAUUUCUUAGUUGGUUCAGUUCUGCUGUCGUCGAUACAACUGGUUGGGGAGCAGGUAACUGUGUCUGUGUUCUUCACUUAGGAAGUUUCAAUGCAUGUUCUUUCUUUAAACUGAAUGGAAAUCUGCUAGGAACAAUUCCUGUCGUUUGGGAUAGUCAUUCAUCUCCAUAUUUUUGGUAUUUUCCUAGUGAAACUUGGUCCAUCAGUUGUGUCAGUGAUGAGUUUGACGCAUGAUCACUUCUAAAUCUCAUAUCAGUUUUUCUCAUUAAGUCUGUAGUUUGUAUCUUCAUCUUUCAUAAUGCAACUUUGUACUAGUUCCAUUUUGAAAACUUUUAUACAUUGAUGCUGUAACGCAUUGGAGGCACCAGAACUCAAAUGUCAUUUUCUUUAUUUCUUAUUGACACCUUGUUUGUUCGUGUAUAAGACAGAUUCUUUGGUGAAAAAUUCCCAAUUUGAAGCUGCACUUUCUGCAGUUUAAUAUAGUUAUAUAUUUUUGUUAAUCAAAGUUUAAUUUAUAAAUGAUUACUUCGUUUCUGAAUUAUUGUAGUUACAGAUAGAUGAGUUAAUUUUCAAGGAGCUGCAGUUUCUCGUUCGAAAAUGAUUUCUAUAAUUUCUGAAUGAAGGGCCUCCAAGUUUGUCCUUCCAAACAAACUGAUCCUCUUUCUCAUCAAAUGAGUUCCUUCUGUCCAAAAGCUAAUAUUAUAUUAUAUUAGUUUGAGUAAAACUAAGUGGAGGUCCGAACCGACCUGUUUGAUACUGGAUAAAGCAAAUCUUGGUUGAUCUCAGUUUGCCUUGUUACACUGACGUAUUAGAACUGAUACCUACAUGUGCUCGAUUCGAUCUAUUUCUUUAUCUCCCCAUGCAUCGUAUGUUUGUAACAAUAUGGACAGAAUUUUCAACUUUACAACUAAUCCAGACUUUCCAACAGGGACGAAGCUACAUAGGGGCCAGACGGGGCCAUGGCCCCCAGGGUUUCAAUAGUAUUAUAAUUUCUAUUAUAUAAUUCUGAAAAAAAUUGUAUUUUAUCUAUAUAUUUAUAUAAAUAUAAAAAUUUGGUCCCUCUCAAAAAAUAUUUGUUCGCUUCUAAGAAAUAUUUAACAUUGUAAAAUAAAGUUUUCAUUCUUAGAUUUUUCUAAUUUAUUGUAUUAGACCAAAUUUAAAAAUAAAAAUAAACAAAAAUAUGGAUAUAUAUACAAUUAUAUUAUUUAAAAAAAUUGAUCAUAAAAUGUGAUAUGUGAUAAAUAUUAAUGUAAAUAUGGUUCUUUUUUUAAAAUAAGAAUCUUUGGUGAAGGUCUUAUCCAAAAAACUUAUAUCUCACUUCAUUUCUACAUUUUCAUAGAAUAGUUAGUCCUCGUGCAUUAUCAAUUUAUUAUUUAAUAUUAAUAUUGAUCUACUCAUAUUCAAUUUAAGUUUCCAAUGGAGAUUGUAUCUCUUCACAGGUGCAUUCUACAUUCACAUGCAUAAUAAUAUACUAUAUAGUCUAAUUGAUCGAUUUUCUUUAUAAGCUGGACAAAAUGAUUGGCAGGGCUUAAAAGCCCAUCUUUGGACUUACAAGUCAGUAACACAUUCGUAUUGUUUGCGUAAAAAACUGAUCAAUGAACUUGAGACUUAUAAGACAGAAUAUGAGAAGUUAGAAAAUCUCAACUUUUUUUUAGUCUUAUUUUAGAAAUUUCAUUUUACACGAAAGUAAAGGACCACUUUAAGAAAUAAUUUAGAAUAAUUUAUUAUUAUAAUAAUAAUUUUAUACCCUGUAAAUAUAAAAAAAUAUCCAAACAUAUACAUUAAAAGUUAAUUUUCAUUUUAUAUAACUUUUUACGUUUAAUCAAUUAACACAUCUUUUACAGCCUCAUUAUUCUCGUACCUUUAUCAGAGCACUUCCACGCUUCUGCCAUUUCCACAAUCCUACGAGAUGAUCUGAAUACAGUCCACCCACCAUUUAUUUUUUACAGAGAUUUCUCCUGCUUUUUUUCUCUUUCUCUACAAUCUUCUAAGCUCUAGUUUAUCUUAUAUAUCUUAUUUAAAUGGGCAAGGAGCAUUGCUUCUCCACUUCUGUAACCACAUGUGAAUUUACAGCUUCUAAAAAUCAUCCCAAUAUCCCAACACCAUAGAGGUCGGUCUGGAGUGCUACAUGUCUGGAGAAAUAACAGAAAAUAAUUUGUAUAGCUAGUAAUAUAUGACACAGAGUCUAAGUACUUGAAGCAAUUCUCAUUUUAAGUCUAGAAUACAAGUGGCUGGUAUGGUUGUAAAUACUAGAUCACAUAGUUGGUGAUUCUUAUUUCACGUGGAUCUGGUAUAAAAAAACAUCUAGAGAUUCCAAGGGAAGCAAAAAAUGGUGUGAAGAAAACAAUAGAUGCUUAAAAUAGAGAACGAACUAAUGCCUCCUUCGGGAAUCUCGAUCGCUGUAAAGUGAGAUGUAAAAUUACAAGCAACACCUUACCUGGACAAAAUGCAUGUAAACCAUACCCCUAGUUCUCAUCUCCAACGCUAAAGAUGAAACUGUUAGCUAAAAUAUCAUUAUCUAAAUUUUUUUGAGCCUGUAAGGAUUUUUGCUCCGGCGGGUAUUAGCUAAAACCAUUAGCUAUAUUCAAAAAAAUAAUUUUAAAUCUUAAUUACAAAUAUACAAUAAAAUAAUAUAUUUCGUUUUUAUUCUAUAUUAUUGAAAACAAAAUAAUAUCUUUAAUAAAAAAUGGUUAAUUAUAAUAUUUAGCAUUUUUAAAUUAUUAUAUUAUAAUUUUUUAAAAAUUUGAUUAGCAAUAAAGUAACAGUUUCUCAUAAUAUUACAUAACAAUAUUAUUUAUAAAAGAAACAUAAAUAAACAUCUAUACUUGAAAUAAUAAUAAUAGAACCUUAAAUAUUUCAAGUUAAAUAUCGUAAAAAUGAUUUAAGAUGGAAUGUGAUAUGCUAUAAAUUUAAAAAUAAAAUUUAGAAGGGCAAAAAUCAAAGUUAAACUGAAAGACUUUAAGCUAAUUAUCUUUUGAUAGAAAGGGUUUGAAAGAAUUAAAAAUAAAAAAUUAAUUAUUUUUUUAUUUAAUACAAGUGAAUAAAAAUAUAAUUAAUAAAAACAGAUAUACCGAUACUAUUCUAAUAAUAAAAACUUGAAAAAACUAAUUAACAAAAACUACUUAUAUCAUGUAAAAUAUUUACUAAUUUUCUUUGUUAUAAAUACACAAUAUAUAAGUCAUUAUAUUAGUUUAAUUAUAUUAUUUUUAUUAUAUAUUUUUUUAUAAAUAUUUUUACACUUUACAAUGCAUAAAAUUAAAUUAUAAAAUUAAAAAGUUAUACAAAUAUAUAUGAUAGAAUUAUAAUAUUAUGAUAGAUAUAUAAUAUAAAAUACACACCUAAGUUGGAGUAAAGUUAAAUUUUAAAAGAAAAUGACGUGGAUAUGAUAUAGAUCAGAGACACUCGUUCAACAAAUGUAGCGUGCUAAUUUCUCGGCAUCUAAAAAUAUUGCUAAGGGGUUGUUGCUUUGGAGUGGUGGUUUUUUCACAUAUUAGGUAUAUGAGUUGUCACGUAGGUUUUAAAGCUAACAGGUGACCUGCGUUGGAGAUGCUCUAACAACCGCAAAUUGAUAAGUGGUAUUUAUACACACUUAUAGGCCUUCAUUUCCACUUAAAUUGGUUGGUUGUACUUAAGUGUUUAGUGUUUUUUGAUGUGUUUUUAUUGUUUUUCUGUGCAGGUCACGAGUUGAGGUGAUGAAGUGAAUUUCUAUCAUUUUAGGUUGGUUUUGGUGCAUUAUUUGCAAGAAUAGAGAAUUAUGGAUUCACCGCGACUUGGGAUUUUGUGGGUAUAUCUUCUACAAACCCUCACGAGAGCACACUCGUCCACUAGAGCUAUCUAGGGGUUUAAAGGGCUUGUUGCAUAUGCUAAAUGCAACCGUGAUCACCUACGGAAGUGGUACUAGAAGCGAGGAAGGACAUGCACGCGAGAACGAGCGAGAAACGAAGAAACGGGGCUGCCAUCACAGACAGUAGCGCGCCCGCGCUACUUGACAGCGCGCCCGCGCUAUCCACUGGGACAACUAGCGCGCCUGCGCUAGUUUAGCGCGGCCGCGCCCAGCAGAAGUUCCCCGGGCCGAUUUUUACAGCUUUUUAGCGGAUUUUCGCAGCGGUCGAGGCCCGGUUGACUUGGUCAAUGUAUUUUUAUUUCUCGUGUGUAAAACCCUAGCCUCGGAGAAGUAGUUUUAGUAGAGAACAAUAUCGUAGUUAAGUUUUAUUCAUUCAAGCACAUUAUCAGUUUGUAUUAGAUCGUUCUUCGCGAGGAAGUGACAGUUUCGAGCGAGAUCGUGAACAUCAAAUCUGUAACGUGUGAUCUUUAUUAUUAAUUCAAGCAUUUUUAUUCCGUUUAAUUCUUGUCUUUUAUUUAUCAUGUUUUCAUUAGAACCCAUGAUGUCGAUUAGUUCGAUUAUGAACUAACCGCCUUCAUGGGAUUCUAAUGGAUUUAUCGAUGUAGUCUAGUAACGAAUAUUAAUUACUUGAUUUUGUGACGUACGUUGAUUUCUUUGCAUGAGCCGUGCUUAUUCUUCUUAGGAGCGUAGCUAACUUCUAAGUUGUUUGUUAAUUCUUUCUGAAGCGAGAGUGGAUGAUUGAAUUUAGAACUAUGCCAUGUAAACAUAGGAUUAUGUGAAUGAAACAUAAUUUGUGGUAGACUUGAACUAUUUUUAUCACCCUGUGUAAUCACGAUAGACGACUUGUUAUUAAACCUCUCUGCUUACACUACCGCUAUAGAGAUAUAGGGUCUGAGCUUUGUUGGUGUCCAUGAGAUUUCUGUCUUAAUUGCGGAUUUUGAUUGGUAUGAUAUGUGUGCAACGAGAGUUGGCAUGUAUUACUUUCGUGUUGUCUGAUUAGGAUCAACAGUCACAUUUUAAUCAGUAAUUUCAAUUCUAGAUGAAUUCGAUAAUGAAGUUAGAAUCCCAUGUGUUUUCCUAUUCUGAAUUUGAUUAGUAAUUUUAGUUAUUAGUAUAAAAGAAACCAUCCUUGUUAAUUGUCUUGGCAGUGAGAAUUGAACAUACAUUGUUGCAUAGGUGCGUAUUCUUAAUUCACCAGUCUCUGUGGGAUCGAACUUAAUAUAUUACUUGUGAUCACGUGCGCUUGCGUGUAGAUUUCACCGAACAAGUUUUUGGCGCCGCCGCCGGGGACUCGGUGUUAAUUAAUUAGUUUACGUACUUGUCAUCAGUGUGCAUUAAAAUUCACUGACUAGGAUUCUAUUCUCUUCUCACUUUUCUUCUUUUCUUUAUUUCAGGUACUUGGGUCGCGUUUAUGCAAACACGUUCUCAGACCCGUAAGAAAGCAAUUGAUUCAUCUUCAUCUUCUUCUUCUGAUUCUGAAACAAUGACAGAACCUGAAGCACAACCAGACAGUAAGGCAUUGAAGGACUUCUCUAUGCCAAAAAUCGAUGAUAUCCAAUCAAGCAUUGUCAGGCCUGCAAUCGCAGCCAAAGCCUUUGAAAUCAAACCAGGAACUAUUCAAAUGGUGCAGAACUCGGUACAGUAUGGGGGUUCUCCUACUGAAGACCCUAAUAUGCAUAUACGGAAUUUUAUAUAGAUCUGUGACACUUUCAAAUUCAAUGACGUCUCUGAUGAAGCUGUGAAGUUAAGACUUUUCCCAUUUUCACUGAAGGAUAAGGCCAAGGGAUGGUUACAUUCUUUGCCUUCUGGUUCGAUUACUACAUGGGAAGAUCUAGCUCAGAAAUUUCUCACUAAAUUCUUUCCCAUGGCAAAGACUGCUGCGCUACGAAAUGCUCUAUCUCAAUUCUCUCAACAAUCAGGAGAAACAUUCUGUGAAGCCUGGGAGCGAUAUAAGGAGAUGCUAAGGAAGUGUCCCCAUCAUGGCAUGCCGGAUUGGAUGCAAAUAAACAGUUUCUAUAAUGGUCUUGGACCUCAAUCCAGACCUAUGCUUGAUGCUGCUUCUGGAGGUGCGCUAUGGGCUAAAAGUUAUGAAGAAGCUUAUGAUCUUAUUGAAAUGAUGGCUGCUAAUGAAUAUCAGAACCCUACUCAAAGACUUACUCAAGGGAAGGUAGCCGGAAUUCUUGAUCUUGACACGUCUACAGCUAUAGCAGCUCAACUUAAGGCUCUCACGAUGAAAGUCGAUUCUCUGGCUCACCAAGGAAUUCAACAGCCAAUCUCUAUUUGCGAAUUAUGUGCUGGUACUCAUGCUACUGAUCAGUGUGCCAUUUCUAGUGAAUCAGCACAAUUUGUGAGCAACUUUCAGAGAGGUCAACAGCCUGCUCCAGCUACUUACCAUCCUAACAACCGAAAUCAUCCGAAUUUCAGCUGGAGUAAUAAUCAGGGUUAUAAUCAGCCUCAACAAGGAUUUCAACAGGGACCUAAACAGUAUAGUCAGGCUGGAACUUCACAACAGUAUGCACCUAAACAGCCAUAUCACCCUCCGGGAUUUCAGAAUCAUGGGCAAUCAGCUAACGAAAGGUCUGACAUGGAAGAGCUAAGACUCAUGUACAAGAGUCAGGCAGUAACUUUAAAAGCCUUGGAGACACAAGUCGGUCAGUUAGCUAAUGCUUUACUAAGCAGACCACAGGGGAAUCUCCCUAGUGAUACAGAGGUACCAGGUAAGAGGGACCCUAAAGAGCAAGUCCAAUCCAUUACGCUGAGAUCUGGAAAAACUACAACAGGGCCUACCUCAACAUUAGUACAAGAUCAGGGUGAUGAACCGCAAGAAAUUCCAGCAGAAGUUCCUUCAAAUACAAUUGGCACCAACCCUACUGUUGAAAAGGAUAAGGCUAUUCCUGCAGCUGCUCCGAUGUCAAAACCAGUAUAUCCACCACCUCCAUUUCCUAGGAGGUUAAAAAAACAGCAGCUGGAUAAGCAAUUUGGUAAAUUCCUAGAAGUAUUCAAAAAGCUUCACAUCAACAUUCCAUUUGCUGAAGCACUCGAGCAAAUGCCUAGUUAUGCCAAGUUCAUGAAGGGUAUUCUUUCAAAAAAGCUAAAGCUCGAGGAGUUAGAGACAGUGGCUUUAACGGAGGAAUGUAGUGCUGUGCUUCAACAGAAAUUACCACCUAAGCUGAAAGACCCGGGAAGCUUUACUAUCCCUUGCACUAUUGGGAAGUUCUCUUUUGAUAAGUGUCUGUGCGACUUGGGAGCUAGCAUCAAUCUGAUGCCUCUAUCUAUCUUCACACAACUUGGCCUGCCAGAGCUCAAGCCAACAAAUAUGUCUUUACAGUUGGCUGAUCGUUCGAUCACACAUCCGAGGGGUAUAAUUGAAGAUGUGCUAGUCAAGGUUGAUCAAUUAAUAUUUCCAGCAGACUUCGUGAUUCUUGAUUUUGAAGAAGACAAAAGGAUUCCUAUCAUCUUGGGUAGACCCUUCUUAGCCACCGGGCAAACAUUGAUCGAUGUCCAAAAAGGGGAACUUACAAUGAGAAUACAAGAUCAGACGGUCACGUUCAACGUAUUCAAUGCAAUGAAAUUACCAACCGAUGAGGAAUCUUGUUUUAGUAUGGAUGUACUUGAUACUACAGCAGAAGCUAAUAGCAAGCGGGUUUUACAGGAUGAUGCAUUGGAAGCGAUCCUUACAAAUGAUGAGGAAUGGGGCAGUGAAGAAGAAUUGGAAGAAAUCCAUCACCUUAACUCAUCACCUUGGAGAAGGAAUUUUGAACCACCUGUCGAAUCUCUUGGCUUGGAGGAACAAAAAGAAGAUCACAAACCACUACAACCAUCAGUAAUCGAAGCACCUAAACCUGAACUUAAACCACUACCGGAUCACUUAAGGUAUGCUUUUCUUGGUGAAGGUUCUACUCUUCCUGUUAUUGUUGCAUCUAACUUGUCAGGUGAGGAAGAGGAAAAACUUUUGAGGGUGCUAAGGGAAUUCAAAACAGCGAUUGGUUGGACCAUAGCUGAUAUCUUUCAAAUCCAAUACACAUACACCUCUUGCAACUCUAAUCUCUACCAAUGGCACCCAAAAGAGCCCGAAGAUCACAAGGAACGAGCACCCAAGCCCCCGCAUCUAGCGAUUCUUCCUCGAUGGGUGAAGUUGAGUUCACCUCGGAUGGAGCACGAACCGAGUUCCAACGGCUUAUGAAUAAGUCGAUAGUUAAGGAGAGGGGAUUCUUACCCACGGCGGAGGAUGGUGAGCUCUUGAACAUGAUUCAAGAACGGGGUUGGGAGUCUUUUUGCGAGGCUCCGGAGGCGGUUCCCUUGGCUAUUAUUCGAGAGUUUUAUGCUAAUGCCAAGGAGAAUCGCGAUGGAUUCACGGUGGUACGGGGAAUCCGGGUGGAUUAUAGUGCGGAUGCGAUCCGUAGAGUUAUUGGGGGGCGUGCCAGGCGCCGUAAUGAAGAAGAUUGGGUGGUUGAGAGGAUUGGGCGUGCUAAACGCCGGUUUGAUGAUGAUCCAGUUGAUCUUGAUCGAUUGGUGUAUGAUUUGUGUGUGCCGGAUACAGCUUGGAAGAUGACGCAACCUCCUUUGCCGGCNNNNNNNNNNNNNNNNNNNNNNNNNNNNNNNNNNNNNNNNNNNNNNNNNNNNNNNNNNNNNNNNNNNNNNNNNNNNNNNNNNNNNNNNNNNNNNNNNNNNNNNNNNNNNNNNNNNNNNNNNNNNNNNNNNNNNNNNNNNNNNNNNNNNNNNNNNNNNNNNNNNNNNNNNNNNNNNNNNNNNNNNNNNNNNNNNNNNNNNNNNNNNNNNNNNNNNNNNNNNNNNNNNNNNNNNNNNNNNNNNNNNNNNNNNNNNNNNNNNNNNNNNNNNNNNNNNNNNNNNNNNNNNNNNNNNNNNNNNNNNNNNNNNNNNNNNNNNNNNNNNNNNNNNNNNNNNNNNNNNNNNNNNNNNNNNNNNNNNNNNNNNNNNNNNNNNNNNNNNNNNNNNNNNNNNNNNNNNNNNNNNNNNNNNNNNNNNNNNNNNNNNNNNNNNNNNNNNNNNNNNNNNNNNNNNNNNNNNNNNNNNNNNNNNNNNNNNNNNNNNNNNNNNNNNNNNNNNNNNNNNNNNNNNNNNNNNNNNNNNNNNNNNNNNNNNNNNNNNNNNNNNNNNNNNNNNNNNNNNNNNNNNNNNNNNNNNNNNNNNNNNNNNNNNNNNNNNNNNNNNNNNNNNNNNNNNNNNNNNNNNNNNNNNNNNNNNNNNNNNNNNNNNNNNNNNNNNNNNNNNNNNNNNNNNNNNNNNNNNNNNNNNNNNNNNNNNNNNNNNNNNNNNNNNNNNNNNNNNNNNNNNNNNNNNNNNNNNNNNNNNNNNNNNNNNNNNNNNNNNNNNNNNNNNNNNNNNNNNNNNNNNNNNNNNNNNNNNNNNNNNNNNNNNNNNNNNNNNNNNNNNNNNNNNNNNNNNNNNNNNNNNNNNNNNNNNNNNNNNNNNNNNNNNNNNNNNNNNNNNNNNNNNNNNNNNNNNNNNNNNNNNNNNNNNNNNNNNNNNNNNNNNNNNNNNNNNNNNNNNNNNNNNNNNNNNNNNNNNNNNNNNNNNNNNNNNNNNNNNNNNNNNNNNNNNNNNNNNNNNNNNNNNNNNNNNNNNNNNNNNNNNNNNNNNNNNNNNNNNNNNNNNNNNNNNNNNNNNNNNNNNNNNNNNNNNNNNNNNNNNNNNNNNNNNNNNNNNNNNNNNNNNNNNNNNNNNNNNNNNNNNNNNNNNNNNNNNNNNNNNNNNNNNNNNNNNNNNNNNNNNNNNNNNNNNNNNNNNNNNNNNNNNNNNNNNNNNNNNNNNNNNNNNNNNNNNNNNNNNNNNNNNNNNNNNNNNNNNNNNNNNNNNNNNNNNNNNNNNNNNNNNNNNNNNNNNNNNNNNNNNNNNNNNNNNNNNNNNNNNNNNNNNNNNNNNNNNNNNNNNNNNNNNNNNNNNNNNNNNNNNNNNNNNNNNNNNNNNNNNNNNNNNNNNNNNNNNNNNNNNNNNNNNNNNNNNNNNNNNNNNNNNNNNNNNNNNNNNNNNNNNNNNNNNNNNNNNNNNNNNNNNNNNNNNNNNNNNNNNNNNNNNNNNNNNNNNNNNNNNNNNNNNNNNNNNNNNNNNNNNNNNNNNNNNNNNNNNNNNNNNNNNNNNNNNNNNNNNNNNNNNNNNNNNNNNNNNNNNNNNNNNNNNNNNNNNNNNNNNNNNNNNNNNNNNNNNNNNNNNNNNNNNNNNNNNNNNNNNNNNNNNNNNNNNNNNNNNNNNNNNNNNNNNNNNNNNNNNNNNNNNNNNNNNNNNNNNNNNNNNNNNNNNNNNNNNNNNNNNNNNNNNNNNNNNNNNNNNNNNNNNNNNNNNNNNNNNNNNNNNNNNNNNNNNNNNNNNNNNNNNNNNNNNNNNNNNNNNNNNNNNNNNNNNNNNNNNNNNNNNNNNNNNNNNNNNNNNNNNNNNNNNNNNNNNNNNNNNNNNNNNNNNNNNNNNNNNNNNNNNNNNNNNNNNNNNNNNNNNNNNNNNNNNNNNNNNNNNNNNNNNNNNNNNNNNCAUUGAAAAUUUUAAGGUAAUCUAAGGAAGAGCAUAUUAUUAGAUAGUUUUUUUUUUAUUUUUUUAUUUGCAUGUGUUAGUUAGUUCAUGUAGUUCACGUUUAUUUUAUUUUGCUUUGAUUAUUUCUCACAUUUUUUUUUUAUUUUUCUCAUUUUUUUUUUUUUAUUUUACAUGUUUAGUGGUAAUUGUCGUAGUUAGUAUCACGAGCAUUUGCAUGAAUUAUGAAGUUAAGCCAAGUUAAUUGCCUAUGAUGAGUUAUGUGCGUAGUUCUUGAUUAGUAGUUUCAAUUGCAAUGCUAGGUUAGUACUUGGAAACUGCUUGUGUUGGAAAUUGUAAUUCACAUAUGUUCUUGAGAUAGGAUUUAGACGAAAUUCCAUGAAUUCUAGGAUUGAAUUGAACACCCUUCAGCUUAGGUCUGUAAAUCUUAAGUUUGGGGGAACUGAGGAGUAGAUGUACCUUUCUAAAAAGAAAAAAAAAUAUAGAAAAGAAAAAAAAAUAGUAGUAAAUAAAUUCACUUAAAAAAUAAGUGGUAGAAUUAACUAGGUUGAGCUCAUUAGUACUCGAGUAAUUAAGUCUGAGGGGACUUUGUGCCUAACAACCUAAAGCCCUUCGUGGUUUGGGAUUGUUGACCCAACGCUCGCUACAUGGGUACUAGUGCAUAAAUCUUUAGGGAUCUCAACCAUUGCACGGUUAAAUAAACCACUAGAAUAGAGUGAAUAAUUGGUGUGUGAAGUCUUGUGGUGUUCGUAACGCAUUUACACUGCGAAGCGCUCUGACCUUAGACCGAGCAAUUAAUCACCAAUAAAAAGAAAAAAAAAAAUUAUAGUGAAUAAAAUAGAAGGGUGUAGACAUUCUUUGGGACCUUGGCUUUUAGUUGGACUUGAGUGACGGGGUGUUAGUUUUAAACUUUUACGAUUCUUGAUUGGGAUUCUGUGGGAGUAGUAGUUUUUGUCUUGUCUCAAUAAAAGAGCAUGCUUGCACACACUGGCACUCCACACUUGUAAAUAGAAGAGUAAUUGACUUAGUAGCGAGAGAGAUGAAAUUCGAGAACAUUAGCACAAUCUGAGGUAUUAUAAUUGGCAAGGCAAUUACUUCAUAGUUCACUCAUUCAUCACGUAGUUGCAUUCAUGCAUUGCAUUGUAUUAUUGUAUAGUGUCGUUGACGCUUGAGGACAAGCAUCAGUUUAAGUUUGGGGGUGUGAUAAGUGGUAUUUAUACACACUUAUAGGCCUUCAUUUCCACUUAAAUUGGUUGGUUGUACUUAAGUGUUUAGUGUCUUUUGAUGUGUUUUUAGUGUUUUUCUGUGCAGGUCACGAGUUGAGGUGAUGAAGUGAUUUUCUAUCAUUUUAGGUUGUUUUUGGUGCAUUAUUUGCAAGAAUAGAGAAUUGUGGAUUCAUCACGACUUGGGAUUUUGUGGGUACAUCUUCUACAAACCCUCACGAGAACACACUCGUCCACUAGAGCUAUCUAGGGGUUUAAAGGGCUUGUUGCAUGUGCUAAAUGCAACCGUGAUCACCUACGGAAGUGGUACUAGAGCGAGGAAGGGCAUGCACGCGAGAACGAGCUAAAAAACGAAGAAACGGGCUGCCAGUGGCAGACAGUAGCGCGCCCGCGCUAGAUCUUAGCGCGCCCGCGCUAGCUACUGUCCCACUAGCGCGCCUGCGCUAGUUUAGCGCGGCCGCGCCCAGCAGAGUUGUUCCGGGCCGAUUUUUGGAGCUUUUCUGAUGGAUUUUAGCAGCGGUCAAGGCCCGGUUGACUUGGUCAAUGUAUCUAAUUUCUCAUGUGUAAAAACCCUAGCCUCACUUGUAUCGUAGAAUAUCGGAAUAUAGUUUUAUCAGUUUUUCUCUUGUAAUAAAACACAUUAGUGAAUUGUAUUGGAUCGUUCUUCGCGAGGAAGUGACAGUUUCGAGCGAGAUCGUGAACAUCAAUUCUGUAACGUUGUGUUCUUAUUUAUUAAUUCAAGCAAUUGUCUUAUGUUUAAUUCUCGUCUUUUAUUUAUCAUGUUUUCAUUAGAACCCAUGAUGUCGAUUAGUUCGAUUAUGAACUAACCGCCUUCAUGGGAUUCUAAUGGAUUUAUCGAUGUAGUCUAGUAACGAAUAUUAAUUACUUGAUUUUGUGACGUACGUUGAUUUCUUUGCAUGAGCCGUGCUUAUUCUUCUUAGGAGCGUAGCUAACUUCUAAGUUGUUUGUUAAUUCUUUCUGAAGCGAGAGUGGAUGAUUGAAUUUAGAACUAUGCCAUGUAAACAUAGGAUUAUGUGAAUGAAACAUAAUUUGUGGUAGACUUGAACUAUUUUUAUCACCCUGUGUAAUCACGAUAGACGACUUGCUAUUAAACCUCUCUGCUUACACUACCGCUAUAGAGAUAUAGGGUCUGAGCUUUGUUGGUGUCCAUGAGAUUUCUGUCUUAAUUGUGGAUUUUGAUUGGUAUGAUAUGUGUGCAACGAGAGUUGGCAUGUAUUACUUUCGUGUUGUCUGAUUAGGAUCAACAGUCGCAUGUUAAUCAGUAAUUUCAAUUCUAGAUGAAUUCGAUAAUGAAAUUAGAAUCCCAUGUGUUUUCCUAUUCUGAAUUUGAUUAGUAAAUUUAAUUAUUAGUAUAAAAAGAACCCAAUCCUUGUUAAUUGUCUUAGCAGUGAUAAUUGAUCAUACAUUGUUGCAUAGGUGCGUAUUCUUAAUUCACCAGUCUCUGUGGGAUCGAACUUAAUAUAUUACUUGUGAUCACGUGCGCUUGCGUGUAGAUUUUUGCGAACACAAAUCCCAUACGAGUUCAAAAAAUUACUUGGCCUGUAUUGCAUAAUCAACACUAUAUCGUAUACAAAUUCAUCGUUUCAACAACAAAAAUUUUAAUAAAAUACAUAGAAAGCAACUAAGCACCGAGAUAGAGAAAUUGCCUCUCAAGAGUUGAUCAGCAAAAAGCUUCAUCAUCCUCUAGUGCCUAAAAUUUGUAUUAUUUUUCAAUCAACAAUUGCGUAUUGGAGAGGAGAAAUCCCAUCACUUAGCACUUUCAGCGCAUUAAGGGAGCGGAAAAAUGAUAAGAUAAAGCUUAUUUAAUCUCCAUUAGUGUGAUUCAAGUUUAUUUGGUGGUUCAAGUCUUUGGCUUCUCCCAAGAAGUUAAUGUGUAGGCUAAAGCAAAGCCAAAAUAUCACUUUUUAACUCUUUUUUUCUACAAAAAUAUCAUUUUUAGAUAGAUGAUCAAAAAUAUAUAUUCUCAAAAUAGAUAUCACAUAUAAAUUUAAAUUUAAAUUUUUAAAAAGACAGAUUCCCAUUUUCAGAAUGGCUAACCCCAAUAUUCAUUCUAAAAAUAUUAACUUUUUUAAAUUUUAUUUUUUUAUUAUAAAAAAUAUCUUAUCAUAUAUAACAACACACAAUGACCAAACAUAUAUAGCAUCGUUUAUUCAACACACAACACCAUCACCUACAUUAUGAAUUAUCCCUAAAAAAUUUAUAGAUAUUAGAUAAUGAUAAAUGGGUCACUCAUUCUCAAAACGACAAUAAAAUAAUAUUUUGAAUCAUUAGUUUAAAAAAUGGUAUGUAAAAGUAUGGUAUUUUUGUAUUUUUCUCUGUAAUUCCUCUCUUAAUUUUUAAGGUAGUAAAUGACAACUUUUAAGAAGAGGCAGUCAGGCUGCACUGCAGAUCCCCUUCCCUUCCCAUGUUGAGUACUACCUCAUUUCUUGAAUUUGUUAAAUACAAUUCUGAUACGCAUUUUCAAAAUGGGUAUCAAAAUGAUGGUAAAAAAACACGAGUAUCAAAAUGUAUGCAUUUUCAAAAUAGGUAUCGCUUAGAAAUCAAUAUUUUUUAAUUUUUAAAAGGACUGAUUCGUAUUCUCAAAAUUGGUACUGAGAUGCUCAUUCUUAAAAUAAUAACCUUCUUAAAAUUUUACUUUUUAUCAUCAAAAAUAUCUUAUCAUAUAUAACACCACACAAUUACCCACACAUAUAUACCACUAGGGGUGUACACGGUUCGGGUUGGGCGGGUUAGCGGAAUUUGUCAACCCAACCCAAUUAAUUCGGGUAUUCAAAAUUCCAACCCAAGCCGAACCGUAUAAAUUUGCAACCCAAACCAAUUUGUAGUACCUCGGUUUGGAUCGGAUUGGUUUGGUUUGGUUGGAUAUUAUAAAUUUGUAACACAAACAUUUAUAUUUGUUUGAUAUUUAAAUAGAUAAAUUUAAGACCACAAAUAUAUUUAAGUAGCAAACGAAUAUAGUAUUCAUGUUUGUGUGCUCUUAAACAAGCAUAGUAAUAAAUUUAAUCUCAUAUUCUCAUUCAUACAUUUAAUCUCAUAUACAUUCAAGUAGCAAACAAAAAUUAUUAUAUUGAAUUUAAGGAGCACACAAAUAUAAUAAACUAAAUAGACUAGACUAAUAUGUGAUGAGUUGGAUAAAUUUUAUAUGCUUUCAUACUUUUCAAUCGGGUUGGGUUGGAUCGGUUUACAAAUACUGAAACCCGUGUCCAACCCAAUUAAAUCGCGUUAAUACUUUUUUGGGUCCUGUUCCCUGACAAUUGAUUGUGAGGGAACAUUUACACAACACACUGUGUCCCAGUUGUUGGAUCGACGAUCCAACGGCUAGGACAAAAGGAAAAUUUUUUAGAUAUCCGCUGUAAAUAACCGCGGACACCAGGUCUUUCCGCCUGUUUUUUACGCGGACACACAGGGGUAUCCGCUGUUAAUAACAGCGGACAACAAAGACACAUGUAUUAACUGUCAAAAUACUAGAUCCUUCCUUCUCCAUAAAACUGAAAUUAUCAUUAUUACCUAUACAUUCUAAUAUUAAUAUUUUAUUAUAAAUUUAAUUGUUAUUUUUCUAAGAUUUUUUAUUGAUUGACUAAUUUUUUUUUUUGUGAAUAAUUAAUAUAUAAUUUUUAUUCUUGUCACAUAUUAUAUAUUAAUUAUAAGUAUUAUUUAUUUUUUGUCUUAUAUAAAAUAUAUUUAAAUUUAAUUUAUAUAACAAAAAUAUAAAAUGCUACUUAGACAAUGUAUGUUUUUUAGACGUUUUUCUUGUUUUAAAAUUUAAAUUAAUAUAAAAGAGAAUAAUAUUUAUGUGGUAUAUAUACCACAGAAUAAUAUUUAUGUACCGAAAAGAUCGAAUGGGUUUAUACCAGGCGGCAGCCCUACAGAGCCCCUUUCCCCUGUUCAAUAUCACCUCUCUUCUUAAGUUUGUUAACACGAGAGACCAUUUGUGCGGAAUCUUUAAUCUAUGGAUUGGGAUGUUUUUGUGCUGGAAAUUUCAGAUGGGAAAAAGGCUUGUGUAUAUGGUAUAAACCCAUUCAAUCUUUUAUGUUUCUGCUCAUCUUUUUAGUCAAGUUUGUUAUUCAUAUACAUUGUCUGUGGGAUCUAAUUUGGAUGGUAUAUUAGCUGAGGUGUAUUAUAUGAUUGCCACAAAAAAGGUUUUGAUCAAGGUCUGAUUUGGUGUUUGAUAACAGGCUUAUGUACAGUGGUUGUUCAUGGUAAAUUAUUCGAGAGUUUGGUCUCAAGUAGCAAAUGUUAUGCAAGGAGGCGAUAAUCUUGAACAGAGAAUGGGGGCAUGGUCUUGAAGGAAACAGGUGUGAGCGCUUCCAUGUAAUUAGUUUAUUGUAGUGGUUUUAUUUGUUACUUCCCGUGUGCUGUUUCAUGAUACUAAAUCUACACAAAUCAUAUUUUUUUGUCAUGUUAGGAGUGUUCUUGUGUAAUGGUUAAUUUCUGGUGUUCAACUAAUUUGAUAAAGAUAACAAAUAGGUCAUCAAUACGGNNNNNNNNNNNNNNNNNNNNNNNNNNNNNNNNNNNNNNNNNNNNNNNNNNNNNNNNNNNNNNNNNNNNNNNNNNNNNNNNNNNNNNNNNNNNNNNNNNNNNNNNNNNNNNNNNNNNNNNNNNNNNNNNNNNNNNNNNNNNNNNNNNNNNNNNNNNNNNNNNNNNNNNNNNNNNNNNNNNNNNNNNNNNNNNNNNNNNNNNNNNNNNNNNNNNNNNNNNNNNNNNNNNNNNNNNNNNNNNNNNNNNNNNNNNNNNNNNNNNNNNNNNNNNNNNNNNNNNNNNNNNNNNNNNNNNNNNNNNNNNNNNNNNNNNNNNNNNNNNNNNNNNNNNNNNNNNNNNNNNNNNNNNNNNNNNNNNNNNNNNNNNNNNNNNNNNNNNNNNNNNNNNNNNNNNNNNNNNNNNNNNNNNNNNNNNNNNNNNNNNNNNNNNNNNNNNNNNNNNNNNNNNNNNNNNNNNNNNNNNNNNNNNNNNNNNNNNNNNNNNNNNNNNNNNNNNNNNNNNNNNNNNNNNNNNNNNNNNNNNNNNNNNNNNNNNNNNNNNNNNNNNNNNNNNNNNNNNNNNNNNNNNNNNNNNNNNNNNNNNNNNNNNNNNNNNNNNNNNNNNNNNNNNNNNNNNNNNNNNNNNNNNNNNNNNNNNNNNNNNNNNNNNNNNNNNNNNNNNNNNNNNNNNNNNNNNNNNNNNNNNNNNNNNNNNNNNNNNNNNNNNNNNNNNNNNNNNNNNNNNNNNNNNNNNNNNNNNNNNNNNNNNNNNNNNNNNNNNNNNNNNNNNNNNNNNNNNNNNNNNNNNNNNNNNNNNNNNNNNNNNNNNNNNNNNNNNNNNNNNNNNNNNNNNNNNNNNNNNNNNNNNNNNNNNNNNNNNNNNNNNNNNNNNNNNNNNNNNNNNNNNNNNNNNNNNNNNNNNNNNNNNNNNNNNNNNNNNNNNNNNNNNNNNNNNNNNNNNNNNNNNNNNNNNNNNNNNNNNNNNNNNNNNNNNNNNNNNNNNNNNNNNNNNNNNNNNNNNNNNNNNNNNNNNNNNNNNNNNNNNNNNNNNNNNNNNNNNNNNNNNNNNNNNNNNNNNNNNNNNNNNNNNNNNNNNNNNNNNNNNNNNNNNNNNNNNNNNNNNNNNNNNNNNNNNNNNNNNNNNNNNNNNNNNNNNNNNNNNNNNNNNNNNNNNNNNNNNNNNNNNNNNNNNNNNNNNNNNNNNNNNNNNNNNNNNNNNNNNNNNNNNNNNNNNNNNNNNNNNNNNNNNNNNNNNNNNNNNNNNNNNNNNNNNNNNNNNNNNNNNNNNNNNNNNNNNNNNNNNNNNNNNNNNNNNNNNNNNNNNNNNNNNNNNNNNNNNNNNNNNNNNNNNNNNNNNNNNNNNNNNNNNNNNNNNNNNNNNNNNNNNNNNNNNNNNNNNNNNNNNNNNNNNNNNNNNNNNNNNNNNNNNNNNNNNNNNNNNNNNNNNNNNNNNNNNNNNNNNNNNNNNNNNNNNNNNNNNNNNNNNNNNNNNNNNNNNNNNNNNNNNNNNNNNNNNNNNNNNNNNNNNNNNNNNNNNNNNNNNNNNNNNNNNNNNNNNNNNNNNNNNNNNNNNNNNNNNNNNNNNNNNNNNNNNNNNNNNNNNNNNNNNNNNNNNNNNNNNNNNNNNNNNNNNNNNNNNNNNNNNNNNNNNNNNNNNNNNNNNNNNNNNNNNNNNNNNNNNNNNNNNNNNNNNNNNNNNNNNNNNNNNNNNNNNNNNNNNNNNNNNNNNNNNNNNNNNNNNNNNNNNNNNNNNNNNNNNNNNNNNNNNNNNNNNNNNNNNNNNNNNNNNNNNNNNNNNNNNNNNNNNNNNNNNNNNNNNNNNNNNNNNNNNNNNNNNNNNNNNNNNNNNNNNNNNNNNNNNNNNNNNNNNNNNNNNNNNNNNNNNNNNNNNNNNNNNNNNNNNNNNNNNNNNNNNNNNNNNNNNNNNNNNNNNNNNNNNNNNNNNNNNNNNNNNNNNNNNNNNNNNNNNNNNNNNNNNNNNNNNNNNNNNNNNNNNNNNNNNNNNNNNNNNNNNNNNNNNNNNNNNNNNNNNNNNNNNNNNNNNNNNNNNNNNNNNNNNNNNNNNNNNNNNNNNNNNNNNNNNNNNNNNNNNNNNNNNNNNNNNNNNNNNNNNNNNNNNNNNNNNNNNNNNNNNNNNNNNNNNNNNNNNNNNNNNNNNNNNNNNNNNNNNNNNNNNNNNNNNNNNNNNNNNNNNNNNNNNNNNNNNNNNNNNNNNNNNNNNNNNNNNNNNNNNNNNNNNNNNNNNNNNNNNNNNNNNNNNNNNNNNNNNNNNNNNNNNNNNNNNNNNNNNNNNNNNNNNNNNNNNNNNNNNNNNNNNNNNNNNNNNNNNNNNNNNNNNNNNNNNNNNNNNNNNNNNNNNNNNNNNNNNNNNNNNNNNNNNNNNNNNNNNNNNNNNNNNNNNNNNNNNNNNNNNNNNNNNNNNNNNNNNNNNNNNNNNNNNNNNNNNNNNNNNNNNNNNNNNNNNNNNNNNNNNNNNNNNNNNNNNNNNNNNNNNNNNNNNNNNNNNNNNNNNNNNNNNNNNNNNNNNNNNNNNNNNNNNNNNNNNNNNNNNNNNNNNNNNNNNNNNNNNNNNNNNNNNNNNNNNNNNNNNNNNNNNNNNNNNNNNNNNNNNNNNNNNNNNNNNNNNNNNNNNNNNNNNNNNNNNNNNNNNNNNNNNNNNNNNNNNNNNNNNNNNNNNNNNNNNNNNNNNNNNNNNNNNNNNNNNNNNNNNNNNNNNNNNNNNNNNNNNNNNNNNNNNNNNNNNNNNNNNNNNNNNNNNNNNNNNNNNNNNNNNNNNNNNNNNNNNNNNNNNNNNNNNNNNNNNNNNNNNNNNNNNNNNNNNNNNNNNNNNNNNNNNNNNNNNNNNNNNNNNNNNNNNNNNNNNNNNNNNNNNNNNNNNNNNNNNNNNNNNNNNNNNNNNNNNNNNNNNNNNNNNNNNNNNNNNNNNNNNNNNNNNNNNNNNNNNNNNNNNNNNNNNNNNNNNNNNNNNNNNNNNNNNNNNNNNNNNNNNNNNNNNNNNNNNNNNNNNNNNNNNNNNNNNNNNNNNNNNNNNNNNNNNNNNNNNNNNNNNNNNNNNNNNNNNNNNNNNNNNNNNNNNNNNNNNNNNNNNNNNNNNNNNNNNNNNNNNNNNNNNNNNNNNNNNNNNNNNNNNNNNNNNNNNNNNNNNNNNNNNNNNNNNNNNNNNNNNNNNNNNNNNNNNNNNNNNNNNNNNNNNNNNNNNNNNNNNNNNNNNNNNNNNNNNNNNNNNNNNNNNNNNNNNNNNNNNNNNNNNNNNNNNNNNNNNNNNNNNNNNNNNNNNNNNNNNNNNNNNNNNNNNNNNNNNNNNNNNNNNNNNNNNNNNNNNNNNNNNNNNNNNNNNNNNNNNNNNNNNNNNNNNNNNNNNNNNNNNNNNNNNNNNNNNNNNNNNNNNNNNNNNNNNNNNNNNNNNNNNNNNNNNNNNNNNNNNNNNNNNNNNNNNNNNNNNNNNNNNNNNNNNNNNNNNNNNNNNNNNNNNNNNNNNNNNNNNNNNNNNNNNNNNNNNNNNNNNNNNNNNNNNNNNNNNNNNNNNNNNNNNNNNNNNNNNNNNNNNNNNNNNNNNNNNNNNNNNNNNNNNNNNNNNNNNNNNNNNNNNNNNNNNNNNNNNNNNNNNNNNNNNNNNNNNNNNNNNNNNNNNNNNNNNNNNNNNNNNNNNNNNNNNNNNNNNNNNNNNNNNNNNNNNNNNNNNNNNNNNNNNNNNNNNNNNNNNNNNNNNNNNNNNNNNNNNNNNNNNNNNNNNNNNNNNNNNNNNNNNNNNNNNNNNNNNNNNNNNNNNNNNNNNNNNNNNNNNNNNNNNNNNNNNNNNNNNNNNNNNNNNNNNNNNNNNNNNNNNNNNNNNNNNNNNNNNNNNNNNNNNNNNNNNNNNNNNNNNNNNNNNNNNNNNNNNNNNNNNNNNNNNNNNNNNNNNNNNNNNNNNNNNNNNNNNNNNNNNNNNNNNNNNNNNNNNNNNNNNNNNNNNNNNNNNNNNNNNNNNNNNNNNNNNNNNNNNNNNNNNNNNNNNNNNNNNNNNNNNNNNNNNNNNNNNNNNNNNNNNNNNNNNNNNNNNNNNNNNNNNNNNNNNNNNNNNNNNNNNNNNNNNNNNNNNNNNNNNNNNNNNNNNNNNNNNNNNNNNNNNNNNNNNNNNNNNNNNNNNNNNNNNNNNNNNNNNNNNNNNNNNNNNNNNNNNNNNNNNNNNNNNNNNNNNNNNNNNNNNNNNNNNNNNNNNNNNNNNNNNNNNNNNNNNNNNNNNNNNNNNNNNNNNNNNNNNNNNNNNNNNNNNNNNNNNNNNNNNNNNNNNNNNNNNNNNNNNNNNNNNNNNNNNNNNNNNNNNNNNNNNNNNNNNNNNNNNNNNNNNNNNNNNNNNNNNNNNNNNNNNNNNNNNNNNNNNNNNNNNNNNNNNNNNNNNNNNNNNNNNNNNNNNNNNNNNNNNNNNNNNNNNNNNNNNNNNNNNNNNNNNNNNNNNNNNNNNNNNNNNNNNNNNNNNNNNNNNNNNNNNNNNNNNNNNNNNNNNNNNNNNNNNNNNNNNNNNNNNNNNNNNNNNNNNNNNNNNNNNNNNNNNNNNNNNNNNNNNNNNNNNNNNNNNNNNNNNNNNNNNNNNNNNNNNNNNNNNNNNNNNNNNNNNNNNNNNNNNNNNNNNNNNNNNNNNNNNNNNNNNNNNNNNNNNNNNNNNNNNNNNNNNNNNNNNNNNNNNNNNNNNNNNNNNNNNNNNNNNNNNNNNNNNNNNNNNNNNNNNNNNNNNNNNNNNNNNNNNNNNNNNNNNNNNNNNNNNNNNNNNNNNNNNNNNNNNNNNNNNNNNNNNNNNNNNNNNNNNNNNNNNNNNNNNNNNNNNNNNNNNNNNNNNNNNNNNNNNNNNNNNNNNNNNNNNNNNNNNNNNNNNNNNNNNNNNNNNNNNNNNNNNNNNNNNNNNNNNNNNNNNNNNNNNNNNNNNNNNNNNNNNNNNNNNNNNNNNNNNNNNNNNNNNNNNNNNNNNNNNNNNNNNNNNNNNNNNNNNNNNNNNNNNNNNNNNNNNNNNNNNNNNNNNNNNNNNNNNNNNNNNNNNNNNNNNNNNNNNNNNNNNNNNNNNNNNNNNNNNNNNNNNNNNNNNNNNNNNNNNNNNNNNNNNNNNNNNNNNNNNNNNNNNNNNNNNNNNNNNNNNNNNNNNNNNNNNNNNNNNNNNNNNNNNNNNNNNNNNNNNNNNNNNNNNNNNNNNNNNNNNNNNNNNNNNNNNNNNNNNNNNNNNNNNNNNNNNNNNNNNNNNNNNNNNNNNNNNNNNNNNNNNNNNNNNNNNNNNNNNNNNNNNNNNNNNNNNNNNNNNNNNNNNNNNNNNNNNNNNNNNNNNNNNNNNNNNNNNNNNNNNNNNNNNNNNNNNNNNNNNNNNNNNNNNNNNNNNNNNNNNNNNNNNNNNNNNNNNNNNNNNNNNNNNNNNNNNNNNNNNNNNNNNNNNNNNNNNNNNNNNNNNNNNNNNNNNNNNNNNNNNNNNNNNNNNNNNNNNNNNNNNNNNNNNNNNNNNNNNNNNNNNNNNNNNNNNNNNNNNNNNNNNNNNNNNNNNNNNNNNNNNNNNNNNNNNNNNNNNNNNNNNNNNNNNNNNNNNNNNNNNNNNNNNNNNNNNNNNNNNNNNNNNNNNNNNNNNNNNNNNNNNNNNNNNNNNNNNNNNNNNNNNNNNNNNNNNNNNNNNNNNNNNNNNNNNNNNNNNNNNNNNNNNNNNNNNNNNNNNNNNNNNNNNNNNNNNNNNNNNNNNNNNNNNNNNNNNNNNNNNNNNNNNNNNNNNNNNNNNNNNNNNNNNNNNNNNNNNNNNNNNNNNNNNNNNNNNNNNNNNNNNNNNNNNNNNNNNNNNNNNNNNNNNNNNNNNNNNNNNNNNNNNNNNNNNNNNNNNNNNNNNNNNNNNNNNNNNNNNNNNNNNNNNNNNNNNNNNNNNNNNNNNNNNNNNNNNNNNNNNNNNNNNNNNNNNNNNNNNNNNNNNNNNNNNNNNNNNNNNNNNNNNNNNNNNNNNNNNNNNNNNNNNNNNNNNNNNNNNNNNNNNNNNNNNNNNNNNNNNNNNNNNNNNNNNNNNNNNNNNNNNNNNNNNNNNNNNNNNNNNNNNNNNNNNNNNNNNNNNNNNNNNNNNNNNNNNNNNNNNNNNNNNNNNNNNNNNNNNNNNNNNNNNNNNNNNNNNNNNNNNNNNNNNNNNNNNNNNNNNNNNNNNNNNNNNNNNNNNNNNNNNNNNNNNNNNNNNNNNNNNNNNNNNNNNNNNNNNNNNNNNNNNNNNNNNNNNNNNNNNNNNNNNNNNNNNNNNNNNNNNNNNNNNNNNNNNNNNNNNNNNNNNNNNNNNNNNNNNNNNNNNNNNNNNNNNNNNNNNNNNNNNNNNNNNNNNNNNNNNNNNNNNNNNNNNNNNNNNNNNNNNNNNNNNNNNNNNNNNNNNNNNNNNNNNNNNNNNNNNNNNNNNNNNNNNNNNNNNNNNNNNNNNNNNNNNNNNNNNNNNNNNNNNNNNNNNNNNNNNNNNNNNNNNNNNNNNNNNNNNNNNNNNNNNNNNNNNNNNNNNNNNNNNNNNNNNNNNNNNNNNNNNNNNNNNNNNNNNNNNNNNNNNNNNNNNNNNNNNNNNNNNNNNNNNNNNNNNNNNNNNNNNNNNNNNNNNNNNNNNNNNNNNNNNNNNNNNNNNNNNNNNNNNNNNNNNNNNNNNNNNNNNNNNNNNNNNNNNNNNNNNNNNNNNNNNNNNNNNNNNNNNNNNNNNNNNNNNNNNNNNNNNNNNNNNNNNNNNNNNNNNNNNNNNNNNNNNNNNNNNNNNNNNNNNNNNNNNNNNNNNNNNNNNNNNNNNNNNNNNNNNNNNNNNNNNNNNNNNNNNNNNNNNNNNNNNNNNNNNNNNNNNNNNNNNNNNNNNNNNNNNNNNNNNNNNNNNNNNNNNNNNNNNNNNNNNNNNNNNNNNNNNNNNNNNNNNNNNNNNNNNNNNNNNNNNNNNNNNNNNNNNNNNNNNNNNNNNNNNNNNNNNNNNNNNNNNNNNNNNNNNNNNNNNNNNNNNNNNNNNNNNNNNNNNNNNNNNNNNNNNNNNNNNNNNNNNNNNNNNNNNNNNNNNNNNNNNNNNNNNNNNNNNNNNNNNNNNNNNNNNNNNNNNNNNNNNNNNNNNNNNNNNNNNNNNNNNNNNNNNNNNNNNNNNNNNNNNNNNNNNNNNNNNNNNNNNNNNNNNNNNNNNNNNNNNNNNNNNNNNNNNNNNNNNNNNNNNNNNNNNNNNNNNNNNNNNNNNNNNNNNNNNNNNNNNNNNNNNNNNNNNNNNNNNNNNNNNNNNNNNNNNNNNNNNNNNNNNNNNNNNNNNNNNNNNNNNNNNNNNNNNNNNNNNNNNNNNNNNNNNNNNNNNNNNNNNNNNNNNNNNNNNNNNNNNNNNNNNNNNNNNNNNNNNNNNNNNNNNNNNNNNNNNNNNNNNNNNNNNNNNNNNNNNNNNNNNNNNNNNNNNNNNNNNNNNNNNNNNNNNNNNNNNNNNNNNNNNNNNNNNNNNNNNNNNNNNNNNNNNNNNNNNNNNNNNNNNNNNNNNNNNNNNNNNNNNNNNNNNNNNNNNNNNNNNNNNNNNNNNNNNNNNNNNNNNNNNNNNNNNNNNNNNNNNNNNNNNNNNNNNNNNNNNNNNNNNNNNNNNNNNNNNNNNNNNNNNNNNNNNNNNNNNNNNNNNNNNNNNNNNNNNNNNNNNNNNNNNNNNNNNNNNNNNNNNNNNNNNNNNNNNNNNNNNNNNNNNNNNNNNNNNNNNNNNNNNNNNNNNNNNNNNNNNNNNNNNNNNNNNNNNNNNNNNNNNNNNNNNNNNNNNNNNNNNNNNNNNNNNNNNNNNNNNNNNNNNNNNNNNNNNNNNNNNNNNNNNNNNNNNNNNNNNNNNNNNNNNNNNNNNNNNNNNNNNNNNNNNNNNNNNNNNNNNNNNNNNNNNNNNNNNNNNNNNNNNNNNNNNNNNNNNNNNNNNNNNNNNNNNNNNNNNNNNNNNNNNNNNNNNNNNNNNNNNNNNNNNNNNNNNNNNNNNNNNNNNNNNNNNNNNNNNNNNNNNNNNNNNNNNNNNNNNNNNNNNNNNNNNNNNNNNNNNNNNNNNNNNNNNNNNNNNNNNNNNNNNNNNNNNNNNNNNNNNNNNNNNNNNNNNNNNNNNNNNNNNNNNNNNNNNNNNNNNNNNNNNNNNNNNNNNNNNNNNNNNNNNNNNNNNNNNNNNNNNNNNNNNNNNNNNNNNNNNNNNNNNNNNNNNNNNNNNNNNNNNNNNNNNNNNNNNNNNNNNNNNNNNNNNNNNNNNNNNNNNNNNNNNNNNNNNNNNNNNNNNNNNNNNNNNNNNNNNNNNNNNNNNNNNNNNNNNNNNNNNNNNNNNNNNNNNNNNNNNNNNNNNNNNNNNNNNNNNNNNNNNNNNNNNNNNNNNNNNNNNNNNNNNNNNNNNNNNNNNNNNNNNNNNNNNNNNNNNNNNNNNNNNNNNNNNNNNNNNNNNNNNNNNNNNNNNNNNNNNNNNNNNNNNNNNNNNNNNNNNNNNNNNNNNNNNNNNNNNNNNNNNNNNNNNNNNNNNNNNNNNNNNNNNNNNNNNNNNNNNNNNNNNNNNNNNNNNNNNNNNNNNNNNNNNNNNNNNNNNNNNNNNNNNNNNNNNNNNNNNNNNNNNNNNNNNNNNNNNNNNNNNNNNNNNNNNNNNNNNNNNNNNNNNNNNNNNNNNNNNNNNNNNNNNCACCGUUAUUGGGGCCUUUUCUCCUUAGGUUGGUAUUCAGAUAUUGAGGAUAUUUUAACAAUUUAGGAAAUGCGGCGCCUUUUCUCCUGCUUUUAAGCAUCCGCAACCAGGCUGCAUCCCUACAGAGCCCCUUCCCUUGUUCAGUAUUACUAUCUCUCUUCUUAAGUUUGUUAACACAAGAAACCAUUCGUGUAAUCUUUUAAUCAAUGGUGGGGUUUUUUGUGUUUGGGUCGCUGUUUCAAAGCGCGACCCGUGCUGUAAAAAGUUUUUCGUUCAGGUCGCGUUUUCUCCCCUCAUUUAGACUGGUUAGUUUUGAAAGCUCGAAAAAAAACUGGUUACUUUUGAAAAGUGGUUGAAUAGAGUGGUUACAAAUGAUACGGAGCCCAAUCUUUUAUGUUUCUGCUCAUCUUUUUAGUCAAGUUUGUUAUUCAUAUACAUUGUCUGUGGGAUCUAAUUUGGAUGGUAUAUUAGCUGAGGUGUAUUAUAUGAUUGCCACAAAAAAGGUUUUGAUCAAGGUCUGAUUUGGUGUUUGAUAACAGGCUUAUGUACAGUGGUUGUUCAUGGUAAAUUAUUCGAGAGUUUGGUCUCAAGUAGCAAAUGUUAUGCAAGGAGGCGAUAAUCUUGAACAGAGAAUGGGGGCAUGGUCUAGAAGGAAACAGGUGUGAGCGUUUCAUGUAAUUAGUUUAUUCUAGUGGUUUUAUUUGUUAAAUCCAGCGUGCUGUUUCAUGAUGCUAUCUACACAAAUCAAUUUUUUUUGUCAUGUUGGGAGUGUUCUUGUGUAAUGGUUAAUUUCUGGUGUUCAACUAAUAUGAUAAAGAUAACAAAUAGGUCAUCAAUACGCGCGGAAGAUCAAUAUAGAAAGACAAGUUUUUAAGGAACAAUAAUGCGAAAAUCUAAGACGUUGGGAGCAAACUUAAAUACAGCAGACCCAAUGUUGAACAUAAUGAAUGUGGCACAUUGAGGCACUUUCAAUUUGUAAAUGUUACUCGUUCUAAACGAAUGUUUAAACAUAAUGAAUGUGGCUUUGNAUGUUGAACAUUUGGCGAACCCUGCGGCACAUUGAGGCACUUUCAAUAUGUAAAUGUUACUGGUUCUAAACGAAUAUUCAAACAUAAUGAAUGUGGCUUUGGAAAGAUAAGCAUGCAUAGGUGCUAUGUAAAUCAUUUAAGAGAAAGCCCAGACUUCUUAUAAUUUCGCUUUAUCAUUUCGUUCCUACUGGUCCUGGGAUUAGACUAAAUUACGCUACAACUAGUUGUGAUUUCCAACACAACAAAAAUUAAUAUCACUCUAGUAAACAAAAUCUACAAUCCUCUGAAGGGAAGAUUUACUUGUCAAUCAGAUAGUACGGGCAAAAAAUGAACAGAAAUGGCAAUGGAACUCGCCAACUCACCUGAAAUUACCCUAGUCCGCGGCAAAUCGCCCUUCUGUAGUGCUCACAAAAUUUUUAAAAUAAAAAAGAGACUUGGGUUGACAUAGGAAAAGAUAUAUGCUGAGGUGGACAGUCCGGAUAAGGUGAUGGUUUGGUGAGACUUGCACCAUAUGAAGACACAUGUUAGUAUAGAUAUACCCCUGCUACGGAUCAUUUGAGGUGGGCCGGAUCGAGAUCACUACCCUCAUGGCCGGAUUAAUAUAUAUUUUCAAAAAUACUAUGAUCAAUAUAUAUAUAUAUAUAUAUAUAUAUAUUAAUUAACUUAAUCGCGGAUUCACUUUUACAUAUAUUGAAAGAGUUCAUGUAUAUGAGCAAGUUGUGACGAACACAAAAUUGGUAACUUUGCAAUUUAAUAUUGUCAUUUCCACGAGGUCAUUGGGUCAAAUCUAAUAAUUCUUUGUCCAUUUUUUACAAGAUUAAUAAUGCCCGGAUAUAAUUAGUGUGUAACACUAAAUACAAUUGUCACUACUUGCUCACAUACAUGAACUAUUCAAUUAAAAUAUAAGUAAAUCCGCGAUUAAGUUAAUAUAUGGAUCAUAGCAUUUCUGAAAAUACAUAUUAGUUCCUGACGAUUAUCCGGUCAUUGGUCAUGUAAUAAGCCUUUGGGGUAGUGAUCUCGAUCUGGCCCACCUCAAAUGAUCUGUGGUGGGGUUUAAUUUAUACUAACAUGUGUCGUUAUAUGGUACAAUCUCAGCAACCCAUUACCAUAUCCUGACCGUCCAUCUCAUCACAUAUCAAUCCUAUGUCGAACCAGGUCUAUUUUAAAUUUAAGAAAUUUUGAGAGCACUGCUUGACGGCGAUUUGCGGCGAACUAGGGUAAAUUUCAGGUGAGUUGGCGAGUACCAUUGUCGUUUCUGUUCAGUUUUUGCCCGUAUAAUUUGAUCAACAAGUAAAUCUUCCCUUCAGAGGAUUGUAGAUUUUGUUUAUCGAGUACCAUUGUCGUUUCUGUUCAGUUUUUGCCCGUAUAAUUUGAUCUACAAGUAAAUCUUCCCUUCAGAGGAUUGUAGAUUUUGUUUAUUAGAGUGAUGUUAAUUUUUGUUUUGCUGGACAUCACAACUAGAUGUUAGCUUAAUUUAGUCCAAUCCUUGGACCGGUCAGAAGGAAUUGAUAAAGCAAAACUGUAUGAAGCCUUGGCUUUCUCUUGAAUAAUUUAAUAAAUAAAAAUCCAAUACUCCAAUUUUAUUCAUGUAAUAAGUAUUGAUUAAGUUUCUAAACCUGCCAGACAGUGUGGUAAUAUUAAUUUUCUGUUCACUUUUACUUGAUUGUUUCCUUAAAUUUACCGUUAAAUGUGUUAAAAUCUAAUACAUAUCAAUAUUAUUUUCUUUUUAUGAUAUCUUGACUUGAUGAGAUCAGUUAAGGAAAUAGCGGUGUAUGAUCUGACACUUGUAAAUAUUAAGGCAAUCAUUGUAUGGUUCUCACAUAUUUACCGAAUGUUUUUGAAGAACGUAAUUUGCUGCAGGAACAAAUUAGUGUGACAUGCUGUGUAGGAUUAAAAUAAAUUUGGUUAACUCCUCUUCUUCUUCUCUGUGUCUUCUUCUGUUACUUUGCGGGUAUGUAAACCCGAAUUUACUUGAUGGUAGUGUGACAUAGAACAUAAUCCUUAAUACACUAGUCGUGCUUCACAUUUCAUUGUAUCGCUUGUCUACUAAGAAUUAUAAUGUCUGCGAAUGCAAUUGUUUUUAUGAAUGAAACAUGCCAAGCUUUCGAGUAUGCAAUGUAAAUAAUUGUUUUGGGCUUAUUAAUAGCUGCCCAAGUCAAGCUAAUGUUCUUCCAACUAGCAUAACCGAUUAUAUGCUUCGUGACCUGUUAUUUAUUAAAGAAGUCCGUUGGUCCAAAGACUUUACAGUGUUGAUAGUUGCUUUAGUUAUAUUAGUCACUGUGAUACUCUGUAGACAGUAACAAACAUAACACCUGAGGAACUAGACAGCAUUUGGAGCAUGUCCACCCUUUUGUGGUGAAUAUAUAUAUAAAGAACCAAUAGAACACCACGUACUUAAAUUGUAAAUCGAUUUUGGUAGGUAACGUAACUUAGACAUUCUGAUGUGUCUAUUAAAGCAACCUGAAAGAGGUCUAAGUACUUUGAAGUACCACUUUUUUGACAUUUUUGAUUUCUGUGUGACCCUUUAAUCAGAAUUAUUGGAUGUCGUAUGCUUAGAAUUUUGGAUGCUAAUGAAAAAGAAAAUGAAGACUGAAAAAAAAAUGGUUUCAUGCUGUCAAAAGAUGUCACUACAAGAAAAACUGGGUAUUUUUGACCGAUUAUUUUUGACCGGCUUAUUUUUGACCGCUAGCAGUCAAAUUUAAGGUCAACUUCAUAUGAUAUCAAGUCAAGGUUAAAAUUGACCGACUAUUUUUGACCGCUUUCAUAUUUGACCAAAACCGGUCAAAUUUAGCACCGGUCAAAUUUAUCCGGUCAAAUUUAGUAUGCGGGUCCCCAAAAAAAUAGGAGGGAAAAUUCCCUCCCAAAAAAAUUAGGGCUGACGUCAUUAAUUUUGACCGCCUUCGGACAAAAAUGAAGUCGGUCAAAUUUAACUUUGGGCGGCAAAAUUUCCCGCUUGAAGUGGUGGAAAUUUUUUGAAUAAUAAUUGACUAGUUUCGGUCAAAUUUAUAAAUUUGACCGCUGGCGGUCAAAUUUAUCCUUCCCAGAUCUAAUUACUUUCAUUACAUGUUAAAAUUUAAUUAGUUUAAAUUUUAAAUAUUUGUAAAUUUUUAAAUAUGAAUAAAUAUAUAUUUAUUUUAGGCGUGUGAAAUAAUUUAAAAAAUUUAAAAUUUAAUUUGCAUGACUUUGUAAGAAAUAUUUAAUAAGAAGUACUACUCCUUAAAAUGCGAUUCAUUCCUAAUUAAUAUAAUAAUUUUUUGAAAUAAUUUAAUCAACGAUCCAACCGUACGGAUAUUAACAUAUGUUUAUUUUAUUCAUGUGAAAAAAUAAUUAAAAGAUUUGAAAUUUGACUUGCAUGACCUUAGAAAAAAAAUCCAGUAAGAAGUCAUACUCCUUAAAAUGAGAUUGAUUCCGGAUUAACAAAAUAAAUUAUUAAAAUGAUUCUUUGAUCGAUCCAACCGUACGGAUAUUAACAUAUGUUUAUUUUAUUCAUGUGAAAAAAUAAUUAAAAGAUUUGAAAUUUGAAUUGGAUGACUUUAUAGGAAAAAUCCAGGAUGAAGUAAUACCCCUUAAAAUGAGAUUUAUUCCUGAUUAAUAAAAGAAAAAUUAUAUGAUUCUUUCAACUAUCCAACCAUAGGGAUGUUAAGAUACAUUUAUUUUUGUCAUGUAAAAAAAUAAUUAAAAUAUUUGAAAUUUAACUUGCAUGACUUUAUAAGAAAAUCUUGUAAGAAGUGCUACUUCUUGAAAUAAGAUUCAUUCCCGUUUAACAAAAUUAAUUAUUAAAAUGAUUUUUUCAACGAUCCAACCGUACGAAUGUUCAGAUAUAUUAAUUAUAGUCAUGUGAAAAAAUAAUUAAAAGAUUUGAAAUUUGACUUGCAUGACUUUAUAAGAAAAAUCCAGUAAGAAGUACUAUUCCUUAUAAUGAGAUUCGUUCCUGAUUAACGAAAUAAAUUAUUAAAAUUACUUUUUCAAUGAUCCAACUAUACGGAUGUUAUGAUAUAUUAAUUUUAGUCAUGUGAAAAACAAUUUAAAAGAUUUGAAUUUGACUUGCAUGACUUUGUAAGAAAAAUAUAUUAAGAGAAGUAGUAAUCCUAAUAUAACAUUCAUUCCCGAUUAACAAAAUAAAUUAUUAAAAUUAUUUUUUGAACGAUCCAACCGUACGGAUGUUCAAAUAUAUUGAUUUUAAUCACGUGAAAAAAUAAUUAAAAGAUUUGAAAUUUGACUUGCAUGACUUUAUAAGAAAAAUAUAUUAAGAAGUACUACUCCUUAAAAUGAGAUUCAUUUCUGAUUAACAAAAUAAAUUUUUUAAAUGAUAUUUUCAACAGUCCAAACAUAUAGAUGUUAAGAUAAUACUAUUUGAAUUUAGCACCUUUUUUUUAGUAAUUUAAUUAAAUGAUUAUAUAUUUAUUUUGCUUUUUUUGAAAUUAAUCUAUUAAAUUUUUUUGACCGAAAUCGGUCAAAUUUACAUUUUCGACCAGCGAUGGUCAAAUUUGCAUUCAAAUAAUUCGAAUUAUUUUGUGAGGGAAAUUUGCCGCCCAAAGUUAAAUUUGACCGCCAGCGGUCAAUUUUAACUAAAUUUGACCGCCAGCGGUCAAAUUUAUUGCCAUGUCAGCAAUCCGCGUGAAACACAUCUAAUGGUCCUUAUUUAAUAUACCAACACAACAAUCCAACGGUCUAAAAUCAUCACAACAUAUCUUUAUCCUAUAUAUACAUACAAACACACAUUAUAACCUAAAUACACUCUCCAUUCUCCAAAUCUCUCUCUCUCCCCCUCCCCGUCUUCAUCUCCAUGACUCCAUGACUCCAUCUUCCCCUCUUCCCCUCUUUUACAUACACAUUCAUAACCAUAUAUAUUUUUACAUACACAAUCUCUAUCUACAAUAACAUGAUUUGUACAAGAAUAUCACCAAGAAAAUUAACUCGUGGAAUGGUAAUUUGGGAGGAAUUCCGGCAACUCAAGCAACUCCGGCGUCCGAGAAACAACUCCGUCGAUCAAAAAUCUCAAGUCACAAUUUCCGUCCAAAUUGAUAAGGAACAAAGUGGAACUACAAAAUCCAAUUAGGAACUUAUAUUAAAUUUGUAAAUUUUUUUUUUAAAUAGAAAAAUUCUUAAUGUACAUGAAUUUCAUUUUGAUUUUUUUUUGUUAAUAAGGUAUAUAAUUUUGAGAAUUAUGUGAUAUAUAUGUUGAUUAGUAAGAUAAUAUUAUGUGAAUUUACUAAAUAAAGUAUUAAAAUUCGCACACAAGAAUAUACCACAAAGUAGCAAAAUACAUUCUGUCCAGGUUUAAAUUUGACCAGAUAUGGUCAAAUUUAAAAUUUGACCGCAUUCGGUCAAAUUUAUAAUUUUAAAUUUAAAAUUUUAAAUUUCAAAUUUUCAAGCGGGAAAUUGAAAAAAAUUCAAAUUUCAAAAUUUUCAAAAUUUCGGUCAAAUUUAAGCGGUCAAAUUUAGUCGGUCAAAAAUAUUCGGUCAAAUUUAGCUAAUUUUGACCGAUUUUGCUAAAUUCGACGACGUUAUGACUGACCGACAUGAAUCGGUCAAAUUUAGCUAAAUUUGACCGCGGGCGGUCAAAUUUAACUAAAUUUGACCGAUUUUUUCGGUCAAAUUUACCCGUUUUUCUUGUAGUGUGUGGAUAGUAAAAAUCUUUUCUGUGGAUAUCCCUUUUUUUUUUGUACUUAUCCAUCUAAGUUGAAUUACUUCUACAAACUUGUAACAGUAGUAUUAUAUGUCUGAAAGAAGCACAAAGAAAGAUAUUUCCAGUCUAACUAUUAUGUAUCUGUGGUUAGGAAGGACAAGAGCUUGAGUGAAUCAACCCAUUUUUUCAACGAAGGCAGAAUGGAAGUGGUUGAAAAGCAUGCCUUGGGUGGAAUGGAAAAUGCAUUUUGUAAUAAUGUUCUAAGGCGGAUUGCUGAUCUUUUUGCGGGGCGGUUGACAAUUGACCAUUUCGGGUAACUAUGUUCUGAAUUUGCUCUAUAUAAAUAUUAUAAAUUGUGUCUCGAAGUUUUGGAGUUCCUGGUUUGGGUCUUCUAAUCCUUACGUAGUAACAAUCAAAAGUGCGGGCGACUGAACCUAAUUUAAUUAAUAUUAAGGCCACAAAUCCCAAGAAGUGCAUGUAUACAUCAAAUCAUAGCAUAAGCACCCCUUGGAAGGGGGGAGAAUAAAGUCUUGGCUAAAUUUUAAGUGAAUAAGAGCAUGUCCAAUGGUUGUGCUAACAUAGAUGGAGUUAUUGCUAUAAUUUAGCAUCAAAAAGUGAUUUUUUGUGCUAAAAUAGCACCAUGUCUCCAAUGGUUGGUUUCAAAUCUUGUUUCACAUUUAAACAACUUCCAAAUACAUCCCACUUUUGAAUAUAAAUAUGACUAACUUUCAAAGACCCCGCACUUUCAAGUACUUUCUUAUACAUUUUUUCAUCAUUUUAUAAUUUAGCAAUUAUAGCUCCAUCUAUCUUUUGUUCUAAAUAUUGAACAAACUAUAGCAUUGUUCUAUUUUGAACAAGAUAUAGCACACCAUUGGACUUUCUCUAAGAGAUUCUACUGAAAACAUGGAAUAUACCUCACUCACUUUUUAUACAAAAAGUUGUCUACUAGAUAUAGCACACCAUUGGACUUUCUCUUGAAGUAUGCAUUACGUAUAUAGUUGUGCCCUCCUAAACUAGACUACUAUCGUAAAAGUAUCAUAUGCCAGUUGGACCUUGAUUCUAAAUUUUCCGACUGGCCUCCCAGUUUCUUUAUCAAGUUCCUGGGAAGUUAACAAAUAUGUUUGGUUGUGGUGUAGGAAUUUUCAGUGCCGGGGUGUCAUAUAAGCAAGUUUCUACAUUAUGUGGGAAUUCCAAUUUCCUAGGAAGUUCCACUUUCCAUAUAGCAGUCGACCAAAAAAUCUUACAAUUUGCUAGGAAGUUUAAAUUUCUCGAGAUUUACAUGUUAACCAAACUACCCCUUAUAAAUCUUGUUAUGGUUCAUUAGGAAGAUUACAUUCUUACUGGGGAACGUUGAAGUUCUCAUUUCGGAAAGAUGUUGAGUAUGCACACUCUUAAUCCAGUUCUGAUUAAUAUUUUAGAUUUUAGUGGCCUUAACAUAAACUCUGCAAUGAUUUUCAUUUUAAUAUGUGAACCUUCAGUGAAUUAGAUUGCAGUAAGCUUUAUUAUCUUCUAAUGUCUAGCUGCAGAACUUUUUACUGUACUGGCAAAAGGAAAAUUCCUACUCUAGUUUCUUCUCUAUGUGUUAAAUGAAGUUCUUUUAAAUCUUGCAAAGGAUGAAUCUGUCCUUAAGAAACUUCUGUAAAAUUAAUGCCUUCCGUUUUCAACAAACUACUAAGUCUUUCUAGAUAAAAUUCAUUUGAAUGGGCAUGCUCAAUCUACCUUGUAGUGAGUUCUUCGUUUCCCUAUUUGUUAACAGGAAAGCUCCACGAACAGUAAAACAAGGAAGAAAACGGAAAAGGACUUGCAGGAGAUCGGGUGACACAGUUUGGGGAGCAUGGGGCAUUCUUCAUACUGAACUUCUGGUGUCAAUUUUGGUGAAGUUAAGAAUCGUGGACUACCUGUCAUUUAGCGGUGUUUGUAAAUCUUGGAGGUCUGUAUCUAUUGCUUUCCGCAAAUACUGUAUGGAGCGCCAGCAACCCCUAGUUGUUGUUCGACCAAAGUAUUCGAAAAAGUCUUGUGUAUUGUACAAUAUGUUCGAUUUGAAAAGUUACAAAACAAUGCUGCCAGAUUUGCCUUGCAAGAAAUUAUUGGGUUUGUCAUGUGGGUACCUGAUUACAACCGACGGAAACUCAGGCUUUUGGCUCAUAAAUUUAAUGACAAAACAUGAACUGCGUUUUCCCGUCCUUCCUGGACAUAUGGGUCGCAUAACCUGCUUUGAAUUUUCUGCUCUCCUAUUUCAGUCCACUCGGCUUUCAGAAACUUUCAUGGUUCUUUUCUCUCGGACAGAAAAUUAUAUAUUGUUGUCCAAAAGUGGCGGCAGCAGUUGGCAGAGAUAUGUUUUAUCUGACACAGAAACCAGGAUUGCAGAUGUGAAGAUUUUUUAUGGCAAUAUCUUUAUUUUGACUUCAGAUUUACGUUUUGGAGAAUUUAAUCCGAAGGCAGGUGUUGAUUUCUGGCUCAUCCUUCAUAUUAAGUCAGCUCUAGGUUUGUCUUGUUAGGCAACUACUUGCCUUGGUAAUAGCUGGGUGUAAUAUUUUCUACCCUAAGGUAUGAAUGGAAGAAAACUAGCAGGCACAAGGUGGUUGGCUAUGAGUGCAUAUUUAUGUUGCUUGUCUACAGAUAAGUACUAUAAAUUAAGCACUCUCCCAGUUCUGAAUAUACAUCAGGAAAUACAAGUUAGAACAAGCUUAGUAUGUUAGUUUAUGUAGGAGAUUUUCAGCAACUUUGGGAAACACCUGGGAAACACUUUGAGAGAUAUUAUUAGUGAGAAAAUCUGUUUUCAGCUCUCUGUAAUUUACUCACUCUGUUUAAUAAUAUUAGCAGCCUCCUGUGGAUGUAGGCAAAUUGCCGAACCACAUAAAUCUGUGUGUUUCAAGUUUACUGUGUUUUUGAUAUAUUGUUAUUGCUAUUUGUUUCUCUGCGCACUACAAAUUGGUAUCAGAGCCAAACAUAGCAGUAUCAUAUAUCAAAUCGAAGCUCUCACCGAGACGAAUUCAACGCCGCAAAAAUCACCUCAAUCGGAGUUCUGAAGCACUGCCAGAACCUGUUAGAGUUUUGCUGCCAGAAUUCAGGAAGGGCUUAUUUUCUGCAGUUUUUUAUUCUGAAAAAAAUUAGCUUUCAGCUAUGGCAGAUGAUAGAGGGACUGAAAGAAGUUCACAUGCCGAGGAUGAAAGUUCUAAUGAUCAAAGAAGUUCUGUUCGAAGAACCAUGUUGUCAAACGCAAAGUUUGAGGUGGAGAAAUUUGACGGCACCAAUAACUUUGGUAUGUGGCAAUGUGAGGUAUUGGAUCUUGUAUUCAGAGAAGGAUCAGAUAUCGCUCUGGAGUCCAGGCCAAAAGAUUAUUCUGAUGAAGAUUGGAAUUAUGUCAACCGUCAAGCUUGUGGCACAAUUCGAUUGUGUUUGGGAAAAGAUCAAAAAUAUUUUGUCAUGAAAGAAAAUGUAGCAGCAAGUCUCUGGAAAAAGCUGGAGGACAAGUACAUGACAAAAAGUGUAGAGAACAGGCUCUACUUGAAGAAGAAGCUUUUCCGUUUUCAGUUCAAGAAAGGUACAGCUAUGAUUGAGCACUUAAAUAAUUUCAAUAAGAUUUUGGCAGAUCUCCAAAAUUUAGAUGUUGAAAUUAUUGAUGAAGAUAAAGCUUUGUUGUUGCUAAAUUCAUUACCUGAAAGCUAUGAGCAUUUAACUACAACUCUGUUAUACGGUAAAGAUGAGGUUAAGUUUGUUGAUGUUUCUAAUGCUUUGGUAAAUAAUGAAUACCGAAAGAAGGAUCAGCAUGAUCACAGGGAUUCAACAUCAGAAGCACUGGUCACAAUAAGAGGCAGACAAAGCAAUAAAUCUGGUCCAACGAAUAACAGGGGGCGAUCGAGAUCAAAGUCCAGAGGAGAGCCAUCCAGAAGGCGUCUUGCGAAAGAUGAGUGUGCAUAUUGUCACCAGAAAGGACACUGGAAGAAAGAUUGUCCAAACAAGGACAAGUCUGCCACUGCAAAUAUUGUACAGAAGUCUGAAGAAGAGGAAGCUGCGUUCACGGUUUCAUUAUCAGACACAUAUUCAGACAAAUGGAUACUUGAUUCUGGAUGUUCGUAUCAUAUGUGUCCUAAUAGACAUUGGUUCUCGAGUUUUGAAGAGCUUGAUGGAGGUGUUGUCCUUAUGGGUAACAAUAAUGCAUGCCAAACAAAGGGAAUUGGGACAGUGCGUUUGAAGAUGCACGAUGGUACAAUUAAGAGACUAACAGAUGUGAGGUACAUACCUGAUUUAAAAAAGAAUCUUAUUUCAUUGGGAGUGCUUGAUUCUGAUGGUUAUAAGAUUAUAAUGGAAAAUGGAGUUUUAAAGGUUGUACGAGGUGCAUUUGUUGCAAUGAAGGGUACUCAAAAGGCAAAUUUAUACUUCCUAGAUGGAAGUACAGUUACAGGAAGUGCAUCUGUUUCAAGCAGUCCAAACCAGAUCACAUCUGAUUCCUCUCGCCUUUGGCAUAUGCGCCUGGGACAUGCUGGAGAGAAGGCUUUGCAAGGCCUAGUGAAGCAAGGUCUACUAAAAGGUGCCAAGACCGGAAAGUUUGAUUUCUGUGAGCAUUGUGUACUAGGAAAGCAAACAAGAGUCAAAUUUGGCGCUGCUAUUCAUCGCACAAAAGGAACUUUGGAUUACAUCCACACGGACGUUUGGGGACCUUCCAGAAAUGCGUCAUUGGGAGGUAAACGAUGGUUUGUAACUUUUAUCGAUGAUUUUUCUAGAUAUGUUUGGGUAUACACUAUGCGUCACAAAGAUGAAGUUCUGGACAUCUUUCUUGAAUGGAAGAAGUUGAUUGAAACUCAAACUGGCAGAAAAAUUAAAAGAUUAAGAUCUGAUAACGGUGGCGAGUACAAAUCAGAUCCAUUUUUGAAAGUUUGUCAAGAUGAAGGCAUAAUCCGACAUUUUUCAGUUCCCGGCACGCCACAACAAAAUGGAGUGGCAGAACGGAUGAAUCGUACUUUGGUAGAAAAAGUUCGAUGUAUGCUAUCUCAUUCUGGAUUGAGCAAAACAUUCUGGGCAGAAGCUUUGUCAUAUGCAACUCAUAUUGUCAAUAGGCUGCCAGCAUCUGCCUUAGACGGAAAAACUCCUAAAGAGGUAUGGUCUGGAGAACUUGUUUCAGAUUAUGAUUCUUUAAGAAUUUUUGGAUGUCCUGCAUAUUAUCAUGUUAAAGAAUCUAAAUUGGAUCCUAGAGCAAAGAAAUCUAUUUUCUUGGGUUAUACCGGAGGAGUUAAAGGAUCCCGUCUUUGGUGUACCGAAUCAAAGAAGAUUGUUUUAAGUCGUGAUGUUACUUUUGAUGAGUCUGUUAUGCUAAGACAAACAACUUCAGAUACUGAAAAUGAAAGUCCCAACACUACUUCUAAAGUACUGCUUGAGGCACCAGAAAAUUUGCAAACAGUUGAUAAUGGCGAAGAUGAAAAUGAUGAUCAAGAUGAAAUCUCUGAUGAGGUGGAGAUUCCCUCGCCAUCUCCGAUAAUUCAACCUGAAAACAUUGCCACUACAAGACCGAGAAGGGAGAUAAGAAAGCCUGCCGGGUACACUGAUAUUGUAGCUUUUGCACUUCCAAUAAUUGAUGAUAAUGUUCCUUGUACUUAUAGAGAAGCUGUGCAAAGUACUGAUAGUGCAAAGUGGAAAUCAGCAAUGGAUGAAGAAAUGAAGUCUUUACACCAGAAUAAGACGUGGGAGUUGGUCCAGAUUCCCAAAGGAAAGAAAACAAUCGGCUGUAAAUGGGUAUAUACCAAGAAAGAAGGUUUACCCGGUGAAAAUAACAUCCGGUACAAAGCGAGAUUGGUAGCAAAAGGAUAUGCUCAGAAAGAGGGAAUAGAUUACAAUGAGGUAUUCUCACCUGUUGUAAAGCAUUCAUCUAUCCGAAUCUUGCUGGCAUUAGUGGCACAAUUUGAUCUCGAAUUAGCUCAACUUGAUGUUAAAACAGCGUUUCUUCAUGGUACUUUAAAUGAAGAGAUCUACAUGACUCAACCAGACGGUUUUAAAGUUCCCGGUUGUAAGGAAUGGGCUUGCAAGCUGAACAAGUCAUUGUAUGGUCUAAAACAGUCUCCACGACAAUGGUACAAGCGUUUUGACAGCUUCAUCCAGGAGCAUAAGUACACCCGCAGCCAAUUUGAUCAUUGUGUAUAUUUUCGGAAACUCCAAGAUGGUACGUUCAUUUACUUACUCUUAUAUGUUGAUGAUAUGUUAAUUGCAUCUAAGAGUAAGGUAGAGGUCGCUAAGUUGAAGACCUUGUUAAAUUCUGAAUUCGAAAUGAAAGACCUUGGAGAAGCUAAGAAAAUUCUUGGAAUGGAGAUCACAAGAGAUAGAGCUGCAAGCACUGUAUGUUUAUCACAAACUCAGUAUUUAAAAAGGGUACUUCAAAGGUUUGGUAUGAAUGAGAAAACCAAAUCAGUUAGUACACCGCUUGCUCCUCAUUUUCAGUUAAGUACAAAGAUGUGUCCCACAACCAAUGAUGAGAAAAAGAAAAUGGAGUGCAUCCCUUAUGCAAAUGCUAUUGGCGCGUUGAUGUAUGCGAUGGUAUGCACCAGGCCCGAUAUUUCUCAUGCCGUUAGUAUGGUAAGUCGUUACAUGCAUAAUCCCGGAAAAGAACAUUGGCAAGCAGUGAAAUGGAUUUUAAGAUACAUCUAUGGUACAGUAGAUGUUGGCUUAAAAUUUGAAAGAAACAAGGCUGAUGGUAAUCAUUUAGUCGGAUAUGUGGAUUCUGAUUUUGCGGGAGACUUAGAUAAGCGUCGAUCAACAACUGGUUAUGUGUUCACUAUGGCAGGAGGACCAAUUUGCUGGAGAUCGACAUUACAAUCAACUGUAGCUUUGUCAACAACGGAGGCAGAAUAUAUGGCUGUAACUGAAGCAUUUAAAGAAGCUAUUUGGCUUCUCGGAUUGACCAAGGAUUUUGGUAUUGUUCAGGAAAAUGUGAAGGUAUUCUGUGACAGCCAAAGUGCCAUUUGUUUGGCAAAGAACCAGGUACAUCAUGGUCGCACUAAGCACAUCGAUGUACGUUAUCAUUUUGUUCGUGAAAUUGUUGAGGAUGGGAAUGUACUACUUCAGAAGGUAAGCACUGUAGAGAAUCCUGCAGACAUGCUUACAAAAGUGGUUUCUGGGAUCAAGUUUCAGCAUUGUCUGAACUUGAUCAAUAUCUCUUGAAAUUAGAGGUCUGUGGUGCUUUGGAGGCAGCACUAUUUAGUGAAGUUUCGCCAAGGUGGAGAUUGUUGAUUUCUGGCUCAUCCUUCAUAUUAAGUCAGCUCUAGGUUUGUCUUGUUAGGCAACUACUUGCCUUGGUAAUAGCUGGGUGUAAUAUUUUCUACCCUAAGGUAUGAAUGGAAGAAAACUAGCAGGCACAAGGUGGUUGGCUAUGAGUGCAUAUUUAUGUUGCUUGUCUACAGAUAAGUACUAUAAAUUAAGCACUCUCCCAGUUCUGAAUAUACAUCAGGAAAUACAAGUUAGAACAAGCUUAGUAUGUUAGUUUAUGUAGGAGAUUUUCAGCAACUUUGGGAAACACCUGGGAAACACUUUGAGAGAUAUUAUUAGUGAGAAAAUCUGUUUUCAGCUCUCUGUAAUUUACUCACUCUGUUUAAUAAUAUUAGCAGCCUCCUGUGGAUGUAGGCAAAUUGCCGAACCACAUAAAUCUGUGUGUUUCAAGUUUACUGUGUUUUUGAUAUAUUGUUAUUGCUAUUUGUUUCUCUGCGCACUACAGCAGGUUCUGUUCCAAUAUUCUCCAAAAUCAACAUCCCUUACCAGGUUUCAUCUGAUAUGGAUUUGAAGUUGGUGGCAUCAGACAAUAAGCUAUACAUGACUGUAUUCAAUUGUUGUCCUUAUCCUACAUUGGACGGACAUCUGUCAUUAUUCGAAAUUGACCAUGAGACAAUGGAUAGGGCAAAACAGAUUCAUGACUUGGGUGCAAAAUCUUUAUUUCUUAGUUGGUUCAGUUCUGCUGUCGUCGAUACAACUGGUUGGGGAGCAGGUAAUUAAUUGUGUCUGUGUUCUUCACUUAGGAGUUUUCAACACAUGUUCUUUCUUUAACCUGAAUGGAAAUCAGCUAGGAACAACUCCGGUUGUUUGGGAUGGUCAUCUAACACCUUGUUUUUGGUAUUUUCCUAGUGAGAUUUGGUCCAUCAGUCGUGUCAGUGAUGAGUUUGGCGCAUGAUCACUUCUAAAUCUCAUAUCAGUUUUUCUCAUCAAGUCUGUAGUUUGUAUCUUCAUCUUUCAUAAUGCAACUUUGUUUCUGAAUUAUUGUAGUGACAAAUAAAUAAGUUAAUUUUUAAGGAGUCGCAGUUUCUCGUUUGAAUUCUAUAAUUUCUGAAUGAAGGGCCUCUAAGUCUGCCCUCCCAAACAAACUCCUCUUGCUCAAAUGAGUUCCUUCUGGUCAAACUAAUAUUGUUCAAGCUCAAUGAAAGUUAGUAUGUGUGAAAUUCGAAUGAACUCAGAAUCAACAUACCCUCGAAUAAAAUGAUAGUCAAUCUUCAAAUGUUUAGUUCUUUCUUGGAAGAUUUGCUUCUUUGCAAUGUGGUGAGCUGAAGUGUUAUCACAAUAAAGAUCCCUUAAAAAACCUUCAAGACAAAGCAACUCAGAAGAUGUAUAGCUCAUACUUAGAUACUCAGCUUCUGCACUACUUCUAGAUUCUUUUUUUGCUUCAUAAUUUUCCAAGAGAUUAAGGAAGAACCCUGGAAAAUAGCAUACCCAGACAAGGAUUUUGCAGAAAAUGAACAAGUUCCCGAGUCUGCAUCUGAAUAUGCAGUUAAUUGCAGAGGAGUAUUAGCCUUGUAAAACAGACCAACAUUCAAUGAAAAUUUCAAGUUAUUUUAAGACAUGUAGAGCAGCAUCAUAAUGUGGCUGAGGUGGUUCUUGGUGAAACUAAUUAAGAAAGCUGUUGAACAACAUAUGAAAUAUCAAGCCUACUUGAGUUCAAAUAGAGCAAUUUCCCAAUAAAUCUUCUAUACACUUCUGGGGCAGGCAACUUUAAAACAUCCUUUGUACUUAGAUGCAAGCCUUUUAAUUAUGGAAAAGCGCGCAGCUGGUGUACAAUCAGUGAAGCUAUUAACUAAUAAAUUCAAUACAUACUUCCUCUGAUCUAACUAAAUUCCGGUCUCGGUUCUAAGAACCUCAAUGCUAAGGAAAUACUUCAAAUCAGCCAGAUUUCUAAUGGUAAAUUUUUGACACAAUAAGGAUUUGAUAGAUUAUUUAGUUAGUCUCGCUUAGGUGAAAAUCAAAAAUAUAAAAUUUUAAGUUUUUUUACAAGAAAAUCAUUUUUCAAGUAGAUGGUAAAAAAAUUCACUCUCAUACGCAUUAUUAAAAUGAGUAUCACUGUAUAUUCAUUCUCAAAAUAGGUGUCACCUAUAAAUUAACUUUUUAAUUAUCAGAAUGACCGAUAUGCAUUCUCAGAAUAAGUUAUCACAAUACACACUCUCAGAAUAAUAACCUUCUUAAAAUUUUAUUUUUCAUUAUUCAAAAUAUUUUAUCAUAUACAAAACCACACAACUAACCACACAUAUAUAUAUUACCGGUUAUUUAACACACAACACCACCACCUAUAUUAUCAAUUAUCCCUAAAAAAAUUAUAAACAUCAAAUAUUGUCCCUAAAAAAAUUAUAAACAUCAAAUAUUGUCCCUAAAAAAAUUAUAAACAUCAAAUAUUGAUAAAUCAGUCACUCAGGAAAUAAAAUAAGGUCUAAACAAAGCAAGAUCUUUGGUUAGACACUACAAGAAAAAGAAUAAUAUAUGGAAAAUUUAAUUUAUAAAAUGUCGAAAAAGCAAUGGCACUUAAUUGCCUCUUACAAAGUCAAAACAUACUCCAUCAAUCAUAGCUACUCAUAAAUGGUACUAAAUAGCCAUCAAUCAAAGCCACAAUUAACACUUAAACCGAUUAAAAGAGAUUUAUGAAAUUUUGAAAUAAUUUCAAAUUAUUUCCAUUUAUACAAAAAGUGAUAACAUCAAUGUAAUAAAGAAGAAAUUCUAAUUAAAAAAACUAAAGAAUUUAUACCAAAUCCUUAAAAAUUAACAAGACAUCAAUUAAUAAUAUAACAAUUACCAAAAAAAGGAAAAUUGUAAAAUUUGAAAUAUUAAUAAUUAAUAAGUCAGGCAAUAUCCAAGAACAUAUCGCAUAAUACAAGUUGCAUUUACUAUAAUCAAACUAUUUAAUUAAUUUAAAUGUAGACAAUUAAAAGAAAUAAAAAAUUAAAUACAAUUCUAUAAUAUUGAAAAUGUAAAUCAUGGCUAAAUUUUAGUCAAUAAUAUCACCAGCGCAUACCGCCAUUGAACCUAGGCCUGUAAACGGAUCGGAUUUGGAUCGGAUCUAGCUAAAUCCAUAUCCUAAUCCAUUAAAAUUUAUCGGAUUCGGAUCGGAUCGGAUUAGGAGUCGGAUAUUUUACAAGUCAAUCCAUAUCCGGUCCACUCGGAUCAUGGAUAAUCGGAUCGGAGCCCCGAUCCACUAAAAAUUAUGAAAUAUAUUUUUUCACCGUGAACAAUGUUUUAACUUCCAUACCAAAAAAAAGUGAUAUUUUCUAGCUAUAUUAAUUCAUAAACUUUAGCGUAAUAGGUAAAAAAAAACUAAUAAAGUAGUAUUUAAUAAAAACUUUGUUGGUUGUUCCUAUAAAAACUUUAACACAGAAUUUAUCAAGUAAAUAGAAAAAUAAUAAAUAAGUUGCUUAAUACUUUUGGAGGAAGCAAAUUAUGAUUUGCUCCUCUAUUAAUAAGGAUUAAAAUCGAUAAAUAUAUUUUAAAUACGGAACCAGGUGAUUGAGGAGGUUUUAAGUGGAAGAGUUAGCUCCUGUGUUUAUACUCACUCUCCAUAAAAAAAAAAGAGUGAUUAUUAGAUUAACAGAAUAACAAGAGUGAGAGCCAUAUCAAGAAUUAGGAGCGGCUGAUCGAUUAUAAGAAAAUAUGAUUUAGGGUUUUGUCUUGUAUCUUUAGAAAUUUUUAUUUUGUAUGUAAUAUAUUAAUAUUAAUAUAUUAUAUUAUAAUACACUAUAAUAUAAAAUAUAUAAUAUAGUUAAGCAUGAAUCGGAUCGGAUCGUUAGCAGAUCGGAUUUGACCAUAUCCAUUCUUUAUCGGACCGGAUUAUUAGCAGAUCGGAUUUUUUUAAUAAGGAUCCACAUCCAUUAGCAGUGGGUGUAAUAGUGUUUAUUCAAUAAAAAGAGAGUAUAAAAUAGAGAAGUAGUGAGUAUAAUAGUGAAAAGUAGUGUUCAAAAAUAAUAAGUAUAAUAGGUUCAUUAUUUUUGGGAUGUCCAAAAGGAAUAAGGGUCAGGGACGGAGGGAGUUAUAUACAACAUAGGGAUAAAUAUCAAGUAGGUCACUCUUUUCGUCCAAAUGUAUCAAUUAAGUCACUGAUUUCCAAUUAAUUGACUCAAAUGAGACACUCAUUAGGAAAAUUUGUAUCAAAAAUAUCACUCUAUCAUUAGUCGAAAUUUUAAAAGUAGUAUAUAUUGAGUUUCGCACAUUUUUUAUGAAUGGUAUUACAUCCAAAUGAAAGAUUCCGAGUUCUACUAUUUUCGCUAAUUUUUUCAGAUUUUAAAAAAUUUAUCAACUAUUUAUUUUUAAUUUUGUGAUUGUUUUAUUUGAUUUAAAUUUUAAAAGUACUUUUAUUUGAUUUAAAUAAAAAAUUUCUUUUUUUGAAUAAAAAUCUAAUGUUUUAAUUUUUAUUCAGAAAAAGAAAAUUAUAAAAAUAAGUAAUAGAAAUAUAUUUUAUAUAAGUCUUAAAAUACGUGCCGAGCACCCCAUUUCAAACGACAAGAAUUGGAAGGGACGGAGGGAGUAAAAGCGUGUGUGUAUAUCAUUUAUGUAGAGAAAGAAAAUAAAAUAAAGUCUAACCAAAGCAAGAUCUUUGGUUAGACACUAAAGGAAAUAAGAUAAUAUAUAGAAAAUUUAAUUUAUAAAACAUCUAAUAAGCCAACAAAUGGCACUUAAUUGCCUCUUACAAAGUCAAAACAUACGCCAUCAAUCAUAGCCACUUAUAAAUGGUACUAAAUAGCCAUCAAUCAAAGCCACGAUUAACAUUCAAACUGAUUAAAAGAUAUUUAUGACAUUUUUAAAUAAUUCCAAAUUAUUUCCACUUAUACAAAAAGUGAUAACAUCAAUGUAAUAAAGAAGAAAUUCUAAUUAAAAAAAACUAAAGAAUUUAUACCAAAUCCUUAAAAAUCUAAACAAGACAUCUAUUAAUAUAUAAUAUAACAAUUACUAAAAAAGAAGGAAAAUUUCAAAAUUCAAAAUAUUAAUAAUUAAUGAGUCAAUCACUAUCUAAGAACAUAUCACAUUAUACAAUUUGCCUUAACUACAAUCAAACUAAUUUAUCAAUUUAAAUGUAGACAAUUAAAAGAAACGAAAAAUUAAAUACAAUUCUAUAAAAUUGAAAACAUAAAUCAUGCCUAAAUUUUAGUCAAUAAUAUCACCACCGCAUACCGCCAUGGAACCACACCACUUAACCGUUAUCACAUAUCUCGUAAUAUACAACAUAUAAACGUCUAAAACAAAAACCUAGCUCUAGGCACGGUCAUAUAUUAAAAGAUCAUUGUUACUCUAACAAAUAACAAAAUGCAAUGAGUUUAUUAAAGGAAAUUAUGAUAUUAAAAUUCCGCUGUAUAUAUCUAAAUUACAACGGAUCACAUAUAUAAACAAGUAGGAUUAUGAAUUAGAAAAAAUACACAUUAGUUUUUGUGGAGUAUAUUCACACAAAAUGAUUCUUCAUCGAAUUUGAUGUUUCAAUCGAAUAUUUUUUGUCCAUUACCUCGAUAUUUGACUAUUUCCUCAAUAUAGUUAGUCCGGGUGACGACACAAGUCAAUUACACUCAGAAAUAAGCUCACUAAAUGAAUUUCCAAAAGUGGAUCUGUAAUUAUGUUAAUUUACGGAUCAUAGGCUUCGUAAAAGAUCCAUGAGUCCAUAAGCAUUAUCCAAAGGCCUCGAACAUUGUGAUGCCAAUCCAGCCCACAUUGAAAGAUUAAUAUCGAGGCAAAGUUGGAUGGACAUGUGUCAUCAUAUGAUACGAUCCCAACCCGUCACCUCCACCCUUCUAUAUAUUUUACCUAUUGCUUCCCUACGGGCUACGGUCCAUUCUCUUUACAUAAAUUUUAAAGGGCGCCUCCGGCGGGUCAUUUGCGGCGAACAAGAUCGACCCUACUAGUUGUUUCGGUGAGUUCCGUCACUCUUAGAUCUCCAACAAGUAAUUUUUUUCUCUAUAAGGAAUGUAGCUUUUUUUUUUAAUUGAGUUAUUUUUUACUUAUUUCGCUAGAUAUGACAACAAGAUGUCAAUUUAAUUUGUUUAUUCAGAAAACCGCAGGAAGGAAUUCAUAAUCGAAAAUCAUAUGGUCAUCAUCUUGAUUUAGCAAUUACUCCCUCCAUCCCCCUCAUUUGUUUACAUUGGGGGACGGGGGCUUGGCACACAUUCUAAUGCUAUCGUAAAAUGUAGUUGAUAAAGUAUUUUGAACUUUUAUCUUUUCUGAAUAAAAUUUGAUAUUUAAACUUCUAUACAAAAAAGAAAUUUGUAAUUUUUUUUUAUAAAAUUAUGUUUUAUAUGCGCCUUAAAAUGCGUUUCGAUUAGUGUAAAAAAACCGUAAAGAAAUGAGAGUGACAGAGGGAGUAAUAUUUAAUAACAGUUUGUGUAUUGUCUUAACUCGUAGGAUUAAUAAUUACGUUUGCAAGCCUGCUAGUUAAUUUGGUACUUCUAUAUUAUUGUUACUGAUCUUCUAAUCAAAUUGCUUCAGGGUUUCCCUUACACUGCCUUGAUUUUAUAUUUUCUGUUUGUGUUAUUCUACAAUUGUCAAGUCUCUAUGGUUUUCUUUACCCAAAAACUUGAGAGUGUUUAUUGUUGAUUGUUAUAUAUAACGCAGUGCUUUUCUAUUGUGAAAAUAUAUAUGUAUUUUAUAAGCAAUUGAACACCAGUUGUAGAGAUAUUUCGGGAAGUAACAUAACUUUGAUAUUCUGAUGUACAAGUCCUCGUCUAUAGAAUCUAUAAACCAUAAGUAUAUAAAUCUACUAAUGCAUCUAUUACACCAACCUGACAGAGAAACAAGUAUAGACAUAGCAAUAUUUUGGUCUUUUGGAUUUCCUUUCAACCCUUCAGUUAGAAUUGAAGACUCCUAUUGAUUUCUUAUAUUCUUUCUACUAAUAUUUUUUUGUACAAACAUGUAUUAUUUUUGUUGUAUAUAUGUAUAUAGAUUAUUCUUUUUUACCCGCAAAAAGGGAAACAUACUUGUAGCUAGCUCCGCAUGAUUGAAAGGUUUAUCAGCUUUUUGGUUUUGGAUCAUUUCAUUUCUCCGUCUUCGUAUGCUCUUUUGGGUUCUCAAACAGAAAUUUUUUCUGGAUUUUAAACAUCACAUUUCAACCAAAGAAUGAGGGGCCCCUAUUAUGCCUUUCAUGUCGUCUCGUGUUAAACCUUAAGGAAGCGCGUCCUUCCAGUUGAGAAUAAGGGAGAUACGGAAUGUGAACAUCUUGUUGUCCGCAGACCCAGAUUUCAUGUGUGAUAUAUUGUGGUUUUCUGGCUUAUAUUGCAUUUUUUAUGUAUUUGUGUCAAUAUUCUUUGCUGUCAUGAGUUAAAAAAUUUAUGUUAAUUUUAUGUUUGUGAUGCUAGUGAAAGAAAGUAGGGUAGGCAAAAAGAUUGUUUCCAUGCUGUCAAAAUAUGGGAUUAGUUGAUUUAUCUGGAAGAUCAAAAAAAAUUAUAGCAGUUGCGAUCUAUUUUAAAUCUUUUAACAGAUGUUCUAGACUUCGUUUCCUUAAAACUAUCCUUUAAAUUUACUUGAAAUAUUUCUACAAACUGUUAACAGGAACAGUACUUGUCUAAAAGCAGCACUAGGGAGGCUCAAGUUAUUUCCAGUCAGACUUAAGAGCUUUGGAAGUAUCCCUGCGGGAUGGAAGUGGAUUGGAGACCUAACCUUGGUGGGAUGGAAAAGGCAUUUAGCAUGAAUGUGAUGAUGCUGAUUGUUAAAUAUUUUGCGGGAUGUUCGAUAACACACUGGUAACUUUUCUUUAAAUCUGCUCUAUAUUAGUCUUGUGAUCUGUAUCUUUAAGUUUUUAAGUCCUUGAUAUGAGGCAUCAAAUCUUUACUUAUCAUUAGUAGCAAUCGCAAGUUUGGGAGACUGAAGUCAUUGAACCUGUGUUAAUUGUUAUUAUACCAAGGCUAAAUGUCCCAAGAAGUCCAUGUAUGCAGCAAAGCAAAGCAUAAGCAUUCCUUUGGAAAAUAAAAGGUUUAAUUCCAAGUUAAAAAUAUAUUAUACUAAACAUGGAUUUUCCUCCAAGUCAAAACUCACAUAGAUUUGAUGUUCUUUACCUUUUACUUUCUGUUUUGAAUAGUUGCCUAUUCAAAUCUUAUGAACAAGUCUAUGCAGUAUGCAGUGCUUUGCAUUUGAAUUAGCUUCCAGCACACUUUAUUAUCUCCUUAUUAUAAGCUGCAGAACUUUUGAAGCGCAGAUAGCGUGUUAUAAGUUUGGGACAUUGUAUACUGUCUUUUUACUUAAUUCUGUUAUCUAUUUUAUAGUUAACUAUGAUUAGGCUUUUGCAUCUAUUUGUAAAACCAAAACAAUCCUACUUUUGGUUCUCUUCUAAUUUUUGUCUUAUAUUCGUAAAAUUCUUGUAAUGGAUGACUCUAACCUGAAGAAGAUCUUUAAAAGUAAUGAAUUCCAUUAAUGACAAAGUACUCUGUUUUUCUAUAGAGAAAAAGUCUGAACUUUACAAAGAUAAAAAAAAUAUAUGAAUGGGCAUGUUCAAUUUCGCUUUGUAAUGAGUUCUGCAUUUCCCUAUUUCUGUAAAGGAGUCCUGCACCAGCUACAAAACAAAAAAGAAAACGAAAAGAGAUCUGCAGCAGAUCAAGUGACAGAGUUUGCGGAGCAUGGGAUAGUCUUCCUGAUGAACUUAUCCUUUCAGUUCUAAUGAAAUUGAAUAUUAUCGACUACCUUGCCUUCAGUGGUGUGUGUAGAUCCUGGAGGUCAGUGUCUACCGAUAUUCGCAAAAGUUUUAUGGAGCGUCUGCAACCCUUAGUUCUAGCAAGACCAAGAUAUUCAAAAAAAGCUUGUGUGCUAUAUAAUAUUUUUGACAGGAAAAGUUGCAAGUCAAUGCUUCCGAAUAUGCCUCGCAAAAGCUUAUGGGGUUUAGCAAGUGGUUACUUGAUCACAUAUGACAGGAACAUGGGGUUUUGGCUUGUGAACUUAAUGACAAGACAUGAGAUGCACUAUCCUGUCCUGUCAGAAAGCAGCUAUAGCAUCUUUGACUUCACUCCUCGUGCUGUCCUCUUGCGGUUGACUCGGCUUUCAAGAAUUUUCAUGAUUAUUUUCUCUGAGAAGCAUAAUUUUUUACUGAUGUCUGAAAGUGGCUCUAGUAGUUGGCAGGAAUAUCUUUUCCCAAACACCAGUGCUGGAAUUGCAGAUGUAAAGAUUUGGAAUGGCAAAAUUUUUGUUCUAACCUGUGAUGCACAUUUUGGAGAAUUUAAUCCGAGGGCAGAUUCUGUUCUGAAGCUCUACAACCGUAACAUCCCUAUUCAACUUUCAUCACGUUCGAUGUUUCAGUUAGUGACUUCAGACAACAAGAUCUACAUGGUUAUAUCUCAAUAUCCUUGUCCAUGUGUAACUUUGUUCGUCCAAUAUCUUUUCUUGUACGAACUUGACUUCAGUAUGGAAUCUGCAAAACAGUUUCAUGACUUGGGAUCAAAAUCUUUGUUCCUGAGUGUAUAUAAUUCUGCCCUGGUUGACACAACUGGUUGGGGAGUGGGCAACUGCGUAUGUUUUCUUCAAAAUACAAUGGGAAAAUGUUCAUUCUUUCACUUGGAUGGUCGCGGGCUAGCAACGAUUCCUGCUGUUUGGGAUUGUUAUGUGAGACUAUAUUUCUGGGUUUUUCCCGGUGAAUGUUGGGACAUGAGUUGUGUUGGUGAUGAAUUUGGCACUUGAUCAUUUCCACUUCUGAAAUCUGUUUUCCCGGCCAAAUCUUCGGUUGUAGUUUCAUCUUACAUUCAGAAUAUUUGUAUUCUUUCAGUUUCAUGGAUCCUUUCAUUGAGACUAUAAAGUUAUGAUGCGAUGUGAAUUUUAUAUUAUGCAAGCAAAACUUUCAUAGCUUUUAAACUUAUUAUUUAAGAGAAUUGACAUUAUUAUUUAAGAGAAUUGACAUUUUAGUAUAAACAUCUAUUAUUUUUUGUCCUUGUGUACACUUACGAAUAUUAUAGUAUUUUUUAUAUUUUGUUUUCUGUACAGGUUAUGUUUAACGGGGAGAAGCGAGCGGGUAUAGGUGGUGCCUCUCAAAAACCCUGUUUUAUUUUUAUAAUUUAUGAAAAUUUUGAAUUAUAAAUAUAUAAAAAAUAAGUUACCCAUUUUUAAAUUUUGAAUAUAUUGAUAGGAAAGUUGAAAACUGUCUUUCUCAGUAUUGGAAGAAAGUGUCAAAACUAUCUUUUUUGGUUUUGAUAUUAUUGAAAGGCAGUUUCAAUUUGUAAAAUUACAUAGUUCGAUUUUUCUAGUGUUUUAAAAUCUUUGAAAUCUAUAUAAUUGAAAAAAAAGUUUUUUUUUUGACAAAUGCAAAAAGAUUUCAUUAACUUGAAUAUAAUACAGUCGGGACAAUGAUAAACCAGGUGGUAAAACAAAUAACAUACUAAAAACAAUUAGAUGAUUUGUUUUCUGAUCGUUUAAUUAACACAUAGAAUUUAAAAAUUCUUGAUGCUAAAAAUGAAAUCAAAAACAUCCCAAGCGAUCCAAAUUGCACCAAAAUGUCGGGAAACGGUAACAUCGCAAUUGACCAUAUCACAUAAAAAUUACUGUUACCCGAAUGUUCAGAAACACCAAUCGCAUAAAUCGAGAUUGGAGAAGUUGCAGCACAGCUAUCUACAUGCCGGAUACCAACUAUAAACCUGCCGAAGGCAACCCAGCUAUCUACAUGCCGGAUACCAGCUAUAGACAUGCCGAAAGUGUAAAUCCGUGAAUGAUGAACAAUCUUUGGUUGUGAAAGGUGAGCUCUUUCAAUAAUCACCACCAUUCCAGAUUCGAUACAGUUUUUAUAGAUCACCAAAAAUAUCAAUAAACUCGUUCUCAACAGAUCCAACACGAAAUAAACCCAAUCAUGACUAAACAAAAACAUAACAAACACUCUAAAAAAAAGAGACUAAACAAACACCCCAAAAGAAGAGACAAGACACACACUCCAAAAGGAGAGACACACAAACACACACAAAAUUGGGUUUAAUUGAAAAGAAAUUAACGAGUGUAAAAGAUAGGUAAUGAAGGGUUUGGGGCUUUCUACCGGAGAAAACCAGUGGAAGCCCCUCGAUUUACUUGAAAAAGGACAAAACCUAAUAGAGGAAGAAUUGAACAAAAGUUUUAAACUAUAACAUUUGAUUUUUAGAGACUUUGGGAAGGACUAUAUAUUUUAAAGGAAGGAUUCAUUGACGAUAUGUUUAUGUGUUUGUUCGAUUUCGAUUAUACAUGUGGAUGUCGUUUGUCUUUUCAUUACUGAAUUAUUUUCUCAUUUCAAAAAAAAAGUAUAUUGAUGAUGAUUGAUUGUAUAAGUAUAUUGAUGAUUGAUUGACGAUAGUGACGAUAAUUAUUUCCUUUGUCCCUCUGAUUUCUCAACAUUUUUUUUAGUAUUUGAUAAGCAUUUUAAGGUGCAUAUAAAAUAUAGGUUUAAUUUUAUUUUUUUUAAUCUUCUCGUUCGGUAUUAAUAUUUCAACGUUAAAUUUUUAUUCGAAAGAAAAGAUUUUAAAAAAAUUAUCAAACUAAAUAUUUCUAUGAGAACCUUAAAAUGUGUGUCAAACCCAUUCUCCGAAACCUAGAAAUUGAUUACUGAUCCAAUUUGAGUACCUCUACAUGAUACCUCAACAGAAAAUUGAGGCGGACAGAGGUGGGAGUCGUUGAUAAUUUAUCACCAAAAUUGUUUGAAGAAUUUCAAAUCGGAUUUAUUUAGUUCGAUAAUAAUUUUGCAUAUUAAUAAUCGAGGGCUAGCCUCCCUAAUAAAAGACGGAAAUUAACGUCUCGGUUCCUAUAUACACUAGUGUGUGUAUGGGGUUCUCAAGUCGCAGGAGGAGAAGAUGAAAGUUUGGGUCCUUGCCAUGGCGUCGUUUUUUAAUCGGUAACUUCUUUCUCCGUUUCAUAUAUAAGUUGUUUAAUUUUGUUUCCCUUUUCUAUGCAAAUAUAUAUGUAUAAAUAUCGAUGUUUGUUUGAUUAAGAGUGGUUAUCAGGUGUUAGAUGGACUAGGCAACCACAAAGCACAUGACCAACUCUGUUCUUUGAAUGUGCAAGCCAGUGAAUCGCCUAACGAAAUCCGACCAUCUCAACCAUUUAAUUGCGCUUCAUGGGCUACUGGAUGACAGUACCCUAUUAAUGAUUAUUGAUGGGUUGGCCCGAGAGCUUGGGCUAAGGUAAGGUCUUUGCCUUCUAGAUGAGGUGGGUGCAUUACUAAUCAUUUUUAUAAGAUGCAUCCUUAUAUCGAUUAUUGCUGGUGGCCUGAGAUCGCUCGGGCUCACGUCUUUGCUAUCUAGAUUCAGGUGGGUGCAUCACUAAUCAUAUGCAUUUCUAUAGAAGGUUGUGGUGAUCAUUUUAGGUUACAUGCUUAGUUUUCGUGGGAUGGGAAGUUUGAGAGCUGAGAACUACAAAAUUGCUCCUCCUUCAAACCUAAAGUUAGAUUAGUUUCCAGUGGCAUUUUAAAUAGUUUAUUGUAAUAUAUUUGGUGAAUGCUAGUACAUGUUGACACGAGAGUACAUCUCCACACUUAUUUAGCAUUUUAGAAGGCUGUGAUAUAUAGUGAUCACUAUUACGUGUCCAUAAAUUAGGAACAUUGACAUAGGAAGAUUAAGCUUAAUAGAACUUAUUAACAAUGAACAUCAAUAAUUGCAGAUUAAGCUUAAAAGAACAACUGUGCAAAAGUUGAAUUUGGGUUGAAAAACAAUGGUUGCAUACUUGGAGUUGGAGGGAGUAGGGGACACUUAGCUGACCAAAUUUUGAAUCUUUGGCUAGCUCUAUUAUUUCACAUUAAAGCACUUUCAGUUUGUUGAUGAGACCGCGAAUGUUUCAAGUUUCACCUUUACAGGAAUGUUCUGGUGGAGAGAAAAGGGAUUGUGUUUGAACUUGGCUGUUAGUUUAGGAUCCGUAGGUGGUAAUGUAACAUAUUGUAUUGAAGUUAACUUGUAAAUAAAUAGAAACCUAAAAUUUUUCGCUAAAACAUGGCAUUUUCCUUUACAAGGCACCAACAGAUAUGCUAAAUAUUGUAAUCCUUUAUUUUAACCUUUCUGUAAUCCAAUUUAGUAUUUCAAUACUUAUUUUUCCACAAGGUUGAGUGUUGCCUCGAUGUAAUUAGUUUCCGAGACUGUGACACUACCGACAAUCAUGCAUACACAUUAACUCACUAGAUGAUUUGGACAAGUGAAUCUUUUAUUACGUAAAUCUACACACAACAAGCUUCCUAGGACAUCAGUCCCAUGAUUUAUACAGUAAUUGGUGUAGGAAUAGGCAUUGGGUUUAGUUAUAUCUAUCCAACCCACUUUGAAUGAUUGUUAGUUGGGUACAACUGUAGUGACAUGUGUCAUCAUCUGGUGCAAUCCUGCCUGCCCAUCACUUCAUCCCGAGUCUUUUUUCUCAUUGAGAACUUCUUUGGAGCAGGGAGGGCCAUUCCGGCAAAAAAGGUGAUUUCAGAAAACUUAUUUUAUAUGUUUCCAGUCAUAUUUGCUGAAUUUGUAGUUGUUUGCUAACACCUACAACAAAUUCUUCCUUCUGUGAGGUUUUAGGUUUGCUCUACUUAAUUGAUAUAUCAUUUUCUUGUUUCAAUGAACAUCACAACAAUAUUCUAGUUUAACUUGGUCUUGUCCUAAGACAACUAAAGGAAAAUUUUGAUAAAGCAAAAUCGUGAUCACCAGAUUCAUGGUUUAAUCCUUAUUAUUUUUCGUGGUCUUUACAUCUUUUACUCUUUGUGUUUAUGGCCAUGAUCUAUUCACCUAAGUUAUAGCGUGCCUGUGGUUGUCUAUGGAUUUUUAAUGUAUAUUGUGUAAAUUUAACUGAUAGUGAAAAUAUCUACCACCAGUGCUAAUUAGAUUUUUUUUGUAGGGUUUUAUAUUUUCUUUCUAACUGUACAACAAGGUAACACUUUUACAAGCAAAUAAGAAUGUUUAAAACCAAAAACUUCCUUAGCUAUGGAGACAGAGGUAAAGACAUAGCCUGUAUUGAAAAUUACAAUGUGGAGGUUAUUCCUCGUUAUAACCGGCCUGGAGGUGGGACAUCAAUUUUUUAUUACUCUGUAGAGGUUAAUUUUAUAUAGAGUAUUGAUAUAUAUAUAUAUAUAUAUAUAUAUAUAUAUAUUUAUGUAUGUAUGUAUGUAUUUGUGUGCAUAUAUAUAUAUAUGUUAUAUACUUGUGGUUCACUCUUAUUAUAUAUACAACUACUAUAAAUUACUCACUCCGUCUUAACUAAUUCUUGAUACUUUCCUUUCCUAGACUGUCCCUCUCAAUUAUUUAAAAGGUCGGUCAAUGUUUUAUUUUUUAUGGCUUAUUUUAAAGCCAAGCACAUUAUUGAUUAUACAUUCUAGACUUUUAGUCAAAAACAAACUCUGAAACACCUAGUCGCCUCAAUCAACCUCUACAAAUCCUCAACAAAGCACUAGUAACUACCAACGACUACAAAUCUAUCACUGCUAAUUCAAUUUUAUAUGAGUUUUUUAUGUAAAUUUUAUGCUCAAUGAUAGGGUUACGGCUGAGUUGUGUGUUCUAGGGCUAUUUGGCGAUCCCCUUGAAUUUCUCCAUGAAAUCUUACCAUUGCGAUAAUUAGUAUAGUGGCAGAUGACAAUUUAAGGGCGGUCAAUGUAGAGAGAGAGGUAUGAAACCUUCUUAAUAUUUUAUAUUUCUUUUUAACUAUUUAGAGGGUAUGAUUUUUCAAAUAAUCAAUACUUUAUUUUUUGCUUUAUUGCAGAAGGAGAAUAGUUCAUAAUUUGUUGCAUAUCGACAUAAACUUAGUGCCUUCUCUCUUAUAUUUCGAUUUUCUUCUUGUCACCAUCCUUUACUUGCAUGUGCCUUGGCAAAAAUAAUGCAAGAUGAGGGAAAUCGUUGUAGUUGUAAAGAUGAAAAUCCAGUGUGACAGCUUAUAUGUAUGAUAAAUAGUGACAAUCAACAUGUGGUAUGUAAGUCCCUACUAUUUUUUAGAGUGAGAAUGAAUCUCAAGGGAAUUGAUUGAGCAACAUCUUGACCGUUCAUUCAAGAAAGUUAUCAUCUAACCAUCGGACAUGCAAGAUGACCGGAGACAUUUAGACAAUAAUGAUUUUAUGUCCGAAAAGAAAAGACCCAUCUUCUUCCAAGCAUCCUAAAAAAAUGAAUGAACGAAAGAAGUAAAAUAAAAGUCGAUAUAUAACAGAUUAUAUAUAUAUAUAUAUAUAUAUACACACACAUUAUAAAAUAAUUAAGUAUAUUAUAUCCAAUAAUAAAUAAAUAUUAAAUAUUAAAAGCGUGUGUGUAUAUCAUUUAUGAAGAGAAAGAUAAUAAAAUAAAGUCUAAGCAAACCAAGAUCUUUGGUUAGACACUAAAGGAAAUAAGAUAAUAUAUAGAAAAUUUAAUUUAAAAAACAUCGAAUAAGCCAACAAAUGACACUUAAUUGCCAUUUAAAAGUGAACACAUACGCAUUAAUCAAUCAUAGCCACCCAUAAAUGGUACUAAAAUAGGCAUCAAUCAAAGCCACGAUUAACAUUCAAACUGAUUAACAGAGAUUUAUGACAUUUUUAAAUAAUUUCAAAUUAUUUCCACUUAUACAAAAAGUGAUAACAUCUGUGUAAUAAAGAAGAAAUUCUAAUUAAAAAAAACUAAAAGAACUUAUACCAAAUCCUUAAAAAUCUAAACAAGACAUCUAUUAAUAUAUGAUAUAAAAAUUACUAAAAAAGAAGAAAAUUUUCAAAAUUCAAAAUAUUAAUAAUUAAUGAGUCAAUCACUAUCUAAGAACAUAUCACAUUAUACAAUUUGCCUUUACUACAAUCAAACUAAUCUAUCAAUUUAAAUGUAGACAAUUAAAAGAAACGAAAAAAUUAAAUACAAUUCUAUAAAAUUGAAAACAUAAAUCAUGCCUAAAUUUUAGUCAAUAAUAUCACCACCGCAUACCGCCAUGGAACCACACCACUUAACCGUUAUCACAUAUCUCGUAACAAACAACAUAUUAACAUCUAAAACAAAAACCUAGCUCUAGGCACGAUCAUAUAUUAAAAGACCAUUGUUACGCUAACAAAUAACAAAAUGCAAUGAGUUUAUUAAAGAAAAUAGUGAUAUUAAAAUUCCGCAGUAUAUAUCUAAAUUACAACGGAUCACAUAUAUAAACAAGUAGGAUUAUGAAUUAGAAAAAAUACACAUUAGUUUUUGUGGAGUAUAUUCACACAAAAUGAUUCUUCAUCGAAUUUGAUGUUUCAAUCGAAUAUUUUUUGUCCAUUACCUCGAUAUUUGACUAUUUCCUCAAUAUAGUUAGUCCGGGUGACGACACAAGUCAAUUACACUCAGAAAUAAGCUCACUAAAUGAAUUUCCAAAAGUGGAUCUGUAAUUAUGUUAAUUUACGGAUCAUAGGCUUCGUAAAAGAUCCAUGAGUCCAUAAGCAUUAUCCAGAGGCCUCAAACAUUGUGAUGCCAAUCCAGCCCACAUUGAAAGAUUAAUAUCGGGGCAAAGUUGGAUGGACAUGUGUCAUCAUAUGAUACGAUCCCAACCCGUCACCUCCACCCCUCUAUAUAUUUUACCUAUUGCUUCCCUACGGGCUAUGGUCCAUUCUCUUUACAUAAAUUUUAAAGGGCGCCUCCGGUGGGUCAUUUGUGGCGAACAAGAUCAACCCUACUGGUUGUUUCGGUGAGUUCCGUCACUCUCAGAUCUCCAACAUGUAAUUUUUUUCUCUAUGAGGAAUGUAGCUUUUUUUUUUAAUUGAGUUAUAUAUUACUUAUUUCGCUAGACAUGACAACAAGAUGUCAAUUUAAUUUGUUUAUUCGGAAAACCGCAGGAAGGAAUUCAUAAUCGAAAAUCAUAUGGUCAUCAUCUUGAUUUAACAAUUACUCCCUCCGUCUCCUUCAUUUGUUUACAUUGGGGGACGGAGGCUUGGCACGCAUUCUAAUGCUAUCGUAAAAUGUAGUUGAUAAAUUAUUUUGAACUUUUAUCUUUUCUGAAUAAAAUUUGAUGUUUAAACUUUUAUACAAAAAAGAAAUUUUUAAUUUUUUUUAAUAAAAUUAUGUUUUAUAUGCGCCUUAAAAUGCGUGUCGAUCAGUGUAAAAAAACUGUAAAGAAAUGAGAGGGACAGAGGGAGUAAUAUUUAAUAACAGUUUGUGUAUUGUCUUAACUCGUAAGAUAAAAAUUACGUUUGCAAGCCUGCUAGUUAAUUUGGUACUUCUAUAUUAUUGUUACUGAUCUUCUAAUCAAAUUGCUUCAGUGUUUCCCUUUCACUGCCUUGAUUUUAUAUUUUCUGUUUGUUAUUCUACAAUUGUCAAGUCUCUAUGGUUUUCUUUACCCAAAAACUUCACAGUGUUUAUUGCUGAUUGUUAAAUAUAACGCAGUGCUUUUCUAUUGUGAAAAUAUAUUUGUAUUUUAUAAGCAAUUGAACAGCAGUUGUAGAGAUAUUCCGAGAAGUAACAUUACUUUGAUAUUCUGAUGUACAAGUCCCAGUCUAUGAAUCUAUAAACCAUAAGUAUAUAAAUCUACUAAUGCAUCUAUUACACCAACACCUGACAGAGAAACAAGUAUAGACAUAGCAAUAUUUUGGUCUUUUGGAUUUGCUUUCAACCCUUCAGUUAGAAUUGAUGACUCCUAUUGAUUUCUUAUAUUAAUAUUCUUUUUUACCCGCAAAAAACAUGUAUUAUUUUUGGAUUUUCCUUUUUUACCCGCAAGAAACAUGUAUUAUUUUUGUUGUAUAUAUGUAUAUAGAUUAUUCUUUUUUACCCGCAAAAAAGGAAACAUACUUGUAGCUAGCUCCGCAUGAUUGAAAGGUUUAUCAGCUUUUUUGGUUUUAGAUCAUUUCAUUUCUCCGUCUAUCUCGUAAGCUCUUUUGGGUUUUCAAACAGAAAUUUUUUCUGGAUAUUAAACAUUACAUUUCAACCAAAGGAUGAGGGGCCCCUAUUAUGCCUUUCAUGUCGUCUCGUGUUAAACCUUAAGGAAGCGCGUCCUUACAGUUGAGGAUAAGGAAGAUACGUAAUGUGAACAUCUUACUGUCCGCAGACCCAGUUUUCAUGUGUGAUAUAUAUUGAUUUUAUGGCUUAUAUUGCAUUUUUUAUGUAUUUGUGUCAAUAUUCUUUGCUGUCGUGAGUUAAAAAAAUUAUGUUAAUUUUAUGUUUGUGAUGCUAGUGAAAGUAAGUAGGGUAGGCAAAAAAAUUGUUUCCAUGCUGUCUAAAAGCAUGAAAAAUAUUUCUACAAACUGUUAACAGGAACAGUACUUGUCUAAAAGCAGCACUAGGGAGCCUCAAGUUAUUUCCAGUCAGGCUUAAGAGCUUUGGAAGUAUCCCAGCGGGAUGGAAGUGGAUUGGAGACCUAACCUUGGUGGGAUGGAAAAGGCAUUUAGCAUGAAUGUGAUGAUGCUGAUUGUUAAAUAUUUUGCGGGAUGCUCGAUAACACACUGGUAACUUUUCUUUAAAUCUGCUCUAUAUUAGUAUUGUGAUCUGUAUCUUUAAGUUUUUAAGUCCUUGAUAUGAGGCAUCAAAUCUUUACUUUUCAUUAGUAGCAAUCGCAAGUUUGGGAGACUGAAGUCACUGAACCUGUGUUAAUUGUUAUUAUACCAAAGCUAAAUGUCCCAAGAAGUCCAUAUAUGCAGCAAAGCAAAGCAUAAGCAUUCCUUUGGAAAAUAAAAGGUUUAAUUCCAAGUUAAAAAUAUAUUAUACUAAACAUGGAUUUUCCUCCAAGUCAAAACUCACAUAGAUUUAAUGUUCUUUACCUUUUACUUUCUGUUUUGAAUAGUUGCCUAUUCAAAUCUUAUGAACAACAAGUCUAUGCAGUAUGCGGUGCUUUGCAUUUGAAUUAGCUUCCAGCACACUUUAUUAUCUCCUUUUUAUAAGCUGCAGAACUUUUGAAGCGCAGAUAGUGUGUUAUAAGUUUGGGAUAUUGUAUACUGUCUUUUUACUUAAUUCUGUUAUCCAUUUUAUAGUUAACUAUGAUUAGGCUUUUGCAUCUAAUUUUUGGUUCUCCUCUAAUUUUUGUCUUAUAUUCGUAAAAAUCUUGUAAUGGAUGACUCUAACCUGAAGAAGAUCUUUAAAAGUAAUGAAUUCCAUUAGUGACAAAGUACUCUGUUUUUCUAUAGAGAAAAAGUCUGAACUUUACAAAGAUAAAAAAAAUAUAUGAAUGGGCAUGUUCAGUUUCCCUUUGUAAUGAGUUCUGCAUUUCCCUAUUUCUGUAAAGGAGUCCUGCACCAGCUACAAAACAAAAAAGAAAACGAAAAGAGAUCUGCAGCAGAUCAAGUGACAGAGUUUGCGGAGCAUGGGAUAGUCUUCCUGAUGAACUCCUCCUUUCAGUUCUAAUGAAAUUGAAUAUUAUCGACUACCUUGCCUUCAGUGGUGUGUGUAGAUCCUGGAGGUCAGUGUCUACUGAUAUUCGCAAAAGUUUUAUGGAGCGUCUGCAACCCUUAGUUCUAGCAAGACCAAGAUAUUCAAAAAAAGCUUGUGUGCUAUAUAAUAUUUUUGACUGGAAAAGUUGCAAGUCAAUGCUUCCGAAUAUGCCUCGCAAAAGCUUAUGGGGUUUAUCAAGUGGUUACUUGAUCACAUAUGACAAGAACAUGGGGUUUUGGCUUGUGAACUUAAUGACAAGACAUGAGCUGCAUUAUCCUGUUCUGCCCGAGAGCAGCUAUAGCAUCUCUGACUUCACUGCUUGUGCUGUUCUCUUGCGAUCGACUCGGCUUUCCAGAAUUUUCAUGAUUAUAUUCUCUGAGAAGCAUGAUUUUUUACUGAUGUCUGAAAGUGGCUCUAGCAGUUGGCAUGAAUAUCUUUUACCAAACACCAGUUCUGGGAUUGCUGAUGUAAAGAUUUUGGAUGGCAAAAUAUUUGUUCUAACCUGUGAUGCGCAUUUUGGAGAAUUUAAUCCGAGGGCAGAUCCUGUUUUGAAGCUCUACAACCGUAACUUUCCUAUUCCACUUCCAUCACGUUCGAUUUUGAAGUUAGUGACUUCAGACAACAAGAUCUACAUGGUUAUAUCUCAACAUCCUUGUCCACGUGCUAUGUUGGUCCUAUAUCUUUCCUUGUACGAACUUGACUACAGUAUGGAAUCUGUAAAACAGAUUCAUGACUUGGGGUCAAAAUCUUUGUUCCUGAGUGUAUUUAAUUCUGCCCUGGUUGACACAACUGGUUGGGGAUCGGGCAACUGUGUAUGCGUUCUUCAAAAUACACUCGGAAAAUGUACAUUCUUUCACUUGGAUGGACAACGGAUAGCAACGGUUCCUUCUGUUUUCGAUGAUUAUUUGAGACUAUAUUUCUGGUUUUUUCCUGGUGAAAGCUGGGACAUCAGUCGUGUUGGUGAUGAAUUUGGCACUUGAUCACUUCUACUUCUGACAUCUGUUUCGAUGGCCAGAUCUUUUGUUUUACUUUCAUCUUACAUUCAGAGUAUUUGUGUUCUUUCAUUAAUCCUUUCACUCAGACUAUAUCGUUAUAUUGUGAUGUGAAUUUAGUAUUAUGUAGGCCAAGCUUUUAUGGUUUUUUAAUUUAGUAUUCAAGAGGUUUGACAUUUUAGUAUAAUCAUCCAUUAUCCUUUGUCCUUAGGUGUAUUAUAGAAAUUUUAGUAUUUUUCUGUGUUUUGUUUACUACACCGACCUGGUGCACAAGGUAAAAUUUUAUUUUCUGCAAAAAAAAAAGAUAAAAUUUUACUCUAAUGUAUUUAUAAUCAAUCACUUACUGUGGUUUCAAGUACGCUGUGGAUUUAGUACUAUAAAGUAUAAAGCAAUAUAUCAAAGUUCAAGAAAAGAACAUCUGAAAACUAGAGGAUUAUAAGAUUAUUUCUUUUCAAAAGGUUUUCAUGCCGUUACGGGCACUAAAGGCUUUACUAUGCUUCAUAAAAUACUAUUCAUGAACAAAACUUUGUUUGCGACUAAAAUAUAGGGAAUUUUCUACGUACGUCUUUGAAAUAAAGGUUAUGUUUUUUUGAUCUCUUCAUUUUAGCAUUUUCUAAUCAGAUUUUUUUCAUCAGUGUUAUAAUCAAUAACUAUGAUUUUUAAUGUUCAUACGGAUCAAAGCAGUUUUUAAGGUGUUAAUGAUAUUCAAAUUUAAAGUUCUCGUAGUCAAAUUGUAAUUUGAAUGACUAACGACAUUCAUAUCACAUAAAUUUUCACAAACUAGAUCCAAUUCAAAAUUUAAGGUCUCUAAAUUUAAUCAAGAAUCCCAAAUUUAUAGUCCAGUUUAGGAUUUUUUUUAAUUGGCGGUCUGGUUAGUGUGUGGAACAACUACUUUUAAUAUGGGUGGGAGAUUUUAAUUGGUGGGGAUUUCUAUGCAUGCAUGGGGCAUCAUUAUUGGUGGGAUGUGAGCCAAUCAAAAUCCACCAACUAGUUAAAAGUAGUUGUUAGUGUGUGCUUAUGGACACACAUUAGAAAACCCGUUUUUUAAUUAAACCUAAUUUGUGAAAAUUGGUGUCGUAUUCAAGAUUUAGCUAGCAACUUAUAAAAUUUAGGUCAAUUAUAUUGUAUAGUGUCAUGAUACCAAAAAAUUGAGAAAGGUGAGGCAAUUGAGCACUAGGAAAAAAAAAAAGCCAGCAAGGAAAAUGAAAAAGAUAAAAAAUUAUAACUAGAUAAAGUAAUUAAUUAAUUUUCUAAAAAUAAUGAAAGGAUCAUAACUGCACUAAUUCUCAAAAAAGACCAUCAACCCUAAAACCACUGUUCCCUCCGUCCCAUUCAUUUGUAUAUAGUUUUCCUUUUAGGAUGUCAUAUCAUUUCUAUACAUUUCAAAAAUAGUAAUUUUUAAUAAUAUAAUACACUAUUAAUAAUUUACUUUAACUACUUUAAUUUUUCACCAAUACCUUUCUUUCUUUAAUAAUGUAUAUAUUAUUUAUACCCCUAUUUUCCUCCACUAUCUCAAUGCUGUAAUUAAAUAUAAGUAAAUUCUCACUUCACCCACCUUUCAUCUAAUUUUACUCAUUUUUCAAAUUUUUUCUGACUUUUUCUUUAGUUUCUCGCUUAUUUUUAAGGAAGAAAAUGACUACUUUAAGCAUACGCAGCCAGGCUGCAGCUCAACAGAGCCCCUUGUUGAGUAUAACCUCUCUUCUCAAGUUUGUUAACACGAGAGACCAUUUGUGUGGAAUCUUUUAAUCAUAGGAUUGGGAUGUUUUUCUGCCAAAAAUUUCCGAUGGUUAAAGGGCUUGUGUUUUUGGUAUAAACCCAAUAUUCAAUCUUUCAUGUUUCUGCUCAUCAUUUUUAGUCAAGUUUGUUAUUCAUAUACUUUGUCUCUGUGUUUUAUAUACAAUUAUAUCUCAUCUAAUUGGAACUUACAAAUAUUGUAGACAAAUUUACUAUCUUGCACCCAAAUUUUCUGAUGAGAAUCUAAUUUUGAUGAAGGUGGACGCUGAGGUGUAUGAUAUGAUUGCCACAAAAAAAGGUUUUAAUCAAGGUCUGGUUUGGUGUUUGAUCACAGGUUUAUGUACGGUGGUUGUUCAUGGUAAAUUAUUCAGUCGUAUCUUUCGGACCAAUCAAUGGACGGAAUACAUUCACUUGUAAUAUUCGAGAGUUUUGGUCUCUACUAGCAAAUGUUAUGCAAGGAGGCGAUAACUUAGAACAGAGAAUGGGGGCAUGGUCUAGAAGGAAACAGGUGAGAGUUUUGGUCUCUACUUGCAAAUGUUAUGCAAAGAGGCGGUAAUCUAGAACAGAGAAUGGGGGCAUGGUCUAGAAGAAGGAAACAGGUGUGAGCGUUUCUUGUAUAGUAGUGGUUUUAUUUGUUAAAUCCAGUGUGCUGUUUCACGAUACUCAUAUUUUGUUACCAUGUUGGGAGUGUUCUUGUGUAUUGGUUACUUUCUGGUUUUCAACUUUGAUAACGAUAACAAAUAGGUCAUCAAUACAGAAGAUCAGUACAUAAAGACAAGGUUUUAAGGAACAAUAAUACGAAAAUUUAAAACUUUGGGUGCAAAAUUAAAUACAGCAAGCUUUGGCCAUGGAUGGACAUAUUUGCUUUGUACCAUUGGUAGUUUUGAUCACCUAGCGCUGGCAGACCCAAGGUUGAACAUUUGGCGAGCCCUGCGGCACAUUAAGGCACUUUUAAUUUGUAAAUGUGACCGGUUCUGAACGAAUGUUUAAACAUAAUGAAUGUUGCUUUGGAAAGAUAAGCAUUGUACUUGGAUAAUGCUUAGGUGCUAUCUAAAUUAUUCAAGAGAAGGCCCAGGCUUCGUAUAAUUUCGUUUUAUCAAUCCCUUCCUACUGGUCCUGGGAUUAGACUAAAUUACACUAACAUUUAGUUGUGAUGUUCAACAAAACAAAAAUUAAUAUCACUCUAGUAAACAAAUUCUACAAUCCUCUAAAGGGAAGAUUUACUUGUUGAUUCAAUAGUCAGAUAGUACAGGGCAAAAAAUGAACAAAAAUGGCAAUGGAACGCGCCAACUCACCUGAUAUUACCCUAGUCCGUGGGAAGUCGCCCUCCUGUAGUGCUCUCAAAAUUUCUUAAAUAAAUAAGAGACCUAGGUUAAUACAGGAUAAGAUAUAUGAUUAGGUGGACAGUCAGGAUAAGGUGAUGGGUUGCUGAGAUUUUCACCAUAUGACGACAAUGUUAGUAUAGAUAUACCCCACUAUGGAUCAUUUGAGGUGGGGUGGAUCAAGAUCACUACCCCAAGGCCUAUUACUUGACCAAUGACCGGAUAACACUGAUGGACUAAUAUAAUUUCGAAAAAAAACUAUGAUCCAUAUAUUAGCUUAAUCCCGGAUUCAAUUUUGUAUUUAUCGAAUGAUUUCAUGUAUGUGAGCAAGUUGUGACAGACGUAUUUAGUGUUACACACUAAUUAUAUUUAUGCAUCAUUAACCUUGUGAAAAAUGGACAGAGAAUUAUUAGAUUUGACCCCAUUGACCCCGUGGAAACAACAAUAUGGUCACAACUUGCUCACAUAUAUGAACUCAUUCGAUAAAAAUAAAAGUGAAUCUGCGAUUAAGUAAAUAUAUGGAUCAUAGUAUUUAUUAAAAUAUAUUAGUCCCACACCGUUAUCCGGUCCUUGGUCAUGUAAUAGGCCUCAGGGGUAGUGAUCUCGAUCCGGCCCACCUCAAAGGAUCCGUAGUGGUGUACAUCCGUACUAACAUGUGUCGCCAUACGAUGCAAUCUCACCAACCCCAACACCUUAUCCCGACCGUCCAUCUCACCAUAUAUCUUAUCCUAUGUAAACCCAUGUCUCUCUUUUUCAUUUAAGAAAUUUUGAGGGCACUACUGGAGGCGAUUUGUGGCGGACUAGGGUAAUCUCAUGUGAGUUGGCGAGUUCCAUUGCCGUUUCUGUUCAGUUUGUGCCCGUAUUAUCUUUUCAACAAGUAAAUCUUCCCUUUAGAUGAUUGUAGAUUUUGUUUACUAGCGUAAUGUUAAUUUUUGAUUUGCUGGACUUCGCAAGUAGAUGUUAGCUUAAUUUAGUCUAAUCCGAGGACCGGUAAGAAGGAAUUGAUAAAGCGAAAUUGUAGAAGCCUGAGCCUUCUCUUGAAUGAUUUAAUAAAUAAAAAUCCAAUACUUUAAUUUUAUUUAUGUAAUGUAAGAAGUAUAUUGAAUAAGUUUGUAAACAUGCCAGAUAGUGUGGUAAUGUUAAUUUUCUGAUCAAUUUUACUUGAUUGUUUCCUUUAAUUUACUGUUAAAAUCCAAUACAUAUCAAUAUUAUCUUGUUUUUAUGAUAUCUAGCUUAAUUUGAAACUAUAUCUUGACUUGAUGAGAUCAAUUAAGGAAAUAGCGGUGUAUGAUCUGAGACUUGUAAAUAUUAAGGCAAUCAUAGCAUUGAUUCUCACAUAUUUGCUGAAUGUUCUGGAACAAAUUAGUGUGACAUGCUUAUAAAUAAAAUAUGCUGUGUAGGAUAAAAAUCAAUUUGGUUAACUCCUCUUCUUCUUCUCUGUGUCUCCCUCUGUUAGACUGUUACUUUGCUGGUAUGUAAACCCGAAUUUAUUUCAUGUUAGUAUGAAAUAAAACAUAAUCCUUAAUACACUAGUCAUACUUAACAUGUCAUUGUAUCGCAUGUCUAUUAAGAAUUAUAAUGUUUGUGAAUGCAGUUGUUUUUACGAAUGAAACAUGCCAAGCUUUCAAGUAUGUAAUUUAAAUAAUUAUUUUGGGCUUACUAAUAGCUUCCCAAGUCAAGAUAAUAUUCUUCCAACUAGCAUAACCGAUUAUAUGCUUUGUGACCUGUUAUUUCGUAAGGAAGUCCGUUGGUCCAAAGACGUCACAGUGUUGAUUGUUGCUUUAGUUAUGUUAGUCACUGUGAUACUCUGUAGACAGUCACAAACAUAACACCUAAGGAACUAGACAGCAUUCGGAGCAUGUCCACCUCUUUGUUGUGAAUAUAUAUACAAUUAUACAUAUAUGUGUGUGUGUGUGUGUGUAAAGAAGCAAUAAAAACACCAUUUAAGUUGUAAGGCGAUUUUGGUAGGUAACAUAACUUAGACAUUCAUCAGUAUAUGCUCUACUUAAUUUGUUUAUUACAGCAACCUGAAAAAGGUCUAAGUACUUUGAAGUACCACUUUUUUGACAUUUUGGAUUUCUCUGUGUGACUUAAUUAUUGGAUAUCGUAUGCUUAAAAUUUAUGUUUAUGAUGCUAGCGAAAAGGAAAAUGAAGAAUGAAAAAAAAAAAACUGGUUUCAUGCUGUCAAAAGUUGUGGACGAUAAAAUCUUUUCUGUGGAUAUCCCUUUUUUCUUUGUACUUAUCCAUUUAAGUUGAAUUCCUUCUACAAACUUUUAAAGAGUAGUAGUAAAUGUCUGAAAGAAGCACAAGGAAAACCAAGAUAUUUCCAGUCUGACCAUUAAUAUUCUGUGCUUAUUAGGAAGAACAAGAGCUUGAAAGAAUCAGCCCAUUUUUUCAACGAAGGCAGAAUGGAAGUGGUUGAAAGGCCUUCCUUGGGUGGAAUGGAAAAGGCAUUUUGCAAUAAUGUUCUGAGGCGGAUUGUUGAUAUUUUUGCAGGGCGGUUGAGAAUUGACUAUUUCAGGUAACUAUGUUCUGAAUUUGCUCUAUGUAAAUAUUAUAAAAUUUGUCUUGAAGUUUUGGAGUUCCUGGUUUGGAGCAUCAAAUCCUUACAUAGUAAAAAUCAAAAGUGUGGCUAAAUUUCAAGUCCCAAGAAGUGCAUGUAUACAGCCAAUUAAAGAUUAAGCACCCCUUGGAAGGGGGGAGAAUAAAGUCUUGGCUAAAUCUCAAGUGAAUAAAGUUAACUGGUUGUGCUAACAUAGAUGGAGUUAUUGCUAUAAUUUAGCAUCAAAAAGUGAUUUUUUGUGCUAAAAUAGCACCAUGUCUCCAAUGGUAUUCAAUCAUGAAGAUCCCAUAAAAAACCUUCGAGACAAAUCAACUCAGAAGUUCUAUAGCUCACACUUAUAUACUCAGCUUCUGCACUACUUUUAGAUCCUUUGUUUGCUUCUUAAUUUUCUCAGAGAUUAAGGAAGAACCCUGGAAAAUAGCAUACCCAGACAAGGAUUUUGCAAAAGAUGAACAAGUUAUUUUAAGACAUGAAGAGCGGCGUCAUAAUAUGGCUGAGCUGGUUCUUGGUGAAACUAAGAAAGCUGUUGAACAACAUAUGAAAUAUCAAGCCUACUGGAGUUCAAAUAGAGCAAUUUCCUGAUAAAUCUUCUAUACACUUCUGGGUCAGGCAACUUUGAAACAUCCUUUAUACUUCCUCCGAUCUAACUGAAUACCGGCUUCAGUUCCAAGAACCUUAUGCUAAGGAAAUACUUCAAAUCAGCAGAACUUUAAUGGUAAAUUUUUGACGCAAUAAGGAUUUGAUAGAUUAUAAACAUCUAAUAUUGAUAAAUCGGGUCUUGGCAAAAAAAAAUAUAUAUUGAUAAAUCGGGCUCUCAGCCUCAAAAAAAUAAUAGAAUAAUAUUCUUGAAUAAUAUUCAUGAUCAUUAAUUUUAAAAGUGAUAUAUAAAAAUCACGGUAUUUUGGUAUUUUAUCUCUAACUCCUCGCUCAAUUUUAAGGUAGAAAAUGCCUAUUUUAAAUAUGUUGACCCUAUUUAUCAUAAUUUUAUACAAUAAUACCUCAAAUAUCACGGCCACAAAAUAUGGAUCCAAAAUUAUUUUACAACAUUACACGUCUAACACUUAUAAUUUUUUUUAAACAUUACACAAUACAUAGUUUAACCUUUUUUCACCCCAAUCUCGCAAGAAAAACAACUAAAACCCUAAAAAAGCCUUAACAUAAAUAAAUUACAUAAUACGCUUGGUAUUCAGAUAUUGAAAUGCGGCGCCUUGUCCCUAGAUCCCUACAGAGCCCAUUCCAUUGUUCAGUAUUACCUCUCUUCUUAAGUUUGUUAACACAAGAGACCAUUUGUGUGGAAUCUUUUAAUCAAUGGAUUGGGAUGUUUUAAUUUUGAUCUUUUAAUCUUUUAAUUUUGAUGAAGGUGUAAGCUGAGGUGUAUGAUAUGAUUGCCACAAAACAAGGUUUUAAUCAAAGUCUGGUUUGGUGUUUGAUAACAGGCUUAUGUACGGUGGUUGUAUCUUUCGGACCAAUCAAUGGACGGAAUACAUUCACUUGUAAUAUUGGAGAGUUUGGUCUCUAGUAGCAAAUGUUAUGCAAGGAGGCGAUAAUCUAGAACAGAGAAUGGGGGCAUGGUCUAGAAGAAGGAAACAGGUGUGUGCGUUUCUUGUAAUUAGUUUAUAGUAGUGGUUUUACAUGAUACUAAAUCUGCACAAAUCAUAUUUUGUUGCCAUGUUGGGAGUGUUCUUGUGUAUUGGUUACUUUCUGGUUUUCAACUUCUUUAAUAAAGAUAACAAAUAGGUCAUCAAUAUAGAAAGACAAGGUUUUAAGGAACAAUAAUAUGAAAAUUUUAAACUUUAUGUGCAAAAUUAAAUACAGCAUGCUUCGGCCAUGGAUGGGGACAUAUUUGCUUCGUACUUGAUCACCUAGCGCUAGCAGACCCAAUGUUAAACAUUUGGGAAGCCCUGCGGCACAUUAAGGUGCUUUCAAUUUGUAAAUGAGACCAGUUCCACACGAAUGUUUAAACAUAAUGAAUGUGGCUUUGGAAAGAUAAGCUAUUGUACUUGGAUGAUGCGUAGGUUUUAUUUAAAUCAUUCAAGAGAAGGCCCGGGCUUCUUACAAGUUCGCUUUAUCAAUUCCUUCCUAUUUGUCGUGGGAUUUGACUAAAUUAAACGAACAUCUAGUUCUGAUUACCAACAAAACAAAAAUUAAUAUCACUCUAGUCAACAAAAUCUACAAUCCACUAAAGGGAAGAUUUACUUGUUGAUCAGACAGUACGGGCAAAAAAUGAACAAAAACAACGGCAAUGGAACACGCGAACUCAUCUGAAAUUAUCCUAGUCCUCGGCAAAUCGCCCACCUGUAAUGCUCUCAGAUGUUCUUAAAUAAAAAAGAGACCUGGGUUAACAUGGGAUAAGAUAUACGGUGAGGUGGACGGUCAGGAUAAGGUGAUGGGUUAGUGAGAUUUGCACCAUAUGACGACACAUGUUAGUAUGGAUAUACCUCUGCUACGGAUCAUUUGAUGUGGGCCGAAUCGAGAUCACUACCCUCAUGACCUAUUACUUGACUAAUGGCCGGAUAACGCUGAGGGACUAAUAUAUAUUUUCAAAAAUACUAUGAUCUAUAUAUUAACUUAAUCGCGGAUUCACUUUUAUAUUUAUCAAAAGAGUUCAUGUAUAUGAGCAAGUUGUGACAGACACAAAAUUGGUAACUUUGCAAUUAAUAUUGUCAUUUCCUCGGGGUCAUUGGGGUCAAAUCUAUUCUUUGUCCAAUUUUUACAAGAUUAAUAAUGCCUAGAUAUUAUUAGUGUGUAACACCAAAUACAACUGUCACUACUUGCUCACAUACAUGAACUAUUCAAUUAAAACAUAGGUAAAUCUGCGAUUAAGUUAAUAUAUGGAUCAUAGUAUUUCUGAAAAUACAUAUCAAUUCCUCACGGUUAUUCGGUCAAUGGUCAUGUAAUAAGCCUUUGGGGUAGUGAUCCCGAUCUGGCCCACCUCAAAUGUUAUGUGGUGGGUUAAAUUUAUAGUAACAUGUGUCAUCAUCUGGUACAAUCUCACCAACCCAUUACCAUAUCCUGAUCGUCUAUCUCAUCACAUAUCAAUCCUUUGUCAACCCAGGUCUAUUUUUAAUUUUAGAAAUUUUGAGAGCACUGCUUGUGGGCGAUUUGCGACGAACUAGGGUAAAUUUCAGGUGAGCUAGCGAGUACCAUUGCCGUUUUUGUUCAGUUUUUGCCUGUAUUAUUUGAUCAACAAGUAAAUCUUCCCUUUUGAGGAUUGUAGAUUUUGUUUACUAGAGUGAUGUUAAUUUUUGUUUUGCUGGACAUUACAACUAGAUGUUAGCUUAAUUUAGUCCAAUCCUUCGACUGGUAGGAAGGAAUUGAUAAAGCAAAACUAUAAGAAGCCAUGACUUUCUCUUGAAUAAUUUAAUAAAAAAAAAUCCGAUACUCCAAUUUUAUUCAUGUAAUAAGUAUAUUGAUUAAGUUUCUAAACCUGACAGAUAGUUGGUAAUAUUGAUUUUCUGAUCAGUUUUACUUGAUUGUUUCCUUUAAUUUACCUUUAAAUGUGUUAAAAUCUAAUACAAAUCAAUAUUAUCUUGUUUUUAUGAUAUCUUGACUUGAUGAGAUCAAUUAAGGAAAUAGCAGUGUAUGAUCUGACACUUGUAAAUAUUAAGGCAAUCAUUGUAUGGUUCUCACAUAUUUACUGAAUGUUCUGGAAGAACGUAAUUUGGUGCAGGAACAAAUUAGUGUGACAUGCUGUGUAGGAUUAAAAUAAAUUUAUGUAACUCCUCUUCUUCUUCUCUGUGUCUUCCUCUGUUACUUUGCGGGUAUGUAAACCCGAAUUUACUUGAUGGUAGUGUGAAAUAGAACAUAAUCCUUAAUACACGAGUUGUGCUUUACAUUUCAUUGUAUCGCUUGUUUACUAAGAAUUAUAAUGUCUGUGAAUGCAGUUGUUUUUAUGAAUGAAACAUGCCAAGCUUUCGAGUAUGCAAUUUAAAUAAUUAUUUUGGGCUUACUAAUAGCUGCCCAAGUCAAGCUAAUGUUCUUCCAAUUAGCAUAACCGAUUAUAUGCUUCGUGACCAGUUAUAUAUUAAAGAAGUCUGUUAGUCCAAAGACUUCACAGUGUUGAUUGUUGCUUUAGUUAUAUUAGUCACUGUGAUACUCUGUAGACAGUAACAAACAUAACACUUGAGGAACUAGACAGCAUUUGGAGCAUGUCCACCUUUUUGUUGUGAAUAUAUANNNNNNNNNNNNNNNNNNNNNNNNNNNNNNNNNNNNNNNNNUAUAUAUAUAUAUAUAUAUAUAUAUAUAUAUAUAUAUAUAUAUAUAUAUAGCAAUCCGAAAGAGGUCUAAGUACUUUGAAGUACCACUUUUUCGACAUUUUGGAUUUCUGUGACCCUUCAAUCAGAAUUAUUGGAUAUUGUAAAAUUUAUGUUUAUGAUGGUAAUGAAAAAGAAAAUAAAAACUGAAAUAAUUUGGUUUCAUGCUGUCAAAAGAUGUGGACAGUAAAAUCUUUUCUGUGGAUAUCCCUUUUUUCUUUUUGUACAUGUCCAUGUAAGUUGAAUUCCUUCUACAAACUUGUAAAGAGUACUAGUAAAUGUCUGAAAGAAGCACAAGGAAAACCAAGAUAUUUCCAGUCUGACCAUUAAUAUGUAUUCUGUGGUUAUUAGGAAGAACAAGAGCUUGAGAGAAUCAGCCCGUUUUUUGAACGAAGGCAGAAUGGAAGUGGUUGAAUGGCCUUCCUUGGGUGGAAUGGAAAAGGCAUUUGGUAAUAAUGUUCUGAGGCGGAUUGUUGAUUUUUUUGCGGGGCAGUUGAUAAUUGACUAUUCCGGGUAACUAUGUUGUGAAUUUGGUCUAUGUAAAUAUUAUAAAUUUUGUCUUGAAGUUUUGGAGUUCCUGGUUUGGGGCAUCAAAUCCUUACGUAGUAAAAAUCAAAAGUGUGGCAAUAAAAUCCUUACGUAGUAAAAAGUCUCAAGUCCCAAGAAGUGCAUGUAUACAGCAAAUUAAAGAAUAAGCACCGCUUGGAACGGAGAAGAAUUAAGUCCCGGCUAAAUCUCAAGUGAAUAAAGUCAAUUGGUUGUGCUAAAAUAGAUGGAGUUAUUGCAAUAAUUUCCAAAUACAUCCCACUUUUGAAUAUAAAUAUGACUAACUUUCAAAGACCCUGAACUUUCAAGUAAUAAUUUAUACAUUUUUUAAUCAUUUUAUACUUUAGCAAUUAGAGCUUCAGUGAAUUAGCUACCAGUAAGCUUUAUUAUCUUCUUAUGUCUAGCUGCAGAACUUUUUACUAUACUGGCAAAAGGAACAAUCCUACUCUAGUUUCUCCUCUGUGUUAAAUCAAGUUCUUUUAAAUCUUGCAAAGGAUGAAUCUGUCCUUAAGAAACAUCUGUAAAAGUAUUGCAUUCCGUUUUCAGCAAACUACUUGUCUUUCUAGAUAAAAUUCAUUUGAAUGGGCAUGCUCAAUCUAGCUUUGUAGUGAGUUCUUUGUUUCUCUAUUUGUUAACAGGAAUGCUCCACGAACAGUAAAACAAGGAAGAAAAUGGAAAAGGACUUGCAGGAGAUCGGGUGACACAGUUUGGGGAGCAUGGGGCAUUCUUCCUACUGAACUUCUGGUGUCAAUUUUGGUUAAGUUAAGUAUUGUGGACUACCUGUCAUUUAGCCGUGUUUGUAAAUCUUGGAGGUCUGCAUCUAUUGCUUUCCGCAAAUACUGUAUGGAGCGCCAGAAACCCCUAGUUGUUGUUCGUCCAAAGCGUUCGAAAAAGUCUUGUGUAUUGUACAAUAUGUUCGAUAUGAAACGUUACAAAACAAUGCUGCCAGAUUUGCCUUGCAAGAAAUUAUUGGGUUUGUCAUGUGGGUACCUGAUUACAACCGAUGGAAACUUAGGCUUUUGGCUCGUAAAUAUAAUGACAAACAUGAGCUGCGUUUUCCCGUCCUUCCUGGACAUAUGGGUGGCAUAAACUGCUUUGAAUUUUCUGCUCUCCUAUUUCGGGCCACUCGGUUUUCAGAAACUUUCAUGAUUGUUCUCUCUCUGACAGAAAAUUAUAUAUUAUUGUCCAAAAGUGGUGGCAGCAGUUGGCAGAGAUAUGUCCAGGAAACAGUCAUGUAUAGCUUAUUGUCUGAUUCCACCAACUUCAGAUACAUAUCAGGUGAAACCUGGAAAGGGAUGCUGAUUUUGGAGAGCUUUGGAACAGAACCUGCCUUCGGAUUAAAUUCUCCAAAACGUAAAUCUGAAGUCAAAACAAAGAUUUUGCCAUCAAAAAUCUUCACAUCUGCAAUCCUGGCUUCUGUGUCGGAUAAAGCAUAUCUCUGCCAACUGUGACCAAGAGGAUACAAUUCCCCUUUUUCUGAACCCACCCUUGCGGGCAAAUUUGAAUCAGUGAACGGUUCACUAAUUCCCAAUUUGGAUCACUAGAUCACUACUGGAGGAGAAUUUGGGAUCACUGCUGGAGGAGAAUCAGUGAUCUAGUGAUCCAAAUUGCGAAUUAGUGAACCGUUCACUGAUUCAAAUUUGCCCGCAAGGGUGGGUUCAGAAAGAGGGGAAUUGUAUCCUCUUGGUCAUAGUUGGCAGAGAUAUGCUUUAUCCGACACAGAAGCCAGGAUUGCAGAUGUGAAGAUUUUUGAUGGAAAAAUCUUUGUUUUGACUUCAGAUUUACGUUUUGGAGAAUUUAAUCCGAAAGCAGGUUCUGUUCCAAAGCUCUCCAAAAUCAGCAUCCCUUUCCAGGUUUCACCUGAUAUGUAUCUGAAGUUGGUGGCAUCAGAUAAUAAGCUAUACAUGACUGUAUUCAAUUGUUGGCCUUAUCCUGCAUUGGACCGACAUCUGUCAUUAUUCGAAAUUGACCAUGAGACAAUGGAUAGAGCAAAACAGAUUCAUGACUUGGGUGCAAAAUCAUUAUUUUUUAGUUGGUUCAGUUCUGCUGUCGUCGAUACAACUGGUUGGGGAGCAGGUAACUGUGUCUGUGUUCUUCACUUAGGAGUUUUCAACACAUGUUCUUUCUUUAACCUGAAUGGAAAUCAGCUAGGAACAACUCCGGUUGUUUGGGAUGGUCAUUCGUCACCUUGUUUUUGGUAUUUUCCUAGUGAAAUUUGGUCCAUCAGUUGUGUCAGUGAUGAGUUUGGCGCAUGAUCACUUAUAAAUCUCAUAUCAGUUUUUCUCAUUAAGUCUGUAGCGUUUAUCUUCAUCUUACAUUAUGGAACUUUGUACUAGUUCCAUUAUGAAAACUUUAAUACAUUGAUGCUGUGAUGUUUGCCUAAGAGGCACCAGAACUCAAAUGUCAUUUUCUGCAUUUCUUAUUGGCACCAUGUUUGUUCGUGUAUGAGACAUUCUUAAGAGAAAAAUUCCCAAUUUGAAGCUGCAGUUUCUGCAGUUUAAUAUAGUUAUAUAUUUUUGUUGAGCAAAGUUUAUUUUAUAGAUGAUUACUUUGUUUCCGAAUUAUUGUAGUGACAAAUAGAUAAGUUAAUAAAAUACAUGGAGAGCAACUGAGCACCGAGACGGAGAAUAAUAUCGUCUUUUACAGACUCAUUAUUGUGACGUUAAAAUAUAAUUUAUAAUAAUAUAUAUUUAUAUUAAAAAAUUUAUAUCUUAUAAAUAUAAAAAAUGAUCCAAACACAUAAAUUAAAAGUUAAAUUCAAUUUAUAACUUUUUACUUAUAAUCAAUAAAAACGUCUUUUACAGCCUCAUUAUUCACAUACUUUUAUCAUCACUUCCACACUUCUGCAGUUUACACAAUCCUGCAAGAUGAUCUGAAUUCUGAAUACAUGCAAGUCCAACCACCAUUUAUUUUUUGCUGAUAUUUCUUCUACUUUUUUCUCUUUCUCUGCAAUCUUAUUUUAAAUGGGCAUGGAGCAUUGCUUCUCCACUACUAUAACCAAAUGUAAAGUUACAGCUUGGUUAUUCCCUUAAAGAUUGCUUCCAUCUUGUGCUCUGUUUUCUGAUUCAAUUUACAAAGAUCACAUUCAUGACUCAGUAGCAGCCAAACUAGCAAAUCUUUUGAGUCAUCUUGAGCAAGUUCUGAGAAAUUCUGUCUGGAAGAAGUCCUAUUUGUUUUUUCCUGCCGAGUUGAACUCAUGGCAGAAGUUUGCGGUUAAAUUAAAUUGCGUCCUGUUUUAGGAGAGGAGAAAUCCCAUCACUUAGCACUUUUAGUGCAUUAGUGUGAUUCAAGUUUGUUAGAGAGAGAAUGAACUGAAUGAAUCUGUUAAAAUUGACUUGUUGCUCCAUGAGCUGUAUUUACAAGUAUGUAGCUGACACUAACAGAAUAUUCAUAUACUAACUAUGUAGCUGGAAGCUUCUAGAACAUUUAUUUACAAUACAUGUACAUAGAUCAAUACCCCCUUCAAGCUAGGCAUCAAAGAGGAUCAAAUUGAAAACCAAGCUUGAUACUAAGAAACUUGUGAUGAGCAGCAUCCAAUGGCUUUGUCAGUAUAUCAGCUAGCUCAAUGAAAGUACUCAUAUGUGAAAUUCGAAUGAACUCAGAAUCAACAUACCCUCGAAUAAAAUGACAGCAAAUCUUCAAAUGUUUAGUUCUUUCUUGGAAGAUUUGCUUCUUUGCAAUGUGGUGAGCUGAAGUGUUGUCACAAUAAAGAUCAAUUGGCAAAGGAAUUUGAUCAUGAAGAUCCCUUAAGAAACCUUCAAGAUAUAUCAACUCAGAAGUUGUAUAGCUCAUAUUUAUAUACUCAGCUUCUGCACUACUUUUAGAUUCUUUUUUUGCUUCUUAAUUUUCCAAGAGAGUAAGGAGGAACCCUGGAAAAUAGCAUACCCAGACAAGGAUUUUGCAGAACAUGAACAAGUUCCCUAGUUUGCAUCUGAAUGUGCAGUUAAUUGCAGAGGAUUAUUAGCUUUGUAAAACAGACCAACAUUCAAUGAAAUUUUCAAGUUAUUUUAAGACAUGAAGAGCGGCAUCAUAAUGUGGCUGAGCUGGUUCUUAGUGAAACUAAGAAAGCUGUUGAACAACAUAUGAAAUAUCAAGCCUACUGGAGGUCAAAUAGAGCAAUUUCCUGAUAAAUCUACCAUUCACUUCUGGGUCAGGCAACUUUAAAACAUCCUUUGUACUUAGAUGCAAGCCUUUUAAUAAUGGAAAAGCAGCAGCCAAGUGAGUAUUAGCUGAUAAAUUCAAUAUAUACUUCCUCUGAUCUAACUGAAUUCCGGCUUCAGUUCCAAGAAUCUCAAUGCUAAGGAAAUACUUCAAAUCAUCCCGACUUUUAGUGGUAAUUUUUUGAUGCAAUAAGGAUUUGAUAGAUUACUUAGUUAGUCUCAAGUACGAGAAAGCUAAAUAUAUCACAUUUUAAUUUUUUUUUACUUGAAAAAUUUUCAAGUAGAUGGACCACUAUGAUACCCAUUCUUAAAAUGGGUAUUCCUAUAUAUUCAUUCUCAAAAUGGGUGUCACAUAUAAAUUAAUUUUAAAACGAUCAAUACACAUUCUCAGAAUAGGUCACAGUAAUAUACUCACUCUUUGGAUAAUAAUCUUUCUAAAAUUUAAUUUUUCAUUAUUCAAAAUAUUUUAGGGAAAAUCAAUUUAAAAGUCUCUGAGCUAUUGGUGUUUUAUUGUCUGGUUCCCUGAAAUAAAGAUUCCAAUAUUCGGGUCCCUUACGUUUUUAGUUUUCCUGUUUGAGUCCUUCCAUUAACUGAACUUCUGACGGACGUUAGAAUCUCGAUGACGUGGCAGAAUUGUUAACAUGUGUAUAUAAAUUUUAUUUUAAAGGUCCUGAACUAUUAAUAAUUUUCUUAUUUGAGUCUUUUCAUUGAUUUAAAAUUUAUUAUGUAAACAUUAAAUCGGCUUAGAAUGUAUUCAAUCUUUGAUACAACUUUAGUUUUUUAAUUUGUAAUUAUUUUAGGCGUCUAAUAGAUAAUAAUAAACAUUAAUAUAACAAAGUAAAAUAAACAUUAAAUAUAUUUAUUAAUAUAGCACAAUAAAUAUAUUAGUGUUUCCUUAUAUUUGAAGUAAAAAAUUACCAAGUCAUCGAGAUUCUAACUUCAGUUAACCGAAGGACUCAAAUAAUAAAAUUGAAAACGUAAGUGACCCGGAUAUUGGAAUUUUUAUUUCAGGUAUCUAGACAAUAAAACACCAAUAAUUUAGGGACCUUUAAAUUAAUUUUCUCAAUAUUUUAUCAUCUAUACUAUAUUAUAAAAAGCCAACAUGGGUAUAAUUUGUAGUCGUACAAAAUUUUGGUACGGUAGUCUCCUCUCCUCUAAAACUAAAAGUCUACAACAUGUGGAUAUCUAUUAAACAGUUUCAUAUACUCAAAACACUCCUUAUGUAUAUUAAUAUCUUUUUUAAUAUAAUUUAUAAUUAGUUGAAAAAAGGUGAAACUACUAUUAAUAACAUGUAUUAAUGUUAAAAAAUACUUAUAGAUAAAUGUAUAACUAAUAAUAAAUAUAUAAUUUUGAAUAUCUUUUGUCUAAAAUACGUACAUAUAAAUAAGGGCUUUUUUUAUUCAUAACCACGUUUUCAAUCUUAUUUCCAAAAAUACUACCUUAUCCAAUCUUAUUUUCAAAAAUACUACCUACACUAAAAUAUUUUCAAAAAUACUACAUUUUUGGAAAAUAUUUUCAAAAAGGUAGUAUUUUUGAAAAUAUUUUAGAGAUUUGAAAAUAAGAUUGGAUAAGGUAGUAUUUUUGAAAAUAUUUUAGAGAUUUGAAAAUAAGAUUGGAUAAGGUAGUAUUUUUGAAAAUAUUUUAGAGAUUUGAAAAUAAGAUUGGAUAAGGUAGUAUUUUUGAAAAUAUUUUAGAGAUUUGAAAAUAAGAUUGGAUAAGGUAGUAUUUUUGAAAAUAUUUUAGAGAUUUGAAAAUAAGAUUGGAUAAGGUAGUAUUUUUGAAAAUAUUUUAGAGAUUUGAAAAUAAGAUUGGAUAAGGUAGUAUUUUUGAAAAUAUUUUAGAGAUUUGAAAAUAAGAUUGGAUAAGGUAGUAUUUUUGAAAAUAUUUUAGAGAUUUGAAAAUAAGAUUGGAUAAGGUAGUAUUUUUGAAAAUAUUUUAGAGAUUUGAAAAUAAGAUUGGAUAAGGUAGUAUUUUUGAAAAUAUUUUAGAGAUUUGAAAAUAAGAUUGGAUAAGGUAGUAUUUUUGAAAAUAUUUUAGAGAUUUGAAAAUAAGAUUGGAUAAGGUAGUAUUUUUGAAAAUAUUUUAGAGAUUUGAAAAUAAGAUUGGAUAAGGUAGUAUUUUUGAAAAUAUUUUAGAGAUUUGAAAAUAAGAUUGGAUAAGGUAGUAUUUUUGAAAAUAUUUUAGAGAUUUGAAAAUAAGAUUGGAUAAGGUAGUAUUUUUGAAAAUAUUUUAGAGAUUUGAAAAUAAGAUUGGAUAAGGUAGUAUUUUUGAAAAUAUUUUAGAGAUUUGAAAAUAAGAUUGGAUAAGGUAGUAUUUUUGAAAAUAUUUUAGAGAUUUGAAAAUAAGAUUGGAUAAGGUAGUAUUUUUGAAAAUAUUUUAGAGAUUUGAAAAUAAGAUUGGAUAAGGUAGUAUUUUUGAAAAUAAGAUUGAAAAAACAAUAUACAAGAUAAUUCCCCUAUAAAUAAUUGGAGACGCUACUUUUUAAUUAUAACGUAUUCUACUCGAAAUUUAACUCUAACGUGUUCUAUUUCAUUACAAACACGAACCAUUACGUAACAUAUGAAGAUAUAUAAAAUAUGAAAAUUUUAAUUUAAAAUUAAUUGAAUAAUAAACUGUCACAUAUUAAUAUCAGAAAAAUAUUUACAGAUAGAUAAUAAAUUGUGAAAGCUAAAUUUCCGUUAGAAGAUAUAAUCAGUUGGUUAAUAUAAUUUAAUCAAAAUUCAAUUCAUUAAUACUAAAAUACUAACAAUAUGAUGUUAAGAUUUAUAUUAUAAUUAAUAAAUUGCAAAUUAUAUACCCGCCCGUGCUUUGCACGGGUUAAACGCUAGUAUAUAUAACCACACAACCACCCACACAUAUAUAUUACCGUUUAUUAAACACACAACACCACCAUCUAUAUUAUCAAUUAUCCCUAAAAGAAAAAUAUAAACAUCAAAUAUUUAUAAAUUGGUCACUCAUUCUCAAAAAGAUAAUAGAACAAGAUUCUUGAUCAUUAAUUUUAAAAAUAAUAUAUAAAAAUCACGGUAUUUUGAUUUGGUAUUUUUUUUUCUUUAGCCCCUCGCUUAGUACUUUUAAGGUAGAAAAUGACUACUUUACAAUGUGUUGAUCCUCUUUAUCAUAAAUUCAAAUAAUAAUAUUUCAAAUAUUAUGUCCAUAAAAUAUGGAUCUAAAUAUCAUUUUAUAAAUUAUUUUUUAAACAUGACGCACUUUUUCUUAGUCCAAGCUCACAAGAAAAACACCUAAAACCCUAAAAAAAAAAACCAAUUAACGUGUAGUCGUUUAAAGCACAAAUAGAUCAUUAUGUAUUAUGUGUCUUAGCUUGGUAUUCAGAUAUUGGGGAUAUUUUAACAAUUUAUGAUAUGCGGCUCUUCUCUCCUACUUUUAAGCAUCGGCAACCAGGCUGCAUCCCUACAGAGCCCCUUCCCUUUGUUCAGUAUUACUCUCUUCUUAACUUUGUUAACACAAGAGACCUUUGUAUGGAAUCUUUUAAUCAAUGGAUUGGGAUGUUUUUGCGCUGCAAAUUUCAGAUGGUUAAAGGGCUUGUGUUUUUGGUGUAAACCCAUCAAUCUUUCAUGUUUCUGCUCAUCAUUUUUAGUCAAGUUUAUUAUUUAUAUACUUUGUGUGUGUGUUUUAUUUACAAUAAUAUCUUAUCUAAUUGGAACUUACAAAUAUUGCAGACAAAUUUAAUAUCUUGCACCCAAAUUUCCUGAGAAUCUAAUUUUGAUGAAGGUGUAUGAUAUGAUAUGAUAUGAUAUGAUAUUGUAUGAUAUGAUUUCCACAAAAAAAGGUUUUAAUCGAGGUCUGGUUUGGUUUUUGAUAACAGGCUUAUGUACGGUGGUUGUUCAUGGUAAAUCAUUCAGUCGUAUUUUUCGGACCAAUCAAUGGACGGAAUACAUUCACUUGUAAUAUUCGAGAGUUUGGUCUCUAGUAGCAAAUGUUAUGCAAGGAGGCGAUAAUCUAGAACAGAGAAUGGGGGCAUGGUCUAGAAGGAAACAGGUGUGAGCAUUUCUUUUGUAAUUAGGUUAUAGUAGUGGUUUUAUUUGUUAAAUCCAGUGUGCUGUUUCACGAUACUCAUAUUUUGUUGCCAUGUUGGGAGUUUUCUUGUGUAUUGGUUACUUUCUGGUGUUCAAACUUCUUUGAUAAAGAUAACAAAUAGGUCAUCAAUACGGAAGAUCAAUAUAGAAAAGACAAGGUCUUAUGGAACAAUAAUGCGAAAAUUUAAAACUUUGGGUGCAAAAUUAAAAACAGCAUGCUUUGGCCAUGGAUGGGUACAUAUUUGCUUUGGACCAUCAGUAUUGAUCACCUAGCGCUAGCAGACCCAAUGUUGAACAUUUGGCCAGCCCUGCGGCACAUUAAGGUGCUUUCAACUUGUAAAUGAGACUGGUUCCACAGGAAUGUUUAAACAUAAUGAAUGUGGCUUUGGAAAGAUAAGCUAUUGUACUUGGAUGAUGCUUAAGUGCUAUUUAAAUCAUUCAAGAGAAGACCCAGACUUUUUACAAAUUCGCUUUAUCAAUUCCUUCCUGUUUGUCCUCGGAUUUGACUAAAUUAAACUAACAUCUUCUUGUGAUUAUCGGCAAAACAAAAAUUAAUAUCACUCUAGUAAACAAAUUUACAAUCCUCUAAAGGGAAGAUAUACUUGUUGAUCAGAUAGUAUGGGCAAAAAAUGAACGGAAACGGCAAUGGAACUCACCAACUCACUUAAAAUUACCCUAGUUCGCAGCAAAUCGCCCUCAAUUAGUACUCUCAAAAUUUCUUUAAAAAAAAAGAGACCUGGGCUGACAUAGGAUAAGAUAUACGGUGAGGUGGACGGUCAGGAAAAGGUGAUGGGUUUGUGAUAUUGCACCAUAUGAUGACACAUGUUAGUAUAGACGUACCCCAGUAAUACCACACUAUGGAUCUUUUGAGGUGGGUAGGAUCGAGAUCACUAUCCCAAGGCCUAUUACUUGACAAAUGACCGGAUAACGCUGAUGGACUAAUAUAUAUUUUUAAAAACACCUGUAAAUUUGUGAGCAAUCUGUAAAUUUGUAAAUUUGUGACCUAUAACCCACUAUGUAUGUGAGCAAUCUGUAAAUUUGUGAUUAAGUUAAUAUAUGGAUCAUAGUAUUUUUGGAAAAAAUAUUAGUCCAUCACCGUUGUCCGGUCAUUGGUCAUGUAAUUAAGCCUUGGGGGUAGUGAUCUCUUCCGGACCAACUCAAUUGAUCUGUACUGGGGUAUAUUUAUACUAACAUGUGUCGCCAUAUAGUUCAAUCUCACCAACCCAUCAUCAUAUCCUGACCGUCCAUCUCUCCAUAUAUCAAUCCUAUGUCAACCCUGGUCUCUUUUUUAUUUAAGAAAUUUUGAGAGCACUACCGAAGGGCGGUUUGCGGCGGACUAGGCUUUUUUCAUGUGAGGUUCCAUAUCCGUUUCUGAUCAGUUUUUGUCCGUACUAUUUGAUCAACAAGUAAAUCUUCCCUUUAGAGGAUUGUAAAUUGUGUUUACUAAAGUGAUGUUAAUUUUUGUUUUGCGGGACAUCACAACUAGAUUUUAGCUUAAUUUUGUCUAAUCCCAGGACCCGUUGGAAGCAAUUGAUAAAGCGAAACUGUAGAAUCCUGGGCCUUCUCUUGAACGAUUUAAUAAAUAAUAAUCCAAUACUUCAAUUUUAUUUAUGUAAUGUAAUAAGUAUAUUGAUUAAGUUUCUAAACCUGCCAGAUAGUGUGGUAAUGUUAAUUUUCUGAUCAGUUUUACUUGAUUGUUUCCUUAAAUUUACUGUUAAAAUCUAAUUUAGAUGGUAUAAGCUGAGGUGUAUGAUAUGAUUGCCACAAAAAAGGUUUUGAUCAAGGUCUGGUUUGGUGUUUGAUAACAGGCUUGUGUACCAUGGUGGUUCAUGGUAAAUGAUUCAGUUGUAUCUUUCAGACCAAUCAAUGGACGGAAUACAUUCACUUGUAAUAUUCGAGAGUUUGGUCUCCAGUAGCAAAUGUUAUGCAAGGAGGCGAUAAUCUUGAAUAGAGAAUGGGGGCAUGGUCUAGAAGGAAACAGGUGUGAGCGUUUCAUGUAAUUAGUUUAUUGUAGUGGUUUUAUUUGUUACAUCCAGUGUGCUGUUUCAUGAUGCUAUCUACACAAAUCAAAUUUUUUGUCAUGUUGGGAGUGUUCUUGUGUAAUGGUUAAUUUCUGGUUUUCAACUAAUAUGAUAAAGAUAACAAAUAGGUCAUCAAUACGCGCGGAAGAUCAAUUUAGAAAGACAAGUUUUUAAGGAACAAUAAUGCGAAAAUAUAAGACUUUGGGAGCAAACUUAAAUACAGCAUGGAUGGAAGUAUUUGCUUUGUACCAUGCAGUAGUUUUGAUCACAUAGCGCUAGCAGACCCAAUGUUGAACAUUUGGCGAUCCCUGCGGCACAUUGAGGCACUUUCAAUAUGUAAAUGUUACUGGUUCUAAACGAAGGUUCAAACAUAAUGAAUGUGGCUUUGGAAAGAUAAGCAGGCAUAGGUGCUAUGUAAAUCAUUUAAGAGAAAGCCCAGACUUCUUAUAAUUUCGCUUUAUCAUUUCCUUCCUACUGGUCCUGGGAUUAGACUAAAUUACGCUAAAUCUAGUUGUGAUUUCCAGCAAAACAAAAAUUAAUAUAACUCUAGUAAACAAAAUCUACAAUCCUAUUAAGGGAAGAUUUGCCUGUCGAUUAGAUAGUACGGGCAAAAAAUUAACAGAAAUGACAAUGGAACUCGCCAACUCACCUGAAAUUACCCUAGUCCGAGGCAAAUCGCCCUUCUGUAGUGCUCACAAAAUUUUUAAAAUAAAAAAGAGAAUUGGGUUGACAUUGGAAAAGAUAUAUGCUGAGGUGGACAGUCCCGAUAAGGUAAUGGGUUGGUGAGAUUUGCACCAUAUGACGACACAUGUUAGUAUAGAUGUACCCCCGCUACAGAUCAUUUGAGGUGGGUCGGAUCGAGAUCACUACCCUCAUGGCCUAUUACUUGAGUAAUUAUCGGAUAACGCUGAGGGACUAAUAUAUUUUGAAAAAUACUAUGAUCCAUUUAUUAACUUAAUCGCAGAUUCACUUUUAUAUUUAUCGAAAGAGUUCAUGUAUAUGAGCAAGUUGUGACAGCCACAAAAUUGGUAACUUUGCAAUUUGAUAUUGUCAUUUCCAUGGGGUAUUUGGGGUCAAAUCUAAUAAUUCUUUGCCCAUUUUUUAUAAGAUUAAUAAUGCCUAGAUAUAAUUAGUGUGGAACACCAAAUACAAAUGUCACUACUUUCUCACAUACAUGAACUAUUCAAUUAAAAUAUAAGUAAAUCCAUGAUUAAGUUCUUAUAUGGAUCAUAGUAUUUCUGAAAAUACAUAUCAGUUCCUCAUUAUCCGGUCAUUGGUCAUGUAAUAAGCCUUUGGGUGAUCUCGAUCCGGCCCACCUCAAAUGAUCAGUGGUGGGGUAAAUUUAUACCAACAUGUGUUGUCAUAUGGUACAACUCACCAACCCAUUAUCAUAUCCUGACCAUCCAUCUCAUCACAUAUUAAUCCUAUGUGGUCUAUUUUUAAUUUAAGAAAUUUUGAGGGCACUCCUUGACGGCGAUUUGCAGCGAACUAGGGUAAAUGUCAGGUGAGUUGGCGAGUACCAUUUCCGUUUUUGUUCAGUUUUUGCCCGUAUAAUUUGAUCAACAAGUAAAUCUUUCCUUUAGAGGAUUGUAGAUUUUGUUUACUAGAGUGAUGUUAAUUUUUGUUUUGCUAGACAUCACAACUAGAUGUUAGCUUAAUUUAGUCCAAUCCUUGGACCUGUAGAAAGGAAUUGAUAAAGCAAAACUGUGAGAUGCCUUGGCUUUCUCUUGAAUAAUUUAAUAAAUAAAAAUCCAAUGCUCCAAUUUUAUUCAUGUAAUAAGUAUAUUGAUUAAGUUUCUAAAACUGCCAGAUAGUGUGAUAAUAUUAAUUUUCCAGAUAAGUUUUACUUGAUUGUUUCCUUUAAUUUACCGUUAAAUGUGUUAAAAUCUAAUACAUGUCAAUAUUAUCUUGUUUUUAUGAUAUCUUGACUUGAUGAGAUCAAUUAAGGAAAUAGCGGUGUAUGAUCUGACACUUGUAAAUAUUAAGGCAAUCAUUAUAUGGUUCUCACAUAUUUACUGAAUGUUUUGGAAGAACGUAAUUUAGUGCAGGAACAAAUUAGUGUGACAUGCUGUGUAGGAUUAAAAUAAAUUUGCUUAACUCCUCUUCUUCUUCUCUGUGUCUUCCUCUGUUACUUUGCGGGUACAUGUAAACCUGAAUUUACUUGAUGGUAGUGUGAAAUAGAACAUAAUCCUUAAUACACUAGUUGUGCUUCACAUUUCAUUGUAUCGCUUGUCUACUAAGAAUUACAAUAUCUGUGAAUGCAAUUGUUUUUAUGAAUGAAACAUGCCAAGAUUUCGAGUAUGCAAUUUAAAUAAUUAUUUUGGGCUUACUAAUAGCUGCCCAAGUCAAGCUAAUGUUCUUCCAACUAGCAUAACCGAUAAUAUGCUUCGUGACCUGUUAUUUAUAAAAGAAGUCCGUUUGUCCAAAGACUUCACAGUGUUGAUUGUUGCUUUAGUUAUAUUAGUCACUGUGAUACUCUGUAGACAGUAAGAAACAUAACACCUGAGGAACCAGACAGCAUUUGGAGAACCCCAUAUCUAUGUGAGAUAUUAGAACUAAUCUAAGCCAUUAGAUCAAUCUAAUCUAAUGGCCCCCUAGAUUUUGGUAGGUAACGUAACUUAGACAUUCUGAUGUGUCUAUUAAAGCAACCUGAAAGUGGUCUAAGUACUUUGAAGUACCACUUUUUUGACAUUUUGGAUUUUUGUGUGACCCUUUAAUCAGAAUUAUUGGAUGUCGUAUGCUUAGAAUUUUGGAUGCUAAUGAAAAAGAAAAUGAAGACUGAAAAGAAAUGGUAUUAUACUGUCAAACGAUGUGGAUAGUAAAAAUCUUUUCUGUGGAUAUCCCUUUUUUUUUGUACUUGUCCAUUUAAGUUGAAGUACUUCUACAAACUUGUAAGAGUAGUAGUAAAUAUCUGAAAGAAGCACAAGGAAAGAUAUUUCCAGUCUGACUAUUAUGUAUCUGUGGUUAUUAGGAAGGACAAGAGCUUGAGAGAAUCAGCCCAUUUUUCCAACGAAGGUGGAAUGGAAGUGGUUGAAAAGCCUGCCUUGGGUGGAAUGGAAAAGGCAUUUUGUAAUAAUGUUCUUAGGCGGAUUGUUGAUUUCUUUGCGGGGCGGUUGAUAAUUGACUAUUUCUGGUAACCAUGUUCUGAAUUUGCUCUAUAUAAAUAUUAUAAAUUGUGUCUCGAAGUUUUGGAGUUCCUGGUUUGGGGCAACUAAUGCUGACGUAGUAACAAUCAAAAGUGUGGGCAACUGAACCUAAUUUAAUUAAUAUUAAGGCCACAAAUUCCAAGAAGUGCAUGUAUACAGCAAUUCAAAGCAUAAGGAUCCCUUGGAAGGGGGGAGAAUAAAGUCUUGGCUAAAUUUUAAGUGAAUAAGAGCAUGUCCAAUGGCUGUGCUAAAAUAGAUGGAGUUAUUGCUAUAAUUUAGCAUUAAAAAGUGAUUUAGUGCUAAAAUAGCACCAUGUCUCCAACGGUUGGUUUCAAUUCUUGUUUCAAAUUUAAACUUCUUUAAAUACAUCCCACUUUUGAAUAUAAAUAUAAGUAUCUAACUAACUUUCAAAGACCCCACACUUGCAAGUACUUUUUAAUACAUUUUUUCAUCAUUUUAUACUUUAGCAAUUAUAGCUCCCUCUAUCUUUUGUUCUAAAUAAUGAACAAACUAUAGCAUUGCUCUAUUUAGAGCAAGAUAUAGAACACCAUUGAUGUAGAGAAUUUUAGUUUUUGUUCUAUAAUAUAGAGUUAUAGACAUAGAACAAUAUAAAGAACACCAUCAUUGUCUACUUAAACUUUAAUUUAAAUGUUCCCUGCUUUCUCUUGAAGUAUGCAUUACGUAUAUAGUUGUGCCUUUGUAAACUAGACUGCUAUCGUAAAAGUAACAUAUGCCAGUUGUGCCUUGAUUCUAAAUUCUCCAAACUGGCCUCCCAGUUCCUUUAUCAAGUUCCUGGGAAGUUAAAAAAUAUGUUUGGUUGUGGUGUAGGUAUUUGCAGUGCCGGGGUGUGACAUAAGAAAGUUUCUACAUUAUGUGGAAAUUCCAAUUUCCUAGGAGAACACUUUCCAUAUAGCAGUCAACCAAAAAAUCUUACAAUUUGCUAGGAAGUUUGAUUUCCUGGAGAUUUACAUGUUAACCAAACUACCUCUUAUAAAUCUAGUUAUGGUUCAUUAGGAUGAUUGCAUUCUUACUGGGGAAUGUUGAAGUUCUCAUUUCAGAAAGAUGUUGAGUAUGCACACCCUUUAUCCAGUUCUGAAAAAAAAUUUGAUUUUAGUGGCCUUAAUUAACAUAAACUAUGCACUGAUUUGCAUUUUAAUAUGUAAACCUUCAGUAAAUUAGCUUCCAGUAAGCUUUAUUAUCUUCUGUCUAGUUUCUCCUCUAUGCAUUCUGUUUUCAACAAACUACUGACUCUUUCUAAAUAAAAUUCAUUUGAAUGUGCAUGCUCAAUCUAGCUUUGUGGUGAGUUCUUCGUUUCCCUAUUUGUUAACAGGAAUGCUCCACGAACAGUAAAACAAGGAAGAGAACGGAAAAGGAUUUGCAGGAGAUCGGGUGACACAGUUUGGGGAGCAUGGAGCAUUCUUCCUGUUGAACUUCUGGUUUCAAUUUUGGAGAAAUUAAGUAUUGUGGACUACCUGUCAUUUAGGGGUGUUUGUAAAUCUUGGAGGUCUGCAUCUAUUGCUUUCCGCAAAUACUUAAUGGAGCACCAGCAACCCCUAAUUGUUGUUCGGCCAAAGUAUUCGAAAAAGUCUUGUGUAUUGUACAAUAUGUUCGAUAUGAAAAGUUACAAAACAAUGCUGCCAGAUUUGCCUUGCAAGAAAUUAUUGGGUUUGUCAUGUGGGUACCUGAUUACAAUUGACAGAAACCUACGCUUUUGGCUCGUAAAUUUAAUGACAAAACAUGAGCUGCGUUUUCCCUUCCUUCCUGGUAUGGGUGACCGAAAUUGGUUUGAAUUUUCUGCUCGCCUCUUUCGGUCCACUCGGCUUUCAGAAACUUUCAUGGUUCUUUUCUCUCGGACAAAAAAUUAUAUUUGGUUAUCCAAAAGUGGGGGCAGCAGUUGGCAGAGAUAUGCUUUAUUCGACACAAAAGCCAGUACUGCAGAUGUGAAGAUUUUUUAUGGCAAAAUCUUUGUUUUGACAUCAGAUUUACGUUUGGGAGAAUUUAAUCCGAAGGCAGGUUCUGGUCCGAAGUUCUCCAAAAUCAGAAUCCCUUUCCAGGUUUCAUCUAAUAUGCAUUUGAAGUUGGUAGCGUCAGACAAUAAGCUAUACAUGACUGUAUUGAAUAGUUAUCUCUAUCCUGCAUUGGACCGUUAUCUUUCAUUAUUCGAAAUUGACCAUGAGACAAUGGAUAGAGCAAAACAGAUUCAUGACUUGGGUGCAAAAUCUUUAUUUCUUAGUUCGUACAGUUCCGCUGUCGUCAAUACAACUGGUUAGGGAGCAGGUAACUGUGUCUGUCUUCUCCACUUUAAAGAUUUGAAUAAAUGUUCUUUAUUUAACCUGACUGGAAAUCGGCUAGAAACAACUCCUGUUGUUUGGGAUGGUCAUUUAUUGCCAUAUUUUUGGUAUUUUCCUAGUGAAAUUUGGUCAAUUAGUUGUGUCAGUGAUGAGUUUGGCGCAUGAUCACUUCUAAAUCUCAUUCAGUUUUUUUAAUUAAGUCUGUAGUUUUUCUCUUCAUUUUACAUUAUGGAACUUUGAUGUUUGCCUUAGAGGCCCCAGACAGAACUCAAAUGUCAUUCUCUGUAUUUCUUAUUGGCACCAUGUUUUUUCGUGUAUAAUACAGAUUCAUAAGGAAAAAUUUCCCAAUUUGAAGCUGCAGUUUAAUAUAGUUAUAUAUUUUUACUGAGCAAACUUUAAUUGAUAGAUGAUUACUUUAUUUCUGAAUUAUGGUAGUGACAAAUAGAUAAGUUAAUUUUCAAGAAGGAGCUGCAGUUUCUUCCAUCUCUUUCUCCUGCCAGAUCUUUGCAUGUCCAACUCUUUUUCCAGCCGCUGUGUCAUCAAGUGCUGCUUACUUAAACCAACUCCUUAAUUUCUGAAUGAAGGGCCUUUAAGUCUGUCCUUCCAAACAAACUCCUCUUGUUCAAAUGAGUCCUGGCAAAACUAUUCUUGUUCAACUUUACAACCAUAUCCAGAGUUUCCACUGGAGAUUGUAUCUCUUCAUAACUGCAUUCUAGAUUCAUAUGUAUAGUCUACUGUACAGUCUAAUUGAUCGAUUUUUUUUAAUAAGCCAGACAAAAAUAUAUUGGGGUGUUUGGUUGGGCUUAAAAACCCAUCUUUCGGACUUAUAAGUAAGAUGUAACUCAUUCGCACAGUUUGUGUAAAAAACUGAUCAGUGAACUUCUUACUUAUAAGCUAAAUUUGAAAAGUUGAAAAUUUUAGCUUUUUUUAGUAAAUUAUUUUUAUUUUUAAAAAUUGAUUUUACAAAGAAAUAAAGGAUCAUUUUAAAAGAUAAAUUACAAUAAAUUAUUAUUAUGUUAAUAUUUUUAUCCUUUGUAAAUAUUAAAAUAAUGAUCCAAACACAUAAAUUAAAAGUUAAUUUUCACUUGUAUAGUAUGACUUUUUAUUUAUAAUCAAAACGCACAUGGUUACGCCAAACGGCCUCAAUAUUCCCGUACCUUUAUGAGAUCAUCACUUCUGCGGUUUCCACAAUCCUGUAAGAUGAUCUUAAUACAUUAAGUCCACCCACCAUUUAUUUUUUUGCAGAUGUUUCUUCUACUUUUUUCUCUUUCUCCGCAAUAGUCUAAGCUCUGGUUUAUCUUCUAUUUCUUAUUUUAAAUGGGAAAGGAGCAUUGCUUCUCCACUUCUAUAAGAUUACAUCCAUCUUAUGCUUUGGUUUCUGAUUCAAUUUUCAAAGAUCACUUUCAUGACUCAGUAGCAGCCAAACUCGCAAAUCUUUUGAGUCAUCAUGAGCAAGUUCUGAGAAAUUCUCUACUACGCCAUAAGUGGGCUAUUGCAAUGCCCAUUUUAUGUUACAACAGACCCCAAAAGGGUUACAAUAUGUCAAUUGUAUCACAAGGGGGCGUUACAAAUGUGAGCAUUACAAUAGGUGCUCUAAUGUAACACAGGUUUCGUCUACUGUAACAUAGACAAAAGCAUUACAUUUUCAUCCUAUUGCAACACUAAAAUGCCCAAAUGCAACUGCUAGUCAGUGUUACAUUACGCUGAAUCCAGAUGACCCCACUGGUCCCACACGUUGGUCCCACAUGCAGGUUGGUCCCACAUGCACGUGGGUCCCGGUUGUGGUGUGGGGUCCACAUGGUCUACUGCAACACUAUGUUUUGACUAUUGUAACACUACAUUGUUGUAAUCAAGAAACACCAGCUUUGAUAAUGUAACACUAUAUAUAAGCAUACAUUAAUUACACUAGAAUAGGCAAAUGUAACACUUAAUAAUAUAAUUUUUGAAAUACAUGCUCUGUUUAAACAACUAUCCCACAGUAGCACCAAAACAACAAAGUACCAAUACAUAACAAUCUCAUCUCUAAACCAAACCAAUUCCAGUACAUGACAAAAGUACUCCAAAACCAACUACUCCAAAUAGUCUCAUUUCCUACACCAACUACUCCAAAAUACUGCAUAUCCAAAUUACGACAUAAGUACUAAAUAACAGUUCAAAGUACUGUCUACCAAGGUACAAGAGCAUAAAAGUAACUAAGUUUGAUAAAGGCAAAUCCGAUAACAUAUUUAAGAAGUGCCGCCUUGUGUGCCAGGAGUUUGAGUGGCGGGAGUGAUAGGUGUGCCAUUCUCGUCUUGAUCACUUGAGAAGGUCGCACAAAAGUCUCCAAUAUCAAAUUUCAUACUAGGAUUUGCCUCUCCUAGUUUUUUUUAGCAACCAAGCCAUGUUCUCCUGGACUUUUCUAUUUACCUUGGCUACCAUUUCAUUCUCCAGAUUUUGAGUUAUCUUUGCAGUCAACUCAUCAACAUAAGGUUCUGGAAUAGCGUGAAUUUUUUCCAAGGCAACUGCUGUGCCCUUCCUUCCUACCAACCAAUCUGCCCCAUGUUUGCCUCCGGGAAGCAUCACAUCUGCAUCAUUUCCUUCUUUCAGCAUCUCGUCAAUGGAAUCCUACAUGAGAAAUUUACAUAAAUUUGUUAAAGCUACAACAAGCUCAGGUUUAUUAUUUAUGAUAAAAUAUACUUACAAUUCUUUUGUUGAUUGCUUUCCUAUUUGACUUGUACUUGUGCCCCUUUUUGUGCUUACGACUUUUCACAUAGAUUUUAGCUUGUGAGGGAGAGGCAAGAUUGGGGUCUUUACUUUUCUGGCAUGUACAGAAAACAAUAUAACAAAUAAAGAACAAGUUAUCUAAAAUAUGAAAUAAUCAAGACAACAAUAAAAAUGUGGACAAAGAAAAUAAUCUAGCAAGAUACCUCAAUAAUUUAGCAACUAAAAGAUGACUAUCAUUUUUCACAAUUGAAAAGAAGGUCAUACCAGUUCAUCUUUAAGUUCAGCAAGAGUUUUACGACCAAGUGUGUGGGGGUCAACAUAAGAAUGACGACGUGCUGUAUUAUCCUCUGCAAGUGACUGUUAUAAAAAAUAUUCUCAACUCAAAAUGUCCUUGGGUGUGAAAUAAAUGAAGAAAAAUACUUGCUCAACUUUAAUUCUAUUUUAUAUACUCAUGUCAAUGUGUUUUACCUGAACUCCUUCAUCUGCCCAAUACUUCAACAAUAUCUUAAAAUCAUCCAGUGGAAUUUCAGGUGGCCUAUUUUCAAUCCUUUUUUCGUCAGUGUCAUAUUUUGUAUAAUGAUCCUUCUUGACACGGGACUUGUGCACUCUCCAAGAAGAAUUAAGUGUCUUAUUUAUCCAUUUUUGCCCGUGUUCCGGAAUAUCAUACCUAUCCUAUAUUAUGUCAAACAUAAAAAGCAUUAUUUCAACAAACAUAUAUUAAUAAGAAUCCAAUCUCAGGUUUAGGUAAUAGAGGUUACCAGAAUAUAUUGCAACAUUUUGUUCUUUAAUUCUUGCGGAACAAGAUGCCAGUUAACAUGAGUAAGCGACACAUGAUCUUUAACUAGUGUCCCCAUAAAAUUGCUUAGCUCAUAUCUAAUCUUCUUGUCUCCAAUUGGUUGACCGCAUUUAUUGAAUGUAACGACUAGCUUUUCGUUACUACUCCUACCAUGAACUUUUAACAUUUUUGUCCGUCCUCUACGUCUUUUAGGCUCUGGUCACAUAAACACAUAGAAACGAGAUAAUAGAAAGUGAGUGUACUAUUUACUAUAUUUUUUGCUAAUAGUCCUACAAAUACAUAUUCAGGUUUACAUAUGUAUUACCUUUUUCAACUUCUUCAUCAUCAUGUGCAUCUUGUAAAUUCGACUCACCAACAUCCUCAAUCCUAGGAUCAACUUCUAGAUUUUGCUUCUGACAUUCCCGCAGGGCUACAUAUGCAGCAGCUGAACCACUUUCGACAUUACAAUGCUGUUUUAACAAUUUACUACAUGUUGGUUUUAUCAGUUUUGGAGCAAAUGAAUGCUUCACUUUGGUGUUCAUAGUAGUGGAAGCAUUGGCUCGCGAACGAGUUCGGGGACCAGGCAGUGUUUUCCUUUUCUUGAUGGUCUGAAUGCUCUGUACAUGCAACAAGUAGAAUGAAGUAAAAAUACUAACUCAAACAAAAUAUAUUUAUAUAUACUAGUUUAUAUCAUAUACAACCUAUUAUGUAAAACUAAUAAGACUAUAAUUAGAUUAAUAUUUGAACUAUAAUUAAACUAACUAUAAUUAGAACAUAUCAGAUUAACAUUUUAAGCUAAGUUAAAUAUUUGAUAAUUAGACUUAUUAAUUAUGUGGAUUUUAUUCAGAUUAUAAUCAGAUUGUAAAAUUUGUUGUUCAACUAACAUUUUCAAGUAAGAAUGAGAUGUAUACAAUUAAUGACUAUCAGAUGAAAUGUAUGGUUAAUUUAGAUGUAGUGUACCGUCGAUGAAUCAUCACUUUCGCUCUCACUUUCCAUGAUAUAUUCAUCAGAAACCUCUUGGCUUUUUUCUUUUCCUUUUCCUUUGUGGACUGCUGGUGGAUUCGGAUUAGUCCCAUAGUUACCCAACCCAAGUUCUUCAAACUUUGCCCUGUUUUCUUGCACACGUUUGAUUUUACUUAGCUCAUACUCAUUCACAGUUAUUUACAUACCAAAUCACGUGUGCACAGUAGUAGCUUGAUGAAUAACAAUUACACAUAUUAGUUCCUGAGUUUAUUAAUAAUUUUUUAAAAUGCCUCUGGUAUUCUGCAGGGUCCUAUUCGAGUUACUUGUAUAUUCAUCAGACCGAAAGACACACAUACACUAGAACAUAUUUUAAGUACUACAACUGUUGGUGCUAGUCAAAUUAUUAUUUACUUUUAAAUAAUAAUUAUUAUUUACUUUUAACCAAUAAUUAUUUUCGUAAGUUACUUAUACUAAUGUUACAAUUAUUAUAUUAUUGUUAACUUGUCCACAAAGAAUUAAACAAGUGUUAGAAGUAUUAUAUUAUAUUGUUGUUAACUUGUCCACAAAGAAUUAAAGAAUCAAAUUGUUGAUAACUUUAUAUUAUAUCACCUUAAGCCACCAACUACAGGUUAUGAAGUGUCAAAGGUUUAAGGUUCUCACUAAUUAAUAUCAAGGUUAUUUAACUAGACAAUUAAAGAAGGUAAUUAAUCUACUAUGUGUUAGGGUACUACUACAACUGCAUGGUCACCAUAGUCGUACACCGCCCCUCACAAUGCACCUUAAUCUUUUUCUUAUUUCCCUUCACUAUUAUUCCAAUAUUGUAUAUACGGUUGUAAUUUCAUGUUUGCUGGAUUUUCUUUGCUUAAACACACCACUACUAAACACAUAACAAAUUAAACAAUAUAUACAACACCCAAAUAUCAAACAUACAACAAACACCCUCUCUCUUCAUAUAAAAAUCUCUCCAAUCAACUAAGUAGCAAAAACUAUACAAACAGCACAAAAAAAAAAUCAAACAUACAGAUAAACAUACAAAUAUCAACCAUGCAGAUAUCAAAUGAAAAGCAGAGAAAUAUCAAACACAUAAAUACCAAACAAAAAAACACAAAUAUCAGACAAAGAACAUACAAAUAUCAAACAAACAUCCAAUUUUUACCUCAAUGCAAGCUUUAAACACCAAAUUAGCUUUAAUGCAAAUCGCUUGAACCCUAAUUAGCUAUACUAUGAAACCCAAUCGCCUGAAAUAAAAAGAUAUGGUUUAGAAUACACAGAAUAGAGUCUCUAAAAGACAAGAUGUAACAAGAUUAGUGUGUAUUUACCUCUUAAUCGGAGCAACUGUAAAAGCCCCAAUCUAUGAAAUUGUAAUCACCUGCAAAAUCAAAAGAAAUCCGAAGUUAGCAAGCCCUAAUCGGAGAAUUUGUAUCUAUAUGUUUAUUUAGAUACCCGGUCUUCAAUCCAUCAUUCUUCAAUUCGGCAGAAAAGACAGAGAAAGUUGAAAGAGUAGCGAGUGUUUAGUCUAAGUCGAGAGAUGGUGUUUGGGGGGAAAGUAUAGUCUGUGCAUUUUCAUUUAGGGGGAAAACUACCGCUCAAUAUUUCACCUCAAUAACCGUGCACUGUCUACUCUCUUUUAAUUUUAUUUUUAAUUAAUAAAAUUAUUAAUUAUUUAAUAUUUAUUAAUAUUAAAAAUGAUUUAUGUGAUACAAAUAUAAUAGUAUUCUUUUGUGAAUGAAUAAUAAUAAAUUCUUAAAAGUUUAUAAUAUUAUAUAUAAUAUUCUAUUAUCACGGAUAAUCCAGAAUAUAUUUUAUUUAUAAAUUUAUUAUAAUAUAUUAAAUUUAUUAUAUUUAAAAAUAAGAAAGUAACUAAUGUAACACGAGUAAUUGGUGUUACAUAUUGUGCAACACCGUCUGUCCCAUGCAACACUAGCUUUACAGCUAUUGUAAUACUAAAUGAGUGGUGUUACAAUAAGACAUAAAUUUCACAUCUACCGCAACGAAAUGCUUGUAACACUUCUCAGAAACCAUUGCACUAGCCCACUUAUGGCGUAGUGAUCUCUGUAAGAAGUCGCAUUUGUUUGUUCCUGCCGUGUUGAACUCAUGGUAGAAGUUUGCGAUUGAUUUAAAUUUUUUAGACCUUUACAUGUUGAGAGUGCUUGCAGUGUUGUCCUCAUUCAGUAUUUUGGAUCUCUAUUUCUCAAAUUCGACUCCUGUUUGUAUUACGAAUACGCCUUUUUCUAGGAAUCGUUUUUAAAGGAGUAGCACCAUUACGCCUUUGCAUGAUUUUAGAAAGAAAUCAUCCCAAUAUCCUAACACCAUAAGGUUGGUCAAAAGUGCUACAUGUCUGGAGAUAUAACAUGAUAUAAGUUGUAUCGCUUGUAAAAUAUGACAUAGAGUCUACGUACUUCAAUUAAAUCACAUUUCAACUCUAGAAUGCAAGUCGCUGGUAUGGUUGUAAACGCUAGAUCACACAGUUAGUGAUUCUUAUUCCGUGUAGAUCUGGUACAAAAAAUAUCUAGGGAUUCUAAGGGAAGCAAAAAAUGGUGUGAAGUAAACAAUAGGUACUAAAAAUAGAGCUAUAUAUAUGCUAAAAAUAGGGAUAUGGGGUAAACCAUAUCCCUAGUUCUCCUUAACAACCACAAACCUUAGUUCACAAAAUUACUUGGCCUGUAUUGCGUAAUCACCACUGUGUCGUAUACACAGACAUUGUAAUUGCCUCUGAAGUGUUGAUCAGCAAAAAGCUUCAUCAUCCUCUAGUGCCUAAAAGUUAAAUUAUUUUUCAAUCAACAAUGGCUGUUUUGGGAGAAGAAAAAUCCAAUCACUUAGCACUUUCAACGCAUUAAGAGCAAGUCCAACAGCUGCCCUAUUUAGUGUCCUAAGUCAUAAUAUUGGGCAUUUGAUGAAAAAAAUUUGAUCCAACAAUGUCCAAGUGAUUCCCUGUAUCACUAGGACAACCCAUUCAGGCCCUAUUUUUGAGGCACUCUCUCUCCUUGCCGUAUCCCAUAUUUUAUAAUAAAUUCUUACCAACACUUUCUUUCUCUCUCUUAUUUAUAUUAUGUUUUAAUGAUGAAAGUGAAUUUUUAAUAAUAAAAUAUUAAACAUAUAGUGAAAAUAAGACACAUUGUUGGAGUUGAAGUUAGUAGAAUAUAUCCUAAACUAGUAGCACAUAAUUUUUUAUAUUAUAUUUAGGGCUCCAACUAGGAAACUGUUGGAGUUGCUCUAAGAGAGCAAAAAAUAUUAAGAGAAAGCUUAUUUGAUCUUCAUUAGUGUGAUUCAAGUUUGUUAGGGAGAGCUGAACGGAGUGAAACUGUUAAAAUUGACUUGUUGCUCCAUAAGCUGUAUUUACAAGUAUAUAUAGCUAACAACACUAAUAUAAAAAAAUUAUAAACAUCAAAUAUUGAUAAAUUGGUCACUCUUUCUCGAAAAGAUAAUAGAAUAAUAUUCUUGAUCAUUAAUUAUAAAAGUGAUAUAAGAAAAUCAUGGUAUUUUUGUUUUUUUUUCCUCUCUAGCUCAUCACUUAGUUUUAUUUUGAGGAAGAAAAUGACUACUUCCAAAGUGUUGACUCUCCUUGUCAUAAUUUCAAACAAUAAUAUCUCAAAUAUGAAUUCAAAAAAUAUCAUUUUAUAAUAUUACAUUGUCUAAUAUUUAUAAACUUUUUUUAAACAUCCAACAAUGUAGAAUUUAACUUUUUCUUACCCCAACCUCAGAAGAAAAACAACUGAAACCCUAAAAAAUAACUUAACAUGAUGUAACGUGUAGUCGUUUAUAGCACAAAUCCAUAUACAUCAUCGAUGUGUCUUAGGAUAUGCGGCGCCUUUUCUCCUACUUUUAAGCAUCGGCAACCUCUCGUCCCUUCCCUUGUUCAGUAUAACCUCUCUUCUUAAGAUUGGGAUGUUUUUGCGCUACAAAUUUCAGAUGGUUAAAGGGCUUGUGUUUUUGGUAUAAACCCAUCAAUCUUUCAUGUUUCUGCUCAUCACUUCUAGCUAAGUUUGCUAUUUAUAUAUAUACAUUGUGUUUGUGUUUUAUUUACACUUUCAUCUCAUCUAAUUAGAAUCGUGUGUGGAAUCUAAUUUAGAUGGUAUAAGCUGAGGUGUAUGAUAUGAUUGCCACAAAAAGGGUUUUGAUCAAGGUCUGGUUUGGUGUUUGAUAACAGGCUUCUGUACGGUGGUUGUUCAUGGUAAAUUAUUCAGUCGUAUCUUUCGGACCAAUCAAUGGAUGGAAUACAUUCACUUGUAAUAUUCGAGAGUUUGGUCUUUAGUAGCAAAUGUUAUGCAAGGAGGCGAUAAUUUAGAACAGAGAAUGGGGGCAUGGUCUAGAAGGAAACAGGUGUGAGCGUUUCUUGUAAUUAGUUUAUAAUAGUGGUUUUAUUUGUUAAAUCCAGUCUGCUGUUUCACCAUACUUAUAUUUUGUUGCCAUGUUGGGAGUGUUCUUGUGUAUUGGUUACUUUCUGGUGCUCAAACUUCUUUGAUAAAGAUAACAAAUAGGUCAUCAAUACGAAGAUCAAUACAGAAAAGACAAGGUUUUAAGGAACAAUAAUGUGAAAAUUUAAAACUUUGGGUGCAAAAUUAAAUACAGCAUGCUUUGGCCAUGAAUGGGGACAUAUUUGCUUUGUACCAACAGUAUUGAUCACCUAGCGCUGACACACCCAAUGUUGAACAUUUGGUGAGCGCUGCGGCACAUUAAGGUGCUUUCAACUUGUAUAUGAGACUGGUUCCACACGGAUGUUUAAACAUAAUGAAUGUGGCUUUGGAAAGAUAAGCUAUUGUACUUGGAUGAUGCUUAAGUGCUAUUUAAAUUAUUCAAGAGAAGACCCAGACUUCUUACGAAUUCGUUUUAUCAAUUCCUUCCUAUUUGUCCUGGGAUUUGACUAAAUUAAACUAACAUCUUGUUGUUAUUACCGACAAAAAAAAAUUAAUAUCAUUCUAGUAAACAAAUCUACAAUCCUCUAAGGGAAGAUUUACUUGUUGAUCAGAUAGUACGGGCAAAAAAUGAACAGAAACAACAAUGAAACUCGCCAACUCAUUUGAAAUUAUCCUAGUCUGUGGCAAAUCGCCCUCAUAUAGUACUCUCAUAAUAUCUUAAAUAAAAAAGAGACCUGGGUUGACAUAGGAUGAUAUACGGUGAGGUGGACGGUCAGGAUAAGGUGAUGGGUUUGUGAUAUUUCACCAUAUGAUGACACAUGUUAGUAUAGACGUACCCCACUAUAGAUCAUUUGAGGUGGUUAAGAUCGAGAUCACUACCCCGAGGCCUAUUACUUGACCAAGAUAACGUUGAUGGACUAAUAUAUAUAUUUUCAAAAAAACAAUAUGAUCCAUAUAUUAACUUAAUCCCGGAUUCACUUUUUUAUAUUUAUCAAAUGAGUUCAUGUAUGUGAGCAAUCUGUGAAUCUGUGAUUAAAUUAAUAUAUGGAUCAUAGUAUUUUUGAAAAAAAAUAUUAGUCCCUCACCGUUGUCCAGUCAUUGGUCAUGUAAUUAAGCCUUGGGGGUAGUGAUCUCGAUCCGGCCCAACUCAAUUGAUCUGUACUGGGUACAUUUAUACUAACAUGUGUCGCCAUAUGAUGCAAUCUCACCAACCCAUCACCACAUCCUGACUGUCCAUCUCUCCGUAUAUCUGUCCAUCUCUCCGUAUAUCAAUCCUAUGUCAACCUAAGUCUCUUUUUUGUUUAAGAAAUUUUGAGAGCACUACUGAAGAGCGAUUUGCGGCACACUAGGCUUCUUUCAGGUGAGUUGGCGAGUUCCAUUGCCGUUUCCGAUCAGUUUUUGUCUGUACUAUUUGAUCAACAAGUAAAUCUUCCCUUUAGAGAGUAUCGUAGAUUUUAUUUACAAAGGUGAUGUUAAUUUUUGUUUUGCGGGACAUCACAACAAGAUUUUUGCUUAAUUUAGUCUAAUCCCAGGACCAGUAGGAAGAAAUUGAUAAAGCGAAACUGUAGAAGCCUGGGCCUUCUCUUGAACGAUUUAAUAAAUAAAUCCAAUACUUUAAUUUUAUUCAAUGUAAUAAGUAUAUUGAUCUAAUAAGUAUAUUGAUUAAGUUUCUAAACCUGCCAGAUAGUGUGAUAAUGUAAAUUUUCUGAUCAGUUUUACUUGAUUGUUUCUUUUAAUUUACUAUUAAAAUCUAGCACACAGUACAUAUCAAUUGUUUGAUAUCUAGCUUAAUAUGAAACUAAAUCUUGACUUGAUGAGAUCAAGUAAGGAAGUAGCGGUGUAUGAUCUGCGACUUGUAAAUAUUAACUGAAUGUUCUCGAAGAGCGUAAUUUGGUACAAGAACAAAUUAGUGUGACAUGCUUAAAAAUAGAAUAUGCUGUGGAGGACUAAAAUUAAUUUGGUCAACUCCUCCUCUUCUUCUCUGUGUCUCCCUCUGUUACAUUGCUGGUAUGUAAACCCAAAUUUAUUUGUGUGAAAUAGAACAUAAUCCUUAAUACACUAGUUAUACUUCACAUGUCAUUGUAUCACUUGUCUAUUAAGAAUUAUAGUGUCUGUGAAUGCAGUUGUUUUUACGAAUGAAACAUGUCAAGCUUUCAAGUAUGCAAUUUAUAUAAUUAUUUUGGGCUUCCUAAUAGCUGCCCAAGUCAAGGUAAUAUUCUUCCAACUAGCAUAACCGAUUACAUGCUUCGUGACCUGUUAUUUCGUAAAUAAGUCUGUUAGUCCAAAGUCUUCACAGUGUUGAUUUAAGUUAUAUUAGUCACUGCGAUACUCUGUACACAGUCACAAACAUAACUAGCAUUUGGAGCAUGUCCACCUUUUGUGGUGAAAACACACACACACACACACACACACACACACACACACACACAUAUAUAUAUAUAUAUAUAUUUAAAGAAGCUAUAAAAACCAUUUAAGUUGUAUAGCGAUUUUGGUAGGUAACAUAACUUAGACAUUCAUCAGUAUAUACCCUACUUUAUUUGUUUAUUACAGCAACCUGAAAGAGGUCUAAGUGCUUUGAAGUGCCACUUUUUUGACAUUUUGGAUUUCUGUGUGACCCUUCAAUCGGAGUUAUUGGAUAUCGUAUGCUUAAAAUUUAUGUUUAUGAUCCUAUCGAAAAAGUAAAUGAAGACUGAAAAUAAACUGGUUUCAUGCUAUCAAAAGAUGUGAACAGUAAAAAUCUUUUCUGUGGAUAUCCCUUUUUUCCUUUUGUACUUGUCCAUUUAAGUUGAAUUCCUUCUACAAACUUUUAAAGAGUAGUAGUAAAUGUCUGAAAUAAUUAAGCACAAGGAAAACCAAGAUAUUUCCAGUCUGACCAUUAUGUAUUCUGUGGUUAUUAGGAAGAACAAGAGCUUGAGCGAAUCAGCCCAUUUUUUCAACGAAGGCAGAAUGGAAGUGGUUGAAAGGCCUUCCUUGGGUGGAAUGGAAAAGGCAUUUUGUUAUAAUGUUCUGAGGCGGAUUGUUGAUUUUUCGCGGGGCAGUUGAUGAUAAUUGACUAUUUCGGGUAACUAUGUUCUGAAUUUGCUCUAUGUAAAUAUUAGAAAUUGUGUCUUGAAGUUUUGGAGUUCCUGGUUUGGUGCAUCGAAUCCUUACGUAGUAACAUAUAAAAGUGUGGGACACUAAAGUGUUAGUUAAAUCCCAAGUCCCAAGAAGUGCAGGUAUACAGCAAAUCAAAGCAUAAGCACCCCUUGGAAGGGGGGGAGAAUAAAGUCUUGGCUAAAUCUCAAGUGAAUAAGAGCAUGUCAAUUGGUUGUGCUAAAAUAGAUGGAGUUAUUGCUAUAAUUUAGCAUCAAAAAGUGAUUUUUUGUGCUAAAAUAGCACCUUGUCUCCAAUUGUUGGUUUCAAAUCUUGUUUCACAUUUAAACAACUUCCAAAUACAUCCCACAUUUAAAUAUAAAUAUGCCUAACUUUCAAUGACCCCGCAAUUUCAAGUACUUUCUUAUACAUUUUUUCAUCAUUUUAUGCUUUAGCAAUUAUAGCUCCAUCUAUCUUUUGUUCUAAAUAUUGAACAAACUAUAGCAUUGUUCUAUUUUAGAACAAGAUAUAUAUAGAACACCAUUGGAGGAGGGAAUUUUAAUUUUUGUUCUAAAAUAAAGAUAUAGAACAAGAUGUAGCACACCAUUGGACUUGCCCUAAGGAAUUCUACUAAAAACAUGGUUUAUACCUCACUCAUUAAAGUUUAUUCCUAAAAUUUUAGUCUAAAUGUUCCCUACUUUCUCUUGAAGUAUGCCCUCCUAAACUAGACUCCUAUUGUAAAAGUAUCAUAUGUCAGUUCCUUUAUCAAGUUCCUGGGAAGUUAACAAAUAUGUUUGGAUUGUGGUGUAGUAAGUUCCUAGGAAGUUCCACUUUCCAUAUAGCGGUCAACCAAAAAAUCUUACAAUUUGCUAGGAAGUUUAAAUUCCUGGAGAUUUACAUGUUAACCAAACUACCUCUUAUAAAUCUAGUUAUGGUUUGUUAGGAAGAUUACAUUCUUACUGGGGAAUGUUGAAGUUCUCAUUUCGGAAAGAUGUCGGGUAUGCACUGAUUUUCAUUUUAAUAAAAAUGAAAGAUGUCGGGUAUGCACUGAUUUUCAUUUUAAUAUGUGAACCUUCAGUGAAUUAGCUUCCAGUAAGCUUUAUUAUCUUCUAAUGUCUAGCUGCAGAACUUUUUACUGUACUGGCAAAAGGAACAAUCCCACUCUAGUUUCUCCUCUAUGUGUUAAAUCAAGUUCUUUUAAAUCUUGCGAAGGAUGAAUCUGUCCUUAAGAAACAUCUGUAAAAGUAAUGCAUUCCGUUUUCAACAAACUACUAAGUCUUUCUAGAUAAAAUUCAUUUGAAUGGGCAUGCUCAAUCAGCUUUGUGGUGAGUUCUUCGCUUCUCUAUUUGUUAACAGGAAUGCUCCACAAACAGUAAAACAAGGAAGAAUGAACUUCUUCCUACUGAACUUCUGGUGUCAAUUAUGGUAAAAUUAAGUGUUGUAGACUACCUGUCAUUUAGUGGGUUUGUAAAUCUUUGAGGUCUGCAUCUAUUGAUUUCCGCAAAUAUUGUAUGGAGCACCAGCAACCCCUAGUUGUUCGGCCAAAGUAUUCAAAAAGGUCUUGUGUAUCGUACAAUAUGUUUUAUAUGAAAAGUUACAAAACAAUGCUACCAGAUUUGCCUUGCAAGAAAUUAUUGGGUUUGUCAUGUGGGUACCUGAUUACUACCGACAGAAACUUGGGCUUUUGGCUCGUAAAUUUAAUGACAAAACAUGAGCUGCAUUUUCCCGUCCUUCCUGGACAUAUGGGUGGCAUAAACUGCUUUGAAUUUUCUGCUCUCCUCUUUCGGUCCGCUCGGCUUUCAGAAACUUUCAUGGUUCUUUUCUCUCAGACAGAAAAUUAUAUAUUGUUGUCCAAAAGUGGCGGCAGCAGUUGGCAGAGAUAUGUUUUAUCCGACACAGAAGACAGGAUUGCAGAUGUGAAGAUUUUUUAUGGCAAAAUCUUUGUUUUGACUUCAGAUAUACGUUUUGGAGAAUUUAAUCCGAAGGCAGGUUCUGUUCCAAAGUUCUCCAAAAUCAGCAUCCCUUUCCAGGUUUCAUCAGAUACGUGUUUGAAGUUGGUGGCAUCAGACAAUAAGCUAUAUAUGACUGUAUUGAAUUGUUAUCCUUAUCCUGCAUUGGACCGACAUCUGUCAUUAUUCGAAAUUGACCAUGAGACAAUGGAUAGAGCAAAACAGAUUCAUGACUUGGGUGCAAAAUCAUUAUUUUUUAGUUGGUUCAGUUCUGCUAUCGUUGAUACAACUGGUUGGGGAGCAGGUAACUGUGUGUGUGUUCUUCACUUGGGAGUUUUCAACACAUGUUCUUUCUUUAACCUGAAUGGAAAUCAGCUAGGAACAACUCCGGUUGUUUGGGAUGGUCAUUCGUCACCUUGUUUUUGGUAUUUUCCUAGUGAAAUUUGGUCCAUCAGUUGUGUCAGUGAUGAGUUUGGCGCAUGAUCACUUCUAAAUCUCAUAUCAGUUUUUCUCAUCAAGUCUAGUGUUUAUCUUCAUCUUACAUUAUGGAACUUUGUACUAGUUCCAUUAAGAAAACUUUAAUACAUUGAUGAUGUGAUGUUUGCCUAAGAGGCACCAGAACUCAAAUGUCAUUUUCUGUAUUUCUUAUUGGCACCAUGUUUGUUCGUGUAUAAGACAGAUUCUUAAGAGAAAAAUUCCCAAUUUGAAGCUGCAAAUAGAAAAAUAGAAGAGAAACAAACUCAUUAUAUAAAUAUCUCUUAAAGAUUCACUCAUUUUUUGACUGUUGGCAGGUCUCUUUGUAUGUGUUGUCCGGAAUGAGGAGGACUCCAUGAUUAUUCGUUCAGUAAAAAUUUUGGUAGAUAGGGAUCACAUAAAAACUUCUUUCGAGGAAUGGGCCAGGCCGGGUCAUUCUUUUUUCGACCAUCUUGAGCGCUUUGUAUGAGUUCAAGCUAUACUAAAAGGGUUAAAGAAGGAAGAUGCCUACCCAGAAAAGAAAAAAAAGAAGAAUUGUUUGAUCUGAAAGGAGAUCUUCUAUAAUUUCGCCGACCAAUUCGUUAACAUACCGCCGAGCCAUUUUUUAUUAACAUAAUGACACCGAGCCCUUAUUGCAGCCCAUGCUCCUAGGUCAGCUGCUUUAUUUUUCGUGCCAACGAUUAAGAAUUGUUUUCCCCUACUUGCUGCAUCAAAAACCAAAUCACAAGCUUCUGAUAAAAAACGAGCGGUUCUAGUAAGAUUUAUAAUAUGAAUACCUUUACGCUCAUUGGUAAAAGAGAGAAAAAGUAAGCGGGGUGCAUGAUCAGAUCGUUGAGAAUUAAGUGAGAUUUGACUACCUCCGGUUUUUACACUUUACUAAACGAAAGUAACUCUGUGCUCCUGACGGGGGAAAUGAAAGCAGAAUUCGUUUGGAUCCUCUCACAUGUUCAAUCUUUUUUUAGCGGUUUCCCCAGAGAUCUUUAUCAUUAAUGCAACCUUCAUUUUGCUCAUUCAUGGAGUUGUAUUUAGUACGUCUAAGAAAUAUGAUUAUCCACCGUUAGUCAGUAAUGUGGGUUGGCUUGGAUUACUUAGUGUUGCGCGCCUAGGAUGAAACAAGUCUGCGGUAGUUCAAAACUUACCUUUGUUGAUUCUGAACUUCGUUCGUGAAGGAACCGGACUUUUGACGGGCCAGCCCUUUUUUUUGUACCCCCAAUACAUCUUGCAUGCAUUUCUUGAUUUAUUUCAUCUAUUUCAUGACCAGAACAUGGGAGGAUACACGUUACACCAUGAUUUUGAAUCAGAAGAGAGAUUUCAAGAAAUGGCAGAUUUAUUCCUGAUAGAGGGUAUAGCGCGGAAACUGGAGGUUCUUUUAGAAAAAAAAAGGAGUCCCCUUACCUGUAAGCAAGAAAGCUCUCCCAGCCAGGGGAUAUUUCUUAAGUAAGGAAGAUUCUGACGGGAAUUCUACUCUAUCUUAUCUGACUAGUCUGGCUUUGAAUCAUAUCCAUUAUAUGGCUAAGAUUGAGCAUUCUAUCGCAAGAAUAGCACUCCAUAGGUUAGUCACUGUUGGAAACUGGGGAGUUGGCUGAUAAAGAUGGACAGUAACGAUCGCGUAAUAUAAAUUCUAGCUAGAGGCGGUUAAUGAGGAAGGGUUAAUGACAUCAGAAAUUUUGACAGAAGAGAAUUGGAAGAUGCAUUAAUAAGUCUCCACAAGGGCGUGCGAAUGUGAGCUGCUAUACCGAAUCCCCCGUCGGCCAUCGGGCAAUACUUAAAAAAGGAGCUCAUGGCCAAAUUAUUAUUACAGCGUUCUCUACCAUAGAAUUCGGCCUUCGGGGCCAACCCGGCGGCUUCUAUGAGGAAGGCGGCGCAAAGGAGGCUCGAGGGCUUGUUAAGGAAGGCGGCAAGGGCCGACGAAGGGGGGAAAACGAAAGGCGUUUUCUGGUCCCCCCUGAGCCGGGGGGUGCUUGUGGGGGGGGUGUGCCACGACGAAACAAGGGAAUGAAAGGCCGCUUUGCGUUGGAUGCUCUUUACCCUCCCCACAAUGAAGGCUCUGUUGUCUUGGGGAGCGUUGAAGCUUGCUUCUUCUCCAGAGUUUUCUUGGUCAUCAAUACGGCCUGUCUUUAAUAGAACCGAUCUGAUUCUCUGAACAAUCGGAAUUUCGUACUUCUGUCGGAUCCUCCCUAUCUCCUGAUCGAGCUUGUGUAGGUAGAUGUUGCCUGGUAGGGCCGAUAGUAAUACACUGUGUGGGACAGAGUAAGGGCCCUUCUCACCUCCUACGGGUCGUCCGGCGGAAAAGACUUUCUGAAUGGGGUAAAAGAACUUGGGAUCGGCUGAAUGUAGAGCAGUCCGCCCUUACAGCCUUUGUCCGCUGCCCGCCUCACAAAGCGGAUCGACGCGUCUGUGAAGAUGCGGACUACCUGCACCUGGACAACUGCUAGGACAACACCUCUCCAACAAAGCCCAGCCUACAAGUGGAACAAGAAGAACAGCUUCAAAAAGAAGGAGCAGAAAAUGAGGAAGAUGAAGAGAAUCCAGAGUUCAAUGCAGACGACUUGGUGCGCCCCCCCUAGUCGCGGUCAUGUCUCGCCCCCCCAGUAUAGUGACCGGUUCUCUCUUUUUCCCGAAUUUCAUCAGUUCCAGGCUCAAGUGCCUGUUCAUCCAUCUUCAUUCCAAAGGCGAAGCUCAAUAAGACUACUAAGCGAGCAAACCGCCCCCACGGUCACCGGGGAGACUAGAAUAGAAGAGUCCGUCGACUCUUUUGAGUUUUUAGAUAGUUAGGACUUGAUCGAGGGAUCAAUUGACUCCGGAACAUAAAGUAACAAAUAAGACCAGAACCCCGUGUGGACUAUGAACCAACAAAAAGAAGAAUGCCUUUGAGCUCUUGUUCGAGUUCUUCCUUGAUGACUGGAAGGGGAGACAGAAGUAGCAAAUUCCUCUUCUCCCUAGAGGCUUUCUGGCAUUUCCGACCCAGCGUUAGACCAUAUACAAUAAAAGGUAAAAUGAGUAGAAAAGUGGCCCUUGUUAAAGCAUUCACUUGCUUCGGCCCCAAAUAGCUCUUUCUACAGAUAUCGGAUUGUAGUAUACUCUAUCCCAUUUCGUUAGAUCAUAAAAUAGAUGGCAUUUUCUACAAUCGGCAACUGUUACGAUCAAAUACAAUCAAACAAGUUGUCAACGACUUCUACAUAAGGCGGUAAGAUUAUAUCUUGAGCAGUUACAUAUCCAGGACCCCUGACACAAAUAGACGCGUCGCAAGUUCCGUAUAGAUUACUUCUCAAUACAAUUUCUUUCAAAUUCAUUAAAAUGUCAUGUACCGAUUCUUGAAUACCCACCAAUAAAUCCAUGAGAGACUAUUUGUAAAAUGUUUGUAGGCCGUCUUAAAAUCAUAGAACAGACGUGAUGGGUUAUUUCUUGGGUUCGUCCAGUCAUUAAUAACUUGUGUUCGGAGCUAUCUGUUGUCCAUCGUUCCGAGCUAAGCAAAGCAGCUAAGUCGUUACCGUACGUGCGACUCUCACCGCAUACGGCUCGCACAAAGACUCCUAAAUCGAUCCCGAGCCUUUUAUUUUAUUCCACCUCUCCUCUCCAAUCCUCGAUAAAACUUGCGUUCCCCAGGCGCUAAUUAAAUGGGGGUCUUUCCUUUUCGCCUAUCGUAUGUAUCGGCUUGGCUUCGACUGUAGUUUAAUAUAGUUAUAUAUUUUUGUUGAGCAAAGUUUAUUUUAUAGAUGAUUACUUUGUUUCUGAAUCAUUGUAGUGAUAAAUAGAUAAGUUAAUAAAAUACAUGGAGAGCAACUAAGUACCGAGACAGAGAAUAAAAACGUCUUUUACCGCCUCAUUAUUGUGACCACUUUAAAAUAUAAUUUAAUAAUAUAUUUUUAUAUUAAAAAAUUUAUAUCUUAUAAAUAUAAAAAAUGAUCCAAACACAUAAAUUAAAAGUUAAUUUCAAUUUAUAAAUAACUUUUUACUUAUAAUCAAUAAAAACGUCUUGUACAGCCUCAUUAUUCGCGUACUUUUAUCAUAUCACUUCCACACUUUUGCACUUUCUACAAUCCUACAAGAUGAUAUGAAUACAUGCAAGUCCAACCACCAUUUAUUUUUUGCUGAUAUUUCUUCUACUUUUUUCUCUUUCUCUGCAAUCUUCUAAGCUCUAGUUUAUCUUGUAUAUCUUAUUUUAAAUGAGCAUGGAGCAUUGCUACUAUAACCAAAUGUAAAGUUAUAGCUUGGUUAUUCCCUGUUGUGUUUGGUUGGGGUGAAUGAAAAUGGAGGGAAUGGAAUGAAAGUUGAACUAUAAAGUAGUUGAAUGUUUAAUAAUUUCAUUCCUUCCACCAUUCCAUUCUUAUCAUCCUUAACUAGAGCUCAAACCCUCCACUUUGUGAAGGAAUGCUCCAUUCCUUGUCAUACUUAUUUUCUACCCAAAUCUCAUCAUACAAAAUUUACACUAGCUCAUAUUUUUUCAAAAUCCUCCAUCCUUCACUUUAUAUUUUCUUUUGUUUUCACUCAUUCCAUUCCAUUCACUCCAACCAAACACAAUUAAAGAUUACUUCCAUCUUGUGCUCUGUUUUCUGAUUCAAUUUACAAAGAUCACAUUCAUGACUCAGUAGCAGCCAUACUAACAAAUCUUUUGAGUCAUCAUGAGCAAGUUCUGGGAAAUUCUAUCUGGGAGAAGUCCUAUUUGUUUUUUCCUGCCAAGUUGAAGUUUGCGGUUAAAUUAAAUUGCGUCCUGUUUUAGGAGGGGAGAAAUCCCAUCACUUAGCACUUUCAGUGCAUUAAGGGAGUGGAAAAAUGAUAAGACAAAGCUUAUUUGAUCUCCAUUAGUGUGAUUCAAGUUUGUUAGAGAGAGAAUGAACAGAAUGAAACUGUUAAAAUUCUGUUAGUGUUGUUAGUAUUUACAAGUAUAUAUAUACUAACAACACUAACAGAAUAUUCAUAUACUAACUAUGUAGCUGGAAGCUUCUAGAACAUUUAUUUACAAUACAUGUACAUAGAUCAAUACCCCCUUCAAGCUAGGCAUCAAAGAGGAUCAAAUUGAAGACCAAGCUUGAUACUAAGAAACUUGUGAUGAGCAGCAUCCAAUGGCUUUGUCAGUAUAUCAGCUAGCUCAAUGGAAGUACUAAUAUGUGAAAUUCGAAUGAACUCAGAAUCUACAUACUCUCGAAUAAAAUGACAGUCAAUCUUCAAAUGUUUAGUUCUUUCUUGGAAGAUUUGCUUCUUUGCAAUGUGGUGAGCUGAAGUGUUAUCACAAUAAAGAUCAAUUGGCAAAGGAAUUUGAUCAUAAAGAUCCCUUAAAAAACCUUUAAGAUAAAUCAACUUAGAAGUUGUAUAGCUCAUACAUAUAUACUCAGCUUCUGUACUAUUUUUAGAUUCUUUUUUUGCUUCUUAAUUUUCCAAGAGAUUAAGGAAGAACCCUGGAAAAUAGCAUACCCAGACAAGGAUUUUGCAGAAAAUGAACAAGCUCCCUAGUCUGCAUCUUAAUAUGCAGUUAAUUGCAGAGGAGUAUUAGCUUUGUAAAACAGACCAACAUUCAAUGAAAUUUUCAAGUUAUUUUAAGACAUGAAGAGCAGCAUCAUAAUGUGGAUGAGCUGGUCCUUGGUGAAACUAAGAAAGCGGUUGAACAACAUAUGAAAUAUCAAGCCUACUCGAGUUCAAAUAGAGCAAUUUCCUGAUAAAUCUAAAAUGGAGUUAUUUAAGGAUAUAAUUUAUUGUAUUCUUGAUGUUAAUUACGAAUUCUAAUGAUUGGAAGUUGUUCGUUGAUAUGGGAACUUAAACUUUUAUAUUUGGGUUUAAGAAUUUUUCUUAAUGAAACCUAUAGAGAAAUAGAGUUGAAGUUAGUAGCUUGGAAGAGCUUGAACGAGAAUGGGUUAUUUGUCCCACAUAGAAGAGAAUAAGGUUGGUUAGUGGCGUUAUGUAGGGUCUGUUUAGGAGUGCCGUUAAAAAUUGUUGUGCUGUCAAAAAAAGUGCUGGUAAAAUAAGUGCUGUUGUAGAAAUCAGAUAACUGUUUGAUAAUUUUUUGAUAUUUACUUAUUUUGAGUUAUAAUAUAAAAAAAAUGAUGAUUUUGGUGAGUUUUUAUAAUGAAAUCUGUAACAGCAUUCUGCAAAAGCCAAAAAAUAGCUUUUUCUAAAAGUAUGGAAGGACCUGCUUUUUCAAACAGCAGCUUUUCAGCUAAAAACUUAUGUUCGGAAAAGCUGCUUUUAGAUUUACCAAAUAAUUUUUCACAUGCUUUUCAGCUGCUCUUUACCCCAAACAGUACCGUAGUAUUUCACACAAUGGUAGUGUAGAACUAAAUAACUACUAAAGUGUGAAAUGAUGUAUGGUGUUGCUAUGUGCUUUACGUGCGAAAUACUUCAAAUCAUGCAAUAAGGAUUUGAUAGAUUAUUUAGUUAGUUUCGAGUACGUGAAAGCAUGCAAUAAGGAUUUGAUAGAUUAUUUAGUUAGUUUCGAGUACGUGAAAGCAUGCAAUAAGGAUUUGAUAGAUUAUUUAGUUAGUUUCGAGUACGUGAAAGCAUGCAAUAAGGAUUUGAUAGAUUAUUUAGUUAGUUUCGAGUACGUGAAAGCUAAAUAUAUCACAUUUUAACUAUUUUUUACAAGAAAAUCAAUUUUCAAGUAGAUGGACCACUAUGAUAAGGCAUUCUCAAAAUAGGUAUCCCUAUAUAUUCAUUCUCAAAAUGGGUGUCACAUAUAAAUUAAUUUUUAAAAAGACCAAUACACAUUCUCAUGAUAUGUAACCGCAAUACUCGCUCUUUGGAUAAUAACCUUCUUAAAAUUUUAUUUUUCAUUAUUUAAAAUUUUUUAUCAUAUACAAAAUCACACAACCACCCCACAUAUAUUUAUAUUACUGUUUAUUUAACAUGCACACAACACCACCACAAAUAUUAUCAAUUAUCCCUAAAAAAAUUAUAAACAUCAAAUAUUUAUAAAUUGGUCACUCAUUCUUAAAAAGAUAAUAGAACAAGAUUCUUGAUCAUUAAUUUUAAAAGUAAUAAAUAAAAAUCACGGUAUUUUGGUUUGGUAUUUUUUUUUCUUUAGCCCCCCGCUUAGUUUUAACUUUUAAGAUGGAAAAUGACUACUUACAAUGUGUUGACCCUCUUUAUCAUAAUUUUAAAUAAUAAUAUUUCAAAGAUCAGGGUUAGAAAAUAUGAUUUCAAAUAUUAUUUUCUAAACAUGACACACCUUUUCCUACUCCAAGCUCACAAGAAAAACACCUAAAACCCUAUAAACAAUUAGCAAUUAACGUGUAGUCGUUUAAAGCACAAAUACAUCAUCAUGUGUCUUGGCUUAAUAUUCAGAUAUUGAGGAUAUUUUAACAAUUUAUGAUAUAACGCCUUUUCUCCUACUUUUAAGCAUCGGCAACCAGGCUGCAUCCCUACAGAGCCCCUUCCCUUGUUCAGUAUUACCUCUCUUCUUAAGUUUGCUAACAUGAGAGACCAUUUGUGUGGAAUCUUUAAUCAAUGGAUUGGGAUGUUUCUGUGCUGGAAAUUUCAGAUGGGAAAAGGCGUUAUGUUUUUGGUAUAAACCCAUUCAAUCUUUCAUGUUUCUGCUCAUCAUUUUUAGUCAAGUUUGUUAUUUAUAUACGUUACUAUGUGUGUGUUUUAUUUACACUUCCAUCUCAUCUAAUUGGAAUUUACAAAUAUUGUAGACAAAUUUGAUGUCUUGCACCCAAAUUUCAUUGAGAAUCUAACUUUGAUGAAGGCGACAAUCCAGAACAGAGAAUGGGGGCAUGGUCUAGAAGAAACAGAUGUGAGCGUUUCUUGUCAUAAUUAUUAGUUUAUAGUAGUGGUUUUAUUUGUUAAAUCCAGUGUGCUGUUUCACGAUACUCAUAUUUUGUUGCCAUGUUGGGAGUGUUCUUGUGUAUUGGUUACUUUUUGGUGUUCAAACUUCUUUGAUAAAGAUAACAAAUAGGUCAUCAAGACGGCAGAUCAAUAUAGAAAAGACAAGGUUCUAAGGAACAAUGAUGCGAAAAUUUAAAACUUUGGGUGCAAAAUUAAAUACAGCAUGCUUUGGCCAUGGAUGGGGACAUAUUUGCUUUGUACCAUCAGUAUUGAUCACCUAGCGCUAGCAGCCCCAAUGUUGAACAUUUGGCGAGCCCUGCGGGACAUUAAGGUGCUUUCAACUUGUAAAUGAGACUGGUUCCACACGAAUGUUUAAACAUAAUGAAUGUGGCUUUCGAAAGAUAAGCUAUUGUACUUGGGUGAUGCUUAAGUGCUAUUUAAAUCAUUCAAGAGAAGGCCCAGACUUCUUACAAAUUCGCUUUAUCAAAUCGUUCUGGUUUGUCCUGGGAUUUGACUAAAUUAAACUAACAUCUUCUUGUGAUUACCAGCAAAAUAAAAAUUAAUAUCACUCUAGUAAACAAAAUCUACAAUCCUCUAAAGAGAAGAUUUACUUGUUGAUUAGAUAGUACGGGCAAAAAAUGAAGAGUGGAACUCAACAACUCACCUGAAAUUAUCCUAGUUCGCGGAAAAUCGCCCUCUUAUAAUGCUCUCAAAAUUUCUUAAAUACAAAAGAGACCUGGGUUGACAUAGGAUAAGAUAUAAGGUGAGGUGGACGGUCAUGAUAAGGUGAUGGGUUUGUGAUAUUGCAUCAUAUGAUGACAUAUGUUAGUAAGACGUACCCUAGUACAUACCCCACUGGAUCUUUUGAGGUGGGUAGGAUCGAGAUCACUAUCCCAAGGCCUAUUACUUGACUAAUGACCGGAUAACGCGGAUAAUGAUGAUGGACUAAUAUGUAUUUUCAAAAAAACACUAUGAUCCAUAUAUUAACUUAAUCACUCGGAUUCACUUUUAUAUUUAUCGAAUGAGUUCAUGUAUGUGGGCAAUCUGUGAAAUUGUGACUAAGUUAAUAUUUGGAUCAUAGUAUUUUUGAAAAAAAAUAUUAGUCCAUCACCGUUGUCCGGUCAUUGGUCAUGUAAUUAAGCCUUGGGGGUAGUGAUCUAGUCCGGCCCAACUCAAUUGAUCUGUACUGGGGUAUAUUUAUAAUAACAUGUGUCGCCGUAUAGUGCAAUCUCACAAACCCAUCACCGCAUCCUGACCGUCCAUCUCUCCAUAUAUCAAUCCUAUGUAAACCCAGGUCUCUUUUUUAUUUAAGAAAUUUUGAGAGCACUACUGAAGGGCGAUUUGCGGUGGACUACGCUUCUUUCAGGUGAGUGGGCGAGUUCCAUUUCCUUUUCCGAUCAGUUUUUGUCUAUACUAUUUGAUCAACAAGUAAAUUUUCCCUUUUAGAUGAUUGUAGAUUUUGUUAACUAAAGUGAUGUUAAUUUUUGUUUUGCGGGACAUCACAACUAGAUUUUAGCUUAAUUUAGUCUAAUUCCAGGACCGGUAGGAAGGAGUUGAUAAAGCGAAACUGUAGAUGCCUAGGCCAUCUCUUGAACGAUUUAAUAAAUAUAAAUCCAAUACUUCAAUUUUUUUAUGUAAUGUAAUAAGUAUAUUGAUUAAGUUUCUAAACCUGCCAGAUAGUGUGGUAAUGUUAAUUUUCUGAUCAGUUUUACUUGAUUGUUUCCUUUAAUUUACUGUUAAAAUCUGAUACAGCACAUAUCAAUAUUUUUUUGUUUUUAUGAUAUCUAGCUUAAUAUGAAACUAAAUCUUGACUUGAUGAGAUCAAGUAAGGAAGUAGCGGUGUAUGAUCAUAGACUUGUAAAUAUCAAGGCAAUCAUAAUAUGGAUUCUCACAUAUUUACUGAAUGUUCUGGAAGAAUGUAAUAUGGUACAAGAACAAAUUAGUGUGACAUGCUUAUAAAUAGAAUGUGCUGUGUAGGAUUAAAAUCAAUUUGGUUAACUCCUCUUCUUCUUCUCUGUGUCUCCCUCGGUUACAUUGCUGGUAUGUAAACCCGAAUUUAUUUCAUAGUAGUGUGAAAUAGAACAUAAUCCUUAAUACACUAGUCAUACUUCACAUGUCAUUGUAUCGCUUGUCUAUUAAGAAUUAUAAUGUCUGUGAAUGCAGUUGCUUUUACGAAUGAAACAUGUCAAGCUUUCAAGUGUGCAAUUUAAAUAAUUAUUUGGGCUUACUAAUAGCUGCCCAAGUCAAGCUAAUAUUCUUCCAAGUAGGAUAACAGAUUAUAUGCUUCCUGACCUGUUAUUUCGUAAAGAAGUCUGUUAGUCUAAAGACUUCACAAUGUUGAUUUAAGUUAUAUUAGUCACUGCGAUACUCUGUAGACAGUCACAAACAUAACCAGCAUUUGGAGCAUGUCCACCUUUUUAUUGUGAAUAUAUAUAUUAUAUAUAUAUAUAUUUAAAGAAGCUAUAAAAAACCAUUUAGUUGUAAAGCGAUUUUGGUAGGUAACAUAACUUAGACAUUCAUCAGUAUAUGCCCUACUUAAUUUGUUUACUAUACAAACCUGAAAGAGGUCUAAGAGCAACUCCAACGCAAGCCCGAGUGCUGCGUUGGAGAGCGUGCGGCGGAUCCGUUUCAUUUUUACAGCGCUGGAGGAAAUUGUAUAAGUUGGUCAAGCCCGAGUAGUUGGGCUGGCCAAGUCUCUGCUUUUUUUACUUUUAUGUUCCCCACUCAAUUGCUUUAGUAAUAUAAAACUCACCUGAUUGCCAUUUCUUUCUAAAGUGCACUUCACUUUUAUGGUGCAUGAAAUGAAAUGAAAAAGGCUGCAGCCUGUUCUGAACAAAAUAAUGUUACUGAAUAUUAACGUUUAGAUAGCCGUUGCAAUAUUUAAAAUUUUAACGUUCCAAAAUUUUACACUAUAAAUAGCUUGUAAAUUUAUAAAAUUCAAAUUCACAUUCACUUCUUUCUUCUCUUCAAAUAAGCUUAUAUUUUUCACUAUCAAAAAUGAACCCAAACAAUUAUUCUCCUUCAAACUCACAAAAUUCAAACCCCCAAAAUUCUCAAUUUCCGAAUACUCAAUAUCCAUAUUCACUCCCAAAUCCUUAUUUUCCGUACAACCAAAAUCCAAGUAUCGAUAAUUCUCAAUUUUCAAGUCCACAAAAUCCAAAUUUUAAUUCUCAAUUUCCAUUUCCAAAUCCGUAUUUUCCGUAUCCUCCUAAUUCUCAAUUUCCUUUUGUUCAAAAUUUUCAAAAUAUGCAUCCACAAACCGGAGUUCAACAAAAUCCUAUUAGCAAUGAAAAUUCUCCACACUCACAAGCUUCUGCUUUCGAUGCUACUAACACUAUCGAUCUUAAUGAUGAUGUUAUCGAAGUUGAAAAUAUGUGAGAUUCUAUAACUCAGUGGAAAUGGAGUGAAGAUAAACUUCUAAUUAGCGCAUGGUUGAAUGUAUCUACUGAUCCUAUAAUCGGUGCAGAUCAAAAAGGUGAAGCAUUUUGGGAUCGAAUUCGUCAGUAUUGUGAAGAAAGUAAUCCCGGGCUUAUCAAAAGAGGUGCUAUUGCUAUUAAAAAAAGAUGGCAAUGAAUAAAUGAAGGAGCUCAAAAAUAUGGAUCUUGCUAUGAACAAGCCGAGCGAAGGGUGGGAAGUGGUUCGAACUUGGACAACAUAAUCGAAGCAGCUCAUGAUCUCCACAAAGCUAAAUACAAAAAGAAGUCAAAUUUUGAAUUACAUUGGAACGAGCUUCGGAGACAACCUAAGUGGAGAGCUCCAACUCCAAGUGGUGGAAGUGGAAAACGAACUAAAUUGAGUGAUUCUGGAGCUUAUUCAACAUCGGGAAAUGAUGAGACCAAUGAAAAUAUCGUGGAAUCUCCUGUUCGUCCUAAAGGUACAAAAGCAGCUAAGAAAGGAAAAGGAAAGGCAAAAACAAGAAAAGAUAUGCAAGAUGAAUAUGAAGAGUUGAAGGCCGAUAAUAUUAGGAAAUUAAAUCUAAUAGACAAAUUUAAUCAUGUCCGACAAAAGGAUAUUGAUAUUUGAGAGUGAGUACUUGCGAAAGCCAAAUUUAAAUGAUGUACAACGUCUACUAAAAAUUGGUGAAGAUCGCGGAUUUCCUGGUAUGAUGGGCAGUAUUGAUUGCAUGCACUGGCAGUGGAAAAAUUGUCCUAAAGCAUGGAAAGGGAUGUUCAUGAGUGGUCAUAAAGGAGUUCCGACAAUUUUGCUUGAAGCAGUUGCCUCAUCGGACCUAUGGAUAUGGCAUGCAUUUUUUGGAGUUGCUGGUUCUAACAAUGAUAUAAAUGUGUUAGAUCGGUCACCAAUAUUCGAUGAAGUGCUAGAAGGUCGUGCUCCUGAAGUGAACUACAAUGUUAACGGCAACGACUAUAAUAUGGGAUAUUAUUUAACAGAUGGAAUAUAUCCUGAAUGUGCAACCUUCGUCAAAACAAUUCCACGUCCCCAAGGCGAUAAGAGGAGAUUAUUCUCUAAAUAUCAAGAAGGUCAGCGAAAAGAUGUGGAACGAGCAUUUGGUGUGUUACAGUCACGGUUUGCAAUUAUACGUGGUCCAGCCCGAUUUUGGGACAAGAAAGAUCUCGCCAAAAUAAUGAGAGCUUGUAUCAUAUUGCAUAAUAUGAUUGUCGAGGACGAGCGGGAUACAUAUGCUACUCCAUUCGGUUCGUUACCAACUUAUGAUGAUGCAACAAAUGGUUUAUCCCAACCAAAUCUAGAGGAAGAGCCGUUUGCCCCUUAUGAAAGAUAUAUCCAAAAUAAUGUUCGAAUUCGGGACAGACAGAAACAUCGACAACUCCAAGUUUAUUUGAUUGAGCAUAUCUCGCAAUUUCAUAAUAACCGUUAAUUUAUUUCUUAUGUAAUGUUUUUAAUUUUAUGUGUUUUCUAAUUCUUGUAAUGCGUGAUUUUUAUUCUUGUAAUGUGUGUCUUUAUUAUCUAAAUUUUGUUUUUCUUAUUUUUAAAAUAAUUAUUUAUCAUUUUAGUCAAAUUAUUAUGAUAAAGAAAAAUAAUUGGAUCAUUAAUAGUUAUUUAAAAUGAUGUAAAACUAGAUAAAAAAAAUAAAUAGGUGGGGCCUAUUGAAAAACGGAGCUGGGCUUUUGCGUUGGAGUAAAUGAGACAACUCUCCUAUAGAAUCUGAUUGUACUUAUGUGGCAUACAAAUGGGUCCCAAAAGAGUUGGACUUGGGCUCUUGCACUGAAGUUGCUCUAAGUACUAUGAAGUACCAUUUUUUUGACAUUUUUGAUUUUUGUGUGAUCCUUCAAUCAGAAUUAUUGGAUAUCGUAUGCUUAAAAUUUAUGUUUAUGAUGCUAAUGAAAAAGAAAAUGAAGACUGGAUAAAAAACUGGUUUCAUGCUGUCAAAAGAUGUGGACAGUAAAAUCUUUACUUUGGAUAUCCCUUUUUUCUUUUUUUUACAUGUCCAUUUUAGUUGAAUUCCUUCUACAAACUUGUAAAGAGUACUAGUAAAUGUCUGAAAGAAGCACAAGGAAAACCAAGAUAUUUCCAGUCUGACCAUUAUGUAUUCUGUAAUUAUUAGGAAGAACAAGAGCUUGAGAGAAUCGGCCCAUUUUUUCAACGAAGGCAGAAUGGAAGGGGUUGAAUGGCCUUCCUUGGCUGGAAUGGAAAAGGCAUUUUGUAAUAAUGUUCUGAGGCGGAUUGUUGAUUUUUUUGCGGGGCGGUUGAUGAUUGACUAUUCCGGGUAACUAUGUUUUGAAUUGCUCUAUGUAAAUAUUAUAAAUUUUUUCUUGAAGUUUUGGAGUUCCUGGUUUGGGGCAUCAAAUCCUUACGUAGUAAAAUCAAAAGUGUGGCUAAAUCUCAAGUCCCAAGAAGUGCAUGUAUACAGCAAAUUAAAGAAUAAGCACCCCUUGGAAGGGAGGAGAAUUAAGUCCUGGCUAUAUCUCUAGUGAAUAAAGUCAAUUGGUUCUGCUAAAAUAGAUGGAGUUAUUGCAAUAAUUUCCAGAUACAUCCCACUUUUGAAUAUAAAUAUGACUAACCUUCAAAGACCCUGCACUUUCAAGUAAUUUUUCAUACAUUUUUUAAUCAUUUUAUACUUUCAAGUAACUAUGUUCUGAAUUUGCUGUAUUUAAAUAUUAAAAAUUGUGUCUUGAAGUUUUGGAGUUCCUGGUAUGGGGCAUCUAAUCCUUACAUAGUAACAUACUCCCUCCGUCCCAAAAAGAUUGAGCUGGUUUGACUUUCACUGAGAUUAAGAAAAAGGUAAUAAAAAAGAGUAAAUUUAGUUGAAAAGUGAGUAAAGUGGUGAGCCUGUCAAAAUUUAAUAAUAGAUUUGAGAUAGUGGAGGAAGGUAUAUAUUGCGUGUAAUAGUGUUUAUUUAAUAAAAGUAGAGUAAAAGUAGGGUGUGAUAUAAGCAAGUUUUUAAAUUAUGCAUGUGGGGAAUUCCAAUUUCCUAGGAAGUUCCAGACUUCCAGUUUCCAUAUAGCGGUCAACCAAAUAAUCUUUCAAUUUGCUAGAAAGUUUAAAUUCCUGGAGAUUUACAUGUUAACCAAACUACCUCUUCUAAAUCUAGUUAUGGUUCAUUAGGAAGAUUACAUUCUUACUAGGGAACGUUGAAGUUCUCAUUUCGGAAAGAUGUCGAGUAUGCACACUCUUAAUCCAUUUCUGAUUAAAAAAUUUAGAUUUUAGUGGCCUUAACAUAAACUAUGCACUGAUUUGCAUUUUAAUAUAUGAACCGUCAGUGAAUUAGCUUCCAGUAAGCUUUAUUAUCUUCUAAUGUCUAGCUGCAGAACUUUUUACUGUACUGGCAAAAGGAACAAUCCUACUCUAGUUUCUCCUCUAUGUGUUAAAUCAAGUUCUUUUAAAUCUUGCAAAGGAUGAAUCUGUCUUUAAGAAACAUCUGUAAAAAUAAUGCAUUCCGUUUUCAACAAACUACUAAAUCUUUCUAGAUAAAAUUCAUUUGAAUGGGCAUGCUCAAUCUAGCUUUGUGGUGAGUUCUUCGUUUCUCUAUUUGUUAGCAGGAAUGCUCCGCGAACAGUAAAACAAGGAAGAAAACGGAAAAGGACUUGCAGGAGAUCGGGUGACUCAGUUUGGGGAGCUUGGGGAAUUCUUCCUACUGAACUUCUGGUGUCAAUUUUGGUUCAGGAAUGAAGAUGGAGCUAUAGUGACUGAUCAGGAGGGAAUGAGUAGCAUUGUCGAGAAUUAUUUUGUGAACUUAUUCGGUAAUGAGGAUACUGAGCGUGAACUGCCAGUCGAAGGCGGCGUGAAUGUGAUUUCUGAAGCCCAGAACAACAAAUUGACAGAAGAUUUCAGCUAUGAAGAAUUCACAGCUGCGAUAAAGCAAAUGCAUCCGGAUAAGAGCUCUGGUCCAGACGGAUUAAAUCCAGCUCUUUUCCAGCAUUUCUGGAAGCUCCUAAGGAGGGAAGUUUAUGAGAGUUGCAAGUAUUGGAUGAGGGAUAUGGCAUUUCCCCAAGGGCUAAAUGACACAAACAUUGUUCUGAUCCCUAAGAAAGAAAACGCAGAUACUAUGAAGGACCUUCGCCCUAUUGCUUUAUACAAUGUCAUGUACAAGAUUAUUGCUAAAGUUUUGGCCAAUAGAAUCCGAAGCAUACUUCCGGACAUUAUUUCAGAAAAUCAGUCAGCCUUUGUUCCUGGACGAAGCAUCACGGAUAAUGUUCUAGUGGCGUUUGAGGUAGUACACCAUAUGAGAAGACUGCGGAAGGGUAGAACGGGUGAAGUGGCACUGAAACUUGAUGUUAGCAAAGCAUAUGAUCGCGUUGACUGGAAUUUUCUUAAAGGAAGGAUGGAGCAGAUGGGUUUUGAUCAAAAGUGGAUAGAUUGGAUCAUGUUAUGUGUAACAACAGUUAGCUAUUCUUUUUGUUUUAAUGGAGCUCAGGUAGGGCUUGUAAUUCCGAAGAGAGGCCUGCAUCAAGGCGACCCUCUUUCACCGUACCUUUUCUUGUUUUGUGUUGAGGGGUUAUCUCGUUUGAUUAGUACAGCUGCAGAGAAUGGUACAAUUCAUGGGUGAAGAUAGCAGAGGGAGCUCCGGAGGUCACACACCUUUUAUUCGCAGACGAUAGCUUUCUUCCCUUUAAAGCCGCAGUGGAGGAAGGCAAGUCAAGUUCGGUCGAUUCUUCAAAAGUAUGAAUUCUACUCUGGCCAGUCCAUAAAUCUUCAAAAAUCUGGUAUCUUGUUCAGCUCAAAUGUUGGUGCGGAGUUGCAAAUGGAUAUUAAAAAUCUGCUAGGAGUGCACAAAGACAUAAGCGGGGAUCGGUAUCUGGGGUUACCCUCCCUCAUUGGCAGAUAAAAAAAUCCUGUUUUAAUUUUCUUAAGGAUAGAAUGUGGAAACGAAUUCAAGGUUGGAGUGAGAAGUGUCUAUCUCUAGGAGGGAAAGUAGUUCUGUUGAGGAAUGUUGCUCAAACCAUUCCAUCCUAUGCUAUGUCAUGCUUCUUGUUUCCGAGAACGCUGAGUCAAGAUUUGGAGAAAAUGAUGAAUAGUUUCUGGUGGGUGCGAGUGGUAACAAUAAGAAAGAUAUUAAAUGGCUCUCUUGGGAAAAUAUGAGUAUGGGAAAGAAUGAGGGUGGUCUGGGUUAUAGCGACCUGUAUGGUUUCAAUAUUGCUCUGCUAGCAAAACAUUGCUGGACUUUUCUUAAUAAACCACAUACGUACUCUCAUAGCUCGAGUCUACAAGGCGAGGUAUUUUCCCAAUAAUUCUUUUUUCGAAGCAACUUGAGGAGGAGGUGCAAGUUAUAUAUGGUCAGGGCUGUGGCAAGCCAAAGAGGCGGUGUGGAUGGGGUACAGAUGGAUUGUGGGUGACGGGAGGAAAAUAAGAAUUUUUGAGGAUGCAUGGCUUAGAGAUAAGAAGGAUUUUAGAGUGGAAACUCUAAAUUGUGGCAGUAUUGCAGGUGGAAAAGUGUGCGAUUUAUACAUUCCUGGUGAACGUAGGUGGGAUAUUCAACGGGUGUCUAACUUAUUCUUGAGUUGUGAUGCUAAGGCAAUCUUAGCAACACCCAUUCCCAAUAAUCAGGUCUGUGAUCGUGUUACAUGGACGCCUGCAGUCGACGGGAAGUACAGUGUAAGAUCAGGUUACAAGUUCUGGCGGCAUUUGCAUUUUAGUACAUGUCUUCGAGUUCCUCAGUCGAAAGGUUGGAAACAUUUAUGGCAGCUGAAGGUCCCUCAAAAAGUUAAGAUUUUUCUGUGACGGCUAUGUAGGAAACAAUUCCUGUUCGUUAGCGGUUAAGAAGUAAAGGAGUCCAAAUUCCGAUUACUUGCCCAAUGUGCAACAAAGACGUGGAGCAUCUCUUGCAUGUGUUUAUGGAUUGUGAGUUUGCAAAUGAGUGUUGGAGACUUAUGGGAGCUGAAUUUGAUUUCUGGACAGUGGAGUCAGCACCAGAAUGGGUUCUUGGUAGACUAGAAUCAGAGACGUCUGAAGUUCAGAUUUAAUUAGCUAAGGUGCUAUGGGGUAUUUGGAACGCCAGAAAUUUCAAAGUCUGGGAACACAAAGUGGUAACACCUAGUAUUGCAAUGCAAUGGAGUGAUAGUCAGAUUUCGCAAUGGCAAGAAGUGAGAAAGAAACAAAUGAGACACGGACCUAAUGAACCUCAGCAACAUCAACCAGUUGGGAGUAGGUGGGUUGCUCCUGCAGUAAACAGAGUCAAAGUAAAUAAUGAUGCUUCUGUUGUUUCUGGAGCUCAUUCCUUCUCCUUAGGUCUGAUCAUUCGGGAUCAUCAAGGUGAGUUUAUUCAGGCGAAGAAUCUUCGUUAUCCAGGGGAGAUCACUGUGUUUGAAGCUGAAGUAAGGGGCAUUCUCGAAGCUGUGAUAUGGCUUGAGGACUUGCAGCUCUCAGGUGUUGAUAUAGAGACGGAUUCGCUGCUUGCUGUAAAAGCUCUGAAGAUGGGGACUGAGUAUAACUUGGAAGUUGGAGAUGUGCUUGCUCAGUGUCGUUCUAUUCUAGACGCUAGACCUGAUUUUGCUAUCUACUUUGUUAAACGGCAGGCCAACAUGGCAGCCCAUUUGCUAGCUAGGGCGCCAUGUAUGGUGAAUUGCUUCAAUGUUUUUAUGUCUCCUCCAGAUAUAAUGUUGGUGACUUUGAUGUUUGAUCUGGUUUUGAGCUAAUAAAAGUCAGUUUGCUUUCAAAAAAAAUAACUUUUAUACCCUGUAAAUAUAAAAAAAUGAUCCAAACACAUAAUUAAAAGUUAAUUUUCAUUUAUAAAUAACUUUUUUCGUAUAAUCAAUAAACACGUCUUUUACGGUCUCACUAUUCCCAUAUUACGCAACUCUGCAGUUUCCACAAUCUUAAAAGAUGAUCUGAAUACAUGCGAGUCCACCCACCAUUUAUAUUUUACAAAUAUUUCUUCUACUUUUUUCUCUUUCUCUGCAAUCUUCUAAGCUCUUGUUUAUCUUGUAUAUCUUGUUUUAAGUGGGCAAGGAGCAUUGCUUGUCCACUUCUAUAACCAAAUGUAAAUUUACAGCUUCUAAGAAUCAUCCCGAUAUCCCAACACCAUAGAGGUUGGUCGCGAGUGCUACAUGUCUGGAGAAAUAACAGAAAAUAAUUUGUAUAGCUAGUAAUAUAUGACAUAGAAUCUAAGUACUUCAACCAAAUCUCAUUUCCAAUCUAGAAUGCAAGUCGCUGGUAUGGUUGUAAAUGCUAGAUCACACAGUUGGUGAUUCUUAUUCCGCGUAGAUCUGGUAUAAGAAAAAAAUCUAUGGAUUCCAAGGGAAGCAAAAAAUGGUGUGAAGUAAACAAUAGAUGCUAAAAAUAGAGCUGUGUAGUGAGAUGUAUGAUCACAAGCAACACAUUACCUGGACAAAAUGCAUGUAAGCCAUAUCCCUAGUUCUCCAUAACAACCGCAAAUCCCUUACAUUCUCAUCGUUCAGACGAGUUCAAAAAAUUACUUGGCCUGCAGUAUUCCAUAAUCACCACUAUGUGGUAUACAAAUUCAUCAUUUCAACAACAGUAAAUUUAAUAAAAUACAUAGAGAGCAACUAAGCACCGAGAUAGAGAAAUUGCCUCUCAAGAGUUGAUCAGCAAAAAGCUUCAUCAUCCUCUAGUGCCUAAAAGUUGUACUUAUUUUUCAAUCAACAAUUGCGUACUGUUUUGGGAGAGGAGAGAAAUCCCAUCACUUAGCACUUUCAGCGCAUUAAGGGAGCGGAAAGAUGAUAAAAUAAAGCUUCCUUGAUCUCCAUUAGUGUGAUUCAGGUUUGUUUGGUUGUUCAAGUUCUUGGCUUCUGCCAGGAAGUUCAUGUGUACGCCAAAGCCAAAAUAUCAUUUUAUAAACUUUUUUUCUACAAAAAUAUUAUUUUGAAAUAGUUGAUCAAAAAUAGAUAUUCUCAAAAUAUAUAUCACAUAUCACAUAUAAAUUAAAUUUUUAGUUUUUGAAAAGACUGAUUCGCAUUUUUAAAAUGAGUAACCGAAAUAUUCAUUCUCUAAAUAAGUUUCUUAAAAUUUUAUUUUUUUAUUAUAAAAAAUAUCUUAUCAUAUAACAUCAGAUAAUGGCCCAAACAUAUAUAACACCGUUUCAACACACAACACCAUCACCUACAUUACCAAUUAUCUUUUAAAAAAAAUUAUAGAUAUCAGAUAAGAUAAAUCGGUCACUCAUUCUCAAAAUGAUAAUAAAAUAAUAUUUUUAAUCAUUAGUUUUAAAAAUGAUAUGUAAAAAAUAUGAUAUAUUUGUAUUUUUCUCGAUAGUUCCUAUUUUGAUACGCAUUCUUAAAAUGAGUAUCGCUUAUAAAUUAAUUUUUUAAUUUUUAAAAAGAUUGAUUCGCAUUCUCAGAAUUAGUAACCGCGAUACUCAUUCUUAAAAUAAUAACCUUUUUCAAUUUUAUUUUUUAUUAUAAAAACUAUUUUAUCAUAUACAACGCCGCACAAUUACCCACAAUCCCACACAUAUAUACCAUCGUUUAUUCAAAACACAAAAAAUUAUAAAUAUCAGAUAUUAAUAAAUUGGUUGAUCAUUCUCAAAAAAAAAUAGAAUAAUUUUGUUGAUCAUUAAUUCAAAAAAUGAUAUAUAAAAAUAUGAUAAUUAUUUUUGUGUUUUUUCCUCUGGUUACUCGCUUAGUUUUAACUUUUAAGGUUGAAAAUGACACUACUUUUAAGCAGAGGCAACAGGCUGCAUCCGUACAGAGCCCCUUCCCUUGUUCAGUAUUACCUCUCUUCUUAAAUUUGUUAACAUGAGAGACCAUUUGUGUGGAAUCUUUAAUCAAUGGAUUGGGUUGUUUUUGUGCUGGAAAUUUCAGAUGGGAAAAGGGCGUUUUUGGUAUAAACCCAUUCAAUCUUUUAUGUUUCCUGCUCAUCUUUUUAGUCAAGUUUGUUAUUCAUAUACAUUGUCUCUGGAAUCUAAUUUAGAUGGUAUAAGCUGAGGUGUAUGAUAUGAUUGCCAAAAAAGGGUUUGAUCAAAGUCUGGUUUGGUGUUUGAUAACAGGCUUAUGUACCGUGGUUGUUCAGGGUAAAUUAUUGGGUUGUAUCUUCCAGACCAAUCAAUGGACGGAAUACAUUCACUUGUAAAGUGGCAAGCAAAUGUUAUGCAAGGAGGCGAUAAUCUUGAACGGAGAAUGGGGCAUGGUCUAGAAGGAAACAGGUGUGAGCGUUUCAUGUAAUUAGUUUAUUGUUGUGGUUUUAUUUGUUACAUCCAGUGUGCUGUUUCACGGUACGUACUAAAUGUACACAAAUCAUUUUUUUUUUUUGUCAUUUUGGGAGUGUUCUANUGUGGUUUUAUUUGUUACAUCCAGUGUGCUGUUUCACGGUACGUACUAAAUGUACACAAAUCAUUUUUUUUUUUUGUCAUUUUGGGAGUGUUCUAGUGUAAUGGUUAAUUUCUGGUGUUCAACUAAUUUGAUAAAGAUAACAAAUAGGUCAUCAAUACGGAAGAUCAAUAUGGAAAGACAAGUUUUCAAGGAACAAUGAUGCGAAAAUCUAAGACUUUGGAAGCAAACUUAAAUACAGCAUGGAUGGAAGUAUUUGCUUUGUACCAUGCAGUAGUUUUGAUCACAUAGUGCUAGCAGACCCAAUGUUGAACAUUUGGCGAUCCCUGCGGCACAUUGAGGCACUUUCAAUUUGUAAAUGUUACCGGUUCUAAAUGAAUUUUUGAACAUAAUGAAUGUGGCUUUGGAAAGAUAAGCAUUCUUGGGUGCUAUUUAAUUCAUUCAAGAGAAAGCCCAGACUUCUUAUAAUUUCACUUUAUCAUUUCCUCCCUACUGGUACAGGGAUUAGACUAAAUCACUCUACAUCUAGUUGUGAUUUCCAACAAAACAAAAAAUAAUAUAACUCUAGUAAACAAAAUCUACAAUCCUCGAAAGGGAAGAUUUACUUGUUGAUCCAAUAGUACGGGCAAACAAAUGAACAGAAAUGACAAUGAAACUCACCAACUCACCUGAAAUUACCCUACUCUGUGGCAAAUAUCGCCCUUUUGUAGUGCUCGCAAAAUUUUUUAAAAUAAAAAAGAGACUUGAGUUGACAUAGGAUAAGAUAUAUGCUGAUGUGGACAGUCGGAUAAGAUGAUGGGUUGGUGAGAUUUGCACCAUAUGACGACACAUGUUAGUAUAGAUGUACUCCUGCUACGGAUCAUUGGAGGUGGGCCGGAUCGUGAUCACUACCCUCAUGGCCUAUUACUUGACUAAUGACCGUUGAUCGGAUAACGGUGACUACGGAUCAUUGGAGGUGGGCCAAAUCGUGAUCACUACCCUCAUGGCCUAUUACUUGACUAAAGACCGUUGACCGGAUAACGGUGAGGGACUAAUAUAUAUCUUCAAAAAUACUAUGAUCCAUAUAUUAUUUUAUUCGCGGAUUCACUUUUAUAUUUAUCGAAAGAGUUCAUGUAUAUGAGCAAGUUGUGACAGACACAAAAUUGGUAACUCUGCAAUUUAAUAUUGUCGUUUCCACGGGGUCAUUGGGGUCGAAUCUAAUAAUUCUUUGUCCAUCUUUUACAAGACUAAUGAUGCCUGGAUAUUAUAGUUAGUGUGUCACACUAAAUCCAACUGUCACUACUUGCUCGCAUACAUGAACUAUUCAAUUAAAAUAUAAGUAAAUCCGCGAUUAAGUUAAUAUAUGAAUCAUAAUAAUUCCGAAAAUACAUAUCAGUUCCUCACGGUUAUCCGGUCAUUGGUCAUGUAAUAAGCCUUGGGGUAGUGAUCUCAAUCCGGCCCACCUCAAAUGAUCAGUGGUGGGUUACAUUUAUACUAACACGUGUCGUCAUAUGGUACAACCUCACCAACCCAUUACCAUAUCCAGACCGUCCAUCUCAUCACAUAUCAAUCCUAUGUCAACCCAGGUCCAUUUUUAAUUUAAGAAAUUUUGAGAGCACUGCUUGAGGGUGAUUUGCGGCGAACUAGGGUAAAUUUCCGGUGAGUUGGCGAGUACCAUUGCCGUUUCUGUUUAAUUUUUCCCCGUACUAUUUGAUCAUCGAGUAAAUCUUCUCUUUAGAGGAUUGUAGAUUUGUUUUACUAAAGUGAUGAUAAUUUUUGUUUUGUUGGACAUCACAACUAGAUGUUAGCUUAAUUUAGUCCAAUCCUUCGACCGGUAGGAAGGAAUUGAUAAAGCAAAACUGUAAGAAGACUUGGCCUUCUCUUGAAUGAUUUAAUAAAUAAAAAUCCAAUACUUCAAUUUUAUUCAUGUAAUAAGUAUUUUGAUUAAGUUUCUAACCUGCCAGAUAGUGUGGUAUAUUAAUUUUCUGAUCGGUUUUACUUGAUUGUUUACUUUAAUUUACCAUUAAAUGUGAUAAAAUCUAAUACAUAUCAAUAUUAUCUUGUUUUUAUGAUAUCUUGACUUGAUGAGAUCAAUUAAGGAAAGAGCGGUGUAUGAUAUGACACUUGUAAAAAUUAAGGCAAUCAUUAUAUGGUUCUCACAUAUUUACUGAAUGUUCUGAAAGAACGUAAUUUGGUACAGGAACAAAUUAGCGUGACUUGCUGUGUAGGAUAAUAAUGAGCAUGUUCCGAGUCAUCAUGAGCAUGUUCCGAGAAAUUCUCCCUGAAAGAAGUCCUAUUUGUUUGUUCCUGCCGAGUUAAACUCAUGGCAGAAGUUUGCGGUUAAAUUAAAUUUUUUCAGACCUUAACAUUUUGGGAGUGCUUGCAGUGUUGUCCUCAUUCAAUAUUUUGGAUCUCUGCUUCUCAAAUUUGCCCGCUGUUUGUAUUAUGAUUACGCAUUUUUCUAGGAAUCGCUUCUAAGGGAGUAGCACCAUUACGCCUUUCCAUAAUUUUGAAAAAGAAAACAUCCCAAUAUCCUAACACCAUAGGAGUUGGCCGCGAGUGCUACAUGUCUUGAGAAAUAACAGAAAAUAAGUUGUAUCGCUUGUAAAAUAUGACAUAGUCUAAUUAGUACUUCAACCAAAUCUCACUUCAACUCUAGAAUGCAAGUCUCUGGUAUGGUUUAAAACGCUAGAUCACAACUGGUGAUUCUUAUUCUGCAUAGAUCUAGGUCCAAUAAAAAUCUAGGGAUUCUAAGGGAAGCAAAAAAUGGUGUGAAGUAAACAAUAGAUGCAAAAAAUAGAGCUAUAUAGAUGCUAACAAUAGGGAUAUGGUGUAAGCCAUAUCCCUAGUUCUCCUUUAACAACAACAAAUUCCUAGUUCAUAAAAUUACUUAGCCUGUAUCACGUAAUCUCCAAUAUGUCGUAUACAAAUUCAUCAUUUCAACAACCAUAAAUUAAAGGGGGGUUUUCAUAUAUACCCAAAUCUAAAAGAAUUUUCGCAAAUAUACUGUCAUUUUUUUAAACAAAUUGCAAAAAUACUAUCCUUAAAAAAAAUUGCAAAAAUACGGUGGUUGCAUCUGCAACCAUAUCUGCAACUGUUACCAACCUUAUAUGCAACCACAAAUGCAACUUUAAAAAAAUCUUUUGAAAAUUAUAUUUAAUUGCAUAAUAAAUUGCAAGUGGUUGCAAAUGGCAAAAAUGAAUACCCCUGUGGGGCCAGUCUAAUGUCACAAAAGUAACCAUGAAAUCAUCUAAAAGCAACCAAUUAAAAGUAGGUACAAAGAGUUGCCACAUACACAUAACAUAACCUUCAAUGCGUUAUCUUUUCAAUAUCCAUCCCCCAAUCCCCAUCUCCCUCCUAACUACAUCGCUCCAACUUGACAUCUCCGUCUCAACCCAUUCGACUAUCACCAUAAAGAACACGACAUACACACACAUCUUCAACGUCCUCUGUUUGUAAACCUCGGCCACCUCCGUUGUCCAACACAACUGAUGUAAUAUCAUCCGAUUGUGUUCUUGAAACUAUGAACACUAUUUGCAUCGCGAUCGAGAGAAUUGGUGGCAUUAUGGCGAUGAGAAAGAAAGUGCGAGGAGAGAGGUUAGAGAGGGUAGUGAGACGAGAGUGAGAGAGUGAGAGACGAGGGAGAGAUUUGCACAUGAAAAGAUGAAAAUGGUGGAAUCUGUAAACAAACUCCGUACUUGUACAAAUGUUUUAACUAAAGUUAUAAAGAAAUCGUAUUUCUGCACAAUUUGAGGCAUGUGGUAGUUUUGCAAUAAAGAUGGUAAGAAGGGCAAUUUUAGCCAAAUGCCCUAAAUUUAAUAAAAUACAUGGAGAGCAACUAAGCACCGAGACAAAGAAAUUGCCUCUCAAGUGUUGAUCAGCAAAAAGCUUCAUCAUCCUUAGAGCAUCUCCAAGGGUAAUAACAAAAACUGUUAGCUAAAAUAUAAUAAAAUAAUGAUUAUGUAAAUUUUUACCUAAGGGCACUACGCCAUAAGUGCUCAUAUGCAACGCGUAUUCCUAGUGUUGCAUGGAAAGUAUUGCAAUAGACCCUUGGUUUUCUAUCUUCUGCAACAGAACUCAAACGGCGUUGCAUUAUAGGAGUUGGUAGUGUUGCAUUAUAGCAGUAGACAUUGCUAGACCAAUUUUUGCUGACGUGGCAAUGGGUCCCACGUGCUGACGUGGCAGUGGGGCCCACUGCUGGACCCAUUUUUGCUGACGUGGCAGUGGGUCCCACGUGCUGACGUGGCAGUGGGCCCAGUGCUGGACCCACUUUGGUGACGUGGCAGUGGGUCCCACGUGCUGACGUGGCCGUGGUCCCCGCUGCUGGACCCACUUUGGUGACGUGGCAGUGGGUCCCACGUGCUGGCGUGGCAGUGGUCCCCGCUGCUGGACCCACUUUGAUGACGUGGCAGUGGGUCCCACGUGCUGACGUGGCAGUGGCCCCACUGCUGGACCCACUUUGGUGACGUGGCAGUGGGUCCCACGUGCUGACGUGGCCGUGGGCCCCACUGCUGGACCCAGUUUGGUGACGUGGCAGUGGGUCCCACGUGCUGACGUGGCAGUGGGCCCCUGUUCUGGACCCAUUCAUGUGACGUGGCAGUGGGCCCUAGAGGCUGACGUGGCAGUGGGGCCCACCUCCGGACCCAUUUUGUUGACAUGGCAGUGGGUCCAGACCCAUUUUGAUAUAAAAAUCUCUGAAAAUUUUUGAAGGCCAAGGGAAUUGAACCCCUGACCUCUCAUGUAUCAAAACAAGUCACACACCACUCCACCAACCUUUCAUUUAUGUUGUGUGUUGCAUAACUAAAAUAUAAUAGCUAUAUGUGGUCAAAGUGGGUAGUCCAAUUAACCGACGUUGUCCCGAACACGAAUUCUAUUUUUUUUAAAUUUGUUUUCGACGAUCCAACCGUACGGAUGUUAAUAUCUAUCAAAUUUAGCAAUAAGAAAUUUUUUUUAAAAAUUUCCAUAUUUAGAAGGUGUGAGUUUAUAAUAGUCAAAGCGGUCCAAGAAGGUAGUCCAAUUAACUAGUGUUGUCUCGAAAGUGAAUUCUUUUCUUUUUAAAUUCAUUUUCGACGAUCCAACCGUACGGAUUUUAAUAUCUAUCAAAUUUAGCAAUAAGAAAUUUUUUUCAAAAAUUUCCAUAUUUAGAAGGUGUGAGUUUAUAAUAGUCAAAGCGGUCCAAGAAGGUAGUCAAUUAAGCAAUGUUGUCCCGAAUACAAAUUCUAUUUUUUUAAAAUUCAAUCUUGACGAUCCAACCGUACGGAUGUUAAUAUCUAUCAAAUUUAGCAAUAAGAAAUUUCUUUCAAAAAUUUCCAUAUCUAGAAGGUGUGAGUUUAUAAUAGUCAAAGCGGUCCAAGAAGGUAGUCAAUUAAGCAGUGUUGUCCCGAAUACAAAUUCUAUUUUUUUUAAAAUUCAAUCUUGACGAUCCAACCGUACGGAUGUUAAUAGCUAUCAAAUUUAGUAAUAAGAAACGUUUUUCAAAAAUUUCCAUAUUUAGAAAGUGUGAGUUUAUAAUAGUCAAAGCGGUCCAAGAAGGUAGUUCAAUUAAUCAGUGUUGUCCUGAAUACGAAUUAUAAGAUGUGAAUUAUUGUAUUAAUUUUUAAUUUAAUUUAAAGUAAGUAUUUCUCACCUAUAUCAUUUAAUUUAAAUUAAAAAUCUAAAAUAAAAUAUAUAAAUAAUAAAUAUAUAAAAUAAAAUAAAACAUAUAUUAAUCCACGUCAGCUGUUGAAAUGUUAAGCGGGUAAAACUCCCCCCAAAUAAUUUCAGACAAACAAACACUCAUAUUUCAAACAAACACUCAGAAACUCCAUUUCCCGACCUCGGCACUCUCACCUCCAUUUCCCGACCUCGCCGCGCCACAGUCCCGACCACGCCGCUCUCACAGUCCCGACCUCGCCUCUCUCAACUUCCUCACCUCACAAUCUCGACCUUCAUUCUCACCUCACUGCAGUCUCGACCUCAAUAUCAAAUUAGGGUUUCGGUGUUCACGAUUUGGGGAUUUUGCUCAGUUCUCAGUUCUUCAUCCCAGUUCUCCCUCACGGUGCUCAAUUUGGGGAUUCUGGUGUUCUCAGCUCUCGAUUUGUGGAUUUGGGCAUCUGCAAUUAGGGUUUCGGUGUUCUCGAUUUAGGGAUUUCAACUUCUCGGUUGUGGUUUUAGUUGUGGGUUCAAGUUCUCCAUUCUUCAGUUAGCUCUGGUAAUUCCUCUUUUUUAUUUAAGAUAUAGAUUUUGCAUAUAGGGCUUCUUGUGAUUAAGAUUUUGAUUUUUUUAGUUGCUAUCUGCUUGUAAUUUGUAUUUUUAAUUGAUAUUAGCUAGGUUGGGUGUUGCAUGCUUGUAAUUCAUGCUGAGUUGUUUUGUUUUUUUAGUCUAAGAGAGAGAGAGUGACAAAGAGAGAGAGUAGGGAGGGAGAGAGUGGGGGAGAGAGAGAGAGAGAGAGAGAAGGGAGGGAGAGAGAGAGAGACAGGGAGGGAGGGGGAGAGAGACAGAGACAGAGAGACAGAGAGAGAAGGAGGGAGAGAGUGACAGAGAGGGGGGACAGAGAGAGAGAGAGAGAGUAGGGAGGGAGAGAGUGGGGGAGAGAGAGAGAGAGAGAGAGAAGGGAGGGAGAGAGAGAGAGACAGGGAGGGAGGGGGAGAGAGACAGAGACAGAGAGACAGAGAGAGAAGGAGGGAGAGAGUGACAGAGAGGGGGGACAGAGAGAGAGAGAGAGAGUAGGGAGGGAGAGAGUGGGAGAGAGAGAGAGAGAGAGAGAGAGAAGGGAGGGAGAGAGAGACAAAAUGAUAUUUUCAAUCACUUUGUAUAUUUUCAAAUUUAGAGAUAAAAUGAUAAUAAUGAUACAAUUGCAUGAUUACAGAGAAAAAGAGUUGCCAAGGCAAAUAAGACAGGGGUGGGACGUAGGACUCGUGCACAAGCAAAAGCACAAGAGCCUGCUGACAUUGAAAGAGAAUCGACACAUGUCGCCACUCCCGUCAGGAACAAAGGGAAGAAAGCUGCAGUUGAGAAGGAGGUGACAAGUUCUUAUCGUGCACCUACUGUAAAACCAACUUGUUCCAAAUUGUUGAACAAGGCAGUCAAUGGAGUACCUCCCGGUUCCAUAAAUGCUUAUCUAGCACUGCGGGAACAACAAAAAUUGAGUACUGCACCUCAAUUACAAGAGGAUGAUGUUCCUGAACUUAAUGUGGACCAAGCUACAGAUGAGGAGGAAGCUGUUAAAGGUACUGUGUACAUGCAUUUUUACUCUAUUUAAUUAGCCUGGGAAUCUGGAUUUAUUGAUCUACCUCGUGUUUUCAUUUUUAAUGCAUUCUUUGUUUUUUGUUUCCUAUUUCACUAUGAGCCGUAGUGAAUUAAUAUAUAUUAAAUAUAAAUAUGUUCCUCUGACAGUAAUUAAGAAAUUGACUUUAUGCUCCAUUUUUACUCUAUUUAAUUAGCCUGGCAAUCUGGAUUUAUUGAUCUACCUCGUGUUUCCAUUUUUAAUGCAUUCUUUGUUUUUUGUUUCCUAUUUCACUAUGAGCCGUAGUGAAUUAAUUUUUUUUUAUUUGUUCUGUGCAUGGAAUAUGAUAUGCUAGCUCCUAGAAAACCCAGGGGACCUACAAAAAUGAUUAAAGUUCAUGCAAGGACGGCUGAAAAUAAAGUUGUCAUUACGUUGAAUGAAGAUCAUCAACCCGUUUCGGAUAAUCAGAAAAUUAUCACAGAGCUCAGUAAUUUUGUGGGAACACUAGCAAGGGAUAACGUGUCACUUACGUACGUAAAUUGGCAUGUAGUUCCUGACAGCCUGAAGAAGCAAUUGUGGGAACAAACUCUGGUACAUUUUAUUAGUUGAUUGUCAUGUAGUUCAUACUUAUGAAUUAUAUUGUAAUUGGUAUGUAGUCCACACAAUUGCAUUAGUUCAUACUUAAUUUUGCAUUAUAUCGUAACAGUAUAAAUAACUGAUUUUAUGUUCGAUAUUUACAUUUUUAGGCUAAGUAUGUCAUUCCUGAACAAGGUAGAAAAUGGGUGUACAACACACUCAAUGCUGCUUGGAGGCUUCACAAAAGUCGUUUUAAGACCAAGUACUAUACCAGCCUUGAAACUGACGCGGAGAGGUUGGAAAAAAGGCCUCAAGAAAUUUCACUAGAGGACUUUAAACUGCUCCUGGCAUACUGGGGAGAUGAUGAAGUUAAGGUAUUAUAUCUACUAUGUUGGAUGCUAAUUUAAUUACAUUUAAUUAGCAUGCUAUUUAAAAAAUUAUGUAAUCUGCAUAAUCUAUGUUCUGCCUGAUUUACAAGGAUAACUACAAGAUUAAUGUAAAUUUUAUUAUUUUUCUCUUUUAUUUUCUAGAAACUGGCAAGGAACAAUACUGCCCGUCGUAGUAAUUUAACUGAGACACACACUAUGGGUCCAAAAACACUAGCACAAGUUCGGGAGGAGAUGGUAUAUAUCCUUAUCUUAUAAUAUACUGUGAAAGUGAAUUUUGGAUAACAGUACAUGUCCAUUAAUUGAUCAUUUUCAGAUGCAAUUGAUGCCCAUUAACUUCUACUGAAUUCAAAUUGAGCUAAAUUGUUUUCCUUUUCUUCAAUAAUUGCAGAAAAAGAAAAGCCCCGACCUUGCCUCGCCAACAGAUGCGGAAGUGUUUCUGGAAACCCGUAAGCGAAAACCCGGGCAAGAGUACAAGUCAAAUACUGAAAAAGUGGAAAAAAGAAUGGUAAGGACAUUUCAAGUAGUAUUAAAUCUAUCUUCAUAAUUCAUUUUAUAAUCUGGUGUAUCAUUUUCUUGUAGACCGCGAUCAAGAAACUAGUUACUUCUGGACAAGAAGUUGAAGCAAAUUUAAUGGUUAGCGGCGACAAGGAACAUUCACGUGAUUGGCUAGUAGGAAGAGCCUGUACAAAGGAAACUGGUCAAUGCUCUGGUUCGGCAGCAAUUCCUACGGAACAAUAUGUGCAGGAGUUGACCACAAAGAUCAAGCAUGACUUAGAAAUUGAACUGGAAGCCAAAGUUAACCGCAAAGUGCAGGAAAAUUUAACUUGGGUACUGAAAAAACUAGGGGAUGCAAAUCCUGAUCUAAAAUUAAAUAUCGGGGACUUUUGUGCUACGGUGUCCAGUGAUCAAGAUGACAACGGCACUCCUGUGACUCAAGGAGGGGCCACAUCAUAGUCCUGUUAUUCUGCUAUUAUCUAGAACUAUUAAGAGUUGGUUAUUUUGAACUUAAUCUAUGUAGUAUGGCAGAUUUGUUACUGUCUUAAGCCAUUGAAAGAUUCAGUACUUAGCUAUUUUGUUGGUUGUUGGGAUUGGUAGUUAGUUGGAUUUUGUGACUGUUGGUUUGGUAGAAGAUUAUGACAGGGUUGCUUUGUUGGUUGAUGGCUUGUUUAAUUAGGAAGGGAUUUAUGAAUGUCCAAAACUGCUAUUGCAAAAUUUUUAUAAAAAGUGUUGCAUUUUACUUUUUCCAGUGUUGCAAUUUUGAAUUUAUUUAGUGUUUCAUAUAUCAUUUAUCAGUGUUGCCAGUGUUGCAUAUUACAAUAUUUAGUGUUGCAAAAGCUAUGUGGGACCCACUAAAAAUUCGGAUCAUGUGGGGCCCAACUAUGACGUGGCAAGUGACUCAUCAAUGACAUGGCAAGUGACUCAUCAAUGACGUGGCAGAUGGACCCAGCUUACGUGCCAGGUGACGUGUCAGGAGGGACCCAGCUGACGUGGCAGAUGAAGUGGGACCCACCUUUGUUGCGUGUCCAUCUUUAGGGGCAACACCAAUAAGUGUUGCCUUUAUGAAAUUGGGGUGUUGCAUUAUAGGUAUAAUGCAAUGGAUAGUCGUGUUGCAUUAGAUAGCCAUAAGCGUUGCCUUAUAGGUCAAAGGCAAGGCUCGCAUAUGCAACGCUCAGGAAGUGUUGCAUAUCUCGAUUUCGUGCCUAAGGCAACACCAUUUGGGGUAUAAGGCAACACUCCUGAGCGUUGCAUAUGAGCACUUAUGGCGUAGUGGGGGAAGGGUAGACACUCCAAUGGUAUUAUGUAUAAUAUGAUAUCUAAAAUUAUACCUAAGAGGUUUGUUGGUUCAGCAAAUAUAGCCAAUCAAAAUAUGGUUAUCUAUAAUUUUUGCUAAGGGGAAUAUGGUUAGAGUCCAAAACUUUUACAUAUUCUCUAAAAAUUGACACCUAGAUGCCACCUAAGUGUCAUGUAGACAAUUUAGCUGAGGGUUUUGUUCCCUUACUCUUAGUGCCUAAAAGUUGUACUCCCUUUGUUCCAACCAUUUCUUUACACUUUUUUUUUGGAGUGUCUCAUCCAAUUCUUUAUAUUUUAAAACUUACCAAAAAUAGUCAAUGGGUCCCACCACUUCUCCACUUCUCUUUCUUUUUCACACUACUUUUACUCCACUAUCUCAUUUGUAUACAUUAACAAUCAAUGGGUCCCACCACUUUACCCACUAGUCUUUCUCUUUUCCACUACUUUAUAUAUAUUUCUUAGGAAAAUGCUAGAUGCACAAAAUUGGGUACAAAAACAUUCACAUAAUGAGUAUGUGUUAACUAUUGAUUGGAAUGGGCCCCCUAUAUAUGCAUAAUAGCACCAAUUAAAACUUUCCACCUCAGUUGUCAUCUCAUUUUGUGCAAAAUUCUGUAUCCAAUUUUGUGCAUGUAGCACUACUCUAUUUCUUAACCUCCGCGGCCAACUCAUUCGAUAAGAAAUAGGAGGGACGGAGGGAGUAUUAUUUUUCAAUGAACAAUUGCGUACUGUUUUGGGAGAGAAGAAAUACCAUCACUUAGCUAGAGUUAAAAAUGGGCGGGUUCGGAGUGGGGACUUUAUUUCCCAGCCCCACCUCAUAUAUAUUUUUCUUGUCCCGUCCCCUCCCCCGGGGAUAUAUUUUUAAUCUCCAUCUCAGCCCCACUAGAGAUUUAAUAUAAUUUCGCCCCGCCCCGCCCCGCCCCUGCUAUAUGUAAUACUACAUUUUAAAAAUUUACAUAAAAAUUUAGUAUCUUUUUCUUCGGAAUUUAAUAAAAAUAUACGAUACAUGCAUGUAUAUUAGAAGCAAAAAAACUAAAAAAAAUUCAUAAAUAGAAUAGAAAUCAAAGAGACAUGUUAUAUAUAUCUGUAGUACAAGUUGAUGUACUGUCUACUAGUUGUAAAGUUAUAGUUUUGUGUAUUAUAAAAUAAUAAUAUUAAAUAUAACAAAUAAAUUAUAUUAAAUAUAAUAAAUAUAUAAUAUAUUAAAUAUAAUAAAUAUAUUAUAUUAAAUAUUUUUAUUUAUUUAUAUUAGAUAUAUGCGAGGCGGAGCGAAGAAUCCGCGCAGGAAUUCAACAUAUAUCAUACUUACCCCAGAUUUCGGCGGGGUAAAAAAAUAUUCCCCAUCACUACCCCAUUCCCCAUAUUAGCGGUGCAGAUCUGCCCCAUUCGGGACGAGUUGAGGCGGAUUUCCCAUUUUUCCCACCCCAUUUUUAACCCUACACUGAGCACUUUCAACUCAUUAAGGGAGCGGAACAAUGAUAAGAUAAAGCUUAUUUGAUCUCCAUUAGUGUGAUUCAAGUUUAUUUGGUAUAGUGAUUCAUGUUCUUGACUUCUCCCAGGAAGUUCAUGUGUACGCCAAAACCAAAAUAUCACUUUUUAACUUUCUUUUGUACAAAAAUAUCAUUUUUACACAUAUGAUCAAAAAUAUAUAUUCUCAAAAUAGAUAUCAAAUAUAAAUUAAAAUUUUAAUUUUAAAAAAGACUAUUCGCAUUUUCAGAAUGGGUAACCGCAAUAUUCAUUCUAAGAAUAAUAACUUUUUCAAAAUUUUAUUUUUUAUCAUCAAAAAUAUCUCAUCAUAUAAAACAUCACACAAUGACCCAAACAUAUAUAGCACCGUUUAUUCAACACAUAAUACCAUCACCUACAUUAUCAAUUAUCCCUAAGAAAUUAUAAAUAUUAGAUAAUGAUAAAUCGGUCACCCAUUCUCAAAAUGAUAAUAAAUUAAUAGGAUUUUAUAUCAAAAGGGCCACUCAUUCCGCCCAAAAAUCUCACCUAGACCACCCAUUAAAAAAUCAUAUCAUUUAAACCACUAAAUUGAGUAUAUAUAUCAUUCUAUUUGAUGAUGUUAUGGUAAUUGAUAGAAAAUGUUAAGUUCUUAAACUUUCUGUCUCAAUUCAAAGUUGACGUGUUCAUCAACGUUGCUUCCGGCAUAUAUGCAUCCGACAUGGCGUCUAAAAAAAGAUAAAUUAAAUAGAUUAAUCGGGCCAACCUAAUAAAAAUGUAUAAGUAGAAUAAAAACCCUUAUUAAACUAUUCAUUCGGGAUAAAAUGAAUUUAGGAGGUCAUAAACUCGACCCCUCAAGUUUGAAUUGGGACGGAAAGUUUAAAAACUUAACGUUUUCCGUCAAUUACCAUGACGACAUCAAACGGAAUGGUAUAUAUACUCAAUUUAGUGUUUUAAAUGAUAUGGUUUUUAAAUGGGUGGUCUAGAUGAGAUUUUUGGACAAAAUGAGCGGUCCCUUACUCCCUUUGAUAUAAAACCCUAAAUUAAUAUUUAUAAUCAUUAGUUUUAAAAAUGGUAUGUAAAAUUAUGGUACUUUUGCGUUUUUUCUCUGGUUACUCGCUUAGUAUUAAGGCAGAAAAUGACUACUUUUAAGCGGAAGCAACCAGGGUGCAGCCCUACAGAGUCCCUUCCCUUGUUGAGUAUUACCUCUCGUCAUAAGUUUCUUAACACGAGAGACCAUUUGUGUGGAAUCUUUUAAUCAAUGGAUUGGGAUGUUUCUGUGCUGGAAAUUUCAAAUGGUUAAAGGGCUUGUGUUUUUGGUAUAAACCCAAUAUUCAAUCUUUCAUGUUUCUGCUCAUUAUUUUUAGUCAAGUUUGUUAUUUAUAUACUUUGUCUGUGUGUUUUAUUUACAAUUAUACGUAUCUCAUCUAAUUGGAACUUACAAAUAUUGUAGACAAAUUUACUAUCUUGCACCCAAAUUUCCUGAGAAUCUAAUUUUGAUGAAGGUGUACGCUGAGGUGUAUGAUAUGAUUGCCACAAAAAAAGGUUUUCAUCAAGAUCUGGUUUGGUGUUUGAUAACAGGUUUAUGUACGGUGGUUGUUCAUGGUAAAUUAUUCAGUUGUAUCUUUCGGACCAAUCAAUGGACGGAAUACAUUCACUUGUAAUAUUCGAGAGUUUGGUCUCUAGUAGCAAAUGUUAUGCAAGGAGGCGGUAAUCUAGAACAGAGAAUGGGGGCAUGGUCUAGAAGAAGGAAACAGGUGUGAGCGUUUCUUGUAAUUAGUUUAUAGUAGUGGUUUUAUUUGUUAAAUCCAGUCUGCUGUUUCACGAUACUAAAUCUACACAAAUCAUAUUUUGUUGCCAUGUUGGGAGUGUUAUUGAGUAUUGGUUACUUUCUGGAGUUCAACUUUCUGGUGUUCAACUUAUUUGAUAAAGAUAACAAAUAGGUCAUCAAUAUGGAUAAUCAAUAUAGAAAGACAAGUUUUUAAGGAACGAUAAUGCGAAAAUCUAAGACUUUGGGACUUGGAAGCAAACUUAAAUACAGCAUGGAUGGAAGUAUUUGCUUUGUACCAUGCAGUAGUUUUGAUCACAUAGUGCUAGCAGACCCAAUGUUGAACUUUUGGCGAUCCCUGCGGCACAUUGAGGCACUUUCAAUUUGUAAAUGUUACUGGUUCUAAACGAAUGUUUAAACAUAAUGAAUGUGGCUUUGGAAAGAUAAGCAUGCAUAGGUGCUAUUUAAAUCAUUUAAGAGAAAACCCAGACUUCCUAUAAUUUUGCUUUAUCAUUUCCUCCCUACUUGUCCUAGGAUUAGACUAAAUUACGCUACAUCUAGUUGUGAUUUCCAACAAAACAAAAAUUAAUAUAACUCUAGUAAACAAAAUCUACAAUCCUCCGAAGGGAAGAUUUACUUGUCAAUCAGAUAGUACGGGCAAAAAAUGAACAGAAAUCGCAAUGGAACUCGCCAACUCACCUGAAAUUACCCUAUUCCGCGGCAAAUCGCCCUUCUGUAGUGCUCACAAAAUUUUUAAAAUAAAAAAGAGACUUGGGUUGACAUUGGAAAAGAUAUAUGCUGAGGUGGACAGUCCGGAUAAGGUGAUGGGUUGGUGAGAUUUGCACCAUAUGACGACACAUGUUAGUAUAGAUAUACCCCUGCUACGACGGAUCAUUUGAGGUGGGCCGGAUCGAGAUCACUACGCUCAUGGCCUAUUACUUGACUAAUGACCGGAUAACGCUGAGGGAUUGAUAUAUAUUUUCAAAAAUACUAUGAUCCAUAUAUUAACUUAAUCGCAGAUUCACUUUUAUAUAUAUUGAAAAAGUUCAUGUAUAUGAGCAAGUUGUGACGGACACAAAAUUGGUAACUUUGCAAUUUAAUUUUGUCAUUUCCACGAGGUCAUUGGGGUCAAAUGUUUGUCCAUUUUUUACAAGAUUAAUAAUGCCUAGAUAUAAUUAGUGUGUAACACUAAAUACAACUGUCACUACUUGCUCACAUACUUGAACUAUUCAAUUAAAAUAUAAGUAAAUCUGCGAUUAAGUUAAUAUAUGGAUCAUAGUAUUUCUGAAAAUACAUAUCAGUUUCUCACGAUUAUCCGGUCAUUGGCCAUGUAAUAAGACUUUGGGGUAGUGAUCUCGAUCCGGCCCACCUCAAAUGAUCUGUGGUAGGGUAAAUUUAUACUAACACGUGUCAUCAUAUGGUACAAUCUCACCAACUCAUUACCAUAUCCUGACCGUCCAUCUCAUUACAUAUCAUUCCUAUGUCAACCCAGGUCCAUUUUUAAUUUAAGAAAUUUUGAGAGCACUGCUUGAGGGCGAUUUGCGGCGAACUAGGGUAAAUUUCAGGUGAGUUGGCGAGUACCAUUGCUGAUUCUGUUCAGUUUUUACCCGUAUAAUUUGAUUAACAAGUAAAUCUUCCCUUUAGAGGAUUGUAAAUUUUGUUUACCGGAGUGAUGUUAAUUUUUGUUUUGUUGGACAUCACAACUAGAUUUUAGCUUAAUUUAGUCCAAUCCUUCGACCGGUAGGAAGGAAUUGAUAAAGCAAAACUGUAAGAAGCCUUGGCUUUCUCUUGAAUAAUUUAAUAAAUAAAAAUUCAAUACUCCAAUUUUAUUCAUGUAAUAAGUAUAUUGAUUAAGUUUCUAAACCUGCUAGAUAGUGUGGUAAUAUUAAGUUUCUGAUCAGUUUUACUUGAUUGUUUCCUUUAAUUUACCGUUAAAUGUGAUAAAUUCUAAUACAUAUCAAUAUUAUCUUCUUUUUAUGAUAUCUUGACUUGUUGAGAUCAAUUAAGGAAAUAGCGGUGUAUGAUCUGACACUUGUAAAUAUUAAGGCAAUCAUUUUAUGGUUCUCACAUAUUUACUAGAUGUUUUUGAAGAACGUAAUUUGGUGCAGGAACAAAUUUGUGUGACAUGAUGUAUAGAAUUAAAAUAAUUUUGGUUAACUCCUCUUCUUCCCUGUGUCUUCUUCUGUUACUUAGCGGGUAUGUAAACCCGAAUUUACUUGAUGGUAGUGUGAAAUAGAACAUAAUCCUUAAUACACUAGCCGUGCUUCACAUUUCAUUGUAUCGCUUGUCUACUAAGAAUUAUAAUGUCUGUGAAUGCAAUUGUUUUUAUGAAUGAAACAUGCCAAGCUUUCGAGUAUGCAAAUUAAAUAAUUAUUUUGGGCUUACUAAUAGCUGCCCAAGUCAAGCUAAUGUUCUUCCAACUAGCAUAGCUUUCGUGACCUGUUAUUUAUUAAAGAAGUCCGUUGGUCCAAAGACUUCACAGUGUUGAUUGUUGCUUUAGUUAUAUUAGUCACUGUGAUACUCAGUAGACAGUAACAAACAUAACACCUGAGGAACUAGACAGCAUUUGGAGCAUGUACCACUUUUUUGACAUUUUGGAUUUCUGUGUGACCCUUUAAUCAGAAUUAUUGGAUGUCGUAUGCUUAGAAUUUUGGAUGCUAAUAUAAAACAAAAUGAAGACCGAAAAAAUAUGGUUUCAUGCUGUCAAAAGAUGUGGAUAGUAAAAAUCUUUUCUGUGGAUAUCCCUUUUUUUUUUGUACUUAUCCAUUUAAGUUGAAUUACUUCUACAAACUUGUAAGAGUAGUAGUAAAUGUCUGAAACAAGCACAAGGAAAGAUAUUUCCAGUCUGACUAUUAUGUAUUCUGUGGUUAUUAGGAACGACAAGAGCUUGAGAGAAUCAGCCCAUUUUUUCAACGAAGGCAGAAUGGAAAUGGUUGGAAAGCCUGCCUUGGGUGGAAUGGAAAAUGCAUUUUGUAAUAAUUUUCUGAGGCGGAUGGUUGAUUUUUUUGCGGGGCGGUUGAUAAUUCACCAUUUCUGGUAACUAUGUUCUGAAUUUGCUCUAUAUAAAUAUUAUAAGUUGUGUCUCGAAGUUUUGGAGUUCCUGGUUUGGGGCAUCUAAUCCUUACGUAGUAACAAUCAAAAGUGCGGGCGACUUAACCUAAUUUAAUUAAUAUUAAGGCCACAAAUUCCAAGAAGUGCAUGUAUACAGCAAAUCAAUGCAUAAGCCCUCCUUGGAAGGGGGGAGAUAAAGUCUUGGCUAAAUUUUAAGUGAAUAAGAGCAUGUCCAAUGGUUGUGCUAAAAUAGAUGGAGUUAUUGCUAUGAUUUGGCAUUGAAAAGUGAUUUAGUGCUAAAAUAGCACCAUGUCUCCAACGGUUGGUUUCAAUUCUUGUUUCAAAUUUAAAAUUCUUCAAAUACAUCCCACUUUAGAAUAUAAAUAUAACUAACUUUCAAAGACCCCACACUUUCAAGUACUUUUUUAUACAUCUUUUCAUCAUUUUAUUCUUUAGCAAUUAUAGCUCCCUCUAUCUUUUGUUCUAAAUAUUGAACAAACUAUAGCAUUGUUCUAUUUUAGAACAAGAUAUAGAACACCAUUGAUGUAGGGAAUUUUAGUUUUUGUUCUAUAAUAUAGACAUAGAACAAUAUAAAGAACACCAUUGGACUUGCCCUAAGGAAAUCUACUAAAAACAUGGAAUAUACCUCGCUCAUUGUCUACUAAAACUUUAAUCUAAAUGUUCCCUACUUUCUCUUGAAGUAUGCAUUGCGUAUAUAGUUGUGCCUUUGUGAACUAGACUGCUAUCGUAAAAGUUUCAUAUGCCAGUUGGAGCUUGAUUCUAAAUUUUCCAACUGGCCUCCCAGUUCCUUUAUCAAGUUCCCGGGAAGUUAAAAAAUAUGUUUGGUGGUGGUGUAGGAAUUUGCAGUGCCGGGGUGUGACAUAAGCAAGUGUCUACAUUAUGUGGAAAUUCCAAUUUACUAGGAGGUUCCACUUUCCAUAUAGCGGUCAACCAAAAAAUCUUACAAUUUGCUAGGAAGUUUAAAUUCCUGGAGAUUUACAUGUUAACCAAACUACCUCUUAUAAAUCUAGUUAUGGUUCAUUAGGAUGAUUGCAUUCUUACUGGGGAACGUUGAAGUUCUCAUUUUGGAAAGAUGUUGAGUAUGCAUACCCUUUAUCCAGUUCUGAUUAAUAUUUUCGAUUUUAGUGGCCUUAACAUAAACUAUGCGCUAAUUUGCAUUUUAAUAUGUAAACCUUCAGUAAAUUAGCUUCCAGUAAGCUUUAUUAUCUUCUAAUGUCUAGCUGCAGAACUUUUUACUGUACUGGCAAAAGGAACAAUCCUACUCUAGUUUCUCCUCUAUGUGUUAAGUUAUUUUAAAUCUUGCAAAGGAUGAAUCUGUCCUUAAGAAACAUCUGUAAAAGUAAUGCAUUCUGUUUUCAACAAACUACUGACUCUUUCUAAAUAAAAUUCAUUUGAAUGUGCAUGCUCAAUCUAGCUUUGUGGUGAGUUCUUCGUUUCCCUAUUUGUUAACAGGCAUGCUCCGCGACCAGUAAAACAAGGAAGAGAACGGAAAAGGAUAUGCAGGAGAUCGGGUGACACAGUUUCGGGAGCAUGGGGCAUUCUUCCAACUGAACUUCUGGUGUCAAUUCUGCUAAAAUUAAGUAUCGUGGACUACCUGUCAUUUAGCGGUGUUUGUAAAUCUUGGAGGUCUGCAUCUAUUGAUUUCCGCAAAUAUUGUAUGGAGCACCAGCAACCCCUAAUUGUUGUUCGGCCUAAGUAUUCAAAAAAGUCUUGUGUAUUGUACAAUAUGUUCGAUAUGAAAAGUUACAAAACAAUGCUGCCAGAUUUGCCUUGCAAGAAAUUAUUGGGUUUGUCAUGUGGGUACCUGAUUACAAUCGACAGAAACCUAGGCUUUUGGCUCGUAAAUUUAAUGACAAAACAUGAGCUGCGUUUUCCCUUCCUUCGUGGUAUGGGUGACAGAAAUUUCUUUGAAUUUUCUGCUCGCCUCUUUCGGUCCACUCGGCUUUCAGAAACUUUCAUGAUUCUUUUCUCUCUGAGAACAAAUUAUAUUUUUUUAUCCAAAAGUGGCGGCAGCAGUUGGCAAAGAUAUGUUUUAUUCGACACAAAAGCCAGGAUUGCAGAUGUGAAGAUUUUUUAUGGCAAAAUCUUUGUUUUGACUUCAGAUGCACGUUUGGGAGAAUUUAAUCCGAAGGCAGGUUCUGUUCCGAAGUUCUCCAAAAUCAGCAUCCCUUUUCAGGUUUCAUCUAAUAUGUAUGUGAAGUUGGUAGCGUCAGACAAUAAGCUAUACAUGACUGUAUUGAAUAAUCAUCCUUAUCCUGGAUUGGACCAAUAUCUUUCAUUAUUCGAAAUUGACCAUGAGACAAUGGAUAGAGCAAAGCAGAUUCAUGACUUGGGUGCAAAAUCUUUAUUUCUUAGUUGGUUCAGUUCUGCUGUCGUCGAUACAACUGGUUGGGGAGCAGGUAACUGUGUUUGUCUUCUUCAGUUCAGAUUUUUGAAUGCUUGUUCUUUCUUUAACCUGAAUGGAAAUUGGCUAGGAACAACUCCUGUUGUUUGGGAUGGUUAUUUUUUACCAUAUUUUUGGUAUUUUCCUAGUGAAAUUUGGUCAGUAAGUUGUGUCAGUGAUGAGUUUGGCGCGUGAUGACUUCUAAAUCUCAUGUCAGUUUUUUCCAUUAAGUCUGUAGUUUUUAUCUUCAUCUUACAUUAUGAAACUUUGAACUUGUCCCAUUAUGAAAACUUUUAUACAUUGAUGCUAUAAUGUUUGCCUUAAAGGCACCAGAACUCAAAUGUCAUUCUCUGUGUUUCUUAUUGGCACCAUGUUUGUUCCGUUGUUCGUGUAUAAUACAGAUUCUUAGGAAAAAGUUUCCCAAUUUGAAGCUGCAGUUCAAUAAGCAAACUUUAAUUUAUAGAUGAUUACAUUAUUUCUGAAUUAUUAUAGUGACAAAUAGAUAUGUUAAUUUUCAAGAAGGAGCUACAGUUUCUUCCAUCUCUUUUUCCUUCCAGAUCUUUGCAUGUCCAACUCUUUUUCCAGCUGCUGUGUCAUCAAGUGCUAUGCUUACUUGAACAAACUCCUUAAUUUCUGAAUGGAGGGCCUCUAAAUCUGUCCAUCCAGACAAACUCCUCUUGUUCAAAUUAAAUGAGUCCUGGCAAAACUAUUCUUGUUCAGCUUUACAACCAUAUCCAGACUUUCCAAUGGAGAUUGUAUCUCUUCACAAGUGCAUUCUAGAUUCAUAUGUAUAGUCUACUGCAUAGUCUAAUUGGAGAUUGUAUCUCUUCAUAAGUGCAUUCUAGAUUCAUAUGUAUAGUCUACUGUACAGUCUAAUUGAUCGAUUUUUUUUAAUAAGCCGGACAAAAAGAUAUAUUAUGCCGGAACCUUUAUCAGAUCAUCACUUGUGCGGUUUUCACAAUCCUACAAGAUGAUUUGAAUACAUUAAGUCCACCCACCAUUUAUUUUUUGCAGAUUUAUCUUCUACUUCUUUCUCAUUCUCUGCAAUAGUCUAAGCUCUAGUUUAUCUUGUAUAUCUUAUUUUAAAUGGGCAAGGAGCAUUGCUUCUCCACUUCUAUAAAGAUUACAUCCAUCUUUUGCUUUGUUUUCUGAUUCAAUUUUCAAAGAUGACAUUCAUGACUCAGUAACAGCCAAACUCGCAAAUCUUUUGAGUCAUCAUGAGCAAGUUCUGAAAAGUUCUCUCUGGAAGAAGUAGUAUUUGUUUGUUCCUGCCGAGUUGAACUCAUGGCAGAAGUUUGCGGUUAAUUUAAAAAUUUUCAGACCUUUACAUGUUGGGAGUGCUUACAGUGUUGUCCUCAUUCAGUAUUUGGAUCUCUGUUUCUCAAAUUCGCCUCCUGUUUGUAUUACGAUUACAGUCUUUUUCUAGGAAUCGCUUCGAAGGGAGUAGCCCCAUUACGCCUUUCCAUGAUUUUAAAAAGAAAUCAUCCCAAUAUCCUAACACCAUAGAGGAUUUGAGGUUAGUCGUGAGUGCUACAUGUCUGGAGAAAUAACAGAAAAUAAGUUGUAUCGCUAGUAAAAUAUGAUGUGGGUAUUUGGCUGACAAAGAAGUUGGUUUUUUUUGUUUUUAAGCUAGCUUCUGCUUUUGCAUGACCGUUUGGCAUAUAAGUUUCAUGGGCUUAUUGUGGAUUCUGUGGAGGGAAGCAAGAAGCUUCAAUGUGUAGCUUUUUUCUCUUGCCACAGUUGUUUAUUUGUUUAAUCAUCCAAACACUUAAUCAAUUUAUAAGCUUAUGACUACUUAUCACUUACAAUUCACUUCUUCACCUUAAGCAAUAAGUAACUUUUUUUAAGUUAAGCUAAACGACCCCAACAUAUACUCUAAGAGCAACUCCAAUGCAAUGCUAUACUUGGUUCUAUUGUUAUAUUAUAGCAUCAAAAGUAAAAAAAACUCAACUCCAAAGGGGUGCUAUAUUUGGAUGCAUCCAUGCAUAGAUGCAUCCUUGGUUUUAUAUUUGAAACCAAGGAUGGAUCCAUCCAUGUUGUCAAGGGGAGAAUUUGUUGAGAUAUUUAAUAAAAUUUAUAGAAGUUAGAUAAAAGUUAAUGAGUUGGUUAAAUUUGAAAUUAGUUAUAGAACUUAGCAUUGGAAUGCAAGUUUUAUUUUAACACCAAAAAACACUUUUUGGUGUUAUAUUAUAGCAAUAACAAUAAAUAUAUAGCAUAUAGCAUUAUACUUGCUCUAAGUAAUUCAACCAAAUCUCAUUUGAACUCUAGAAUGCAAGUCGCUGGUAUUGUUGUAAACGCUAGAUCACACAGUUGGUAAUUCUUCAGUGUAGAUCUUGGUCCCAAAAAAAAUCUAAGAUUUCCAAGGGAAGCAAAAAAUGGUGUGAACUGUGAAGUAAACAAUAGAGCUGUACAGUGAGAUGUAUGAUUACAAGCAACACCUUGCUUGGACAAAAUGCAUGUAAGCGACAUCUAUGGUGCUUGCCUUCUCUACAUUGGUGUCUACCCCUUAGUUCUAUAUAAAUAGAUUUGUAAUCCGAGUCGCGCGGCUAGCGAACUCGCUUGGUUCGAAGUCAUUUACUCCCUCCUUCCCACCCAAUUCUUUACACUAGAUUUGGGUACGGAAGUUAAGAAAUAUGUAUAAAGUAAUGAAAAAGAGUAAGAAAAGUGGGUGAAGUGGUGGGACUCACUGAUUCUUAAUAUAUAAAAGAAAGAUGGUGGAAUAAAAGUAGUGUGAAUAGGGAGAUGUGAAAAAGUAGUGGGAUCCAUUAAUUAUUUUAAGAAAAUUUUGUAAUGUAAAAAAAUAAGUGGACAACCAAAUAAGGAAACUGUAAAAAAUCUGAUGAGAUGGAGGGAGUACCAAGUUUGACACACUAUCAGCAGCUGCAUUGUGGCAAUAUCAGACACGACCCGAACCCCGACACGAACCCGACCCAACUCGAAACCCGAUUUACUGAGACAGAAACCCAAAAAUGAGAGAUGGAGGGAGUACCAAGUUUGACACACUAUCAGCAGCUGCAUUGUGGCAAUAUCAGACACGACCCGAAACCCGACACGAACCCGACCCAACUCGAAACCCGAUUUACUGAGACAGAAACCCAAAAAUGACCCGAAAAUCACCCGAUUGACCCGAAAUGACCCGAAAUUAGAAUUUCAUUUCUAAUAACUUCAAUUUUCAGUUUUAUUCAAUUUCAAGUGAUUUUAGCUUGACCCAAAAUCGACACGAUUGCUGACACGAACACGACCCGUUACCCGAAAUUGCCACCCCAAGGAGGGGUAUAUUCAUCUGGUCAAACUAAUACUUCGUACUGCUUCCGUUAUUUAAUACUUAGGUUGACUUUUUGAUACACUGAAAUUUCUUGAUUUUAAAAAGCGGACAAAAAUAAUGAAUGUGUAUAAUUCCGAUAUUAUACUUCUUUCAUCAUAUUUUAACUAAUGCAAUAUUUGUUUUAACACAACAUAUUAAGUUGUAAAAUAUAAUAAUCAUGCUUAGCACAUAUUUUAAUUCUUAUAUUAAAUUAAUAUUUAGACUUGAAAUUUUUAUUUGAUAUGUUCUACAAAAUAUAAUAAAAUUUAUUUGAAGAAAUUUUUUAAUAGUUUUAGAAAAGUUUGGGUGAUAAAAAAUUGAGGGUGAAAUCUAAAAAUAAAGAAGAAGACAUAAAAAUGAUUGUGACUACAGCUGUAAACGAACCGAGCUAGUGGUCAACAAACUCGACUCGACUCGGUAAGAAGCUUGCCUCAGUUCGCCUCGGCUCGUUAACGAGCUCGAGUUCAAACAACCAAACCUAUUCGAUUAGCUUAACGAGUCGAUUGUUAAGUCGAUCCGAGCUUUUUACAUGUCUGACUCGACUCGACUCGAUUUUGACUCGAACUCGAGUACGACUCUUUAAACUCGAACUCGGCUCGAUAAGUUAUAUACAUUAAAAAAGAUAAUCUUAUUUAUAUUAUUUAAAGAAUGGAUUAACAAUAUGACUUUUGGUUUUUGUUCCUAUUAUUUUAAACUUUCAAUUUUUAUUAUUUUUUAAGUGUGUAGACAAAAUCAAAGCAAAAAAUGGAAAAAAGUUGAAAUUACUAUUGAUCGGCUUGGUUUCGACUCGCCUCGGUACGUUAAGAGAACUCGAACUCGAUUCAGUCGUUACCGAACUCGAGUUCGGACCAAGAAAAAAGAUCGAUAAGAUCAUCGAGUUUGGCUCGACUCGGUUAAAAAAAGCUCAACUCAAAAUCGAACUCGGUAAAACUCGACCCGGCUCGAUUACUUUACGGUCCUAAUUCUAAUAGACGGAGAUAUGAAAUAUUUUUCUGAAUUCCUUAUAUUUUCUUUUCUUACUAUAAACAGCUAUUUGAAAUUAAAUUAAAAAGAAAAAUCAGUAUUUUUGUUUCUAUCCACCCAAAUGAUCAAAAUAUAAAACACAUAAAAUACACGUAAUCUAAGUAGAUAACAAACUACAACAAGUUCAUGAUAUUUUACUAACUAGAUUGAGACUUUAAAAAAGAAAAACUGAAAUGCAAGAUCUCCCGUAUUUUAAGAUUAUGGGCAUCCGAGAAACUUUGAGUUGGAUCAAAUGUAGUGGUUGAAACAGACUGCUUAGUUGCAGUCCAAGCAGUUCGAAGUGAAGCCGCAAUGAUCUUAUACUUUGGUUCUUUAGUUCAGGAAUGCAGAGAGUUGUUGAGGUAUGCGAAAGACAAAGGUGUAAUCCUUAGGUUUGUUAAGCGAUCUGCGAAUAACUUAGCUCAUGCUCUAGCUAGCUGUAGUUAUUUUGUGGCUGACCGCAUCUGGAAGGCAAAUGAAGCCUACCCAGAAAUUAUUCAUGUACUCAAAAAUGAUUUGAUUUAAUGAAUGUUCAUUCCUCUGUUGACAAAAAAAAAAUGUUAUAAUAGACAGUUAUGCAGCUUGCAAGCCCCAAAUUCAAGUCAUUAAUUCAUUACAAUCUCUGGUCACAAAACAUGAAGAAAAGUGUACCCAGUAAAAAAGAAACAUUAUAAAAAUAUAAAACAAUAGAAGAGUUUCCUUAAAACUUAAUGUUCUCUCUAGUGACUAGCACAUAGUCAUCGCACUUUCUGCUCAAAUAUAUUAAAAUAUUACUUACACACAUAAAGCAAUAGAUGCCUACAUUACAGAUACAAUGUACAAUGUACACACAUUAAUGCACAAAGUAUAACACAUCAAUCCAGUAUAUCUCUAUUCUCUGCCAUUAUAGAAAAAGUAAGUUAGCCUAUAACAAAUCACACCACUCUUUUUCAUUUUUUUUCUUUUCAAUUCAUUCAAUUUUUGAAGCUCACAAAACAAAUUUCUCAUCACAAAGUUAAACACUUUUCUCGGCUAUGUUCGAGUUUUUUCGUAUAUUCUUAUAAAUUUAGUUUCAUGACAAAGAUUAAUAUUUUCAAACAUAUAAUAAUAAUUUUUUUCAAAAUUAAAUUUUCAAUUCUUUUCAAUUAUUAAUUGAAAUAUUUCAAAAUAUAACAUAGUCAUUUACUUAUAUAUAAUCUUUAUUUUGUCAAUUGAAAUAUUAUAUUCCAUCAACACAUUUAUUUAUAAGGAUGACAUAAAUCAGUACUCAAAUCAUUAAUAUUUAAUAUAUAUUAAAUACCCCAUCUCAAUUUUUUGGAUCAAAUGAAAUCUCAUUAAUAAAUUAAAAUCUUUUUUUUUGAAAGAAAAAUAUAUCUAUAAUUCUAUAUUUAAUUAUCCGUAGAUAUGUGUUGUUUUGUGAGGGGAAAUAUAUUACCGAACUCAAACUGUCAUAUAAUACACAUAGCUAUACAUACAAAAACAUUAAUUGCUACUACACUUCCCUUUAAACGAGAGAGAGAGACAGAGAGAGAGAGACAGCAAUGUCAUCAGCAGAGGUGGAGGUGGCAGUGCAAAUCGAGCAGCGGCGGCGGCACCGGAGGUGGACCCACACGCCGCAGAUCACAUUCAGCAGUGGUGGGACCACAACAGACGGGAGUGUGUAUUUCUCUGAUUCAGAGGAGGAGGAGAAUGGGGGGGAAUGUGGGGUGUCAGGAGGGGAUGAGGAGGAGGAGGUGGAUUUGGAGAGUGGGGAAUUGGAGAGGAAAGUGCAUAGUUAUUAUAGGAAUAAGAGGAGGAGGAGGAGGAAGAAGAAGAAGAGAGAUGGGGAGGAGAGAGAUGAGGGGGGGAGAGAGUGUAGGAUUUGUCAUUUGGAUGUCAUGGAGAGAGACAAUGGAGGUGGAGAGAUGGUGGAGGAGGAGGGUGAGAAUGGUGGUGGGUAUAUACAGUUGGGAUGUGAUUGUAAAGGUGAUUUGGGUGCUGCUCAUAAGAGAUGUGCUGAAACUUGGUUCAAGAUUAGGGGCAAUAUGUCAGUCUCUCUCUCUCUCUCCCUCUCUCUCCCUCUCCAUAAAGAUCAAUCCCUUAAAUUUGUAUAUGUGUGUUAAAUAGUUCUAAUUGUGAUGUUAGUUUAGGAAAUGUGGUGUUCUUUUUGUGUUAAUUGUGAUUUGUGAGUCCUUUUUCUGAUAAAUUCAUGUUUGUGAAUGUGUGUUUUCUUGAACAGUACUAAAUUUGAUGUUCAUUUGAAAAAAGGUGGAAUCUUGUGAAUUGAUUGAUUCAAAAUCUUUCUUAUGUAAUGUGUGUUCUGUUUAGUACUGAUACUAACGUUAAUUUAGGAAAAUGUGGUAAUCUGUGAGUUCUUUUGUGAUUUCAAUCUAUGUUAUGUAUACAUUGUGAGUUACUGUGCAUAAUUCUGAUUUUAAUGUUAGUUUAGGAAAGGUUUUUUUUUGGGCCGAAUAGUGCUGAUUUUAGUCGUUCCUGUUUAUGUAUAUGUUUUUGAUUAAGACUUUGCUCCCAUAUUUGUUUUUCUAAUUGAGAAGUAAGAAUUCCUUGAGUGUUAAGUUAGAAAUGUGGUCACUCAAGAAUUGAUUUCUAUGUUUGUGAUCAAGUACUUGCGCCCUUUUUUCUGUUUGCAAUCCAGUAUUUGUGAAUAUAGGAGAAAGUUUUUUCUUUUUAGAAGACUUUUUUGUUGUUGUAAAAUUUACCUUUUCUUUCUGAAGUUAGCUGCAAAAAUCUGUAGAAGAUGAUUUAAAAGCAUACUUUUCACUCCUAAUGCUUCUAUGGUUUUUUUUUAGUUUUACUUACGGGUAUCCUAUUCUAAUCGUGGAUUUUUGAGUACCCUUUCCCCCUUUGUUCUGGUUUCUUCAAAGGUGUUUGCAACUAAUAUUACUCAUAUAGAUUGAUGCUUUUUUGUUUUUUUGUUCAUAAUGUGCAUUAUAUAUGUGUGUUCCUAUUAGAUUGCUCAUUGUCGUGUUUUCUAAGUUUUUAACCUUUCCUGGCUAUCUACUUCUUAGGGUAUAUUAGCUAAGCUAAACUAGUUCAGUCUCAGCUAAAAUUAAGCAACCAUAGUUCUUAAUCCACCUCUUUUGCAUGGCACAUGAAAUUUAUGAGUUCAAAUCAUUAGUACAGUUUUGUUUUUAUGCCACAAGUUAAGUAACAGCUAUCCUUUUCCAGCUUUUGUAAUUUUAUGGUACUUUACAGCCAUUCUCAGGCAUUAUUUUCACCAGCCAAAAAAUCCUUAUGAGACUAGUUUAACCUGUUGUUCUUCCAUUUUUUGCACAAGUAUAACUUCAACUUCUGUUAUUCACUUCAUUUUUUUUUUAAUCUAUCUGCCAAUUGAUUUUGUUUUAGUUUAUUUUUGGUUAGGAUCAAUCACAGAAAUUUUAAAUACUCAUGCAAGCAUAGCUUUACUGAGGCCUGAACCCCUGACAUCUCAUUUGAAACCAUUUUUCAGAACAUUUAUGUCUUGCUGCUGUUCCCAUAAAUCAAUAAACUUUGUAGGAUCCAGGUGCAACUUGAGUUGUAUGAGUGUGAUGCAAGUUUGUAGUGAGAGCUAAACAAGUUUCAUUAGAUCAGAGUUAACAUGCCCUUCAUUCUGAAAAAUAAAUUUUGUUGCUUUACUUCAGUUUAUACUGGCCAUUGCCUGGAAUCUGAUCGGUACACUGACUCACUUCAGUAGAUUCCAAGCAUAUGGAUCCGUUUUUUACCCAUGUGUCUCUCCAUUCUGCUUGUGCAUUUUCUUCUGUAUACAUUCUUUUGCCAGUUUUUCAAAUUUUAUGUUUUUUUAGUUAAACUUUGUAGAAUUGUCCAACCAUAUACAAACACAUUCUUGCCAGAGCAUAUUUUCUAGUCACUCUUGAUGUGCUAAAUAUAUAUACACGCACAGAGAAUGUAAUGUUAGACAAAACCUCUUGUCCUAAUUGCAAGAACAAGAGUACAUAAUUGAACUGAAAUAUUAAAAUAAUGCACAUAGGUACAUAGUUAUAUUUGGCUGGAUUCAGAGUUUCCUUUUUCGUAAUAUAAAGGUGUGUGUGCAUCCUGACCCAUCAAGAAGAAAGUCUAACUUUUCAUCUUGCCUGUGUCUCUACAAGUGUGUCUCGCAGGAAGUCUAUCCUAUUGAUCUGCUAUAAUUCAAUCAACUUGUUGUUUUAUUAAGUGGCUUAAUGUAGGCUCUAGAUCUAAAAUGUCAUCAGAUUAUAUAAAUCUUGUUGUAGUUCAUUAUGAAGUUAUGAUUCUGUUCCAGAGCAGUAUAGGUGCACUACUGGGAUUAAGUUAGUUUAAUUGAGCACUCUCUUGUACAAAACAAUGUAGGUGCACUGUUUGAAUUUGUUGAAACUUGAAAGUAUAAGUUCCAUUUACCAACACAUCAUGUUUUUGAAAAAGUUAGUCACCUAGCAUUCCUCUGACCCCCAAAUUUAUCAAAUUGUGGAUAUUUAUUUCUCCUUGUGAGAUUGUAUCCCUUAAUGGGAUCCUUUCAUGGUGCAAGUGACAGAAGUAACUUGAUUAUGUUAGUGGGUGGAAAAGGAGCUUACUCAGGCUCCUGCAGUAGUAAUGGUCCAGGCAAUGCUAAAUUUAUGCAGCCUUACCUUCUCUUUUAGAGUGGAUAUAACAAAAAAAAGAGGAAGCUCUAGAUUAUCCAAGUAAACAGAAAAUCUAACUGUAGGUCCCGUCUUUGUUCUGACUCCUGAUCACCGCCAUUAUUUCAUACUGCAAUUUAUUACUUUUUUUUUAUAGCUGAGCGGGUACCUCUCUCCUCUCGGAUAAGAAAUAGAUAAUUGAUGUUGGCAUAAUUUUCUUCAUUUUAACUUUCUGUUUUCUAUCUCGUAUUCGAUUAACAAGUUACUGAAAAAUAUAAUAAUUUAAAGGAAUUUAGCUUGCUGCCUUGUGUUUAAUUGCUGCCUGAAAAUCCUGAUUUUUUUGCAGAAUUUGUGAGAUAUGUGGUGCUAUUGCGCUCAAUGUUGCUUCUGAACAGAUGAUUGAGGCACUCAAUGUUUCCGUUGAGCAGACAAAUUUGGCAAACUACACUGAUGGACCUGUGACAGAAGUAAACGCGGCACCUGAGGUCGUUUCUGGUUCUCGAUUCUUUGAUGGUCGCCGACUUAUGAACGUUCUGCUAGUCUGCAUGAUUGUCGCUUUUAUCAUAUCCUGGCUUUUUCACUUCCAUGUUUUUCACUAAAUUUUAUAGAAUGAUUUAUCCUCUUAAAUCCUAAGGAAGAACUCCCAAUUUAAAUGUCUAUAUCCAAUAUGGUAGCUGAGUUAUAGAAGUAUUACAAAUGCUUUAAUUUUAUAGAAUGGUGUAUCCUACUUUGGAUUUUAUGACAAAAUUUUGGGUUAUAUCAGAGCACUGGCACUCCAUUAUUAUGUGAAUUUGGGCCCUCCUAGUGCAGAUGGACCAUUUACCUUUCUGCAACUUAUUAGAUAACUACCAGUUUUUCCAGGACAGCCUUUCAAACCUCUUUUAUUUUGUAUGUUAGGUAUGUUUCAUUGCCUUGGAUUUUAAAGUAUGUGGGGAUGGUGUGUGACAGUGUGAGAAACCCAUACCUUGCGGUCUUGAGUGAAGGAGACGGAGUCUGGCACUCUUAGUCUCUUACCAUUAAAGAAUCCUCACUGUUUCAAAAACAAUGUCCCAUUUCAAAGUUCGUGUAUACUGAAAACCUUUCUUCUGCACUGUUAUUUUCAUCCGACACAGAUAUGAACAUGUUUGUUGAAUCGGAAGGAUGCUUGUGUUUGAAGUGUGUGGAUAUAUUUAUCAAAUGAAAAACAUCGUCCCCAAUAAAGAAAGGGAAAUAAAUUUUGAUUCUUUUAAGCAAUGUUUUAUAGAACUGGGCAAUGGGUGCCAACAUGAGUAUUAAUGAUUAAUUUUCAACAUAACAGAGGAGACAAAAUGGUAAGCAAGCUGAUAAAAGUUCCUCAUUGAUCCGUAUUCAUUGAUGCUUCUAAUGCUGGCAAAUCAUCAUUAAAUCCUGGCAUGAAUUUAUCAAUAUUUUAUUUGCAGGGACUCCUGCAGAUUCAGAAACAAGAGACACCGCCAAAAUAAAUAGCCUUAAAUAACAAGAAUUAAAUGAAUAAAAACGUUGCUGUGUUAUUAAGAAUGGAACGAUAGGAUAUAAAUAAAUUUGAUCAGCUGAGAAAAAUGAGAACAAAACGGGAUUCUACUCAGUUUUCCUUGACACCCAUAGAAAAAUCAUUUGUUGAUGGAUACUAUACUUAAGCAACUAGCAGUCGUAAAACUUGUGUCGUAUCUUAUAGCACAUAGAAUUCACCAAAGAACAAGCCCAGCAAGUAGUGCAAGUCAAAAACAUUUUUCUUCCAUACGGCGCAGAUCUAUAAUUCAAAUUUUGAAGAAACACUAUACAAAUUUUCAGAAAACAUCUGUAUAUUUUCAAAUUUUCUGGGAGCAAUUAUGUAAUUUUGCAAAACUUAAAAUGGUGACAAAAUGUCAAAAUUUUUUUAAUGAAAAACGCAUGUCUUCAUGUGCCUCUUAUUAGAUUUGCUCCUGCUUUCGUGCAAAGGGUAAGGCUGAAAAGAUAACAUAUGUUGAGAACGGCAUUACCAAGGUAAAUAAGCCCGGAGGCAAAAACUUCGAGUAGUGAAAUUACUGAUAUUGAGGUGCUUUUCUUGCUUUUCAACCCAGGAAUGGUGUUAAAUUGCCUCAGAUUUCUACAUAUUAGGCCCACUGAGAAAUAAAUUUAAAGCUUCAGAGUUGUCUAUGCAUGGUCUUGACCUUAGAACGUGCUUUAAUUGUGAGAGAAUAGCUUUAUGCUUACAGAUUUAUAAAUAGCAAAGUCCUCGGCUUGUAUUCAGUGUAGGGUACAUGGUAAGAACAGAUGGACUCCGUGAAACACACAAUACAGGACUCGGCUGAUAACUUGUAGUCUCCCGGGUUAUAUGUUAAAACCUUGCUACCACAACAUUCUAAAAGAAAUUAUCUCAACACCAAGAUUAUGGUACAUGAAACUUAGGGGGGUGCGCAUUGCAAUUAUACCAACUCCCGGGUGCGGUUUGAGUUUUCCAAAGUAAUGGUAUAAUAUCAUUUUUGAACAAUAGUUAGGGGGUGCGCAUUGCAAUUACCUCUUAAAUUUCUUGCCCUGUGAAUCCAUUCUGCAAUCUCCGAAUGAGAGGGUGUAUUAAAACUAUGUGAUCAAGUCUUUCUACUAAUGCCUUCAAUUUCUAGGAAAUCUGAUGGUAAACAGCACUAGCUAGUAAUCAAGAGGGAAAGAAAGCACAAGCUUCUUUACCAAUAGUAUUAGCCCCAGCAUCUGAGGAAUGCUGUAUCUGCAAAAUGUCACUCUUGGACCGCAAAACAUAGGCCAUACCAGCAUGCUUAUUAAUCUACUGAUUAUAGCGUAAAGUAGCUAUAUCCAAAUAUCCAGAAGCAAACAUAGAUAUUAGAUAGGAAUGAGUGAGAGACUCUUGGUUGAGGGAGAAGCGGAGAGUGAUCUUCAUCAGUGAAUGAAAAUGUGGAAGCUGAUGCAUCCUCUGCUCACCCAUGUUCCAUCUUCUUCCACUGCGUUUAUUUAGUUAUAUUUCACCCGAUUAUAAUAGAAAGGUUUUAUUUGACAAAACAUCUUUAUUUGAAAUUGUUAUAAAUAACUUUUUUCAAUUUUUGUAUAUACAAGAUAUUUAAUUAAGCUAAACAUAUAGUUUAGAGAAAAUUGAAAUUGACACAAUUAUCAUAUUUUUUUUAUAUAUUUGUGAUAAAAUCACGUUCCAAAUUGAUGAUCAAAAUAUCAUCCUAAUUUCUAAUAUCCUUUUGAGAGUGAAUCGUCUUAUCUGUGUUUACAAUUUAUAAGCGGAUCAACACAAUCUAAUGUAAAAUAGAAAUCAAUUUGUGCUACAAAUAAAAAUUACGGAAAUUAUAUAAAAAAUUCAACUGUAACGAGACAUUGUUAUUUUUUAUUAUUUUAUUCAAAAAUCUAAUGUUUUUAAUUCAACAUCCCUGAUGGAUUAUAUUUGACUAACCUCUAAAAACUUAUAAGUAAAUUCAAUAUAUAUUAUUAUAUUAAAAUUUUAUUUUUGAUAAUUUGAAAUAAUAAUAAUAAUAAUAAUAUACAGUUUUGAAAUAUGGUCAGUUAAUAUAGUUAAUAACAUCAAAAUAAAAUAUCCUAUUGGUCCAGAUAUUAUUAUAUAUAAAAACUAGAGGUAGAAUUCUAUUCUAUUAGUUAGUAUCAAUGUUGUGAAAUGCGAAAAUUAGAAUAAAUUGAUGAAAAUAUAAAAUUAAAAUUAAUCAUGUAUCAAUUAAAUUAAUUGAGCAUUAUUCAAAUGAUUAUUUAAGUAAUUAGAUAUUUUAUUAUUUCGACAAGUUACAAAACAUAGAAUAAUUUUGGUGAACUAUGAUUAUUAUUAUUAUUAUUAUAGCUAUUAUAUUAUAUUUUGAUAAGAUUAUAGCUACUCCCUCCGUUUCAAAUUAGAUAUACACUUUUAAAAAAUCACAUAUUUAGGAAAAAUGGUUGUUCAUAAAUUAAUUGAAUUAAAUGAGCAUAAUAUAUGGUGUGAGAUUGAUCUAGAAAAUAUAAAUAAGAGAUAUGUGGAGAAGAAUUGUCUUAGGAAAUAUGAUUUUGUAUUGAAAGUUGAAGUGGACACGUAAUUUGAAACAAAUUUUUUUUUUUGAAAAUGGACAUGUAAAUUGAAACGGAGGGAGUAUUAUAUUAUAUUUUUUUUUUAUUUUGUCAGGUUUUAUAGCUAUUAUAUUGAACGGCUGAGAUCUUCUCCAAUCAUUUCACUAUUAAACAUACCUUCUAAAACCCUAGUUCUUGCAAUAGCACCAAAACUGCUAUCCCUCGUAUCUGUAGCAUCUCUAUCUGAUCAAUUUCUACACCAGGUUUGAUCCAAUCACAUAUAUACACACAUUUAGAUUCUGGGUUCUUUUUCUUAUUUGAUCCCGAGUAAAUUUGAUAUAUUUUUGUGCGUUUUCUAGCAAGAUUUUACUAAUAUUUGCUGGGUUUUGUUUGUUGUUUCAGAAUCUUGAGAUACAAUGGCAGCUAAUAAUUCACCACCCAUAGUAGACAAGGAGCAGGUUUGCAUUUUCUUUAAUGCUUCCCCUUUUUUGGUUUUUUUUUUAUGUAUGUGGGUGUAUCUUUUUUAUGUUGAAUCUGGGAAAGUUUGGAUUUUUAUUGGGGAUAUUGUUGUUUUCUUGGCUGAAUAUGUGAGUUGUAGUCAGUUUGGGUCUACUGGUUUAGUCAGAGGUUAUGAUUUUAGGUUUGAGGCCGUGUUCGUAAACGUGUUAAUUCUGGGUAGCUUAAACUAUGUUGGAAUUAAAUUCUAAUGAUAUCAGUUUGGGCUUUAAUUGUUUAGAAGUGGUGGCGUUUUUUGGUGUAAGUUCGAGUUCGUAAAUGUGUCAGUUGUUGAGUCAUUUAAGAUAUGUUGAAUUUGGAUCACAAUCGUGUAUCAACUUUAAGUAAUAAGGUAAAUGGAUCAUUUUGGCCGAACAUGUGAUUUGUUGUCAGCUUUAGGGUUAUUACUUAUGUUGUUUUUGUCGUUUGUGUCGGUUUAGAUAUAUUCAUUGGUUUUUCAGAAGAAAUGUAAUGAAAAUUUAUAAACAAAGUAAAAGGUGGAAGAGAAUGAUAUAAAGAAGGUAUAGUGAAAAAUGAGCUAUUAAGAAGGUAUAGUGAAGAAUGAGUGUGUAAUUUAUCUUUCAGGUAACUUGCAGUAAACAUAAUUGCAAAUUAGGAAUAAGCAUUCGUCCCUAAAAUGGUGGGAUUGCGCUUUAAAUUUGAAUUCUAUGGGGGUGUCAUUGGGAUAGCAAUGAAAACAUACAUGGUCCACGCACAAAUUUGUGCAAAUUUCACAUUUUUGCUUAAUUUCAUUCCUUCUAAUCAAACAGAGCAUUAAAUAAAUUAUUAUUAUUAUUAUAGUUUAUUCCUCUGUUGCUGCAGUCCUAGAAUGAUUCUUUUUAUCAUGUGUGCUGAAUCAGUAAUUUUNGUCGGUUGAGUUUGUCAUCGAGAAUGGCAGUGAUGGCAGGACCAAGGCCGUUGAUGUCACUGGCCCAGAUGGUGCUUCUGUCCAGGGAAGUGGUAGGGGCGGCGGCGGAGGCGGGGGGAGAGGCGGCGGGGGGUGGGGGGGGGGGGGGGGGUCAUUGUUGCUGUAGUCAUAAAUUGAUCCUUUGUUGUAUGUGAAUUUCAUUCUUCGUUGACGAAGGGAUCGUACCAUUCGAGCUGUCUUUUUUUCAUGCUUUUCCCGGAGCCUCAUAUUUGUAUAUCUAGCAGUUUUUGCAUGCUAAACUUGAUUCUGCGUGUUUCAAGUGUAAAUUUGUAUGCAAUUCAAAUCUGUGUGAUAAACUAUGCAUUGCUUUGUUGCAAUUGAGGGUUUUUUUUUAAUCUUUUCUUUUUGUUCCCAAGAAGCUGACUAUAUCUCUUGUCAUGGCCUUACCUGUGCAGAUAUUUGGUAUGGCAGCACAGGAAAUGGAAUAUAGAGUUGAAAUGUUUAACAAGUAAGGUUUCUGAAUGUAUUCUGUACCAUUUUGAUUCUUUUUCUGUAAUCUUUACUACUGAUUACAUGACAACUUACUAAAAUAUAAUAUAAUCACGUGACACAAAGCUUCACCAAAUAAUGAAAUGCAGUGACAAGUUUGCUCAACUAAAUUGCAAUAUUUUUUAAAUAAAUUAUAUUGGAAGCCAAUUGAUGAUUCUAAAGUUUUAUCAAUGAAGAACUGGCGUGUUAUUUCCAUCUCUUUCAAGAACGAGUUCCAUGUGUUUACUGUAACGCACAUUAUAGGUGCAUUUCUUUCCUUUGACUUCCAUUGUUCCUGUUGUUAUUAUUUUUAAGUACAUAUUUUUAUCAAUGGGAUUUUGCUACAUGUUAGUGACGGGUGCAUAUGAGUCACAUUCAAGUAGUAAUCAUAAUGUACUUUUACAUCUCUCAUGGGGAUGUCCCUUUCAGUUUGAGAAUUGCCUUUUUGCACCGGUUGUUCAGUAUUGUUAAUAUUAAGUCCUUCAAUGUAGAACUGGAUGUGAAUUUUUUUCCCCCAUAGUCUUAUGAGCCUAGCCAUACUCAAGAAUUCCAGUUCCUUAGUCUGACUUAUUUUUGCUGUUGUCCUGAUUCAGGCUUACUCACACAUGUUUCAACAAGUGUGUUGAAAAAAGGUAAGCAUUUUAUAUGUCGUCUUAGUUAGAUUCAAUUGAACUUAAAUAUUAAACAUAUACUAUUCGUUUUCUAUUAUUUUACCUCAAGAUUAAAAAAAUCUUAUGGUGGCCUUCACGAUUUUAGGUACAAGGAAUCUGAACUAAACAUGGGUGAAAAUACCUGCAUUGAUCGCUGUGUUUCAAAAUAUUGGCAAGUAAGUCAUCGAUACUCUCCCUUGAUUUCUUUUUAUUUUGCAAUGUACGCUCAGAAGUGUUGCAUGGAGUGCUAGUUGCACCUUUUCAACAUCAUAUUAGUUAAUCAUUUGACACUUAUAUUAUUCCUUUUGCAAAACAGCUAACAGUUCAUGGAUAUUGUAUCAUUUGGUACUGAUAUCGUGUUCGAGAGAGUCCGGCAAUUGUGGAGAACUUUAGUAGUAACUCAAGGGAAAGAUAUAUAUCAUGAUAAAGGUUUUACUAUUGACUGAAAAUGAAACCAAGCUCUACCUGCAACUUGGAUAUAUUUAAAACUCACAAAUACCAGCCUUAUGCUGAUCAUCUGAGCAUGCUCAACUACACUGUUACUAUAUUUAAAAUUAUGCUUCUAUGCCCCUGCGUCAGUUCUAUAUGAAAGUUAUCUCUACUCCCUCGAAAUUGCUUAAUUUGGUCAAUUCCCACCUUUUUGUGUGUCACACAGGUCUUUUAGCUGGCUAUGUUUUUAGGACUACCCAAUACAGAGCAAGUUAACAACACAUACACACUUACCACCUGCAUUCCUGUUUCUGCUCUUAGGUUUUAGUUAUGAAUAGAAAAAAAUCAAGUAUCUCUUAGCUAGAGCUUUUGUUACCUAAUAUUAGAAUAUAACUGUAAGAAGUAAAUAUAACAAAUUAAAGAAUUUGACAUUCCAUGUAUAUGUGUAUAAUGUAAUAAUGUAUAUUGCAGGUAACUAAUUUGAUUGGUCAGCUGCUUGGUACUGGCAAACCACCUAUGUGAGGAAUGGAUAUUCAUCAAGCAAAGAGUGGAUGAAUUUUUGGCCUUCUAUAUUAAACAGAUUAUGUGACUACCAUAGGAGAGUUGGUGAGCGUGUUGUCACGUUCAUUUCAUAUUGUUGUUUUAUUAGCAGCAGGAUUUAUUCCUCGACUCCACUUGUAAUACUUGGAAAAUUGGGUCUUUCAUAUUUAAUUUUUUUGGGCAUUUGUAAUAAUUUGUGGCAGUGCUGUUACAUAUUAUAACGACUAUUUGACUAAUGUAUCAAAAGCAGAUAUAUGGUCUUACCGACUAGUAAUUGGAAGGUUAUGUUCACAAUGCCACAUGUUAUGUUGAGGACUAUUUUCUUCCUAGUCUCUAGUAGGAUUGUGCUAGGAUGGCUUUCGCUCGAUCAAUUUGCUAGAUAAGACCUUCCUACAAUUACUAAGGUUUUCUGUUUCUCUCCAAACUUAGCGAGACUCGCCUGUCUUGAGUGGUGAUUUCAUGUGCAUUGGUUGGUUUACGGGUGUUAGCCCCAUUAUUACUAUAUUUAUCAUUAAUGUCCUCAUGAUCUGAGAAAAUGGCUCCGAAUACCAAUUAUUAAUGGUGUAGUGUUUUGGAUAAUUAUCGAAAACGCUACAUUGUCUAGUCUUCCGAAUAGAAUGCUAGGGUUAAAAGAAUGGAAUGCUACAAUGUCCUGGGUUAAACUACAAAACACUACAUAAUAUAGCGUUUUCUUUUCAAACUGAAAACGCUUGAUUAUUCGGCGUUAAUAAAUUGGUAUUUGGGGUUAUUUUUUACAAUUCUGUCAUCCUGGACAUUACUUCUAAAUUUUGUGACAUCUGGGGUCAUUUUUCUUGAUUUACUGGAUACAGUUUAGUGCUUUUUGAUUGGGGAAUUUUCUGUUAUAUGCUGCUGAGUACACAGUAAUUAGUAAUUACUAAUAUAAAAUAGAGUAGGAUUGAAGUGAUGAGCUUUAUCAAUUUAUAAGUUAUUUGGUCUGGAAUGUCGUACAAAAUUGUGAUGAUUUAAAUAUGUUCCCAACUCCCAAAGACCCUCCGAAGCCAUACUUCCAAAUUCCAAUUAUAUCUGUAAAAUAUAUUUGGAGAAAUGUCUCAUGGUCUCUAGCUUUGUGGUAAAUAAAAAUACCUUAGAGGAAGAAAGCUGAUUUUCCACCUUGUCAUGGUCAUGUGUUGGAAUCCUCUUUCCUCUUGUACUCAAAGUUUAAAGACUGUAAAGAAGUCAUACAAAUACCAAGAAAAGGCUGUUGGACGUGGGGUGUAAUUGCAUGCUUGUAUAUUUUUCCAGGCAUGGGAAGAAACAGUGUGAUGUGAUUAUCUUUGACUUGAAAGAUGUGAGCUUUCUGUCCUCUCUGUGAAGUUUGUGGUAGGGGCACUGGGGCAGCGGUGGUGUUCUUCCCGUUGAGAUUUGGCGCGCCUUAUUUGCUUGAAAUAAGGACUUCUUCCGGGAGAAAAUUUCACAUUUACAUAAUAUUCUUUAUUAUUAUAUAUUUAGUAUGCGUUUAAUGUUUUUUAUUUGCAGAAAUAAGCAACUUCUUUUCAAAUAAAUAAUACAUAUUUAUAUAUUUUUUUAAAAAUAAACGACUUAUUUACGAGAAAUAAGAUAAAUCAAACGGAGUGGUGAGGUGCGUCCCAGGAUCACAGCUCUGUGCCAGGGGCGUAGCUACAUUCAACACAGGGGGCACUUGCAACCCCUCAAUCUUUAAUAUCUUCUUAUAUAUAUUAUAUAAAAUGUAAUUUUUUGAUUUUUGAUCCCAAAAGUACAUAAAUUUCUAGGUGUGGCCAAAGGCACAUAAUAGUCACUAACUUUCAUGAAAAUAGUAAAUUUUGAUUAAUGGAUGAAUAAUAAAUGUUAAUGAGCCCCCUUCAUUCACACCAAUUGCACAAAUAAAAAGAAGCCAUUUUCAUGAGAGUUGAUGCUUAUUGUGUGUCCUUGGACACACAUUAGAAAGACCGUUUUUUUUAUGAGACUGUUUUUCGACCCCCUGGCUAUGUAUUCUGGCUACGCCUCUCCUCUGUGCCACAGGAAGAUAUUAUUAUUCUCUAUUACUUUCUUUCUUUUCACUCUUUAUCUUGAUUGGACCAUGUCAAAGUGAUUGCACCAUUUACUCGCUAGGUAGAGGUCCAUUGCCUUGAUGAAAGAAUAUAUGAUUACUAAAAAUUUAGCCACAAAUGUCACCAUAAAAGAUCGACUUUAGGCACAAAAGAAACCUUGAUUUGUGGAAUUUUGUCUCGGAGAGUGAUAUGCAUUAUGCAUGUUCAAUGCAAUACAAAUCUGUAUUAGUGACACAGGAAAUAACCCUUUAACUUAAGAAACUCAGCAAAACACUUAUUUUCAUCACCCCUUCUUACCCACCCGACGACAUGUUCACAACUUACUAGUAUGCGCACCGAAUAUGACCUCUUUGUAUUGAAGAUUGAGAAAUGAUGUAGCGAGCAUACAGGGUCAUGUCCCAUUACAAACUUUUUUGUAAUACUGAUAAGUCCAUUUAUCGUCGAUGUGUCCGUUGUCAUUGCUUUGGGUGGUUUGAGAUAGACCCGGGACCUGCAAAACAACGCCGCACGGGGGUGUGUCCCGUGAAGCGCCUCCGGCGUGAUAAUCAGUGAUCGGAACAUAAGAGCAUAAGUAGAGAAUGAGAGAGAUAUGUGAUUUUGUAUGCUUUGAAGAGUGAAUAUUUGUGAUAGCCCAGAGAGAGAAUAUUUAGAGAUGAAUAUUUUGUGUGUUGUGAGCAUGCUUGAUACUAGUGAGGCCCCCCUUUUUACCUGUGAGAAUGCAUGUAUUUAUAGUACAUCCAUAUGAGCACUAUUGAGCAAGGAGUACAAUUACUAUAGUUAAAGUCAUGGCCUUACCUGCAGUGCACAUCCAUGCUUCCUGUCAAGCUACAGUUGAGUCAAUUAAAAGUACAAUAGUUAAAGUGUUGUUGUCCUUGUGGCAUGGGUGUAUCACAUGGGUGUGCCGUGUGGUGUUAGUCUUUGCAUUUAUUGCUCCCUAGCUUUGUAUAUAAUACUAUAGAUAUUAUUAAAUGAUAAUUAUGCAUGGUACUAUCAUUGCCCCCCUACUCCUUCCAUUUGCUUUAGCGGAUGGGAGGAGUAAGUAAAAAAGAAAAUCGAGCUGGGACAAGUUUGAAGAAAAAUAAGUUGUUUGGGUGCUUUUCAUGUGUUGGGUGCGAGCAACACGGAAAAAGAAAAUUUUGUGAAAAAAUUGGUGCUUGGUUGCCCCCCAGUGUUGGUUGCGGACAACACUCGGGAAAAAGAAAAUUUUUGUGAAAAAUUGGUGCUUGGUUGCCCCCCAGUGUUGGUUGCGGACAACACUCGGGAAAAAGAAAAUUUUUGUGAAAAAUUGGUGCUUGGUUGCCCCCCAGUGUUGGUUGCGGACAACACUCGGGAAAAAGAAAAUUUUUGUGAAAAAUUGGUGCUUGGUUGCCCCCCAGUGUUGGUUGCGGACAACACUCGGGAAAGAGAAGAUUUUGCGAAAAAAUUAUGCUUGGUUGCCCCCCAGUGUUGGUUGCGGACAACACUCGGGAAAGAGAAGAUUUUGCGAAAAAAUUAUGCUUGGUUGCCCCCCAGUGUUGGUUGCGGACAACACUCGGGAAAGAGAAAAUUUUUGUGAAAAAUUGGUGCUUGGUAUGAAUUUUGUCUAAACAUGUGAAAGAUUAUUGCACGGAUGUACAAGACUAAAACAUAUGAUAUAACAAGAGCAAGUGACGUAUGAAGCAGAAAAUAAAUUUAAGUGAAAGGAUGACAAUAUUUUACUCCAUGCAAGAUAAAACGUAAAAACAAGAAUUCAUAAUAACUGUUUGUAUGCAUUGGCCUAUGUCAAAAGAGAUAAAAGCUUGUAUUGCACACGGACCACACAUAUAUCUGUUGUAUAAUCAACGUAUGCAGUCGUUCAUAGCGGUGUCUGAGACUUGACAAUUGACAAGAAUGAGAUAGCGGGUGAGAUUUUUUUUUUUUUUUGAGUGAGGAAUGAGGCAGCGGAUGAGAUGAUGGGCCGGGAUGAGGUGACGGGCCCGGCUAGGGUAUGUGGUAGCUGAUAGAAAUAUAAAAAGGCUUCCUGGUAGNUGAUGGGUGAUAUCAAAGGUAGAGUAGACUACAGGUGUUGUAUGAUAACUAUAGCGGACAGGAUGGUUGGUGGCAUGUGUUGGUGUGUGGUAGCGGGAUGCAGAAUUGACACGAGGUGGCGGGAGGCUUUGAUGGCGGUACAUGUAAUAUUUAGAUGUAAGAGACAGCUGCUGUCAAAGAGAUUGCGGGAAAAGAGAAUGUCCGGUGUUAUAAAAUUAUAUUGAGAGCAGAAAGCUGGUAGCGGGCUGGUAGACUGAGGUUCUAUUUUGUUUUCGGAUAUGUGAAAACAUUACAGGGCAUGAGUAAAGAUGGCGGGACGGCCAGACGUGGCAACCGAGGUACUGGGUUUGUCCAAGACGAGUUGAUGGGUGAUAUCAAAGGUAGAGUAGACUACAGGUGUUGUAUGAUAACUAUAGCGGACAGGAUGGUUGGUGGCAUGUGUUGGUGUGUGGUAGCGGGAUGCAGAAUUGACACGAGGUGGCGGGAGGCUUUGAUGGCGGUACAAGAGAGAAUAUAGGUGAAGGUAGCGAUAUACUAUUACUGGUUGUGGUAGGUUACAGAGAUAGCGGACUGUUGAAGUGAGUUACUUUGUAUAUAACUUAGUAUGUACCGCUUUUAUAAUAUUCAAGAAUAAAGGUGGCGGGCCUAGUAAGGCUAUGUGAUGGGCUUGGCUAAGAGGUGACCUAAAAAUGAUGUUAAGGAAGGGUGUUGUAGCGGGAGAAUUUGUGAUGAGCUUUGGUAGCAGUACAGGUGAUAUAACAUGCAUGGAGCCAGAUUAGGUUAAAAGAUUUGUCCGUCUCGGAGUGUGAGUGGGGUAAAACGAAAAAAGAGAGAAAACUGAAAAAUAAUUAUUCAGGCUCUGACUUGCAACUCUAGGUGAAGCUUACUGAAUAAUAUAAUUUGUGUCUUUCAAGUGAUAGCGGACAAUGACUAAAAAUAAAAUAUCUGAUCAAAUAUUAAAUCUGAUAUUGUGCUCCACAUUGUGAAAAUAGUGAUAAAUAUGCUGGAAAUAUUUAAAAUGAUCGUUUUUGCAAUAAAAUUAUUAUUGGACAGAGUAAAUAAAUUUGUAAAAAUUGCAGGGCUUGAUUUAAUGCAUUAAAUGUGCAGUAAUAUUUUCUCCACAUGAGCAUAAUAUUUUUUGUACAUUAACACUAAGAAACAUGUGUCACACACAGCAGCCCCUUACAAAAAAGGGUAAUUUGAAAAAUUUCAGAAAAUGCGAAACUGAAUUUGUUUUUGCUUUUUUUGCCUUCGAUAGAAAUUUGUAAAUAAAAGUGUGAAUUAAUAAAUGUAAUGUGCAAUUUUUUGAAAUAUUUAAAUGUGAAAAUGUUUGGCAAACAAACACAAUUGUGAUAAAUAUGCAAUUAUGCAUUUAAAAUUUUUGUAUAACGGAGCAUUAACAAUAGUGCAUCUUAGAAUAAAAAAUAAAUAUGUUGCGUCUUGUGCUUUAAGGAAUGAAGCUGUAAUUUUUUUUUUGACAAAUAAAUUGAGUGAUAUGAAUAUUUUGCUUCAACUAAUAUUUUUAAGAGAUAAAAAAUAAUUGUUGAGAGAAUAUAAAGUGAAAUAAAUGGAGCUGGAGGGUUGUAAUAAAAAAUAUAUAAUAUUGUAACACUGAACAAGAGUUUAUGUGUCCGCGUUAAAUAUAUAUGAGAUAGGUUGACAACAAGAAUGCAUCAGGUGGUGUUUAACCUUGGGUAGACGCAGGGAGAAUUCGAAGGUAGCGGGCAAGCGGAGGUAGCGGACACAAUAAUAUAUAGCAGAUGUGAUGUUAGUUGGCAACAAUUUUAACAAUAACACUGACAGGGCAUAUCAAGACAUAUAAGUGAUAACGUGUUAAGCGCUUAUAGAUGUUAAUGAAUAAUAACNUACAGGAGGGGUGAUGCUAGUUGGCGACAAUUUUAACAAUAAUAUUAACAGGGCAUCAAAUGACCAGACAAAUAAGUGAUAAAGUGUGAAGAGUUAUAGAUGUCAAUGAAUAAUAACGACAUUUGAAACAUAAAAAGUAGAUGUAGUCAUGAUAGAUAUAUGAGCAGAGCCGGACAAUUGUGAAUAUAAUAAUAUAUGGAAAAAGAAAGAACCUGUGCCUCCCAAAUAUCUAAUAUUUGUAUGUAGUGGUUCACUUGUGUCCGUGAGAGAGAUGAGCUUGUUCCGCCAUCAUGCUUCUUAUUAAAUAAGAGUAAUUUAUUGAGAGGACCCAUAAGGUUGAUAUUCUUGCUUCAUUGGAUGUGGAUGCUUCUAAUUGCUGCAAUAAAGGCGGGCCAAAAUUUGUAAAAAUAGUUGUACUACUUUUUUGCUUGCUUUUGUGAAAUGUGCAUGAUGCUUUUGUUGCUUGCUUUUGUGAGAUGCAUGAUGCUUUUGUUGCUUGCUUUUGUGAGAUGCAUGAUGCUUUUUGCUUGUUUUUGUGAGUGUUAUUCAGACAAUUCAAACAAUAAGUUAGAUUGUAGAAGGGGGGGUUGAAUACAAUCUACAAAAAUUUAAAUUACAAGAGAAUAUAAAAGCUAAAAANUUGCUUUUGUGAGAUGCAUGAUGCUUUUUGUUUGUUUUGUGAUAUGUGCAUGAUGCUUUUGUGUUUGCUUUUAUGAGAUGUGUGUUGCUUUGUUGCUUGGUCACGGGACACGGUUGUGUGUUUCCUUGUUGCUUGGUUGCGGGACCUAGUUGUGUGUUGCAUGUUGCUUGACUUCAGAGACAUAUAUAUGUUGCUUUUUUGUCCGCUUUUGAGAGAUAUUAGCAUGUUGUUUAUUUGCUUGGUUUGGCUUGGUGGUCCACUUGAAGAGUUGUAUGUUGUCCCACUACAAAAGUGGUGUGAUGCUCUAUUUGAAAAAUGGCAUGGUGCUCCACUUUAAAAGUAGCAUAGUGUCCAUCUAGUAAAAAUGAGAUAACUCGAUGUACCGCUUCCACUUAGAGUAGAUUGUAAUUUUUUGUGACCCUGCAGAGGUGAUGAAGGUUUUUCUUAAUGAAAAACGCCCCUUCCUGGCGCGCCAAAUGAUAAGUCCAUUUAUCGUCGAUGUGUCCGUUGUCAUUGCUUUGGGUGGUUUGAGAUAGACCCGGGACCUGCAAAACAACGCCGCACGGGGGUGUGUCCCGUGAAGCGCCUCCGGCGUGAUAAUCAGUGAUCGGAACAUAAGAGCAUAAGUAGAGAAUGAGAGAGAUAUGUGAUUUUGUAUGCUUUGAAGAGUGAAUAUUUGUGAUAGCCCAGAGAGAGAAUAUUUAGAGAUGAAUAUUUUGUGUGUUGUGAGCAUGCUUGAUACUAGUGAGGCCCCCCUUUUUACCUGUGAGAAUGCAUGUAUUUAUAGUACAUCCAUAUGAGCACUAUUGAGCAAGGAGUACAAUUACUAUAGUUAAAGUCAUGGCCUUACCUGCAGUGCACAUCCAUGCUUCCUGUCAAGCUACAGUUGAGUCAAUUAAAAGUACAAUAGUUAAAGUGUUGUUGUCCUUGUGGCAUGGGUGUAUCACAUGGGUGUGCCGUGUGGUGUUAGUCUUUGCAUUUAUUGCUCCCUAGCUUUGUAUAUAAUACUAUAGAUAUUAUUAAAUGAUAAUUAUGCAUGGUACUAUCAAAUACCCCAUUACAAACGUUUCUGUAAUACCAAUUAAUCACCUGGUUAUGGUUAUACAACAUACAGUCACGUUAUUAGAGCAUCCCUAACGAUAUUACUAAAAAUGAUUGGCUAACUUACAACAAAUUUGUACAGGUUUGACAAAUAUGGCCAUCACAAUCAGGUUAGCUAAAAUUACAGACAACAACAAUGUCGGGGAGAAUUUUUUACAUAAUCAAUAAAAUUUUUAUUUUAAGAUGUACUCUAUUAAUCACUUUUAGCUAAGGGUUCUACAGGGUUGGAGAUGCUGAGUGACGUCAGUUUAGUUUGUUUUGAACGAACAAUUCUCUCUACAACUAGUUUCUAAAACAUGUAAACAGAACUGAACACAUAACUGACCUUGGACUUGAUUCUUCUGAAAGCCAAAAAUAUCUACUUGGUGAAGCUCAUAGGAUUUAGAAGAUUAACUCUGUUGAUCAUUACAAUAUGCAUACAUGAAGUUAUAUAUACAUUGAUUCUGAUUACAAAGGAGUCAGUAGCUUAUUCUUAUUUCUAUAAUUAGCUCACUUGAUUUGGGUGCACUGUUCUUGAAUUCUGAUGAUAAUUGGGAGAACCAACUUUAAUUUGGAAUUUAGAUGGAUUUUUGUUAAACCAUGCCAGCCAACUUCAGACUCAGUAUUCAAACCCUUUCGACUGGGGUAUGAGGAGGCUGUGACGCAAAUCUUGCAGAAAGAUUGAGUUCCACUAGUUUAGGAGUAUUUAGCCCACAAUCUUCUGGCAUUGUGGCCUCUUCAGCUAGUUUCUCCUCAAUAAAGUUAUACGGUUGUUGAUGCUCAGAUGGCUUCAUGCUGUCAAAAACUGCAACGCAGAUGGAAAACGCUUGUAGAAGAGAAAGGGCUGAAUUGAAUUCCACUGAGAAGACGCCAUUUUUGAGUGAGGACAGCAUGAAGAAUGGAGUUGCUUGUUCAGAUUUCUCCUGCAAACGAAGCGCAGAUAUAUUAGGAAAUUGAAAAAGAAUGUAUGUUAGGAUAAAGAGAACUGGAGAAAAGAUGGUUUUUAACAAAUAUACCUGGUAUUGAGAAAAGAGUUCAAAAUGACUAUUAGGUUUUUGCUUCUUGUUGCCAAGAACUUUUACCUUACACCCCAGAUCCCAUCCCCCACAAUCACAUUGUCCACCUGACAACCAUCGCUCAAUCAAUGGCGAAGGUUCUCCUUUACUUGAAAAUCCAUGAAUUGCACCAGGCAGUAGAACUGUUGUGCUAAAAAGUUCUUGAUUUCCAAAAAUAAAUUUAUCCUCUUGUAGGUCUCCUGAAUUAGAAGGGACUUUAACCUUUUGAGAUGGACCAUUCAAUUCUGUAAUCAUCUUUCUUGGAAACUUGACAACAAUGGCAGCAAGCUCAUGAUUUGGUUGCGCGUCACAUAUCUGAUGAUCAGUCCCUCUUACGUCCACAGCAUAUAAUACAAAUUCUCUAGUUUUCAAUUGAUCAACACUGACGUGUUCACCUAAGCGUGAUAAUGGCAGUUCAGAAACCUUCAUCUGGGCAACUACAUUUGGUACAUAAUCUUUGACUUUGGAUCCCUGAGUUAACCAGCCUCCACUCUUUCUUCUCAUUUCAUGAACGCUGAAGAAUGUAUAGAUCCAAGUGGGAUCAUUUCUUCGUAAUGAAGAUUUCCUCAAUGUGGCUGCUAGAGCAUCACUGUUGUUGUCAACUGCAAAUGUAAAAAGUGGAAGAUCAUUCUUGGCUGAAACUUGAAAAUAGGCUUGCAGUGUUGACGGUCCCUGUAAUGUAUCACGACGUGAUACAUCCCAGCCAGGGUUCCUUAAGUUUGAAAAAUCUAAUUUGACUCUUGGUGGAUGUACAUCUGACAGUUCUCUUCGUUCAUUUAUAGAUGUGGAAAACCUGCGAGUUGUCGUUGAAUUCCUUGGUGAGUGCUCAGAAAAUUUAGGGCUGCCGACUUUUGUUUUCAGCAGUGGACUUAACAACCUCUUCAAAGGACUGAAAUGGUCUCUGCUAGCAGCAUUAGACUGAUCGUUUGUUUCAUUAUUUGGACGAACAAAAGAAUCAGCUAUUUUAGAACCAGAUCUGGCAGUAAUAUCCUCUGAGCCGGGCUGAAGUACACCUGAACUGUCUCUGGAAAGAUGGCUUUUUCUUCUUAUCCUGUUUAGGACAGAACUUAGUCUACAACUUGGUGAAAGGUUUUGCACCUCUGAGUCUGCAAUAGUGCUCUUCAUAUUUGGUAUUUUUAAAGAAUUGUACAAAUUUGGAUCUAUAGGCAUUGUGCUUGACUUCUCUACCCAAAUCUUACUUGUUGAUCGACUGACUGGUUCCUUAUGAGGCACUUCGCUGCCAUUGGUCUCUCGAGUGGUAUUAUCAUACUGAUAUUGCAACUUUUCUGAUUUAUGUUUGUAUGCAUCAGCUUGAACUCUCAACUUCCCUUUAGAAGAUGGCUCCCCCUGAUUUUGAAAGUCUGUGGAUGAUCUUGUAUUCCGUAAAUCCAAACUUUCCUUUCUGCAUUUUCUCAACUUGAGUUCUGAAGAUUUUGCUGGAAACACAGGCUCUCUUAGAAUAUUUUUCUUUCUGUCAGAAUUGGUCGGGUUGGCUUUGAUAUCUGUAUAUUUUGCAACAUUAUGAGACUCGACAUCUUUGUAGUGACCUUCUAUCAGAGUUAUAUUCAGGUAAGAUCGAAGUGACCCUCUAUGACCGCUGGAAGAGCAGGUAGCAUCUCCUCUCCCAUAAUGACUAGAUGAUCCUUCUGUCCAAAAGCUCGAGGCCGUAGUACUGCUUGAUGUUGAAUACCUGCUGCUAGGUCUUGGUGAUUGAAAAUUCUGCCAAUUUUCUAACUUGUUCCACUCCAUAACUCCAAGAUUCAGGGCUUUUGCCCUAUCCCUUUCUCCUUUCUCCAGAAAGCUUGGCAAUUUUGACAUGUACUUAACAAGCUCAUCUUUCUGAAAUCCCUCACUUGUGCAAUUUUUCUUUCGACAGAUUACUGAAGAAGGUGUCUUGGUUACAUCAUUCUUUACUUCUGAAGGAAGGUCACGAUAGGAUACAUUCCGUUUAUCUUUCCUGAACCUGUUCAGCAACUUGGUACUAGUACUACUACCACCGGAAGAACGAGGACUAUCCAUAAUAUAAUAUCUCUUUACAACUUUCGAUAACUAUACUCCAUCUGCUACUUAAUUAAGUAUGACUCCACCUGUAGCAGAGAUGUAUUUGUUAAAAGCAGUUCAGAAAGCACAAGUUUUCAUCUUGCAUUGCUAAGUUCUCACAUUUUUCUGUCGGAUAAAUUAUAAAUUAUAGCUCCAGUGAACAAGAAGCACCAUACAAACUUCAUAUCCGAUACAACAAUGCAAGUUUUUGUUUUCUGGUGACAAUUUUUUAUUGGCCACGUCUCAGAAACAGAGCCAUAGAUAGUGUUCUAGUAAUUACAAGACAUACUACAGCUAGCAAAAUUAAUUAGCAAAUAACCAAAAAAUGACUCCGACUUGUCAAGGCCCAAAAUUUAUGUCACUUGCAUGAUAUUGAAAAUUUUAAAAUGUAAUUGUCAAAGAUGUAGCCAAAAAAACACAGAGCAAAGAGAAUUUGGUGGUCCUUGGUGAUUAAAACUGAAAAUGACAAGACUACUGGAGCAAACAAACUGGAAAUCAGUUAACUUACUGAUAUACUCCUAGUUCUACAACUUGGUUAAUAAUUUGUAAAUAAACAAGUUAAAAAGUAUUUCCUGGUGGUAAAUAUUCGUCCCCGCUCCCUUCCCCUUACACGGGUUUAAAUCCUCGCUUCUCCUCCCCACAUAGUUAGCAAACCCAUGUAAACUACCAAAAUAGAGCACACUUGUUUCGUUUUCGAAGAGAAGUAAGGGCAGGAAGAACUUCAGCUCCUAGCAAGCUGCAAGCUAAUCAAUUUCAAGAAAUGCAGCGCAUAAAAGAGCAGACUAACCAUAGUCCAAAUUAUCCGUCAAAAAAAAAAAAAAAAAAAAAAAAAAACCAUAGUCCAAAUUAAUGUCAAGCCUUUUUGGUCUAUUGUUAAUGUAAAACUUUUAACUAUUUUUUUGUCGGGUCUUCACAAAAACAACUUCUCCGUUCUCCGGUGACACUGCCUGUUUACCCUUCAUAUACCCUACUUCAGAGUGGGUAAGUUUGGUUUUAUUUGGUUUGACAAGUACAGUUUUCAUCACAAAUUUAGAAUACCAACAAGCACAGAAAAAGCAAAUUUUCACACUAGAAUCACAGUGAAAAGGCAUGAACCAUUACCAUUUAAACAGAUGAUGGAGCAUGAAGCAUCAAGGUGUCAGCUUUUAAAUAGUAAAAACCUGAUCAGCAGUUUCUUCGGUGCCUUUUUAUUGCCCAAACUUCAAUAAGCUGAAGAAAAGGAAAGAGCAACAAAGAAUAUACAGAAACCUGUGAAUGCAUGAGAGAGACAGAGAGAGAGAGAGAGAGAGAUUGAGUUUGUUGUAGUGUGAGUAGUAGACGACAUACAGUAUUAAAAUAGGGAAGGGGGUGUUUGCAUUCAUGCAUCGUAUGGCUAAAAUCAUGACAACCUCCUCCUCAUAUUUUUGACUUUGCAUUCCCAUUAGAUUUACCGCCUUGUUUGGGUAAACAUAUACAUAGAAGUCUAGAACAUCUUCAAAAAAGUAUCCUAUUUAGAUUUUAGACCUCAUAAAUAAACUCAUCUCCGGUAACUUCUUAAAUAAGCUUUUUUUUUUGAAUAAGCUUAAAUAAGCUUUUAAGCUGUAUUUUGAAAAGCGUAAAUCAAUUUUUAGCGGUGGAAGGAUCUUUUAGGGUUUAAGCGAUAAAGCGGACGUUUAAGCGGGAUUUUAAACUGGUUAAUAAAUGGAUUAAUGAUAUAUAAUUAAAUAUUUAGUUAUAAUAUUCAUAUAUUUAAAAAUAAUAUUAUAUUGCGGUAAAAAUUUUAAUUUUUAAUAUUUUUAAUAAAAUAUAUUUUUUUGAUAUUUAAAUAUAAUUAUAGUUAUAUUAUAAAAAAAAAUAUUUUUCAAAAUUAAAAAUUAGCAAGUCAACAUCAUUUUGACCACUUAAUAGUCUGCUUAAUUUUUAAAAAUGCUAAGUCACGCGCUUAGUACAAAAUCGAAACGUUUUAGCACAGAUCCUGCUUAGGCGGCCGCUUAAACGCCUACUUAAUGCGAUUUUUACAACACUGCUUUUAAUACAAAAAAUGAGGAGCAUAACAAAAAAAUAGAUCUCCCGUGAACUCUAGUGACUCCUAAAAACACAAGGAGUCUUCUCUCUUUUAAGAGCCAUAAAUGACUUUUCGAGAGGCUCUUUAUUCAAGUUAUUGAGUGAAAAAAUAAAGAGUUCAUGUAUGACGAAUUAGAGCUCGAAAUGGCUCUUCAAAAAGUUAAGAUAUCCUAUAUUGACGAAUUAGAGCUUAAAGUUGUCAAUCAAUAUAGGAUCCUAGUAAUAAACAAUUCAAAUUCUAAAAAUAAGAGAUCCUAUAUUGAUUGACUCCAACAAUAAUCUCUAUUUGUGUAUCCUAUUAUUAUUAUAGUAUUAAAUUUAAAUUCUUUCAACAAAAAGAUAAUAAGAAAAAUAUGGGAAAGACAAAGAGUGUCCAAAAAGUGAAAGUUGAAUAUUUAAUUAUUAAAAAACAAAUGAGGAAUGAGUUAGAGAUUACUUAUUAUGAGGAAUGAAAAGUGGAUCUUAAGGUUUAGGGAAUGAGUAGGGAUUUGGAGUGAAUUUUUGUCCAUAUUCCUCAAAAUUUUAGCUUAAGACAUGAUAAAGCUAGUUGUCGGAGAUGCUCUUGAGUAAUGACUCCAAUACUGCUGGUAUUUGUUUUACUCUCCCUUUGCAUGAUAUUUUUUUAAUAUUCAAACUCCAUUAUAUCAAUAUGUGAGAAAAAUAGUAUUUAAAUUGGAUGAGGUAAAUUCUUUAUUAUUAAGAGUAAGAUAAAAGAACACAUAAUGACUCUUAAAAGUGGUGAGAGAAAAGAAGUAUAAUAAUAAAAGGAAAUUUAAUAAUUUAUUUAUUUAAGCGUCGAAAUUGAAUUUUAUUGAAAAUUUAUAAAUAUAACCUAAAUAAUUUAAUAAAUUACAUUUUACCAGUUUAAUUUAAUUUCUAUCUUAUUAUUAUAAAUCAAUAAUAUUUAUUACAUAAAUAAAUAUUUUCCGAUCUAAAAUCAAAAUUAUUUUGAUUUCCAACGUGUUGUGUCAUUAUUCGCCGCCAAAACUACCUACAUAAAGAAGUUAUACAUCAGAAAAUAUUAUAUUAUUUUAUAAGAACCGUUACAAUUCGUAACAGCUCAAUUAUAUUUUAAUUUUUAACGUUUAUUUUGGCUGAAAAUCUGGAACUAAACAAAGAACUCUUGCGAGGACUUCUUUUCAUGCUUACGACUUACAAAAAAAUCAUUAAAUUAUCCACCAGUUUCGACAUCAUCAUAAUUUAUUUCUUUAUUCUGCAAAUUCCAUGUAAUGAAAAUACUUUAAUUCUAUUUAUAAAAGCAUCCAAUUCGGUCAAACAAGCAAAAAUAUAAAUGACUUUUUAUUUGUUUAAAAUGAAAAGGAUGCGCGUGGCCACGAAACGGAAUGAACUGGGAGGCCCAUAUAAUGCAUCACCAUUUAUUGGACUUAUUUGACCACAUUGGUAACGGUUAAUGGGCUUUUCAAAACUCUUUAUUUGUCAGAGCAAGCAACUUGAAUUUUUUCCAACAAUAGUGGUUUAAUUUUCAUGAUUUUUUUAUUUGAAUAUUAGUGAUAGAUAUUCAUUUUUCUUUUCUUCCGUUUUUUUUUUUUCACAGUUCGUACUUUGAUGGAGUUGUGUCCGAUGGCAUUAAAUAAUUAUACUUCGACUAUAAUUGCGAAGAACUAGACAACAUAAGAGAAAGAAUUGACCGUGCUCUAGUUAAUGCUGAAUGGAUGGAGUUGUAUCCUCUAUGCAUGCUUACACAUCGACGGUUCAUCGGGGGUGACCAUACUCAUGCUUCUUGAUAUUGUGCCUCCAUAAGAGAUUUAUAUUUGAUUUAAUAUGGACUCGUUCAGUGUAUUGUGAACAAAUCAUCAAAUUAAAUUGGAAGAACAAUUAUGGUAAUAGUCCUAUGAAAAUUCUGUUGAAAGAUCUUGAGAUUUGUAGUUCUAGUCCAACUAACUAGAGCAAGAGAGUAUUUUGACAAUAAUCGGCUGAGAAUUAUUUUUUUAUUUAAUAAAUUAAAGUUCAUUCAGACCCGAAAGAGAAUAUACAGAUUCAGCAACAAAUUUUGGUUCUGUUGGAUGAAUUAUGGAUAUGCGAGAAAUUUUUAAACAUCAACGAGUUAGAGUAAAUUGGAUAAAUUUUGAAGAUCCAAAUUCUCAUUUCUUUCGUAAGAGCAUCAUGGCUUUGGAACAAUUUGCUAUAAGCUAGAGACGUGUUACUUAAAGGUUUUCACUUACAAGUGGGAAAUGAAAAAAGUAUAAAUUUUUAAGGUACCUAUUGGAUUUCGAGUUCUUCAAAUUUGUUUGUUUAUGGAGCAAGAGGUUUGUUUACUAUUUCUUCUCUAGUUUCUAUUUUAUUUCUAAUGAUAAAUGGAACAUUCAAAAGUUUCAAGAUCAUAUUCCUCCGGGUUGUAGCUCAAAUAUCUAACAUUCAUCUUAGUCGCACAGAUGCUAAUGAUAGAUUGGUUUGGCACUAUAAUUCAAUGGAUCUUACAUGAUUCUUUUUAAAGUUUAGCUUAAUCUAAGCCUACCAAAUCCUUUUGGAAUCUUAUAUGAUCACGAGUUCACUUAUCAUUUUUUAACAAUGAGUUAUUUUUGACUUAUAAGUCCAGAAACUGGGCUUAAAGUCAAACACCCCAAUAUCUUUUUGUCCGGCUUAUUAAAAAGUUGAUUAAUUAAGCUAUACGGUAGACUAUGCACGUGGAUCUGGAAUGCACUUGUGAAGAGUUACAUUAAUCUCCACUGGAAAGUCUGGAUAUGGUUGUAAAGUUGAACCAUAUUAGUUUGGCAAGAAUGGAACUCAUUUUAGGGGUGUACACGGUUCGGGUUGGGCGGGUUGAUGGAAUUUAUUGACCCAACCAAUUAAGUCGGGUUUUCAAAAUUUCAACCCAACCCGAACCGUAUAAAUUUGUAACCCAAACCAAUUUGUAGUACUUCGGUUUGGUUCGGUUUGGAUUGGUUCGGUUGAGUUAAUAAAUAUUAAAAACCGUUGCUCAACUCUUUACUCCCCUAUGCAUACCAAUAUAAUCACAUCAGACUACUCGGUAAAACUGAAACAUGUAACUUAAAUAUUUUAUAAUAAAUUUUCUGAGAUAGGUUAAGAAACUUCACCUUCGGAAACAUUGCAGAAGAUAUACCAUUUUGUGAACAAUAAUCAUAUACUUGUAACGCUAAUCAAUUUAGACAACAUGAUAUAUUUAAAAUAUAUUCGAGGUGCUGGGCUAUGCAUAUAUAUAUAAUAUUUAAAAUAUUUUAUUUUUUAUUCGGGUUGGUUUGGUUCGGCCUAAAAAUAUUCAAACCCGUAACCAACCCAUUUAAGUCGGGUUUAUAUUUUUUUAAACCAAAUACAUAUCGAGUUAAAAAAAAUUCGGGUUGGUUCGGUCGAAAAGUGAUCGGUUCGGGUUGGUUUGGUCGGUUUUACUGAACCGUGUACACCCCUAACUCAUUUGAGCAAGAGGAGUUUGUUUGGACGGACAGACUUAGAGGCCCUUCAUUCAGAUCGAAAUUCUAGAAAUCUUUUUCAGACGAGAAGCCAAUACAACUCUUUUUAAGUAAGCAGCACUUGAUCAAGUAUCAUGACACAACAGCUGGAAAAGGAGUUGGACAUGCAAAGAUCUGGCAAGAAAAAGAGAUUGAAGAAACUGCAGCUCCUUCUUGAAAAUUAACUUACCUAUUUGUCACGAACAAAAAUACAUUACUAAUUUACUAUUGAACUGCAGCUUUUAAUUGGGAAACCUAAGAAUCUGUAUUAUACGCGAACAAACAUGGUGCUAAUAAAAAAUACAGAGAAUGACAUUUGAGUUCUAGUGCCUCUAAGGCAAACAUCACAACAUCAAUAUAUAAAAGUGUUCAAAAUGGAACUAGUACAAAGUUUCAUAAUGUAAGAUGAAGAUAAAAACUACAGACUUAAUGAGAAAAACUGAAAUGAAAAGUGAUCAUGCGCCAAACUCAUCACUGACACAGCUGAUGGACCAAAUUUCACUAGGAAAAUACCAAAAAUAUGGAGAUGAAUGACCAUCCCAAACAACAGGAGUUGCUCCUAGCCACUUUCCAUUCAGGUUAAAGAAAGAACAUUUGUUCACACUUAAGUGAAGAAGACAGACACAGUUACCUGCUCCCCAACCAGUUGUAUCGACGACAGCAGAACUGAACCAACUAAGAAACAAAGAUUUUGCACCCAAGUCAUGAAUCUGUUUUGCUCUAUCCAUCGUCUCAUGGUCAAUUUCGAAUAAUACAUGAUGGCGGUUCAAUGUAGGAUAAGGAUAACUAUUCAAUACAGUCAUGUAUAGCUUAUUGUCUGACUCUACCAAUUUCAAAUUCAUAUUAGAUGAAACCUGGAAUGGCAUGCUGAUUUUGGAGAACUUUGGAACAGGACCUGCCUUCGGAUUAAAUUCUCCCAAACGUCCAUCAGAAGUCAGAACAAAGAUUUUGCCAUCGAAAAUCUUCACAUCUGCAAUCCUGGCUUUUGUGUCGAAUAAAACAUAUCUCCGCCAACUGGUGCCGCCACUUUUGUAUAACAAUAUAUAAUUUUUUUUCAGAGGGAAAAGAACCAUGAAAGUUUCUGAAAGCCGAGUUGACUGAAAGAUGCGAGCAGGAAAUUCAGAGCAAUUUAUGUCACCCAUAUGUCCAGGAAGGACGGGAAAACGCAGCUCAUGUUUUGUUAUUAAAUUUAUGAGCCAAAAGCCUAGGUUUCUGUCAAUUGUAAUCAGGUACCCACAUGAAAAACCCAAUAAUUUUUUCCAAGGCAAAUCUGGCAGCAUUGUUUUGUAACUUUUCAUAUCGAACAUAUUGUACAAUACACAAGACUUUUUUGAAUACUUUGGCCGAACAACAAUUACGGGUUGCUGGUGCUCCAUACAAUAUUUGCGGAAAUCAAUAGAUGCGGACCUCCAAGAUUUGCAAACACCGCUAAAUGACAGGUAGUCCACGAUACUUAGUUUUACCAAAAUUAAAACCAGAAGUUCAGUAGGAAGAAUGCCCCAUGCUCCCGAAACUGCGUCACCCGUCCUGCAAAUCCUUUUCUGUUUUCUUUCUUGUUUUACUGUUCGUGGAGCAUUCCUGUUAACAGAUAGGGAAACGAAGAACUCACCACAAAGCUAGAUUGAGCAUGCACAUUCAAAUGAAUUUUAUUCAGAAAAACUCAGUAGUUUGUUGAAAACAGAAUGCAUUACUUUUACAGAUGUUUCUCAAGGACAGAUUCAUCCUUUGCAAGAUUUAAAAUAACUUUUACAUCAUGUAACACAUAGAGUAGGUUUUUUCCUUUUGCCAGUACAGUAAAAAUUUCUGCAGCUAGACAUUAGAAGAUAAUAAAGCUUACAGGAAUGCAAAUCAUUGCAUAAUGUUAAGGCCACUAAAAUCUAAAAUUUUAAUCAGAACUGGAUAAAGUGUGUGCAUACUCAACAUCUUUUCGAAAUGAGAACUUCAACGUUCCCCAGUAAGAAUGUAAGCUUCCUAAUGAACCAUAACUAGAUUUAUAAGAGGUAGUUUGGUUAACAUGUAAAACUCCGGGAAUUUAAACUACCUAGCAAAUUGUAAGAUUUUUUGGUUGACCGCUACAUGGAAAGUGGAACUUCCUAGCAAAUUGAAAUUCCCACAUAAUGUAGAAACUUGCUUAUAUCACACCCCGCCACUGCAAAUUCCCACACCACAACCAAACAUAUUUGUUAACUUCCCAGCUAUGUUACUCGGACUCGGGUACCAAGUGUCGGACACGACACGUAUCCGAGUAUCGGACUUGGGAACUUUGAGAAUUGGGGACACAGGGACACUGUCCUAUUUUUAGACACGGGUAUGGAGACACUUCGUGUUAUACUAAUAAACAAGUAUGGUAAGUUAGACAUCUUAACAAAAAUUAACAAUAAAACUCAAAUUAGACAUGACUUUGCAGGGGAUCUUGCAAAUUAGGCGUCUUUAGUACUUUAAUCACAUUUUUGCUUCUUCUUUUUUUCUCACAUAUUUCUUUUGAAUUGUAAGUUUGAAUCAUAUUUGAUUUUUGAAUUGGUCAAAGUGUCCACAUUUUAGUCAAAGGAUCCGACACGAAAUAAGAGCCGUGUCCGAGUGUCCAAGUGUCCGACACGGGUACGGCUACCUAAAUAGAAGAGUCGGAGUGACAUAGCUUCCCAGUAACUUGAUAAAUGAACUGGGAGGCCAGUUGGAGAAUUUAGAAUCAAGGUCCAACUGCCAUAUGAUACUUUUACGAUAGCAGUCUAGUUUAAAAAGGCACAACUAUAUACGUAAUGCAUACUUCAAGAGGAAGUAGGGAACAUUUGAAUUAAAGUUUUAGUAGACAACUCUUUGUAUAAAAAAUGAGUCCCUUCAGGCAAGUCCAGCGGUGUUCUAAAUCUUGUUCUAUAUCUAUAUUAUAGGGAAAAAACUGAAAUUCCCUACUCCAAUGGUGUUCUAUAUCUCGUUCUAAAAUAGAACAAUGCUAUAGUUUGUUCAAUGUAUAGAACAAAAGAUAGAUGGAGCUAUAAUUGCUAAAGUAUAAAAUGAUGAAAACAUGUAUAAGAAAGUACGUGAAAGUGUGGGGUCUUUGAAAGUUAGUUAUAUUAUGUUCAAAAGUGGGAUGUAUUUGAAAGUUGUUUAGAUUUGGAACAAGAUUUGAAACCAACCAUUGGAGACAGUGCUAUUUUAGCACCAAAAAUCACUUUUGAUGCUAAAUUGAAAUAACUCCAUCUAUCUUAGCACAACCUGGACAUGCUCUUAUUCACUUAAAAUUUAGCCAAGACUUUAUUCUUCCCCCUUCCAAGGGGUGCUUAUGCUUUGAUUUGCUGUAUACAUGCAGUUCUUGGGAUUUGUGGCCUUAAUAUUAAUUAAAUGCUAGGUUCAGUCGCCCACACAUUUGAUUGUUACUACGUAAGGAUUUGAUGCCCCAAACCAAGAACUUCAAAACUUCAAGACACAAUUUAUAAUAUUUAUAUAGAGCAAAUUCAUAACAUAGUUACCCGAAAUAGUCAAUUAUAAACCGCCCUGCAAAAUAAUCAACAAUCCGCCUCAGAACAUUAUUACAAAAUGCCUUUUCCAUUCCACCCCAGGCAGGCCUUUCAACCACUUCCAUUCUGCCUUCGUUGAAAAAAUGAGCUGAUUCUCUCAAGCUCUUGUUCUUCCUAAUAACCACAGAAUACAUAGUAGUCAGACUGGAAAUAUCUUGACUUUCCUUGUGCUUCUUUCAGACAUUUACUACUACUCUUACAAGUUUGUAGAAGUAAUUCAACUUAAAUGGAUAAGUACAACAAAAAAUAAAAAUCUGGGAUAUCCACAGAAAAGAUUUUUCUGUCCACAUCUUGUGAAGCAUGAAACCAGUUUUUUUUUUCAGCCUUCAUUUUCUUUUUCUUUAGCAUCACAAACAUUAAUCUUAAGCAUACGACAUCCAAGAUUUCUGAUUGGAGGGUCACACUGAAAUCUAAACUGUAAAAAAGUGGUACUACAAAGUACUUAACCCUCUUUCAGGUUGCUGUAAUAGACACAUUAAGUAGGGCAUGUACAUCAGAAUGUCUAAGUUAUGUUACUUGCCAAAAUCGCUUAAAAACUUCAGUGGUGUUUUAUUGCUUAGUAUAUAUAUAAAUUCACAACAAAAAGGUGGACAUGCUCCAAAUGCUGUCUAGUUCCUCAGGUGUAAUGUUUGUGAAUGUCUAUAGAGUAUCACAGUGACUAAUAUAACUAAAGCAACAAUCGAGACCGUGAAGUCUUUGGACUAACGAACUUCUUUAAUAAAUAACAGGUCACUAAGCAUAUAAUCAGUUAUGCUAGUUGGAAAGAAUAUUAGGUUGACUUGUGCUGCUAUUGGUAAGCCCUAAAUAAUUAUUUAAAUUGAAUAUUCAAAAGCUUGGCAUGUUUCAUUCACAAAAUCAAUUGCAUUCACAGACAUUAUAAUUCUUAGUACAGAGGCGAUAUAAUGAAAUGUGAAGUAUGACUAGUGUAUUAAGGAUUAUGUCCAAUUUCACACUACAAUGAAGUAAAUUCGGGAUUACAUACCAGGAAAGUAACAGAGGGAGACACAGAGAAGAAGAAGAGGAGUUAACCAAAUUACCAUUUUACACUAAUUUCUUCCUGUACCAAAUUACAUUCUUCCGGAAAUUCAAUAAAUAUGUGAGAAUCCAUAUUAUGAUUUCCUUAAUAUAUUUACAAGUCCCAGAUCAUACACGGCUAUUUCCCUAAUUGAUCUCAUCAAGUCAAGAUUCAGUUUUAAAUUAAGCUAGAUAUCACAAAAACAAGACAAUCUUGAUAAGUAUUAGAUUUUAACACAUUUAACAGCAAAUUAAAGGAAACAAUCAAGUAAACUGAUCAGAAUAUUAAUAAAACCACACUAUCUGGCAGGUUUAGAAACUUAAUCAAUAUACUUAUUACAUUACAUGAAUAAAAUUGAAGUAUUAGAUUUAUUUAAUCGUUCAAGAGAAGGCCUAGGUUUCUUACAGUUUCGCUUUAUCAAUUCCUUCCUACGGUCCUGGGAUUUGACUAAAUUAAGCUAAAAUCUAGUUGUGAUGUCCAACAAAACAAAAAUUAACAUCACUUUAGUAAACAAAAUCUACAAUCCUCUGAAGGGAAAAUUUACUUGUUAGAUCAAAUAGUACGGACAAAAACUGAUAAGAAACAGCAAUGAAACUCGCCAACUCACCUGAAAGAACCCAGUCCGCCGCAAAUCGUUGUCCACUAGUGCUCUCAAAAUUUCUUAAAUAAAAAAGAGACCUGAGUUGACAUAGGAUUGAUAUAUGGUGAGUUGGACGGUCAGGAUAUGGUGAUGAGUUGGUGAGAUUGCAUCAUAUGAUGACAAAUGUCAGUAUAAAUGUACCCCACUACAGAUCAAUUGAGUUGGGCUGGAUCGAGAUCACUACCCCAAGGCUUAUUACAUGACCAAUGAUCGGAUAAUGGCGAGGGACUAAUAUUCUUUUUCAAAAAUACUAUGAUUUAUAUAUUAACUUAAUCACAAAUUGCUCACAUACAUGAACUCAUUCGAUAAAUAUAAAAGUGAAUCCAGGAUUAAGUUAAUAUAUAUGGAUCAUAGUUUUUUGUGAAAAUAUAUAUUAGUCCAUCAGCGUUAUCUGGUCAUUGGUCAAGUAAUAGGCUUUUGGGGGUAGUGUCUCGAUCCUAACCACCUCAAAUGAUCCAUAGUGGGGUACGUCUAUAGUAACAUGUGUCUUCAUAUGGUGCAAUAUCACAAACCCAUCACCUUAUCCUAACCGUCCACCUCAUCGUAUAUCUUUUUUUUAUUUAAAAAAUUUUGAGAGCAUUACAGGAGGGCGAUUUGGCGCGGACUAGGAUAAUUUCAGGUGAGUUGGCGAGUUCCACUGCCGAUCCCGUUCAUUUUUUGUCGUACUAUCUGAUCAACAAGCACAAUCUUGAUAAGUAUUAGAUUUUAACACAUUUAACAGCAAAUUAAAGGAAACAAUCAAGUAAACUGAUCAGAAUAUUAAUAAAACCACACUAUCUGGCAGGUUUAGAAACUUAAUCAAUAUACUUAUUACAUUACAUGAAUAAAAUUGAAGUAUUAGAUUUAUUUAAUCGUUCAAGAGAAGGCCUAGGUUUCUUACAGUUUCGCUUUAUCAAUUCCUUCCUACGGUCCUGGGAUUUGACUAAAUUAAGCUAAAAUCUAGUUGUGAUGUCCAACAAAACAAAAAUUAACAUCACUUUAGUAAACAAAAUCUACAAUCCUCUGAAGGGAAAAUUUACUUGUUAGAUCAAAUAGUACGGACAAAAACUGAUAAGAAACAGCAAUGAAACUCGCCAACUCACCUGAAAGAACCCAGUCCGCCGCAAAUCGUUGUCCACUAGUGCUCUCAAAAUUUCUUAAAUAAAAAAGAGACCUGAGUUGACAUAGGAUUGAUAUAUGGUGAGUUGGACGGUCAGGAUAUGGUGAUGAGUUGGUGAGAUUGCAUCAUAUGAUGACAAAUGUCAGUAUAAAUGUACCCCACUACAGAUCAAUUGAGUUGGGCUGGAUCGAGAUCACUACCCCAAGGCUUAUUACAUGACCAAUGAUCGGAUAAUGGCGAGGGACUAAUAUUCUUUUUCAAAAAUACUAUGAUUUAUAUAUUAACUUAAUCACAAAUUGCUCACAUACAUGAACUCAUUCGAUAAAUAUAAAAGUGAAUCCAGGAUUAAGUUAAUAUAUAUGGAUCAUAGUUUUUUGUGAAAAUAUAUAUUAGUCCAUCAGCGUUAUCUGGUCAUUGGUCAAGUAAUAGGCUUUUGGGGGUAGUGUCUCGAUCCUAACCACCUCAAAUGAUCCAUAGUGGGGUACGUCUAUAGUAACAUGUGUCUUCAUAUGGUGCAAUAUCACAAACCCAUCACCUUAUCCUAACCGUCCACCUCAUCGUAUAUCUUUUUUUUAUUUAAAAAAUUUUGAGAGCAUUACAGGAGGGCGAUUUGGCGCGGACUAGGAUAAUUUCAGGUGAGUUGGCGAGUUCCACUGCCGAUCCCGUUCAUUUUUUGUCGUACUAUCUGAUCAACAAGCAAAUCUUCCCUUUAGAGGAUUGUAGAUUUUGUUUACUAGAGUGAUAUUAAUUUUUGUUUUGCUAGUAAUCACAACUAGAUGUUCAUUUAAUUUAGUCAAAUCCCAGGACAAAUAGGAAGAAAUUGAUAAAGCGAAUUUAUAAGAAGCCUGGCCCUUCUGUUGAAUGAUUUAAAUAGCACUUAAGCAUCAUCCAAGUACAAUAGCUUAUCUUUCCAAAGCCACAUUCAUUAUGUUUAAGCAUUCGUGUGGAACCAGUCUCAUUUACAAAUUGAAAGCACCUUAAUGUGCCGCAGGGCUCGCCAAAUGUUUAACAUUGGGUCUGCUAGCGCUAGGUGAUCAAUACUGAUGGUACAAAGCAAAUAUGUCCCCAUCCAUGGCCAAAGCAUGCUGUAUUUAAUUUUGCACCCAAAGUUUUAAAUUUUCGCAUUAUUGUUCCUUAAACCUUGUCUUUCUAUAUUGAUCUUCCGUAUUGAUGAGCUAUUUGUUAUCUUUAUCAAAUAAGUUGAACCCAAGAAAGUAACCAAUACACAAGAACACUCACAACAAAAUAUGAUUUGUGUAGAUUUAGUAUCGUGAAACAGCACACUGGAUUUAACAAAUAAAACCACUACUAUAAACUAAUUACAAGAAACGCUCACACCUGUUUCCUUCUUCUAGACCAUGCCCUCAUUCUCUGUUCUAGAUUAUCACCACCUUGCAUAACAUUUGCUACUAGAGACCAAACUCUCCAAUAUUACAAGUGAAUGUAUUCUGUCCAUUGAUUGGUCCGAAAGAUACGACUGAAUAAUUUACCAUGAACAACCACCGUAAGCCUGUUAUCAAACACCGUAAGCCUGUUAUCAAACACCAAACCAGACCUUGAUUAAAACCUUUUUGUGUGGCAAUCAUAUCAUACACCUCAGCGUACACCUUCAUCAAAAUUAGAUUCUCAGAAAAUUUGGGUGCAAGAUAGUAAAUUUGUCUACAAUAUUUGUAAGUUCCAACUAGAUGAGAUACAAUUGUAAAUAAAACACACAGACAAUGUAUAUAAAUAACAAACUUGACUAAAAAUGAUGAGCAGAAACAUGAAAGAUUGAUGGAUUUAUACCAAAAACACAAGCCCUUUAACCAUCUGAAAUUUGCAGCGCAAAAACAUCCCAAUCCAUUGAUUAAAAGAUUCGACACAAAUGGUCUCUCGUGUUAAUAAACUUAAGACGAGAGGUAAUACUGAACAAGGGAAGGGGCUCUGUAGGGCUGCAGCCUGGUUGCUGAUGCUUAAGAGUAGUCAUUUUCUGCCUUCAAACUAAACGAGAAACUAGAGAAGAAAUACAACAAUGCCCUA